Molecule: long non-coding RNA, 209407 nt
Filed under: Malus domestica (apple)
Lineage: Eukaryota; Viridiplantae; Streptophyta; Magnoliopsida; Rosales; Rosaceae
Source: RNAcentral
UUUUUUUUUUUUUUUUUUGUUUUGUUUUGUUUUGUUUUUUGUCUUCUUCUUCCUCCUCCUUCCUCCUCCUUCUUCUUCUUCUUCCUCCGACUGCAACUUUUUUUUUUCUUCCUUCUUCUUCUUCCUCCUUCUUCCUUCUUCUUCUUCUUCUUCUUCCUUCCUCCUUCCUUCCCCUUCUUCUCCUUCUUCCUUCUUCAUUCUUCUUCAUCUUCCCCCCCCCCCAAAAAAAAACCUUCAUCUUCCCCAAAUUUGAGGAAGAAGAAGGAAGAAGGAGAAGAAGGGGAAGGAAGAAGGAGGAAGAAAGAAGGAGAAGAAAGAGGAAGAAAAAAAAAAGGUUGCAGUCGGAGGAAGAAGAAGAAGAAGAAGAAAGAAGAAGGAGGAAAAAUGAGGAAGAAGAAGAAAGAAGAAGAAAAAAAGGAAGAAGAAGAAGAAGGAGAAGGAGAAGGAAGAAGAAAGAAGAAGAAGAAGAAGGAGAAGGAGAAGAAGAAGAAAGAAGGAGAAGAAGGGGAAGGAAGAAGGAGGAAGGAGGAAGGAAGAAGGAGAAGGAGGAAGAAAAAAAAAUUGCAGAAGAAAGAAGAAAAGAAAAAAAAAAUGUGGAUGACACAUGGCACCCAGUCAUGGCGCCACGUCACAAUUAACGAUAAAUUUAACAGUUUGACUAACAGAUGUAUAGACUGUCCCAAAAUUUACAUUUGAGGUAUGAAUCUGAGACGAAAAAAACUUGAUGUACUAAAUGUUGAAAACCACAAAACAUGAGGGUAGUAAACAGUCUUUUACCCGUAUUUAUUUUAGCCUUGUAAAGAAUUCUUGAUUUGUUUAAGAAUCAUGAGUUUAUUUUUAUAAGAGAAAUUUAUUUUUCAGCCCGUUUAAUUUCCUUUUAUUUAUUUAGUUUUUAGCUUGUGUUUCGGAUUCGAGUUCGAAUUUCCCACCGACUCUACAUCCGGAUCGUGAUAAUGACCAUUUCAUAUUUAAGUUUUAGUGUUUAUUUAUCUCUAUUAAUUAAUGAAACCCUCUUUGUCAACUAAAAGAGGGUGAAAAGACUACUUAGUCUUUUAUCACACAAAAAAAAUGAUGGGCAAUAAUAUAAUUUCACAGAUCUAAAUUUUACUUUUUUUUAUUGAAACCUCACGUGAUGUUAAAAUACCUCCAAUAUUAAAUUUAAAAAAAAAACCUCCCACUCCCCCCAUGUUCUCGGGUGAUGUUAAAAUACCGCCAGUUGUCUUAAAGCAAACGUUCACAAUAGUAAGCGACCCGUCUUCCUACAGUGGGAUUCUAGGGAGACCUUGGCUAAUAAAGCUUGAUGUUGUCACUUCCGUCAAGUAUCACAAGAUUCGAUUCCAAAAUUUUUAUUUUUUUAAUAUUUAAUUGAUAGGGCACAAUUACAAAAUUUGUGGUAAGAUGGAUGGGAAAAUCGUCUGACAACCUCGUCAGAAUAGAGGCACAAAAAAAAACAUUGUUUGUGCCCAACUCUUUGAGCACUAAACGUCAUAUUGUGCCCUUUGGUCAAAGGGCACGCUGACAGAGCGCACAUAUACAAUUUUGGUUGCUGCACUGUGGAGUAAAAAAUAAUCGAGAAAAAUAUGGAGGCGACACAUGGAUUCUUGGGUAAAAAGGAUAAAAUUACCCUUGAGGCACAUCGAAGCUCUCACGUGCGAGAAGUAGACGAUGAUGGCUCAAUCAAAGUUAAAAGGGAUCAAAAUAGGUACUUAUUUAAAGCCUAUUUCAUUCAUCCUCAUCUAAUUCUCCUUACAAGAUAACCCUAAAUUAUCAUUUUUAAAAUAGGAUUGACUAGGCAAUUAAUUGCCCAAUUGAUUGCAAUUAUUCAAAAUACCACCAUAAGUGGCCGGUCCCUACUCUCCAAAUAGGGCUGGCCACGCCCCUAUAUAAAUACCACCAUAUUUCUUAAAAAACCUAAGUUCAAUUCUCUUGUUAAACUCUCCAAAUUUUUCUAAACACUUUUCCCUCAAAUUCUAACUUUGGCAUUAGAGGUUCUUCGUUCAAAGCCCCCCUUAUUCAUCGUGGGUGCGUGAGACUGUUGGCCUUGACCUAAGGUGUUAAUUGUUUUGCAGGUGCAUUUUUGUCCAAGAAAAAGAAUGCGGAAAUUUGCAUCCACAAAUUGGUGCUUUCAUUAAGAGUUGAGUCCCACACUCAUAGAAGAUUCUCGUAUCAAAGGUUUCCCAUUUUCUUGUUCAUUUGCAGAUUUUUUGUACGUUCUUAUUCUUAGAAUUUUUGUUUAUAAAGAUUCUUUGAUAAAACGUAAAAGAAAAGUACAAUGGCUAGAAAUUCGGAAACUUCGACAAACGGAAUUUCCAACGUUCAAGAGAUGGGACCACGACGAUCCACGAGGCUAAACGUGACAAUAAGUGGAGUGGCACCACCACCACGAGGCCCCACUGUGGUAGCCACCAUCGGCGAGGCCCAUGUCACCAUGCCACCCAAGCCCACACAGGCCCAAGCCCAAGCCGUGCCAUCCAAAGCCCACAGCACCAAAGCCACGGCCCAAGUCGUGUCACUCCAAUCCGCGCGAGCCCAAGCCCAAUGCGAGCCCAACACAUUGCUGAGCCGAACCAAGGCCCAAGUCCCACACGUGUCGCACGUGGAACAACCCACUACCGUGGCCCAACCCACUCCCGUGGUGCCCCAAGUAAGGGUGGGUAAAAUUGGAGAAAACAGGCCCCCGGCCCGAACCGUUUUCUACCCUUAAAUUUGUAUCUUUUUUUUUUGUCAAAGAUACCCUCUAAUCUCUUAUUCUCAGAGCCACCCAAUUGGGCCAAUUCACUCAACUCUCCCCUCACCUCACAUUUUCUCUCUAUCCCGACUCCGAUUCUCCUCCUUCAAACUUUCCUCCUUGAAUCCCCUUUCCUCUCUUGUCUCAGACCUUAAUCUCGAGCUCAGGCUCCCAUCUCAGACCUCAAUCUUGAGCCCAGGCUCCCAAAUCAUGGCAUAUGCGGAAGUAAUCCAACAGAACAACUUUAAACUCAGCCGUCGAUCGACCACUCAUUCUCCGACAUGCUGCAGAUGCUAGCUCGACUCGACCUUGUUUGACUCGUUGAAGGGGUCGGCGAACAGCCAGGAUAAGGUGAUGUUAGAGGUUAAUUUGGGGAAGCAAAUCUGCAAUGCGGUGGCGUGUGAAGGGUUGGACCGGGUCAAGAGGCACGAUUACCAUCGUGGUAUCGUUUCUUAACUCUCCAUCAUGGCAUCCCUAGGUAAUUUAUGAAUUACGGUUUCUGAUUUAGGAAAUUAGGGUUUUUGAUUUAGGAAUUUAGGUUUUUGAUUUAUGUGGGUUUCUGAUUUUGUUUUGAUUCAUCAAUUGAUGUAAUUUGUAAUGGCAAGGGUGAAGGUCUUGGAUCCAUGAGGAAGACGACGUCUCUGGUACGAUUUGCCAAUUUGAACAAUUUGGUUAUUUGUGAGAUUGAUUUGAUGUAGUUUUGUGUGUAAGUGUAAUGGGUUCUGUUAGAACUAUGGAUCUGGGAUUUCAUUGUUUGCUUAUUUCGGGACAUGCAUGGAAAAAUCGUACAUGUGCAGAGUAUAUACAUUGAUUUGGUUGUGUUUAAACACAUGUAGUGCAAAAAUGUUUGUAGGAUUUGUUUUUCUGUGUUCUGAGUAGUGCAAAUGUGUGUCUAAAAUGGAUGGUUUUGCUUCUGCUUCUACUCAGCAUAUCAGCGCCGUUCCAAAACUAGGAAAAAUAGUAAUUAAACCCGUGGACCCGUCUUGAACUAGCUCGUUUGAAACGGGUCGGGUUAGGUCCGGUUCCCAAACUUAAAUUCCUUAUACGUGGCCCGUUACAUUUUAAAAUGGGUAGGGCCAGGUUCCUCUAGAUUUAGGCAUGACCUUAGUCCCAAGCAGCCUAAGUCGGUCCAAGAUUGGUUCAACCAUCUUGGCUUCAAAUUUUUGGGCCGACGAUGGAACCAGCGGCAUUUUCACCUCACUUUUCCUCGGAUUUGACAUUUCCCAACUCAAAUCUCGCGCCCGGAGUCUACCACAAUUCCACUAUUCAAGGAGAUGCAUUUCGUCCAAACUCUUUUAACCCGAAUUGCAAACAACACUUGUCUCGACAAGUCAUAGAGUUGACAAGCACCCUCGCAUAACAGACAACCUUGGUGAAUAAGCUCUUGCAACGCACCAUGAUGCAACGUGCCCCGGACAAGGUGUCCUGAAGUAGGACAAGAGCAGACGAACCUUUCCAACAACGUCCCGACAAGCAACCACUUAACUAGCUACGAACUGAGUGUUCGGGUAGUGUACACUCCUGAUUGGGCCCAUGAGAUAGCGUAUAUUCCCAUCUUAGCGCCCAGAGGAGUGUGCACUAUCGACUAGGUCCACGGACGAGUAUACAUUCAUAAUUAGGGCCACACUCCGAUAGUCAACACGAGCAACCUUCCAGGUGAAGUGUUCACUCGCGGCUAGGCCAGCAAGGAGCAUCCUCCACCAUGCAUCGGAGUAGGCAGCACAAAGGAUGGAGAGAAGCAGUCACUCAAUCUGGCACGAGUUCAACCGGCAGCCUGUGAAGAAUUCCCUCGCUUGCCAGAAAUGAACCACAUGACCGCCAUUGCGACAUAGCAGCCUAGACCAGCAGGUCAAGACCGAGGACAGCCGAGAGCUCCGCCACCCCCAACAAAGGCAAAUUCAGGAAGAGGUAGAGAGGCUCCUGAAUGUGCGAUUGCUUGAUUUCCAACGCAACAAAGUUGUUGAUGAGGCACUACGACAAGACAUGACCAAUAUGAGCAGGUCACCCUUCAUGGACGAGAUCGAGCAGGCAGAGCCUCCACGCAAGUUUAGCAUACCGCACUUCACAUCUUUCAAAGGAGAUGGAGAUCCAAAGAGACACUUGAAGCAUUACUGAAGCAUGAUGGUACUUUAUCGGAACAACGAUUCCCUGAUGUGCAAGAUAUUCGCCACCACUUUGCAAGGCGAGGCGCAAGAUUGGUUCUACACCUUCCCACCGCGAUCCAUCAGAAGUUUCGAUGAUCUUUCCUUGGUUUUCACCAAAAAGUAUUCCUCUUAUCGCUCAAUCAAGAAGAAGUCCAACCACUUAUUCAACGUGAAAAAGAACCCAAGAGAGUCAUUUCGCGAUUAUGUGAAGAGGUUCAAAACAGAGAAGGUGAAGAUAGUCGAAUGUGACAACCCGAUAGCGAGUGCAGUCUUCCAAAAAAGACUCACAGCACACCACAUGUUGUUCGGAGAGUUGAUCAUGAAAGAAGAUCUAGCAGAGAAACACGCACUUUGGGACGAGGCUUAGUGAGCAGACAAUGUGCACGAGCAGCCUCAGAAAGAUCGAUCUCAGAAGAAAGAAGGAAAGCAGAGAGACAAAAACAGGCAGAUGGCUAAGCGCAAGGAUUGAUCUCCGACUAAAGGAGGCCCGACGACCAAGAACUAUUUUAAGUUCUCGAUCCCCAUCCACCAAAUCUUUCGCGACAUCAAGAAUAAACCAUGGUUCAAGAUGCCGAAGUAAUCAAAGGGAGAUACUUUCAAGUUAGACCAUACCAAAUACUGCGCAUUCCAUCGAGGUCCCGGUCACACAACUGACGACUGCUACACUUGGAAGAACUACCUAGAGAAGCUCGUGAAGGAAGGCAAGGUCGACAGAUACUUGGACAAAUCAGCUACGUAGCAUAGAAGGAACGCGGAUGCCGACGAAGAAUAACCCAACAAGACGAUUCGGAUUAACGGCAUCUUCGCUGAAUCUGAGUACUUGGGGCUACCAACAAUUCAAAGAAGAGGAAAAUCCAACAAGCAUUGCUAAUCUCACAAGUCCAAGCAGUCGACAUCCAACCUGAACCCAUCGUUGGUUUUACUGAGCAAAAUGUCGAAGGCGUUGACUUUCCACACAAAGACGCACUAGUAGUAUUCGUCCAACUGGCCCAUGCCAUAGUCGAUAGAAUGAUGGUGGACAAUGAAAGUGCAGUUAACCUACUUCAGCUCUCAGAAUAUGGGCCUGGAAAACACAAUCAUACGCCGAGUGGAGGUAUUAACUAGAUUCAACGGACAUGCCUCGACUGCCCUUGGCUACAUCACACUUGACGUGAUAACAUCGCCAAUUGUCUCAAAGCAGACGUUCACAAUAGUAAGCGACCCGUCUUCCUACAAUGGGAUUCUAGGAAGACCUUGGCUAAUAAAGCUGGAUGCCAUCACUUCCAUCAAGGAUCGAAAGAUCCGAUUCCGCAUCGCGGGAGGAUGAGUUAAACAAAUCAGGCCUGACUAGGCCGCAUCUCGACGAUGUAUAGUGCAAGUACUGAAGGAGUCAAGAAAGAAGACCUUUAGCCUCGUAGAGGCUACCGAAGUCUAAAAAAAUGAUGAAGCCACCAAAUAGCAAUUACAGCAAGCGAAUCAAGAAGAUGGUGUCCAAACCAACGCGCAAGCAGACGAGACAGGAUGGAAACCCGAAGAGGACUCCGAGUACAUCAUUCUUUAUCCCUAGCAGGCGGAGAAGACUGCUAGAGUUGGCUCACAUCUAAGCCCGAAGGAAAAUGAAGAACUCACGGUUUUCCUUAGGGAAAAUCAUGACAUCUUUGCGUGGUCACCUUCUGGCAUACCCAUCAUCAACACCGAGGUAGCUUUCCACAAGCUGCACUUUGACCUAGCUACAAAACCAGUGAUCUAAAAGAGAAAACAUUUUGCACCCGAACAAGUAGCAAUCAUUGAAGAAGAAAUUGACAAGCUACUGAAAGCUGGAUUCAUAGAAGAAAUAACACACUUAGCAUGGCUUGCCAACGUCGUGCUAGUAAUGAAGAAAGAGAAAGGCAAAUGGAAGGUUUGCGUAUACUACACCUACCUUAACAAAGCAUGCCCGAAAUAUCCCUAUCCAGUCGUCCAAAUCGAUCUACUCGUAGAUUCAACUUCCGGGGAAUCAGCUGCUCAGUUUCUUGGAUGCAUAUUUUGACUACAACCAAAUAGCCAUGUAUGAGCCCGAUAAAGAGAAAAUCGCGUUCGUGAUCGAGUGAGGCACCUACUGCUACAAGGUCAUGCCUUCUAGACUCAAAAACGAGGGAGCCACUUACCAACAAUUGGUGAAUAUGAUGUUCAAGAAGUAAAUUGGAGUAACCAUGGAGGUCUACGUCGACGACAUCAUGAUGAAGGGCAAGUAACGGGAAGAUCACAUUGGUAACUUGGCGAAAACUUUUAGUAUCCUUAGACAAUACAAGAUGAAGCUCAACCCCACCAAAUGCACAUUUGGAGUAUUUUCAGGCUGAUUUUUAGGGUACCUAGUAACCCAACGAGGAAUCGAAGCACAUCCCAAGAAAAUCAGAGCUAUCUUACAGAUGAAAUCUCCAACUACCUUGAAGGAGAUCCAAAGCUUGACCGCCGCCCUCAACCGCUUUCUCUUGCUGUCCACGGAUCGUUGCAAACCCUUUUUCAAGGCCAUCAAGAAGGCACAAUGAGACAAAUGGGAUGACAAGUGCAAAAGAGCUUUCCACGACUCUAAGAAGUACCUCACAUCGCCUCCCUUACUAUCCAAGCCAGAAGUAGCAUAGGACUUAUACAUCUAUUUGGCAAUCUCAGAAGUAGUAGUAAGCUUUGCCCUCAUACGAGAAGAGUUGGGGGCUCAACUACCUGUAUUCCACACUUCUAAAGCUAUUCUCGAUGAGGAAACUAGAUAUAUGAAGAUCGAAAAAUUAAUUUUGGCGCUAGUUGUUAUGGCUUGGAAGCUUAGAUCGUACUUUCAAGAUCAUACAGUCAUCGUUAUAACUCAACAUCCUCUAUGAUCAAUUUUGCAUGGUCCGGACGUUUCUCAAAGAGUGAUGAAAUGGGCGUUGGAACUUGGCCAAUAUGACUUAGUUUUCUGACCUCGCACGACGAUAAAGGCCCAAGCCUUGAUAAACUUCAUAGCGGAAUUCACACCUAGCCUAGGCAACGUAACAGAGUGACUCAACGAUGCCCUGGAGGCAGCCGAGCACACUUUAGCAAUACCUGCUCUACCCGAUGGAGACUUCUAGCAUUUGCAUGUCGACGACGCAUCCAAGUACAAAGGCUCGGGAGUAGCCAUGGUUUUUGUCACCCCAGAUGGUUCGAUGCUCAAGCAGGCAAUAACUCUAAGCUUCAAAGCACCUAACAAUGAAGCAAAGUAAGAGGCCCUACUAGCAAGCUUCCAAAUGGCAAAUGACUUGGUGAUGAAAAAACUCGCAAUUCAUUCCGAUUCCCAGCUAAUCACCAGCUAAACUACUAGGGAGUACACAGAAAAGCAUACGAGGAUGGCACAAUACCUAGAGAAUGUGCGCAAACAACUUGAGGCGUUUCAAACUUACACCCUCACUCAAGUUCUACGGGCAGACAACACCCAUACGACGCGUUAACCGGCCUAAGCUCUGCCCACGACCAUCAACUCAAAUGCUUUAUUCUGGUGGAAUACCUAGACAAGCUGAGCAUAGAGGUGGAGCCAGUAACCGAGGUGUCAUAUGUUAGUACAACCCCCAACUGGCAAAGUUCUAUUAUAGACUACCUGGUCAAUGGCAUACUCCUCACGGAAAGGUUGGAGUCUAGAAAACUCCAAGUUAAAAUAGCACACUACUGUAUGUGGAACGGUGGUCUCGUCUGAAAAUCCUACACUGGACCACAUCUCUAUUGCCUAGCGCCUCCCGACAACCUAAAGGUUCUAAGCUCAAUCCACAAAGGUGUUUAUGAAAAUCACUCCGAAAGCCGAUCCUUAGCACGGAAGGCUCUUAAUGCGGUACUAAGAUGUGAAUGAGCUAGUACAAAAGUGUGACUGCUGCCAACGCUACAAGCCAGUACUAGCACUGUCUACCAAUGAACUACACUUGCAAAUGAGUCAUUGGCUAUUCAUGCAGUGCGUAAUCGACUUGGUAAGGCCAAUGCCACCUGCUAUUGGAAACAGAGGCAUGAUGAUCGUGGCAACCGAUUACUUCACCAAAUGGGUAGAAACAGAGCCUAUGAUACCACGACUCAAAACGCUUCAUAUAGAGGAACAUCAUUUGCGGAUUUGGCAUCCUUCAAUAUAUCACCACCGAUAACAACCUGCAAUUCGUGGGCAAAGAUUUGGCGAAGUUCUUCCAAAAGUAUGGCAUCAAGCAGUACAUAUCCACACCAAGUUAUCCACAAGGCAAUGGGUGGGCUGAAGCAUCCAACAAGAUGACCCUCGAAUGCCUCAAGAAAUCCCUUACCGACAAGAAGGGAAAGUGACCAGACGAACUCCUUAAAUGUCUAUGGGCGUAUCGCACCACCAAAUGAUGAGCCACUAGUGAGACUUAUUUCUCUUUGUCAUUUGGUUCGAAAGCAAUCAUUCCUCCCAAUAUUAUUGUGCCAAGCAUCAUCACUCUAUUACCAAGCGUUGAGCAAAACAAUAAGGAGAUGGCCAUAAGCUUAAAUCUGGCAAAGGAGAAGCGCGAGCAGACUAUCACCUGCAUCGCAGCCUACCAACAAUAGCUCAUCUUCAGCUACAACAAAAGGGCCAAGAUCCGGCAGUUCCAACCCGGAGAUGUAGUAUUAAGAAAAGCUUUCAUCACUGCCCACAGGGAAUGCUCCAAAAAGAUGGAUCCCAUCUAGGAAGGUCUAUACAAGAUCAGUAGAGUAGGCGGCAAUGGUAAUUACACCCUCGCCACCAUGAACGACAAAGAGAUCGAAAAGUAAUAGAACGUCUACAAUAUGAGGAAGUACCGUGUGUGAUCUUCCAUGUCACCAAAACCCAAAUAAUCAAAGUAGCUCCACGGGCAUCACCUCAUGAAUCAAGGAUUAUCCAGUUGUUAUACAGUUUCUACUUUACAACUAAGUUUUUCAUUCGUUUCACUCAUUUUUCAAUGAGGAAUUCAGAAGCAAUUUACAACUUGGCUCGACUACAUGCUUACAACAAUUGAUUACUCUUGCACUUCAAAAUAAGACUGCGUCCUUCUUAGGGACUCAUCGCAGGAAUUGCACCCCCCACCGAAUGAACUAACCAUGCUCUCCCUUGCAAUAGGAUAAACUAAUUCCCUAACAACCACAUAGGUCUACACUUUGAAUAUCUAGAUGUGGAUGAGUUGGGCUACCCUAGUAUAACUAGAUGCACAAUGGCUUGCGCCGGGAUCCCUAGAAGUAACCGCGAUGGUAUUUUUCAAGGCUUAGCUUGCUGAAGGAUUUUCGGUUUCUUGGACUAAUCAGCAAGGAACCGGGCCCUAGAGACAGAGAGGGCACAUUAUACAACAUGCCCUAUGGACGGCAGCACUGGAACCCUAAAGUUGUUACCGAGUGCACUAAGGUAGCCUAUGAUUUUUAGAAGACUGCCUACGGCUUGCCAUUCGGGUAGUGAGCCGCGUUAAACUUAUGCAACGACACGUUUCUGUGAAAGGUGAAACAAGUUAGAACUUCAUCUAUUGCCAACAUGCUACGCGAUUGAUAGACUUCAUUUUUGCCAAAGCGCGGAACAACCUAUGCCAAAUCCUAAAAUGUUGUGAUACUUGCUACGCAACCCACAUAAUUGAAAAAAUCCAAAGUUAACAGCUAAAUGGUCACGCGGACUUGUCUAAUUCUGUAAGUAAGGCAUCCGGUUGCCGGCCCUAUGGUUAACAACUUUACAAAGUUCUACACCAACAUCAAUGGCUGCAUAGGCUAUGCGGGCAUGUCUGCUUAAAAAAAAGUAGCACGUCUGCCUCUAGUCUAUAAAGCUUACGGUUACGGUACGAGCAAAAGAAACAAAGAUAGAGAAAAGUGAAUGAAACAAGUUUAUUAAAUUUUCUAGCAAAAUUGAUAAACAAUUAGCAAAGACCGAAGGAGUUCGAGCAAAAAGCAAUAAGGAAAACAAAGAAAAUCCUAAAAACUACCUAGAAGACUACUCCUUAGCAGCUUGAACACUCCGCAACUACUCGGUCGCCACACCUUCAAAAACCUCGGCCUCCUUAGUAGCAACACCAUCCGGCGCUUCACCCCUAGUCUACCUCUCUAAUUAUUUCACCAAGGAAAGCCUCGAAAGUAAAGGCAAGCAAGUCUUCCGGAGAAAUAGAGAAUGUCUCAAAGUCUUUACCAGAAAACUCAAAGUUAGACAGUCGCCCAAAGAGAUGGUCACCCAGCUUGUAGAAAUCAGGUUAACUUUGAGUAAGAGAAGCCUCAAACCCAGUCUUCUCACCAUUCAACUGCUUAUUUUCCUCGAGCAGACAAGCACGGAUACGCUAUAGCUUCUCCACGUCCUUCUUCAAGUUGUCAAUGAUCUUUAAAGCACCCUGGAGUUCCAACAUUUGAGGUUCAAACUUAUCAAUGACCUUCUUGAAGUGGAUCACUUGGUUAUAAGCAGUGAUCAGUUCUUCAUCAUUUGCAUAAGCAGCGAAUUAGAGUUCAGAGACGGUAUGCUCAAGAUCUUGAAUAUGAGGUAUGUAACACUCGAUCUCCUUUUCUGCACUUUCAUACUUAACUUGGAUUGCGCCAAGCCUAGUCUUCAAAUCCACGAUCUUCUGGCGAGCGGUCUCAAGCUGCAGAGAAAUUGAGGCAAAGAUAUUAGACCCCUUCAAAUCUUUUGAAACGGCAAGCUCAUAUUCCAACUUUUUGACCUUUUCAGUCAAAGAGAAAGCCUCGAUUGCCACAGUUAGUGGCAACCUUGGUGUCUUCUUGAUCAAUGAGCAUAAACUUGGUUGCAAGAAUCACCGUUUUUUGCAUCAUAGCCUCAUAGCCAGCAGAGUAGUCCUCCUAUACUCGGUCGUAUACUUCGCAAAUGAACUAGGGCCAAUAACCUCUUUAACGUCAUCAACAAACUUGGCACACACAUCCAUAUCCUUGAGCAUAUCUGAUUUCAAAAGCGCACAAAUCUCAGCAGCUUUCCCAGAAACAGGCAUGGAAGAUUUCUCACAAUUGUCCGCACUAGCAGUCUCUUUCUUCUCAACAGGUGAAUCAGUCCUGACGGCAAUGAGAGAUGGUUUUGGCGCCACUUUAGCAGGCGAAGACACCUAGUCACUCUUCAUAGUAGCAAACCUUUCCAAAGGUGAAACAAACUUAGCCCCAUAUAGACAUUUUGGCAUAAAUGUCGGCACUGGAGGCACUGUGGAGUUUCUACGCUGAGCAAUCCUAUCAGCAAUCAAGCUAACCACUUUUGGAGCGGCAUGUGUCGUAAGCACGCUCUUAGCAGCCUUAUCUUUGUCAUCAUUGGAAGAAGUCAGGUCAAUCACAAGUCUAGGGGCAGUUGAUGAACCCUCGCGAGAGGAAGAAGUCUUUGGUUUUUUCUCGACCAGCACAUCUUAAGCAAGCAAAGAAAAUCUUUUGUUCCCACAUUCGUUUGCAAUAGGUUCCACGACGGUGAUCGGGCGAGCCAACUCCUCAGCCUUGAUUCACUUUAUCUCAUCUAUCAGGGGCAACCCAUCUUUCUCCCAGUGAAUAAGACUAAGUAGCCAACGCCACUCACGGUACUCAAGAGGGAUACCUAGAGUGAUAUGCAUUUUCCUCAUAUCCGGAGAAGUCUUAGGAGAUGAGCCAAAUUCCGAGUAUAUAAAAGCAAAGGAAAACAAUCAAUAAAUCAGAAAUCAGCUUAGCAAAAGUACCAAGCAGCCGAGGGAGUAAGCAUACUAUUUACCGGAGAUGAAAACAGUUGGAACACAUAACUCAAGGGAAGAAUCAGACUCCUAAUCUCCACUGAUCUCCAAAGUCUCAUAGCCCAGUCAUGAUCUCCCUUGCUUGAAUGGUCAAAUAGCGUAUGACGAGAUCGCAGCUGCCCAACUUCCUCAAUGUGGCCUAUGUCAAAAAAAUACCAAAACUCGAUGACGAUCAAAUCCAAGUAAAAAAAAUUGGCUUAGAUUGUGAAAUCUCACCAUCACAUGAACCGUAUAGAGGAACAUUGAGCAGGGGCACACUUCAUAGAGCAGAGCACUUCUUAAAAGAAAUGCGGCAUAGGAAAAGUGAACCCUAACACGAAGUAGUAGGGGUGAAACUUGAUAGUUCUCCAAGCCCCACCACAUGGCUCACGGCUACUGCCCUCCUUGACACGCUUCACAUGCACCCCUGACAGAAUGGCGUGCCUAUAUGCCUCAAGGAAGUCUCUAAACAAGUCAUCGAAGCCAAUCUUGAAGUGAGCAGCAUUGAAAUAGCCCACCUUACUCAAGGACCUGCCUUGACGAUACAAUGACGGAACACCCUCAUCACUCUUAUGGCUUGAAGAAGACAUGCUCAAAGAAAUUCUACAAAAGCGCAAGGAAAAUUCAUUAGAUGGCUGCUUCAAAAAAAAAAAAAAAAAAGACACAACGCAACAUGCCCCAUGGCCGAACAAGGCCCUUGACCUCUCUCUUUUCUUCUCAUAGAUGGGCCCAUACCUAGAAAAAAAAGCCCAAGCUAUCUAGCCCACUCCCCCUCAGCCUUCUCAAGACGGGCCCAAGCCCAACAGUAAAAAAAAAAGAAAAAAAAAAGGGCCUGAGCUUACUCAACCCAGAGCCCCAACCACAACCAAUCGGCCUAAUGCCCUGCCCCGAGUCGCCACCACACCUAGCCACCCAUGACAGCCAUGUCAGGGCCUCUCCUAACCAUUUUUCAUACAACCUCGACCCCCAUCGAGCCAAGUUUCAAACCCCCGAGACUCCCAAAAAUUAUGAAGACAAAGAAAAAUUAAUUUUUUUCUUACCUUGGUACGGCGUGAAGACGAAGAAAGCAACGAAAGACAGUCCUUUGCACGGACAAGUGUAGAAGAUUGCUAGGGGAGGGGGAACAAAUAUCCUCUAGCUUUCUCUCUCUUGUAGGGUAGAAUGAAUUGCUCUCUAAAGUUGAUUUAAUAAUCUACUUAAGGUAAAAUUAAGUAGACUUUAGAAGUAAUUUAUUUGCCUUUCCUAGAAGGAUCUAAUUUCCAAUUAAAGAGGGAAUCUACAUCAAAAUAGGAAACAAUCUUAUGUUUCCUAAAGCAAGAUCUCUACACUUAUUGCCCUUACUUGCGAGCAGCCCAACAGGUGUGGGGGGCAUUUGUGGAGCAAAAAAUAAUUGAGAAAAAUAUGGAGGCGACACAUGGAUUCUUGGAUAGCUCCCAUGCGCGAGAAGUAGACGAUGACGGCUCAAUCAAAGUUAAAAGGGAUCAAAAUAGGUAUUUAUUUAAAACCUAUUUCUUCCAUCCUCAUCAAAUCCUCCUUACAAGGUAACCCUAAAUUAUCCUUUUUAAAUUAGGAUUGAUUAGGCAAUUAAUUGCCUAAUUGAUUGCAAUUAUUCAAAAUACCACCAUAAGUGGCCGAUCCGUACUCUCCAAAUAGGGCCGGUCACACCCCUAUAUAAAUACCAUCAUAUUUCUCCAAAAACCUAAAUUCAAUUCUCUUGCUAAACUCUCCAAAUUUCUUUGAACACUUUUCCCUCAAAUUCUAACUUUGGCAUCGGAGGUUCUUCGGCCAAAGCCUCCCCCCCCCAUUCAUCGUGGGCGCAUGAGACUCUUGGCCUUGACCUAAGGUGUUAAUUGUUUUGCAGGUGCAUUUUCGUCUAAAAAGAAAAAUGCGAAAAUUUGCAUCCACAUGCACCGUUGUCAUUGUCAAAGGACACAUAUUAGUGCCCUUAGGUCUCAAUAGGCACAUUCAACUUUUUGUGUGGAUUGGCCAUUUUUAUUGCGGUGUUACAUUAUUUAUCGUCACUCAAGCCAAAAACGUACAUCUGAGCUCCACGAGAAGGACAAGUACGAAAAUUACGUAGUAUUAAUCCCAGAAAUGGCCUGUGUGUUGUGCAGAAUGACCAAAGGGUUAUAUAAGCACCAAAACAGCACUGGAAAACAAGAGCUGCCCAAUAAGCUUGAAGUCUGAGGGGACAUCAGCUGGUGUGAAAAUUUGAGAGCGUACACGGUGUUGAAGAAAAAUAUCUUGCUUUUGGGAGAUUGUAUUUUGAUAUGUAACACGAAUCGACAAUAUGAAAAACUAUAGCUCGAAUCUACGUAUGAAAAUUGUAACUCUUAAUCUACCAUGCUUAUUUCGACGACAUCCAAAAAGCAACCCACCUCAACAAAUAGCAAAAGGCAAAGGUCUUUUAAAUGGUUUACAAAUAGCUUCAAUACGACCAUUGAAUGAUUGUUGGGUGAGUGACGUUGUAUCCUUUUUGUUUAAGAAAAAUUAAAAAAAAAAAAGAGCUUCAAUAUUUUGCAUUUUAACAAAAAAUAAUCUAAUAACUUUAAUUAAUGAUAAGGAAAAAAAAUAUAUAUAUAAACAUGUGUGCCCAAUGCGCGUCCCCCUACUAUAAAAGAUAAAAAAAACAUAAAAAAUCAUCUAAUAAUUUUAUUUAAUGAUAAGGACAAAAAAAAUCAUCUAAUAACUUAUUAUUAAAAUUUAAGAGUUGUACUAAAAUUUAAGUCGUUUUCAUUAAAUAAAGUUAUAGCAUGAUUUUUUUUUAUUAAAAUAAACUUAAUCCAAGUCCUUUAAAGUUUUUUUUUUUUUAUAUCCACUAAGUUAUAAAACUUUGAGUUUUAGAAACAAUGAUAUUUUUAAGGGAAAUACCCCAAAAUGGGACAAUUUCUUAAUCUUGGGACAAAAAUAGGACAAACCAGUUAUACACAAGCCAUGCACUCCAUGCACAAAAUCAAAAUUACUAAAAUACCCAUGUAUAAAUAUAAAAAUUAUCAGUCCAUUGCAUCAUUGUUCACAUUUGGAAGAGAAGGAUGUCAAGAGAGCUCUAUAAGCUCUGGGUUUUGGGGUUGAGCUCCGAUUUCAAAAAGAGGGAAGUCCAAAGAGAGGCGAGAAGAGUGAGCUGGGUUCUGGGUUGACCUCAUACAUUUGAUUUUGAAUAAAGGGAUGCAAGAGAGAGGUGAGAAGAGUGAGCUGGGUUUUGUACCAUAUUUUCUGUUUUGGCCGGAAAGUUCCAUUUUUCGGGCGACUAAAUCUUCAGCAGGCAUAGUAAGGUAUGGUGUUUAGUUCCAAGUUCCUACAUCAAUGAUUAAUGGAAUAAAUGAGUUGUUUGUAAGAUGAAUUAAUACUUAGAAGUUAAAUUAGGGUUUGUGUUUCAUGUUGGGGUGUAUGGGUUGUAGAAUAAAUUUCAAGUUUUGACGUGCUACAAAACUGGGAUGGAACAAUCUCUGGUUCAAGUGUUCAAUUGUAGAAAUUUGUGAAAUUUUUCCCGUAAUGUGCAUGUGGUGUGCAUAUGGUGUGAAUGGCUACAUCUUAGUAUGAUAAGGGGGAAUGUUCACUAGUUAUGAUGCACGUAUGUUGUUCCUCGGGAUUUAGCGAGUAUGACCACAACCUAGUUGGCCUUGGCGAAAAACAAAAUUAAGAAAAAGCCUAGAAGACAUUAAAAGUCAUGCGUGUCCAUAAAAUAACAACAAGAAGUAUCAUGUUUUCCACGUGCACGGUUAAACGAUGGUUGAUAUAUAUAACAAGACUUUUCAAACUGUCACUGUAACCUUAUAUAUGUAACACUUAUGUUUUAAUUUUAUCCACUGUACCAAUAUGUUGCCAUUAAAGUUUCUCUCGUUUUUGUGCAUAUCAUGUGCAUGUAUUGUAUAUAUUAUGUGCAUGUGGUAUGCAUGUAGUGUAUAUGAUGCGUAUUUACAUCUUUGAUACUCUUCACAUUAAUGUAGUUUACUACUUUUUCCUUUGAUUCAGAGGCAAACCCUAUAAUUACGAAAAAAAAGCGAACAAGUUCAUGAAACAAUUUCCUUUGAUUCAUUGGGUUCCUUCGUGCCCAUUCAAACUACAAUUUUCAAAUCCUUGAAGUAUUUGAACCCCAUCAAAUUUGAUACCAUAUAAAAUUUACGGUCAUUUAUCUGAUUGCCUCCUUUUUCUGAUUUCGAAGAUGGGUGGAUUAGGGUUCUUUGAACUGGAAUUGGGAGAGAGAGAUUUUCUAUCUCUCCUCUCUGUUUCUCUAUACAGAAUAAGAAAUAAGGGCUGGAAUUUCUGGAUAACCCAUUUAUAUGAUAGGACAAUUUGAUCAUUUUAAGGUGUAGGAAAAAUCCUAUUUUUAUCUGAUUGUUGUGCAUGGCAUGUGCAUGCAUUGUGCAUAUUCGAAAUGUCCUAUUUUUGUCUCAAAAUUAAGAAAUUGUCCUAUUUCUGGGUAUUUCCUUAUUUUUAAUUUGGAAACAAUGAUCUUAAGUCUUAACUUUAGUUUGGAUAGAUUAUAAAAGAUAAAAAUAACUAAAUUACAAGUUGUUUUUUUUUUUUUACCAUGGUGAUGAAGCUCUUUUUGGUUAUAAAAUAUUUCAAAUUUCAAUUCAUUUGUCAUAUGCCAUAUUCCACUAGAGUCAAAUAAAAAACAUGCCAAUAUGAAAAAAAAAAAAAAAAAACUACCAAAAACCAAGGCAAGUUAACCUACGGGGUGAUCCACAAUAUAGUGGCCUAGUAGUAGGUUUUUGAAAGCUAGUUGUUGUAGCUUGCAAGGUGGUUCAAAAUAUAGUGGCCUAGUAGUAGGUUUUUUAUAACACGCCCGACCCUGAUAUUCCCUGAAGACAAGGGUAGGCACGUGCUGGCUGACACCCGAAGGUGACAAAGCCAUACUAAUAUGCAUGAGAACCAAAGAAUAUAAAUAAGAUUUAUAAAUUUAAAUAUACGUAAUAUGCAAAUGAGGAAUGUGUUCAGAGCAUACAACUAAUUUGAGACACUAGAAAGGAAAUAAUAUAAAAUUGAAUGAACAAAGGAAUGGGUCCUACAUCGAGAGGACUCGGAGAUGCCGAUGCGGGAGUGCCUUGACGCCGUGAUUGUACGCCUCAAAUCUAAGUCCUGAGGGGGCGCAAAACAAACAUGAAUGGACCAAGUUGAUAUAUAUAUAUAUAUAUAUAUAUAUAUAUAUAUAUAUAUAUAUAUAUAUAUAUAUAUAUAUAUAUAUAUAUAAUACUAAAACAGUUAUCAACAUACUAACCCCAAAGUUUUAUGAAAACACAAUAGCAUAGUAUGUAAUAAGUUUUCCGAAAACCCUAGCAUGCCAAAAACCUUCAUGAAACAUAUCUCGUAUAUAGUGUGCUAACUAGUGGUAUCCAAUAACAAUAUCUCCCGGCCCAAUGCCAGCUCCUAUGUCUCUGCGCCUGAAGCCAGAGAUUAUUUCUCCCGGCCCAAUGCCAGCUCCAUGUCUCUCGGCCCGAAGCCAGAGAUUAUUUCUCUUAGCCCGAAGCCAACAACUAUAUCCCUCGCCCGUAGGCGGAACAGUAACAUCUAUAUACGCACAAAACAUUGAACAUAGUCUUUCCAAACAUAGGUACAUAUAUCUCAAAACUUCUUCAUAAUAUAAAGUCAUACAUCAUCUAUACUAUAAAGUAGUGUGUAAAAGCAUGUUCUAAAUAGUAUAUAGUCAUCCAUCAUAUAUACUACAAAGAAUAUCAGUUCGAUAAAAUAUGGUAUUCCAAAAUAUUCUCGGUAUAGCAUGAUAAUCAAUAAGUGUAAAUCCAAUUUAAAUCCAAUUUACUUAUAAAACGUUUCGCAAAACGUAAUCAUUAAAUCAUGUUUUUCAUGUAUGCAUUUCUACAUUUAAAACAUGCAUUUUAGAAGGGGUCCACUAACGGAUACUUAGCCGCCAAAGAGUCACGCAAACUAGCGAAGAUGGAAAUGCCACAAAUAAUUGCCCCUAAGAACAUAAAGAGUCCAAUUAAUAAAACUCUAUUAAAAAUUUUGAAUUUAGGAAAAUGGACGUUAAAAACGGAUUCAGGAUGUCGAAUUACCCUAAGAAAAGUCCCAGGUAAAUUUCGUAAAAGUCAACACAAAGAAUAUUCCAUCCGAGUUGGGCUGGUGGGUUUGGGCCGAAUGGUCCUAGGCCUAAUGGCCUGGUUUCAAAGGAUUUUGGGUUGGGUUUCAAAGGAAUUGGGUUUACCCAUUUGGGCCGGUGUUCCAUGGCCUAAGGCCCGGGUUAGGGUUUUACAAAUAUAGGUUUGGGUUUAGACAUGGCUAAAAGCCUUAGAUUUAGGCUUUAACAACUGGGCUGGGUUCAUGGCCCAAUGAGUUGGUCCGGUCUAACUGAUGGGUCGGGUUGGCCGAAUUUCAAAGGAAUAAGAAAGACGGAGCUUCCAUGCUCCUUUUAACCUCGAAACAUGACCAAAACAUGCAAACCAAUAUACCAAAUUGAAGCCCGUGAAGUAAGGAAGAGAUUCGUACCACUGGGAGUCAAGAGGUGGCCAGAGUUGGCCAGAAAAUGCCUGCAAACCUCUAAUCUUCGCUGGAAAACUGGAAAUGCUUCCCCCGAAGCAUUUUCUACGUUCAAACAUUCCACAUUUCUCAAAAACAACCCAAUAUAACCUAUAACAACAACUAAAGAGUUCUAGGGGUGCUUACCAUGGUCAAAGAUUCAAGAAACUCGUCAGAGGUCACAAGCACAGUGAUCGUGCUACUGUGCCGAGAAUGAAAGAGGAAUAGAUAGUUGUAGGGGUGGGUUGGAAAAACUGAAAACCGAAAAAAAUCGGACCGAAAACCGAACCGAGGUUGAAAAAAACGAACCGAAAAAAAAACCGAACCGAAUCUGUUGAACGAACAGAACCGAAUCUGGUUGGUUCGGUUUUGAUUUCUGGGGUUCGAAAAUUGAACCGAACCGAACCGAACCAAACAUCUUCAAAACGACGUCAUUUUAUAAUAUUUUAUUAAUUAAUAACCCUAAUUCUAAAAUGGUACCGUUUUAUUCCUAAACUAAAACUGCAACCCGAAAGUAACCAACCCUAGCCCUCCUCCUCUCUCGGUCUCUCUCUUGUUUUCCCACUCCCCUGCCCUCCCCAGUUCGCAGUCGCACUUCACACGUAACCUCGCAGCAACCUCCUUCAUCUGUCUCUCUCUCAUAGCAGUAGCCUCUCUUUGUCUCUCUCAUUCCCCCUUGCAGCAGCCUCACCUCAUCUGUCUCUCUCGCAGCAGCAUCCUCUCUCUCUGUCUCUCUCACAACAGCAUCCUCAUCUGUCUCACGGCAGCGGCGACUUCUUACUCUCAAAUCUCAAUCACAGCAAAAGGUUAGUUUCACAUUUAAUUUUCAGUUCUACUUAUACAGUUUUGGAGAUUUGAUUUGUAUUUUAGUGAAUAUAUUGAUUGAGUUGUAAUAACAGAUUGGGUAUUUUUAUGCUUCAUAAAGUAAUUGAAUUGAGUUCCCACGAUUGAUUAUGCUUCAGAUUGGGUAUUUUUAUGCUUCGGAAUGUCACAGGGGCACAUUACAUUGUCUUUGCUCUAUGUGGUUGCUUCUUGGAACCCCUGUAGGCUUUAGCUAAAGCUAUAGAUAUAUAACAGACAUAGGUCAGAAAUUAAGUGAGCAAACUGUACCGUGUGGAUGAGUAAGAGUUGAUAUGCAAACUGUACCGUGUGGAUGAGUAAGAGUUGAUAUGCAAACUGUACCGUGUGGAUGAGUAAGAGUUGAUAUAACAGACAUAGGUCAGAUUAAUUAGUUAGGAAGGAUAGAUUAUCCGUGUGUUUGCACACGAGUUUAAUUUAUCUCGCACAAAACGUUGUUGAAUGAGAAUUAUAUUGUAAAAUAUGUUAGACUUCUUGAGAAAUAUCAUUAAACUCUAACACUCAAAUGUUAUAUUUUAGCUCAAGCUAAAGAUAUAUAUAUAUAUAUAUAUAUAUAUAUAUAUAUAUAUAUAUAUAUACAGAGAGCUUAAGGGGAGGGAUCCCCAUUUUUUGAAAAAAAUGGGGAUUAGGUGUGGGGCCCACUUCACAUCAAAUUUCAACGAUCUAAACCGUUUAUUUUGUUAGUCUCAAUUCAUAGAUCAUCCUUACAAAAAUUCAAUUCAAUCCGAAACCAUUUGCCUAUUUAAUUAUCAAGAUCAAAUUUCAUUUUUUCUUAUAUAACAAAGUAUUCGUUCAUUUCCUUGAACCUAAUUAGAUGUCUUAAACAUUUCCAAUUUAGCUAAUAUUUUGCAAGGAUGAUCUAUGAAUCGAGAUUAACAAAAUAGACGGUUCGGAUCGUUGAAAUUCGAUGUGAAGUGGGCCCCACACCUAAUCCUCAUUUUUUUCAAAAAAUGGGGAUCCCUCCCCUUAAGCUCUCUCUAUAUAUAUAUAUAUAUAUAUAAUGGCUGCAAGUUGUGUAUGUGUGAUUCAGUUUUUAUUUUAUAAAUAUAUAUAUAUAUAUAUAUAUAUAUAUAUAUAUAUAUAUAUAUUGUGAAGGGAGUUUGAUUCUUGCCUUCCUUAUUUUGUCGUGAUUUUGUAUCAUUUUGGCCUGUCAUAUUUUAAUUAACAUUUACUUUUGUAUAAGUUUGUAGUACUAACUACUAUCCUCUUAUUAUUUUGUUUGAAUUAGAUGAAGUCAAAGGUGUCAAAGGUCUCAAGGGCCUCAAGCUCAAGUUCAAACUCAAUGAGAUCAAAAUCAACUAGCCCUCAUGAUCAAACGAACUCAUCUUCGAGUAUACCAUCGGAAGUAAAUACUAAGUAGUCAUAUCUUUCUAUUACCUUAGCCCUUAUGUUUAAUAAUUAAUUCAUUAAUUGUAAUGAUAAGAGUGAGUAACCAACCAUAGCAAAAACCUACCAUACCCAUCUUAUUUGAAUAAUUAAUUGUAUGAUUCUCUUAUUUUAGAUGGACAUUGUUGGUGAAUCAACUCCGCCUCAAAACACCGUGGUGGCACCUCGACAAACCCUUACUUCUCUUGGUGGAUCCGGAAAUCCCUCCGAUGCAACUCCAAAAGAAGGUGACGCAAGUGACCAAGUAAGUAAAGAAGAAGCUCUUUUGGAAUCAUUAAAAAGUCAUGAAAGGUCUUUAGAUUGGGAGCACUUUGAUAGAAAAAUUGAGGGUGGUAGAGUUAAGGGGUUGUGCAAGUAUUGUGCCCAAUCAUAUAUGGCCGAUCCGGAUAAAAAUGGUACAACUAAUUUAAGAAACCAUUUAGCAAGAUGUAGAAGCUACGGUCCUAAUAAGAAAAUAUUUGCCGCAAAUAGGCAAAAGAUCUUAACCUUUGCCGGCACGAAAGAUAAGUUGGAAGCUAUAAGUUUUUCUCAAGAGGAAGUAACUAAGGCUUGUGUUGAGAUGAUAAUUAUAGAUGAGUUGCCUUUUACUUUUGUUGAGGGAGAAGGUUUUCGCCGUUUUUGCAUGCAAGCAUGUCCUAUGUAGAGAGUGCCUAGUUGUAAGACAAUUGCUAAGGAUGUACUUAGCUUGUUUUAUUCCGAAAGGGAUAAAUUGAAGAGUCAAUUGAAGACAUUUAGGGUGUGUCUAACAACGGAUACAUGGACUUCUAUUCAACAAACCAAUUACAUGGUUCUCACCGCCAAUUUUAUUGAUGAUGAUUGGAUAUUACAUAAAAAGAUUUUGAACUUUUGUGUCAUUCUAAAUCAUAAAGAAGAGUCCAUUGCUCAACUUUUGGAGGAAUGUUUAGUGGAGUGGGGUAUAGAGAAGGUGUUAACUAUUACAGUUGACAAUGCUUCCGCAAAUGAUUCUGGUUUAAGGGACUUGGUGCACCGAAUAAGGGGGUGGGGGAUUCCUAAUGUACUCUCAAACAACAAGUGGAGACUCUUCAUCAAGCAUGACCGAAAUAGAAAGAAAGUUGAAAGAAAAAAGUGAAAUGAGAAAAGCAAAGAGAGCUUGGGUUGUGCAUAAUGAUGUCGACAAUUAUCUUUUCGAUCCUAAUGAAGGAGAAGAAGAGGAGAACUUUGAUAUAUUGAAUUGGUGGAGGGUGAUUGGGGUUUCUAAGUACCCUAUUUUGGCACGUGUUACAAGAGAUAUCUUAGCUAUUCCCGUAUCAACCAUUGCAUCGAAAUCUUCCUUUAGCACAAGUGGACGGAUAAUUGAUCCAUAUCGUAGUUCUUUAAGUCCAAAAUGGUGGAGGCUUUGAUAUGUACUCAAAAUUGGCUUAGGUCUAUUCAUGUUGCAUUACAUCAUGAGCCAACCAUUGAGGAUAUGGAGUUUUGUGAAGAAGUUGACAAAGGUAAUUUUAUUUAUUGCAUUUGAUUUUGUUAGAUUAUUUUAAAUAACAUUUUAAUUAGUAUCAUUUGUUUUAUUAUUUGUAUGUAGAAAUGGCAAGUGGAAGUUCAAAAAAAGUUGCUAUGUUGCCCCCUAGGCCGCUCAACCGUUAGUAAGCAAAUUGUCAUUCAAACUCGAAAUGGUUGAGUUUUGAUCUUGAGAACUUGAAGAAGUAUGUGCAAUGAUGGAACUUUAGAUGUUUAUUGAAUUUAUAAUCAUAGUUGUAAUGUUUAUUUAGGUGUGGAAGACUUCUUGAACUUUGAAAUGUUUAUUUUAGGUGUGGAAAACUUGAACUUUGAUGUGUAUUUUAAGUUUGGACUUUGAUUUGAACUUUGAUGUUUAUUUAACUUGGACUUUGGAAGGCUUGAUUAUAAUUGAACUUUGAAUGGAAUGUUUAUUUUCAUUAUCUUUGUUAGUUGUUUUCUUAGAAACUUUUGUUUUUUGCUGCUACAAAAAAAAAAAAAAAAACCGAACCGGGCCGAAACUGAACCGAAUGCAAACAGACAGAAAACCGAACCGAACAGUAAUUUCGGUUCGAUUUCCGAUUUUGGCAAAAAACCGAAUCGAACCGAACCGAACCCACCCCUAGAUGGUUGUCCAGCCCUAGGCGGUCGUCGUAGUCAAAAAGUGGUGAUGAGGGUGUGUUGUUGUUAAUGUUGUAGGUGUGUAAGUAUGUGUGUGGGCGUUGGACACCAGGGAGGAGAGAGCACCAAGAGUUGAGAGGGAGAGCUGAGAAAGAAAGAGAGAGAAACGGGAGAGGCGAAGGAGAAAGAGCAAUUUGGCCUGGGGGAUAAAAUUCAGGGGUGGGCCUCUUGGCACACCCAUUAAGACCCAAAAAUAAUUUUAAAAGAAAAAUAUCUAGCCCAAGGUGCAAUUUCACAACCCCUUCAUUCCGAUAAAAUCGAGACAGGUUGUUACAUUUUAGAAGUUUAAACAGCGUCUUUUCUUUUAGUAUGUGUUGGUAGGGGACUCCUGCGUCAAACAGUAGUUUUGGUGGGGACUCGCGACAAAUCUCACUUAGACUCACUCCAACCCUUGGAGUAAGUCUCAAAAUUUGGCUUCUAUUCCAAACCUACCCCUCCCCCCCCCCCCACCCAAAAAAAAAAGCCCUCCAACCUUUGGGCCUAAAAUGGGGGUUAUGGUUCAAAACUCCAAAAUCGAGCAAAUUCCGACCAAGAUUUGAAUUUGGGUUAGUGGGUUGACCCACUUGUGUGAGUGGAAGACCAGUAAUUAAACAAGCAGCGCCCAAAAGGACGCGCCACUCUCACACAACGUGAUAUGGGUAUGUCGGCCACUUGUCGGCUAGAAAAGUUGAGCCCAAUGGCUCUUUUUGUGAUCAACGGCUCACAUUUAAAUUGGAAGAUCUAAAAGUCUAAAUUUACACCCAACGACUCCUUUUGUGAUCAAUUGCCCCGUUAUAGUGCCUAUGCCAAUGGAUAAGGAUCAAACCACCGUAGUUCUUAGUAGCCUCCUAAUCCUUGGGCUAAGGUGAUACACCAGAGGCUAAACUAAGAGAGAAAAAGAUUAGUAGAAGAGUGGAGAGAUUUUUCUAUCCUUUCUAGAGCUAAGAGAAUUGUUUCUCUUGGUGUGCAUUCUCCUUUCCCCAAAGCUCUCUUUAUAUAGUGGCUAGGAAAGAAGAGAUAAUGGAAAUGGUCAAUGUGGGACAAAUACCACAUAUCGAUAACACACCCUAUAUUGGGUGUAUAAAUCCUAUAUCUCCCGCCCACCUAUAUAGGGUGUUGGUAUUAUCUCAAUUAGCCCAUCUAAUUCUCAUCCAUUAUACAGGAUAUGGGACGCGCGACUUUGCAAGAAUGAAUGUACAUAUCUAUGAGUGAUGUCAUUAAGCUAUCACCAAACUUAACAAGAGUUCAUCACUCGGAGUGGAGAGAUUUUUCUAUCCUUUCUAGAGCUAAGAGAAUUGUUUCUCUUGGUGUGCAUUCUCCUUUCCCCAAAGCUCUCUUUAUAUAGUGGCUAGGAAGGAAGAGAUAAUGGAAAUGGUCAAUGUGGGACAAAUACCACAUAUCGAUAACACACCCUAUAUUGGGUGUAUAAAUCCUAUAUCUCCCGCCCACCUAUAUAGGGUGUUGGUAUUAUCUCAAUUAGCCCAUCUAAUUCUCAUCCAUUAUACAGGAUAUAGGAUGCGCGACUUUGCAAGAAUGAAUGUACAUAUCUAUGAGUGAUGUCAUUAAGCUAUCACCAAACUUAACAAGAGUUCAUCACUCGGAAGUUCAUCACUUUAUACCCCAGAUAGUUUGUCAUACACCAAACUUGACAUUCUUUAUCACUCGUUAUGAUAUAAAAAGCAAUGUCAUGUACCACAAGUAUCAUGUAUCCAUGUCCUAUGUUUGACAAUAAACAUCAAACUGACGCUGGCCAGCUAAUGAAUCACAUAAUAUAGUAUAGUCUUCAUACAAUCUUCCCUAAGCUCUCAUAUCAGUCUAACUUAGUUUAACUGCUUGCCUAGACACGCCUCUUGGGAUUGUAGCUAACUUGACCAUCUUAGGCAAACAUGCUAAAGUAGCGAUCAUUAUACCUCAUCUUUUUUAUACAGGCUCUAGUCCCAAGGGUAUAAGGGCAUGAUCACAUAGAUCUAGUGGCUCACAUAAUGACUUGAAGCAGGGAUCAAUUCGUUAAAACCAAUGUCGGCCACAACUAGCACAUACAGUAUGAAAUGGCUUUGUCUGGUAAGUUGAGAUGGCUUCAGGAUACAUUCUUUCGAAGAAAAUGACAUGGUUAACUAGGGAACCACUACAAUAGGAUACAUGACUUCGGGAUAUAGCUUUGGUGUAUUCUCAAUUUAAUGAGCGUGUCAUAUGUCCAUUGGAAUACACCAUACGGAUUUUAGUCUAAGCACUACACAAAAUCCUAACUUGAGUAUCUAGCCUAGUCACCCUCUUGGCGCCUACCUAGUUACUCAUAUCCGGCUUGACAAGCUUCAACAUGGAUUUCAAACGGAAAAAUCUACAUGUUCAACCUUUGCUAGGUCUCAUCUUAGACACUUUAAGGCGACAUAUAAAUAUAUCUAGUGUAUGUUUUAUAAAUGAAAUCAUACAAAUGCCUGGUCUCGCACUCAAAUGCGUUUCAGACAUAUAUGUCUCAUCCUGCUCGCUACCUCAGCGUCAAGGAUGAUCUUUUUGUGUGAGUGAAACUGAUUCUAGCUUGGUGACACUCGGAAAAAAAAUGUGCAUCAUAACGUUCUCUGAAGAAGAAAAAAAAACGUUAAUUCUAAUGAGUCUCUUGUAGCUCUUAUACCUAGAAGUGUGACGUAUCACAACUAUCAUGAACAAAUUUGUGCAAUUACAAGUAAUCAUGAACAAAUUUGGGUUCCUUCCAACUUAAGGACUUCUUUUGCAUAAAUCAGAGCAGACUCAUAUACAAUCUCUCUUGUUAAUGCAAAACACCUCCAAAAUAAUUGCAUGGGAAGCACUUAUAUUCUCAAGUGGGUGGGUUCUUUUAAUUCCAUAUAACAAGAUGCAUAUUUUAGCAACAUUCAAUUCAACAUCAAAAGGGUAUUAAAAAGGUGACAAAACAGUGAAAGAAGGAAAGAAAAAAAAAACCCUCAGAAUGUUGAUUCUAUAUGAAAAGACAACUAACCCAGCAUCCAUCGACUUAAUCCAAAGAACUGGACCAAAGAAAACUCAUUUCCGUGACAGCGACAUUCUGUUGAAUCGAAGUUUUCUCUCCAAGAACAACUAGAAUUGGCCAACCGGGUUUCUAACUUUCUAUCUAAAGAACAUGAAAGGCAUACAAAAUGCAAAAAGAUUUAAUAAAGUUUGGAACUUUAUGCACAAAUUGUCACACAUAAGUAGAAAGUUCUGAAGAUUCUCGUGUAUUGUUAGGAGAAUAUAAUGGAGUAGGAUUUUCUUUCAUUCUAUUUUUAUUCCGUUCAUUUCCCUUCUCUCAUACAUUACUUUCUGUUUUAUUGUCUUUAUAAAUAAAGUUAAUAUAAAAUAUUGACAUGACUUAACUGUAACUGUUCCAGUAGAAAAAGAAGAAAAAAAAGAAAGAUUAGAAGAUGCGAGAAUCCUCUUCCGAAUAUAAUUCGCAUGCUUCUAAAUGUGGGUCGAAAAUCAUUACCAGGUAGAAAGCAAGAGACUUUGUUUUUUUUUAUGUUUUUUUUUUUUUGGUUAACAAGCAUGAGACUUUGUUGGACCUGAUGAGAUGUUGCUCCAUGACAUGAGGAUGACGAUCUCGGAAUUCUCAGUGGCAAACAAAAUCGUGUUUGUGGUGGAUGUCCCCCUUUUUUUCACCCUGUAAACUGUAAAGCAGUUUGGAAUUUGGAUGGUUUGGUAUUCCUGUAUUUUAUAAAAAAAUUACUUCUGUUUUGCUGUAAAAAUAAACAGCUGUGAAAUAAAACAUUAAAAUAUUUAGUAACUAUAAUUGUAAAAAUGCUUUUAUCAAAAAAAAAAAAAUAGUGCUAUGGUGUUCUGUAAAAUGACAAAAAAAAAUCACAAAACUUAAUGGCUUUUCUUCCUUUCUUUUUCUUUAUGCCAGAAAGUUCUGAUUUUUCUCCUUUUUCCUUUUUUCUUUCUUCUUUGUUUCUCUUUCUUUCUAGCUUUUUCAUUAUUCUUUCUUUCUAUUUCUUUCUGCCAUAAUGUUUCUGGCGUUUCUUCCAUUUUUCAUUAAUGACCUCUCGUGAAAUUUCAAAGUCCUCACCCACCUUUGUCCCCUUCCCAUUUCUCUUCCAGUUUCGUCCCUUAUACCGAUACGAGCAUCUCAUUUGAUGGGUGGUGAAUCGGGGUAGUAGGAAGAGAUGGAGGGGAUGGGAUGGUGAAUCUGGGUACCACGGCGGCAGAGAGCAAUUGCUAAGAGUGGAGAAAUAGGGGUGGAGUCCAGAACUGAGAUGAAGGAGAAAGAGAGGGUAAGGUUGCCAUUGAAAAAAAUAAUCAUUUAAUGGCACUGUUCACCCGUGUACUAUGAUAAAAAGUUGGUUUUCUAAAGCUGGGCUUUGCUGCUUUAGCUUUUUAGCUUCUUUUCAUCCAAAACUAUGAAGAAUAAAAAAAAGGGAUUUUGAAGGGUUACCAAACACAAAAAACUGGGUGCUUUUUUUUUAUACCUGCUUUUUUAUAAAGUUAAGCAGUACCAAACUGGUAUUAAUUGUUGCAGGACUUUUGUUUCCGUUUAGGAUAUUUUGCACCAAGUGAUAACAAUGGAUACAAAUGUAUGUAUGAUGUAAUUGAUUUGUCUUACCUUUUGUCUAUGUUUUUUUCUCAGCCAAUUUGUUUGGGAAUGUUUUCAGAAUGACUUAAAUCGAUUUUUGAUAAUUAGAAACGCUCUAUAAAAAAAGUACUUAUGUCACAUGCUUAUCCAACAUAAUUACAAAAACAAAAACAAAACAAAAAAAAAAAAACUUUUAGCAUAAACUCAUAUAAACACAAAUGAUUUUUUAAAAAGCAAUUGCAAACAGGCAGUGAGGCAUGCAACAAGAUGAAUAUAAAAAAUCAGUAGAAAUAUAUAUACUACAACUGGUGACGUCCAGUAACAUUUAUAUGGACUAUCCGGUCCGUGGGGUCCAUACUGGACACAGAGUUGAGUUGGCCUUUCACCAAAAUGAUUUAGGACAUAUGCUCAAUAUUCUUUUUUAAACAAGAGAACUUUGCACACCAAUUUAUCAUUCGUCAGACCAAUGUGGAUGUACCACUUCUAAAUAUCUUCGUCGGAAUUUCCAAAACUCAUCAAGUGUGCCACUCUAAAAUCUCCAGACGACUUGAGGUAAGAAUUUUGUUGACUACAAGUUGUAUUUGAGAAUCUUUAAGUGGCAAAAAUAUUUGAGUAUGUAUGUCGUGAACUUAAAUUUUAGUCAACUUAUUUCCUAUUUAAGUCAUCCGAGAAUCUUUUAAGUGGCAAAAAUAUCAUUGAGAAACAGCUCACAUUGCAUUACAGAUGAUACGUUUGACUAAACUUUACUAAACAUGAGUCGCAUUGGUUUGGAACGGUUUUCAUCUUGGGUGGUGCUUGCGUAAUAGUCCAAAUUUUGUGUCUACAAUUUUCCCUUUUAGUAAAAAUUUUGAAUUCGUCACUUCAUACUAUGGUCUAUUGGUAUUCAUCUUUACUUAAAUGAGAAAUCUUAAGUACUAAAUUUUAAUAAUGAAUUGACAGACCACAAUGUACACCAGGGUAUAAUUUAUAGACGAGCUAUAAUUAUUCCAAAAGAAAAAAGUAAAGCUUUAUAGCUCUUUUCAACAAACAAUCGUCGUUUAUGAAAUUUGAACUCGUGACGUCUUCCCACAAACACUUGUACAACAACUAUCUGUCAAUAACAGAAGUGUUUGUUUGAGUUAAACUUACAUCAAGUGAUUUAAUUUUAUACUAAUUACAGUACUAAAUUAAGUUCCUAAUGAUUUGGCGUUUUGGUUUAGAAAAAGGGUAGUGCUAUCCACAUACCUAUUUUUACCUCUCACACACACUCUUAAUUUGCAGUCAUCUGAUAAAUAAAUUGAAGAAGAUUAACGCCAAAAAUUAACAAAAAUAUGUAGAAACUAAAAAUGAGUGUGAAUAGCAAUAUCCUAAAGAAAAGGGACUCAUCAUUUGUUUAAACACAUUCAUCCAAACCAUCAAUGGAACUACUAUCUUGAUCCUGCACUACUUUAUUUGAAGCCUUCUCAGUCCUCCUCCUCUUGGUUCUUCUUUUCACUUCCUCUUCCCUUUUAUUUACAAACGAAACGAAGGAUCGAAGGCGUCUUGCUUGUGAGCUGUCGCAGUCGGAAUCAUGAAACCUGUAGUACUGGCGCACCAUGCGAAGAACAUGAAGAACAAGAGCGAGAAAGCAAGCUAUGCCGCUCAGCAAAAAGAGGCCCCAAAAGCUCCUCAUUGGAAGGCGGUCUACGGCUUGCUUUGCUCCUUCUGCGCUGCAGGCACUCUUCAUCAGCCAUUUGUCAUGAAUCUUUUGAAGAUCUCCCCUCUCCGAUAGUUUCAACACCGCGGUUGACAUGUCAAUUGCAAGAGGCGAGUCCCUUGGAAAGGCCUAAAAUGAAAGACUUACUAUUAUUAGACGAGUGUUAGACAGUCUGCUAUGUUAUGUUGUCAAACUGCAAUUUGUUGACAUAAUAUUUAAUUAAGAUUAAUAUAUGACAACGUAACAUAUCAAACUAGAGAUAUGUUACGACAAGUUUCUAUUAAAACAAAUGUCUUGCUCUUUUGUGAAUGAUAUGAAGGGAUAUGAGAUACUUACAAAACCCCAGCCCAUUUUGGUGAAUUCUUGACCUACGAUACUAUAUCCACAUCGAACGGAGAGGAAGAGCUCCAUGUAUGCACGCUCAUCAAUCACUGCAGCAAUACCGCCUGCAUUAGGACCAUCUUUCAAGGCCUUCUCAUAUUCUUCUGGGGAGUUAAGAGGCACAAGUCUUGACUUGUGUAUGUUUAGCUCAUCAGUUAAGUAGUUUUCAGCGAAUGAAUUCUUUAGGAAACCAAUGCGAUCAUUGCUGUUUGCCAGACUUUCAAUCCCUUUAACAGGUGAAGAAAGCUGCUCGACAGUAAGGAUUGAUGUCAGGCUAGCAAUGUAGCUUGAGUUGAGUAUUAGAACCACAAAUAGCCAUAUGAUAAGCACAAAUCUACCAAGCGUGCUGCCGGUUUUUUCUUCUGCAUAAUGUCACCAAGGAAUGAAAUCAGCCAGUUUAUAAGUAACAAUUCUUUUAUUCAAACGUAGAUGCAGAGCGGGGAGCACGUGGCUCUAUCCACCUUGACUACGUCUAUGUUGAUAUAUAAGUAAAUUUAACAAAAUUAACGUUCUUUGUGCAUUUCACUUACUUUGAGAGAAGAACAGAGUUGAAAAGCUAAACCUGCAAAGCCCAAAAAAACAGAACAGCAAUUAUUUUAGCACAGUUAACAGAGCUCAAUUUUGCAUUAGAGGAUUAAAGCGCUUACCAAAUAAUUGUGACGAAUUGUUUCCGCGGAUGGCCUCGAAAAUCCUCGUUAGUCCGACGCUCCAAAAUCCAAACAACUGCUCCCACAACUAGGAAGAAAAUGCCUGUGAUACCCCACAUCAUUGGAGUAAAAGGCCUCAAAAAUGCCCAAGCACUAGAGUUCGUCUUCCUAAUUGGAGCAACCACAACUAGACCAGACUCAAUGUACGGCUGUGUGAAAUCCACCAUCUUUGUUCUGCUAGUGGUGAUUGUAAUAUCUCCCACCACACCAUCAAACUCCUGCGUAAAGAUUGAAACCCAAAAAAUUAAUAACCAUACUGAUGUCAAGCAAAUUAAGUCAAAUAAUUUUGUUUUGUGACAUAAAUUUUAUACUUACACCAAUUUGGAUCCUAUGCAGAAGUUCACUGUUUUCAGGGUUAUUUUUACCAUCCCCGAAAGGUACAAACUGGAAUGGGACACCAUAUGGUAACUCGUUUAAGGCAGCUUGAAAGACCUCAAUGCAAUAGCCAGUGAACUCAUCAGUGCCUUUUACGCCUACAAACUCGUGGUAGCUAACUCGAUUGGGGACUCCAAUCCUGAGCUUUCUUCCGUUGUCAGGGAAAACCCACCCACGAGGCUUCUGAGUUGUUUGUCCCGGCCAGAUGAUGCUGUAUAAUCGUUGAGUAUCGGUGCUGGAACCCUUAGAGUGCAGCUUCCUUUGAGACUUAUCUGGUGGAUCAAGUGACAGGCCAGAAGAGUUGGACCAAUAACCAAUAGUCCUAGUCCCUGUGCCAAUCACAUUGAUCACUUCAAAUGCAGGAUUAAUCAAGUUUCCAUCUGGAUUAAACUUAAUUUGCCCGGUUAAUCCAGUUAUAUUAACCUCUAAAAUGCUUUGGAGCAGCUGGCUGCCACCAUUAAACUUUUUUAAAGCAUCAAGGUUCAACUUCCCUCCUCGUAAUUUGUGCAAAUUUGAGUCAUUUGCAAAAGAAAUAUUUCCUCCAUUAGCGAAAAAUGAGUCAAGGGCAUGAGCAAGAAGCCAUACAGAAUCAUAGGCAUAUAGACCAUACGUAUUUAACCCAAAAGAAGAGCCAUUCACCCUCCUCGUGCCAGUUAAGUUGCUCCACCGCAAUUUAAACUUCUUUUUGAGUUCUGAUUCUGGUGUAUACAUCUUCAAUGUGAGAACCCCUUGCAUGUCAUCUGUUUUUGCAGAAGGCAAGGAAGGAUCUGAAUCUAUUAUAGUAGAAAACCAAUCAGUAGCAAUCCACACGUAUGGACUCGACAUCAUCAUUUGGCUUUGCGCUUCGGUGAGCACUUGUAAACCCCAACUAGUAUAAAUGUGCAGGAUCACAAUCCUAGACUCCAUUAAAGACACACUAAUCAGUGCCUUCCUGAUUUCAUCUUUGGUUGUCUUGGGGCUCAGAGGUACCUUGUACGAAAUUUUACAGCGCUUUACGGAUAGCUUGUCCCCCAAGGCAGCAAUGGCAUUCCGCCCGAAGUCAUCAUUUACAUAUAUUGCUAUGACAUCUCUCCACUCAUAGUAGCCAACAAGGUCUGCUACUGCAGCCAUCUGAAAGAGGUCACUCCUCGUUGUUCGAACAAAGAACGGGAACUGAUUUGGAGACAGAGUUGGGUCUGUUGCGGCAAAUGAUAGUAAAGGGACUUUUAGCUCAUCGGCGAUGUGUGAGAUUACGUGAGCUGUUGCUGAGUAUUGGGGACCAAUUAUGGCCACCGUGUCGUUCUCCGUGAACUGCAAAGCUGUGAAGGAGCACAAAAAAUUAAUAAAAUCUUCAAGGUUGUUUGAUAACCAUUUCGUUUUCAGGUUUUAGUGUUCAUUUAAAAAAUAAAAAAUAAUAAAAAAUAAAACUGAAAACUGAGCAAUUCAAUUCCAUGACCUGCGUAAAAGGGAAAAACAAGGGAACUUUAAAAAGAAAACUAACAAUAAGAGCCUCAAAAUUUUGAAUUUUAACAAAAAAAAUCAUCUAAUAAUUUUAUUUCAUGAUAAGAAAAGCGCGUGUAAGAAAAGCAGGAAAGUGUUGUUUGGAUACAACACGUCGUCAAACUUAAUCUCCUACUUGUUCUCAUCGUCAAACCUGAUCUCCACUUCGUUUUCAGGUUUUAGUGUUCUUUUUUUUCUUUUUCUUUUUUUUUUUUUGAACUGAAGUGAGCAGUUUGAUUGCAUGACUUGUGUAAAGGGAUAAAAACAUGGGAAAGUUAAAAAAGCAUGUACCUUCAAUGAUGCCUAGAAAGUCACUGGAUUUGGUGUUUUGCAUUUUAAGUGUCAGCUUUGUUCCAUUGAGAAUUUCUGGAUUGGAAUUGACAUCUUCAACUGCAAGGGUUAUUGCGAGUUUUGCGAUUUUUCCAAUGACAGAAUCGAAAGUGAAAAUCGCGCCAAUGUUCACAACAUCAGGUCUUGCAGUGACAUUAGUAGUAGUACUGAGUCCACUAGAAGAAGAACCUUUGUAGAAAACCAUAAAUAACACAAGCAAGGCUAGAUUCAUGUUGAUAUUCAAACUACGAAAGGACAUGUUUAAGCUCCAAAAGAGGGAACAACGAGUUAGGCCAGUUGAUUAGGGCAAUGUGCUCGCUCUCUCCUUGUACACAAGUUCAAAUCCCCCUCUCUGCAUAUUAGAGUAGUUUAUACGAUCAUGUAUAGAAAGCCAAAUUACAGUAAAUCAAACAUGAAUAAGAUCAAUCUGAAGGGCAACGAAUGAUGAUUAAAGCUUACAUUAUUUAUCGUCACUCAAGCCAAACGCGUACAUAUGAGCUCCACGAGAAGGACAAUUAUGAAAUUAGUUUCGUAUUUUUAAGUCCAGAAAUGGCCUGUGUGUUGUGCAGAAUGACCAAGGGAUUAUAUAAGCACUAAAACAGCACGGGAAAACAAGAGCUACCCAAUAAGCUUGAAGUCUGCGGGGACAUAGCUGGUGUGAAAAUUUGAGUGUAAACUGUACACGGUGUUGAAAAUAAAGUAUCAGAACCAAAUAAACAAAAUUAUGACAUGAUCAAACAAAAAAUUAUCUUGUUUUGGGAAUGUGUACUUUGCUAUGUACGUAGCUGAUACCGAACACAAUAUUGAAAAAUUAUAGUUCGAAUUUGAGUAUGAAAAUUGUAACGCUCAAUCUACAAUGCUUAUUUCGACGACAACAAUAAAAAACUUUGAUAUGUACACCUUGGCAUUCUUAAACAACAAACAGCAACCUAACUCAACAAAUGGGUGCAUUUUUCUGGAAAUGGUUCCUCUCCGGGUCCUUACGUAGCGAUCUUAGAGAUCCCCACAUCUCAGCCGUUCAUCGUAUAUCGUGCGAUCAGUUUUCGUCAGGUACUACUUGUGUUUAAUUUUGAAUAAUAAAAGUUAAAUGAUUUCUGACCGAACGAUACACGAUGAACGGUUGAGAUGUGAGGAUCCCAUAAUGGAUCCGGAGAGGAUCCAUUUCCCAUUUUCUCACCACCUUGAAGUGAUGGUAAUACUUACCACUCUAGGUAUUAUGAUUGAAUGAGUUUAAAUCUUGAGAUUUGUGUCUAUCUAUUAUACAGAUUUCGAAAUUUAAACUCAUCCAAUGAUAAUACAUAGGGUGAGGAGAGCAUCAUCAUCAUCACUUGAGGAUGAUGCGAAAUAUAGCAAAAGACAAAAGUUUAUGAAAGUUUUUUUUUUACAAAAAUGUAAGGAGACACUCAAAGUGGGACUCUCCAUGAAAUUUUUGUCACGUCACAAUUAAACGUUAAUUCUCAUAUCAACUCUAUAAAAAAUUGUGCAAAAAAAUGAGGUGUCAGAAAGUUCAUAAGAGUCUCAAUUUGAGAGAGUCUACUUGACAUUUCUUUAUUUUUUUAAUCAAAAAAUCCUGUCACCAAUGAUAAUGCUAAGGAGACUAAAUUUGUAGACAAAAUUUUGGAAACCAAAUGACGUGGAAGUUGAUGAUCGGUUUAUUGCUUAACCGUUGAUAAAUAUACUCAUCUUUAUUGGUGACACAUCAUUUAGUUUAUAAUUUUUUUUCUACAAAUUUAGGAGGGUUUAUUCAAUUAGAAUUUCGUAGUAUAUUUUAAGCAUCCACAAAUCUCACAUCUUCUCAUGAGAUUUCAAGGGAAUUGAAUCAAAAUUUUAUAUGGAAUCUCUGCAAAUCAAUUAAACUCUAUAAAAAUCUAUGGAUUUAUAAAUCCAUUAAAGUCUCUCAGAUUCUCAAUUAAAUACACCCCCUUAGUCUCUUUAACAUUAAAGUAAUGUUAUUCAUAUCAUGUUUUUGUACUACAUUUUCAUAUCACCUUAGGUGACAUUUGAUGUGUACAGCCACAUCAUUUGAAUUAAUCAGAUUUUUAAAUUUAGUUUAUUAUUUAAUAAACUAAUAAUUGAGAAAAACUAGGAGUCUUUCUCCUUCCUUUUCUUGGAUUUUGUAAAUUUUUUAAAUGAUGUGGCUGUCCACAUCAGAUAUCACCUAAAGUGAUAUAAAAAUGUGGUAUAAAAAUAUAAUAUGAAUAGCAUUACACUUAACAUUAUCCAUAUUAAUAGCACCCAUGGGAAUGGGCAACUAGGAUACCAUUAUCCAAUUGACUUGACUAGAUUAAUGGCCCCUCUCACCACUAUUUUAAGAAAGUCUGUUUUGUUUUUUAUUCUCAUAAAUGAUUUCGCUAAUAAGUUAGAUGGUUAAAUAGUAAGAAGAAGAAAAUUGCUGAAGAUCGAACUUGAAAUAGGAUAUAUAGAUAUUAUUACUUUUCGUUACUGUGGUAAAAUAUCAUCUGUAAAAAUGAUAGACCCACAUUAUCACAACUCGUAAUUGAUGCUCUCUUUUUUUCUUUUUUUAAGAAGAGUAAUGAUAGACCCACCCCAUUAUCUUAUUUCUACACCCACAUUAUAAUUUCACCCACCAUAAAAAAUUAAAAAAAUUAAAAUAUUAUUUCUCCACCCACCAUUAUUCUUAAAAUAACCUCUAAUGUCUAAUAUUUCAAACAAUAAUAUUAAUAUGUUUUUUUUUUGAAAAAAAAACUUCAUGCUUCCUUAAUUGCCACUACCAUAGCCACCCCAGAACCUCCUCCCACCCCCAUCAAAAACCAAAACCUUUGACACCUGCUUAGCGGCAUCUCCUUUGGAAAGAGAGAGAAACCAAAGGGAAAGGAAGAGAGAAGCAUUUGGGGAGUUUUCCAAUACAGAGGCAGAUUGCUCCAAAUCUAUUUAUUCCAACUGGAAUUGGGUAUUCUUUGAUUUUAAAAUCUGGGUUGUCGUCGUUGUUCAUUUAUGAGUAAAAGGAGGAGAGGAUGGAGGUGGUAGUACCAGAAUUGAAAGGGAGAGUGGGGUGGUGUUUGUUGCUGGGGAGGGUAAUGGAUGAUUGGGGAUUUGAUAGUCGUUGAUCCAUCAUGGAUGAUUUGGGAGAAUGAUGGAUUUAUUUUUACUUUUGUUAGUUUUAGUUUUUCUUUAUUCUCUUUUAGUUUAUUUAAUUAAAGUUAUAGCAAAUUUAUAAAUGUGGAUUUAAAAGUCUUUUGCUAAAAGGAUAAUUAUGUGAUUAACAUUUUGAUUAAAAGGUGGGUGGGAAAAUAAGACAAUGUGGUGGUUGUAGUAGCACUCUUUAAGAAGGGUAAAGUUAUUAUUACCAGCACACUAUAAUUACAAAAAAAAAAGGCUUAUUAUAUUAGCACCCCACAAAUUGUUGAAUAAACAUCACAUACUUAAUACAUUCCACAUUGACUUUUUCAAUUAAAAAUUAUCUUAAUACACCCCAUUUCCUUCCCCAUAAUACCCAGACACCCCACAUUCUUAAUAUACACUUUACAUUUUUUACCCACACCCCACAUUUCUCAAAUUUUAUAACACUCAUUUUUAAUUUUGUCAAAUGAUUUCAAACCAUCUGAACGUUAGUUUGCCGAAUGAUUUCAAAUUGAAUGAUUUGAAAAAAUGUUUAGGUUCAUUUGAAUGUUUUUCAAUAACAAUACUAAUGAUCAAAACUUUCGAGACAUCGAUUUCGUAUUCCAUUCGUCAAAAUAAUUUUUCUCAAUCAACAUAUUUGUAGUUUCAUUACUUAGGGUUUUAUUCAAUAAUGGAGGGUGAGAUGGGUUUUGAUAGUUGAAAUAGAUAAAUAAUACAUUAAAAAUGAUUUGGGGUGUAUUUAUAAAUUUUUUAUUAUUUUUUAAACCUAAUAAGGUCAAAAUUAUUAUUACAUAAUAGAGUAAAUAAGUCAUUAAUAUUAAAUUUUAAUGUGAGAUAUAUUCAAUAUUUUGUAAAAUACUAAUAUAAAAAGUCAAAAAAGAGAUCUAAUUACAAGAAAAGCACAAAAUAAGAUUGUCAUUUUUUCUCCAUAACAGUUCUCACUGAUCACCGAAAUGUUUUUUUUGUCCUAUAAUCGAGAAAGUGGAGAAGGAGCUACAAGGCACUAGGCUAGGUCGGAGGAUAUGAGGAGACUUUGGAGGAGAUGACAUUGAUUAAUGAUAAUGGAUUGCAUAAAAUAAUCAAGGACAACCAAGCCAUUGGGAGGAAAAUGCAUAGUAACAUUCAUGACAUAAGUACUCAAUUAAUGUAACGUUUUGUCAAUCAUACAAUAAUAUGUGUAAAUUCUUUUACGCAUACAAUUACAAUAUACUUGUCAUAUAAAAGUCAGCCUCGGUGAAAAUGAGUUUCUAUCUUUUCAAUAAACCCAUGCCUUUUCGCGCACACUUAUUUAACAACAUAACAGGCUUUUUAUGUAAAGGGAUCCUCAUUUUUGUCAAAAAAUGAAGAUUAGGUGUAGGACCAACUUCACAUCGAACUUCAACAAUUCGAACCAUCUAUUUUGUAAGUUUCAAUUCGUAAAUCAUUUUUGCAAAAAUUCAAUUCAAUCUGAAAUCAUUUGCCUAUUUAAUUAUCAAGAUAAAAUUUCAUUGUUUCUUAUAUAACAAAGUAUUUGUUAGUUUUUUUUAACCCAAUUAGAUGUUUUAAAUAUUUCUGAUUUGACUAAUAUUUUGUAAAGAUGAUCUAUGAGGUGCUUUGAAAAUAAACAGUUCGGAUCGUUAAAAUUCGAUGUGGUGUGGACCCCACAACUAAUCCCCAUGUUUUUGAAGAAAAAAAAAUUCAUUCCCCUAAAGGCUUCCUAUAUAAUAUAAGGAAAACUAAUGAAAAAGACUUGAAAACUUUCAGUUUUAACGAUAAGAACAAAAUAAAGGGUAAAAUAAAUAGUACUAGGUUUGACUUUUUAGUAUCAAAAUGUGAACUUUCGUUAAAGUAAACAGUACAGUGAACUUUUCGUUAAAACCUGUAAUAUAUUCUAAGGGUGACCAAGGUAAACUCCGAGGUCUGAGGUCUCAACUAAUCAUGAGUUCAUUACUAACGCGUGGUACUUUUGGACUUCUUGUUGUGUCACACGUCUAAACAUUUGCACCGCGUUCAGCCUUUUGGACUCUUCACAUGAGUUUCAAACUUACUGUAGAAAAAAGUUACUUGCACUUAAGAUUUCACGAACGACCGUGUUACAAUUAUAAAUUUAAUAAUUUUUAUAAAGGAUUAAGUACUAAAAACUCUACAAACUUUUAAUGUCAUUUCAAAUUGGUUUCAAUUAUUUUGAACGUUCCAAAUAAGUACGUAACUUGUUGAAAAUGUUACUUAUGUUCAGUCCUAGUUAAUUUUUUCAUUAAACGGCAACAAUGAGUCCCAUUUUUUAGCUUAUUUGGUCACUAAAAUAAGAAUAAAAAUAAUUUAAAAAGAGACAUGAAGAUGAAAAAAUAACAAGUAAAUUCACAAAUAAAAUAAAAUGAAGAUCGGGAAACAUUAAGCCCCGCCACCUCCAAGCUUAACUUCGUCCAUCGAACAUCCCUCCCAACCUUUAUAUUCAAAACCCACCAACUAGUUCAGCUUCUAGUUCUUCUUUGUGGUUGAUGAAGAUGGUGGUGGCUGCAUGACCUUCUUCUUGAUGUUCUUAAGUUGUAGGGUAGAGUUGGUGAUUGGACGUUGGGUUUGAAUGUGAUGACCUGAUGGGCGUGGUGGUUACUAUUACUUAGUGGAGGUCAUGCUUCCAUGACCUUCUAUUGAAUUUAGAGACAAAGAAAGCCCUAAUUAAUUUAACAAAAAUUUAACUGGGACUUAAUUGAUGUAACAUUUAUAAUAGAUUGAGUACUAGUUUGAAAUGUUUAAAAUGGUUGAGAGCAAUUUGAAAUGACACAAAAAAGUUCGAGAAUUUUCGAUACUUAAUACUUUUUUAGUUUUUUUUUUUUUUUUUUUUUUUGCAAACGAUAUUAUCUCCACUAAAAGAGAAUGGGGUAUACUAAGCCUCACAAUGAGUUAGCAACAAUGUGGUUCAAAUUCGCCUUUGGUGAAAAUUGAACCUAAAACCUCUCAUUUACAAGUGAAAAGGAAUAUCACUAGACCAUAGUACUAAGUGACUACAUUUUCACUUAUACUAAAAAGAUAAUCAGCAAUGUAAUUUUAAGUUUUAUUAAUGUAGUAGUUGUGAAGGGUCGAGAGCGUGACAUGUGAAUAAUGUGGCCUAGGUAGUCAACCCAUGCUGACCACCAAAGGUCAAUACUGACCGCCAUGGCCUGUGAUGAUAAGGGGCAUAAUGCAUUUGUGACGUCAAUACCUGUAGUGGAUACUAAAAUCCAUCAUCUUUACUUGGCUUGUGUGACGUCAAUACCUGUAGCGGAUACUAAAAUCCAUCAUCUUUAUUUGGCUUAUGCUGUUUAUUGAUGUCACCUACCACAACACUAAUCAUCAUGUGGUGUUACUAGUCUAAGUUUAUAUAAAGAAUAAACGACGUUGUCGAUAUUUCAUAAACAUACUGUAGAAUUUUUCAUAUAAAUAAAAUUAAAGAAAUUUUAACGAAAAAUUCCCAGUACGAAUAAAUCAUAUUUUUAUAUUAAAAAGUCAAUUCUGAUACUAUUCAUUUUACCCUUUAUUUUGUCUUUAUCGUUAAAACUCUAAGUUUUCAAGCUAUUUUCAUUAAUUUUCCUUAAAAUUAAAAAAGAUGAUGUUUUAAGAGAUUUUGAUGGUAAAUAGUUUCUAAAAUUUUGCGCCAAUUUAGGCAUAGGUGUUCUCAUGGUUUUCAAAUUGGGGGGCACUUGCGUAAUAGUCCCAAGUUUUGUUUCUACAAUUUUCCCUUUUAAUAAAAAAUGAAAUUCGUCACUUAGUACUAGUCUAGUAUUAUUUUUAUUCACUUAAAUAAGAAGUCUUAAGUAUUAAAUUUUAAUAAUGAAUUGAUGGACCAAAGUGCACACCAAGGUAAUUACUCCCUUAAGAAAGGUAAAUUUGUUAUAGCUCUUUUCAAUAAGUUGGCAUCCUCCUCCUCAAGGCUAUGUGAAGUUAAACUUCGAUGGGUCAAUUAGUUUGGAGAGAACGGCAACCACUUUUGUUCUUAGAAAUGAGGAGGGGCAACCAGUUGGAGCUGGUGCGUUGAACCUCGAUGGUGCCUCCAUAUCAACUACGGAGGCUGUUGCUUUAAGGAAGGGCUUAUUUUCGCCAAGCGCAAAGGUGUGAAGAAACUGUUGUGGAAGGGGAUUCCAAGCUGGUCAUCCAAGUGGUGCAAGGUGUUUGGAUGCUCCCUUGGCAUCUUAAACCUAUUGUCGUGGAUAUCAAUGCCUAGCUUCUAAAUUCACUAUAUCAGUUGGAAGCAACAUCUUCAGGGAAGCAAAUUUCAUGGUAGAGGAGCUAGCUCAUAUGGGUGUCCAUGUUGCUAACCCACAUUUCUGGGAUUAUUGUCUUCCUUUAUUGGCCAUGGAGACCUUUAAAUUUGAUUGUCUGAGAAGUAGUUGUAUUAGAGAUUUGUUAAGUUUUAAUAAUUUUUUUCUUGAUAAAAAAUAGAUUUUUUAAAUAAACAAUCGUCGAUUAUGAGAUUUGAACUCAUAACAUCUUCCCACACACUUAUAUAAUAACUAUCUAUUUGUCUAUGACAAAAGUGUUUGUUUGAAUUAAACUUACAUCAAGUGAUUUAAUUUUAUACUAAUUACAGUACUAAAUUAAGUUUCUGAUGUUUAGGCUUUUUGGCUUAGCAAAAGAGGGACUCUUCAUUUGUUUAAACACUUUGACUCAAACCAUCAAUGGAACUACUAUCUUGAUCAUGCACUAUUUUAUUUGAAGCCUUCUCAGUCCUCCUGUUGGUUCUGCUUUUCACUUCCUCUUCCCUUUUAUUUACAAACGAGAUGAAGGAUCGAAGGCUUUUCGCUUGUGAGCUCUCGCAGUCGGAAUCAUAAUGCCUGUAGUACUGGUGCACCAUGCGAAGAACAUGAAGAACAAGAGCCAGAAAGCAAGCUAUGCCGCUCAGCAGAAAGAGGCCCCAAAAGCUACUCAACGAAAGACGGUCUACGGCUUGCUUUGCUCCUUCUGCACUGCAAGCACUUUUCUUCAGCCAUUUGUCAUGAAUCUUUUGAAGAUCUCCCUUCUCCGAUAGUUUCAACACCGCAGUUGACAUGUCAAUUGCAAGAGGCGAGUCCCUUGGAAAGGCCUAAAACGAAUGACACUAUUAUUAUACGAAUAUUCGAGUUUUAGCCAGUGUGAUACGUUAUGUUGUCAUGCUAUCGAAUAUUAAUAUAUAGGACAACAUAACAUAUCAAACUAGAGAUAUGCAACGAAAAGUUUAUAUUAAAAUAAACGUCAUGUACUUUUGUGAAUGAUACGAAGGGACAUGAUACUUACGAAACCCCAUCCCAUUUUGGUGAAUUCUUGACCUACUAUACUAUAUCCACAUCGAACGGAGAGGAAGAGCUCCAUGUAUGCACGCUCAUCAAUCACAGCAGCAACACCGCCUGCACUAGGACCAUCUUUCAAGGCCUUCUCAUAUUCUUCUGGGGAGUUAAGAGGCACAAGUCUUGACUUGUGUAUGUUCAGCUCAUCGGUUAAGUAGUUUUCAGCGAACGAACCCCUUGGGAAACCAAUGGGAUCAUUGCCGUUUACCAGACUUUCAAUCCCUUUAACAGGUGAAGAAAGCUGCUCGACAGUGAGGAUUGAUGUCAGUCUAGCAAUGUAGCUUGAGUUGAUUAUUAGAACCACAAAUAGCCAUAUGAUAAGCACAAAUCGACCAAGCGUGCUGCCGGUUUUUUCAUCUGCAUAAUGUUACCAAGGAAAAAGAUCAGACAGUUUGUAAGUAAGAAUUCUUUUAUUCAAACUUAGACGCAGAGUGGGGAGAACGCGGCUCUAUCCACCUUGACUACGCCUAUGUUGAUAUAUAAGUAAAAUUAACAAAAGGUAAUGUUCUUUGUGCAUUUCACGUACUCUGGGAGAAGAACAGAGUUGAAAAGCUAAACCUGCAAAGCCACCCCCCCCAAAAAAACAAACAAGAAUUAUAUUAGCACAGUUAACAGAGUUCAAUUUUGCAUUAGGAGAUGUGGAUUAAAGAACUUACCAAAUAAUUGUGACAAAUUGUCUUCUCGGACGGCCUCGAAAAUCCUCGUUGGUCCGACGCUCCAAAAUCCAAACAACUGCUCCCACAACUAGGAAGAAAAUGCCUGUGACACCCCACAUCAUUGGACUAAAAGGCCUCAAAAAUGCCCAAGCACUAGAGUUCGUCUUCCUAAUUGGAGCAACCACUAGACCAGACUCAAUGUAUGGCUGUGUGAAAUCCACCAUCUUUGUUCUGCUAGUGGUGAUUGUAAUAUCUCCCACCACACCAUCCAACUCCUGCAUAAAGAUUGAAACCCGAAAAAUUAAUAAUCAUACUGAUGUCAGGUAAAUGAAGUCAAAUAAUUUUGAUUUGUGACAUGAAGUUUAUACUUACACCAAUUUGGACCCUGUGCAGAAGUUCCUUACUUUCAGCGUUUGUUAUACCAUCCCCGAAAGCUACAAACUUGUAUGGGACACCAUAUGGUAACUCAUUUAAGGCGGCUUGAAAGACCUCAAUGCAAUAGCCAGUGAACUCAGUGCCUUUUACGCCUACAAAUUCGCGGAAGGUACCUCGAUCGGGGACUCCAAUCCUGAGCUUUCUUCCGUUGUCGGGGAAAACCCACCCGCGAGGCUUCUGAGUUGUUUGUCCGGGCCAGAUGACGCUGUAUAAUCAUUGAGUAUCGGUGCUGGAACCAUUAGAGUGCAGCUUCCUUUGAGACUUAUCAGGUGGAUCAAGCGACAGGCCAGAAGAAUUGGACCAAUAACCAAUAGUCCUAGUCCCUGUGCCGAUCACAUUGAUCACUUCAAAUGCAGGAUUAAUCAAAUUUCCGUCUGGAGUAAACUUAAUUUGCCCGGUUAAUCCAGUUGUAUUAACCUCUAAAAUGCUUUGGAGCAGCUGGCUGCCACCAUUAAACAUGCUCAAAGCAUCAAGGUUCAACUUCCCUCCUCGUAAUUCGUGCAAAUUUGAGUCAUUUGCAAAGGAAAUAUUUCCCCCACGAGAGAAAUGAGUCAAGGGCAUGCGCAAGAAGCCAUACAGAAUCAUAGGCAUAUAUACCAUACGCAUUUAACCCAAAAGAAGAGCCAUUCACCCUCCUUGCAACAGUCAAGUUGCUCCACCGCGAUUUAAACUUCUUUUUGAGUUCUGACUCUGGUGUGUACAUUUUGAAUGUGAGAACCCCUUGAAUGUCAUUUGUUGCUGCAAAAGGCAAGGAAGGUUCUGAAUCUAUUAUAGUGGAAAACCAAUCAGUGGCAAUCCACACGUAUGGACUCGACAUCAUCAUUUGGCUUUGCGCUUCGGUGAGCACUUGUAAACCCCAACUGGUAUAAAGGUGCAGGAUCACAAUCCUAGACUCCAUUGAAGACACACUAAUCAGUGCCUUUCUGAUUUCGUCUUUGGUUGCCUUGGGGCUCAGAGGUACCUUGUAUGAAAUUUUACAGCGGUUUUCGGAUAGCUUGUCCCUCAAGGCAGCAAUGGCAUUCCGCCCGAAAUCAUCAUUUACAUAUAUUGCUAUGACAUCUCUCCACUCAUAGUAGCCAACAAGGUCUGCCACUGCAGCCAUCUGAAAGAGGUCACUCCUUGUUGUUCGAACAAAGAAUGGGAACUGAUUUGGAGACAGAUUUGGGUCAGUUGCUGCAAAUGAUAGUAAAGGGACUUUUAACUCAUCCUCUAUGUCUGAGAUUACGUGAGCUGUUGCUGAGAAUUGGGGGCCAAUUAUGGCUACCGUGUCAUUCUCCAUGAACUGCAAAGCUGUGAAGGAACACGAAAAAUUAGUAAAAUCUUCGGGGUUGUUUGAUAACCAUUUCGUUUUCAGGUUUCAGUGUUCAAUUUUUUGAAAACUGAACUGAGCAAUUUGAUUACUUGACUUGUGUAAUAGGGAAAAAACAUGGGAAAGUUAAAAAAGCUUGUACCUUCAAUGAUGCCUAGAAAGUCAUUGGAUUUGGUGUUUUUCAUUUUAAGUGUCAGCUUUGUUCCAUUGAGAACUUCUGGAUCGUAAUUGACAUCUUCAACUGCAAGAGUUAUUGCAAGUUUUGCAAUUUUUCCAAUGACAGAAUCAAAAGUGAACAUCGCGCCGAUGUUCACAACAUCAGGUCUUGCAGUGACAUUAGUAGGACUAAGUCCACUAGAAGAACAGCCACUGUAGAAAACUACAAAUAACAGAAGCAAGGCUAGAUACAUGUUGAUAUUCAAACUACAAAAGGACAUGUUUGAGCUCCGAAAGAGGAAACAACGAGUUAAACCAGUUGACUAGGUUGGCUAGGGUAGUGUGCUCACCCCUUCCUUGCACACAAGUUUGAACCCCCUCUCUGCAUAUUAGAGUAGUUUAGACGAUCGCUUGUAUAGAAAGCCAAAUUACAACAAAAACAACAGAACAUGCUCCAAAAACACAUGCAUGUUAUCCAAAAAUAUCUAAUAAAUCAAACAUGAAUACGAUCAAUCUGAAGGGCAUAACGAAUAAUGAUUAAAGCUUACAUUAUUUAUCAUCACUCAAGCCAAGCACAUACGUAUGAGCUCCAUGAGAAGGACAAGUAUGAAGAUUUCGUAUUUUUAAGUCCAGAAAUGGCCAGUGUGUUGUGCAGAAUGACCAAAUGGUUAUAUAAGCACCAAAACAGCACUGGAAAAGAAGCUUGAAGUCUGCGGGGACAUCAGCUGGUGUGAAAAUUUGAGAGUGUACAUGGUGUCGAAGAAAAAUAUCUUGUUUUUGGGGAAAGUAGCUGAUAACAAACACGAAUCUACAAAUAUGAAAAACUAUACCUUGGAAUUCUUAAACCAUGAAAACUAAAAAAGCAACCUAACUCAACAACUAGCAAAAGGCAAAGGUUUUUUGAACGGUUUACAAAUACUAUUAUCUUUUUCAUAAAAAAUCUUGUCACCAAUAUUAGACAGCAACCAUGGGAAUGGGAAUAUUGGGAGGGGGAACUAAUAUAUUAUUAUCCAAUGGAAUGGACUUGAUUAAUCCCCACUCUCCGGGAAGUGUUGAUCACCACUGUUUUAAGGAUCAGGUUAGAUAGUUGAAUGUUAGGGGAAAAGAGAAUUAGUAGGGAUCAAACCCUUGUUAAAAGUACAACACCAGCCCAAAUAAUAAAGACUGGCUCAUGAUGAAGAAACAAUGGAGAAAGCAUGCAUAUGCUAGAAUGUUCUAGCAUGAGUGUGUCGGUGGGAACAAGCUAGAAUUGUCUAGCUGUUAUAACCAUGGUAUAAAAUAUCGAUGAUAUCGAAAAUAUCGGUAGUCCAAAAACAUGGAAAUUUCGAUGGAAAUAUCAGGAUAUUAUCGAUAUCCAUAAAAAUUGAAUAAAAACCACGGAAAUUGUAAGAAAAACUUGGAAAUUUUUAUUGAAACUUUGGAGAAUGUUUAUUUAGUCAAUUAUCUAUUAGUUUAUAAAACAAAUUAGAAGGAAAUGCAUUACAUGAUGGAUUUAACUGAUUUAAGUUGAUUAUACAGCGAGCUAGCAAACACUGUGAGUGUAGAAAAUAUGUAGUAAUCAAUGAAAAAAAGAUUAAACACACCAUUUAUAUAUAAUGAUUUACUACAAUAUUUUACACUUUAUACAUUGCAUGGUAAGAUACAUGAGUGAUUUAGUACCACAUAAAGUUCCUAUGAGGUUCAAAUUUUUCACUAUCUUCAUCAUCUCUAUGUGUAGAGUAAGUUUAUUGUGAAGAGUAUUCGUCAAAUGAUAAAUCCCCAAAAUAGUUUUGCAUGUAAUUGUUAACAUGCCACUCAUAUAAAUUAAUAAAUAUAAAUAUUUUAUCAUAUUAUCACUAAAACGUAAGUGAUAUAUUGUGGUUAAGGUGUUGGAGGAGCAAAAUGGGAGGGGUUCAAAUCCUCUUUGUGUUUUUUUUUUCCUCCCUUUUUUCCCUUUUUUUCUUCUUUUUUCUUUUUUUCCCUUUUUUUCUUCUUUUUUCUUGUUUUUUUUUCCUUCCUUUACAUCGAUAUUUUAGCGAUAUUACACCGAUAUUUUGACAAAAUAUUGCUGAAGUGUGAGCGAAAUUAUCGACAUCGAUAUUUUCCGAUAUUAUCAUCGAUAUUUGUACGAUAUGUACAUGGAUAUGUUCCGAAAUAUCUGUGAUUCGAAAAAACCGAAAUAUCCUCGAUAUUUCGUCGAUAUUAUUGAUAUUUCAGACUAUGAUUAUAACAAAUGUGUGGUCAUAAGAAAAAGUCCAUGUCGGUAGGCUGGUUCUAGAAUAACAAGAAGAUUAGUAUUAUGUAUAGCACAUAUCGGUGGGGCAAUAGGAUAGUCGGCAAGGCCACCUAUAAAUAUGGGUGUGGUGUAACCGACCAACCAAUCAAGAAAUCAAGUAGUAGUAGUAGGCAACCAAGUGAGAGUGAGAAGCAAGAAUAGUCAUGUAGGAGUGUGAGUGAUCUAGAGUGUGUUUUUAGAAAGUGAGUGAGUGUCAUUGCUUCUAAGUUGUGUCCUUGUGAGUGUUGUAAUAUUUUGUGUGUGUAAUACAAGUAAUUUGUUUACUUGUGUUGUCUCUCCAACACUUGUGUUAGAGUUGUGUACUCUCCCAACAAUCCUCACCAGAUUUCAUAAGCAUUUUUCCUUCUCGUCAUUCGUUAAAGCGCUAUCUGCAAAAAGGAUUAUGAUAUUAUCAGGAAUUGUUAUUAAUACUCUAAAAUAGUCAAGUUUUUUCAUAACAAUACUCAAUGAUGAAUAAAUAUUUUAUUGUCCUAUCAUUGAUAGUAUAAACGGGCUCAGCUUGGGUUCUUUCAUGAUUCCUACCAACACUAGAUACCUUAAGAGGAUUUAAACCAAUGCGGCCUCAAACAUGAAGACUUCGAAACACCUCGUAGGGACUUACAACACCAACCUUUGCUACCGCCCUUGUGUUCACCAACUCCUAAGGGUGCUUAAGGGACGAAGGACAUUCUUUACAAAAAAUUGACUAAGAUUCAGUUCUGAUGCAGAAGAUCAGGCUUAUACUGCAACUGCAGAGCAUACUAAGAAUCUGAGUAACAAGGAAUACUCAAACUAUGAGGGAAAACUUUGCUUGAGCCACCUACAAGAGGAAGGCUCUGAUACCACUCACGUAUAAAACCUAUACAAUAACUGGGAUAUACUCUUUAGGAGACUCAAACAAGGAUAUUUACUGCAGAAGAGAGGUUCAUACAAACAUUCAACUAUAAUUCAAUUCUCCAAUCAAGGCUUACACAUUUCUCUUGUGGCAGCUUCUUGCGGCGCCCACCUCUCAUUCAUUAAAAAUUGAAACGACCCAUAAAGCGAAAAAGACGAGUCAAUAAUGAGGCAAUAAUGUCCAUGCCUUCUUUUCUUGGAUUGUAAUUUUCCACUUGAACCGACUUUGUUUCUUGUCUUUGGCUUCAUAUUUGGUGUAGAUUCUCCAUACUGGAAAGAGAUUCGGAGAAAAUCUUUUCUAUUAAAGUCAUCGAAUCAAGUGAUUUGAGUUUUUUAAAUUUCACUCAACGGUAAUAAAUUAUUACACAUUUUAAGAUAUCAAAACAAGUGGGCUGUUGGAAGAAUUUUGAAAGACUCCGAUUACUUGAUUUGAUGAUCUUGGUAGAAGAGAUCUGGAGAGGAUCUCUUUCCCUCCUUACUGUCUGCCCUAUUUGGAAUUCGGUUGUACUAAAGUAUAUGAUGCUUUGGAUUACACAUGAAAAAGGAAAAGAUAGAAAGUUGCAAGACAAAGAGGGCUUCUUUUUUUCCGGUAGUGAAGCGCAAUUGCGUCGUAUGAUCAGUUCGUUUAUGUUUUAUAUAAGACCGUAUAUUUAGUGAUAUACUAAUACUAUAACUUAAUGUACAAAUCAACCGUUGUAUGGUCAGUUCACAUGUUAUAACACUUGAACCAGUUCAAUUAGAUAAUCGUAUUUCAAUAACUUUACAUUAAUUUUUAUUUCUUGUAACGGUUGCAGGGCUUGAAUGAUUGUCAUUGGUAAGUACGAUCAUUGAAAGAUUGUUGGGAGACUGACGUUUUAUCGUCUUUAUUUUUUCCACUAAGUAAUAAUUUUACAAUUAAAAAAGUGAAAAUUUUUAUUUUGAGUUUUAGAAACCAUGCUUAUUUUAAUUGGACAACAGUUAUUUUAACUUUAGUUUGAAUGAAUUGUCAAAGAUAUAAAUAAACUAAACUACAAGUUAUAUUUUCUCGACUAAAAAAGACGUUGUUUUUUUGUUUUUUUUUUAAUGGUGGUGAAGAAGCUCUUUUUGGUUAUAAAGUAUUCUAAAUUUCUUUUUUUUUUUGUCAAACGUAUUUUAAAUUUCAAUUCAUUUGUCAUAUACAUAUUCCAUAUUCCACUAGAGUCAAUUCAAAGACAUACAUUCAAACUAAAGUCAAUUCAUUUGUCAUAUACAUAUUCCAUAUUCCACUUUGAAAAAAAACUGCCAACAACCAAGGCAAGUUAAUGUAGAGCAAAAAAUAAUCAAAAAAAAAUUAGAGAUGACACAUAGACUUUAUCCUGAAGAAAACUAGAUUGCCCUUAUUAAAUGGGUAGGGCACAGAAAUAUUCCCACUCGUAGCUCAACAUCCCUGAAAAUUCAAGCAGUGGACUAUGACUGCUCAAUGCUCCUCUGCUCGUGACAUGGAAAAGUCAAAUGCAUUAAAGAUAUGAUUAAUUACCAAAUACUGCCUUUAAUACAUUCUCAAUUGAAGAUCAACUCAAUCAAGUAAGGAAUCAUCAUCACAAUCAAUUAAGGAUGCUUACAUCAUUAUCCCAAAAUAUUAUUAUCUAAUUAAUAUCUUGGUAAUAUAUUUACUCAUUCAUCCUACGGAUGACAUAACCUUAUCUAAUGGGAAGUCACCAAGUGUAAGGCAAAACCCUACAUAUAGGCCAAAUAUCUUCCUGUAAACCUCAUCUUCACCAAACUUUGGUAAGCUUUUACUACGCAUACAUGCCCUAAACACUCAUUCUUUUCAGAGAUACUAACUUAGGCAUCGGAGACCUAUUGGCCAAACCUCCUCCUACCUCGUGGCCGCGUAGGGGUGGGCGGUUCGAUUCGGCCUGCUUCCACCCUCAAACCGGAAUCGGAAAAUAUCAACGGUCCGGUUUGGUGCAAUUCUAGUUAAAUUUAUUACUAAAAUCGUACGGUUUAGUUCAUGCCAGUUCCGAGUUUGGUUUAUGCCGAACUAUGGUUCUAAAUACUAAAUCUUUUGAUACCAAAUCAAAAUGGUAUUCAAAAUUUGCUUGUUUUUUUAUAAUUGAUUCCGUAAGAGUCUCAAAUAUAACCAUUAUUUCCUGUCAACUAGUUAUUAGUUAACAACGACCACGCCUAAAGGAUCACAUGGAAAAUCUCAAAAGAAAACGACACUCUACAACCACUAUAUUUCUUAGCAUUUGUAGUCCCUGUUAAUGUACUGUAAGUUACAAGCACCUUAUUAAGGGCUGGUUUGGUAUUGAUGUGCUUUGAAAAAAAGCUGCUGUGAGAUUAAGCGGCUGUGAAAUAAAUCAGCAGAGUGUUUGGUAAACUUUUUUGUAAAAGUGCUUUUGGAAAAAAAAGCAGUCUGAUAGUGGAUCUUUUCAUUAAAGGAGCACUGUAGUUCUAUGUGCUUUGAAAAAAAGACAGUUUUCCAAAGCUACAAAUUGCAGCUUCAACUUUUUCCUUUGAUUUCAGCUUAUUCUCACAGCAGCUUCCAAAAUAAGCCAUUUUUUUUAAGUUUACCAAACACCAAAAACACUCCCAGCUUUUUUUCAUAGGAGCUUUUUUUAAAAUCACCUCAACCCCAAACUGGGGCUAACUCCCAUCCAGCAUUUAAAAGGAAAGAAGCUAAUAUUUGGCAAGUUGUAACUCAAAGGUAACUAAGGGGUGAUAGGUGAAGUGAGGGUGAGAACUGAGGGCGAGGGUGAGUGAGGCAUCGAAGGAUUGAGGCUGUUCAGUAGGUGAAAGUAAAACUUAAUUGAGAAAUGCUCUCAUGCAGUCGUACUAGGUGAAAUUAGUUUGAUUUUGACCACUCAUUUAGUGACACAUGUAUAAAAUUAUUAUAUUUCUUUAUUUCUUUAUUUCUUUAUAUUCACAAAUCAGUUCGGUGCAGUGAAAAUCGGAACCGAAAACGGUAAGAAUGUUUCGAUCCGGUUCUUGAACCUAUGUUGACAUUUUUUUAUCAACAUGUUUUUUUUACGGUUUAUGUUGUCGUGGUUUGAUUCGGUUUCGUGGUCCACGGUUUUUAUGCCCACCCCUAUGGCCGCGUGAGACUUUGGUCUUUGAUCAAAGGUGUUAAGGAUGAUUCUUCUCUCACAUUAAAUGAUUACGAUUAAGCCAAUAUCUUAUAUUGAGUGAUAAAGACAAAAAGAAAAGUGUGAGAAAAGAGAAGGGAAUGAGAUGAGAAUAAGAAGGGAGAGAAUCUUACUCCUUGUUAUGCGAGAAUUAUUGUCUUUUAACAUUUUACAAUUUUUUUGUUCUAACUUUUAAAUAAUGUUAGUUGAAUGUUUUUUUUAUUUAAAUUUAAAAUUUUAAAGCUCUUUUCGUUAAUUUUCAUUAAAAAUGUACUAAUUAUGCAAAUAUCUUUUUCAUUGUUUUCGUGAUAUAAACCAAAUUUGCAUGUGACAUAGUAGAGGGAUGAAGUGUAAGGCCAUCUCCAACCGAAUGGUCCAGAUAGCCAAAAAUAACCCGAAAACUGUCUCCAACAGAGGGCUAGGCCAAAGGGCUCGUGGGCCUUACUGGACAAAAAAGGGUCAAAGGGCCAACCGGCUGGCCCAAACUAGCUAGCCAGCCAACCCCGGGCUGGGCCAGAAUUUCAUUAUUCCUGUCAGUUAUAGUCGAUAGCAUUGUACUUAUUCCUGUCGGUUAUAUCCGACACGAAUUGUAGGCCAAAAUUUGAAAUACAACGACUAGCUGACGUCAGUUACCAUUGGAUUCUUUUUUUUUUGUUGUUGGGCCAAUUUUUUUUGUAUAAAUUUAAAACAUUCCCUUUUUUUUCCCUAUAAAUACCUAAAUCAUUCCUACACCAUUUCUCACAUAAUUUUCAUCAUUCCAUACUAUCUCACUUCAUUCUAUUUCAAUUCUUCACAUUAUAUUUUCUUACAUCUUCCAAUAAUCUUUCCUUCACUUUUUCCAAUAAUUUUCAAAUGGCCUCAUCUACAAUGAAAGGUAGGGCUUGGACCCGAAAAGAAGAUGAAGCUUUUUGUAGGGCUUAUAGAUGGGUGUCAGAAGAUAGUGUGAGGGGGAGUUCUCAAACAAGUGAAGGUGUUUGGACUCGUUUGUCCAAAAAAUACUUAGAGUUCUACGAAUGCACCACUCCACCGAAUAUCCAAAACCACGAGAGUUGUUCUUCAAGAUGGAAGAAACAUUUUCAGCCAAGUUUGAACAAAUGACAUUAAGCACUGUUAGCAACCGCAAGUAGACAUGAAGGCGGCGCUAACUACUACGACGAAGUAAGUGUUUUCAUAAUUUAAUUUAAAUAUUUAAUUAUAUUACAUUUAAUUUCAUGAAUUACUUUUGUUUGUACCAUACUUGACCAAUCCCGAAACUACCGAGCACCGGCCAACGCUAUACUGUCAAGGACCCAGAAGAGUUCCCCUCCGACCAGGAGGCCAAUCACUACUCGACACGUGUCAAGAUUAGAAGCCAAUCAGAGCGCAGCACGUGUCGACAUCAAGAACCAAUCACAACAUGACACAUGUCAAUGUGACAAAGCUACAAGUUUUUCUAUAAAUAGGGGUCAUUCCCCCACAAUAUUGCCGAAUGCCAUUUUGUGUUAAAUCAUUCACAAGAACUCACUAAAUUGAGAGCUUGAUCCUUUCUACUUGUGUAAGCCCUUCACUACUAAUAAGAACUCCUCUACUCCGUGGACGUAGCCAAUCUGGGUGAACCACGUACAUCCUGUGUUUGCUUCUCUGUCUCUAUUCAUUUACGUACUUAUCCUCACUAGUGACUGAAGCAACCAAGCAACCAAGCGAAGGUCACAAAACCUGACACUUUCUGUUGUACCAAAGUCUUCGCUGAUUUUGUGCAUCAACAUUUGGCGCCGUCUGUGGGAAACGACACUUAUUCCUACUCUCUUCAGCUGUGUCAAGCUGGUUUCUAUCAUUCGUACACUUUCUUUUGAUCAGGCAUCCCUCUCCAACAUGGGAAGCGAAGGAAGCCACAGCACACAGAAUGACACCCCCCUUGCACAUAGUGCGAAACAACGAAAGAAGGAAGGAAAACGAGUUCUUCUUCAAGCUAAAGUCGAUGAGUUGGAAGCUCAGAACAACAAGAUAGCAAUGAGGAAUGAGGUCCUCCAGGAGCAAUAUGAGAAGCUCUUCGAGACACUCCACGAAGCUAGGCAAGCUCAGACACGCGAGCUUGUUGCCCCCGUGGAAGUCAACCAUCAACUGGGUGCCCUCCAACAUGGAGGGUCACAUGCAUUCGACAUAGAUAUCCCUGAUAGGGAACAGAUUACCCCUCGACUUGAUAAUCAACAUGAGGCUUCUCUUAACCCAGUUGCUUCGACCCGAACCAUGAGAAGUGGAGGGAGACACCUCUUUGCUGAAGGGGCAGAAGGAUCGAAAGCCGUCUUUCGCGAUUGUCGGGAUUUCCUGAAGCAACGUCGAGAGAAUUCCAUCCAUAUAAGCUCAAAGAUCAAUGACCCAAGGAUUUCUGAGAGACUCGGUCCCCUGCCACGGCCCGAGCCGGCCACCAAUUUUGGGGAAGGGGCAACAAGUCCUAGAGAGACAUGAGGGUACAGGGGACUCAGAGGUGUUCCGACAGACAUACCCUGGAAGCCAGUACAACGAGUCCAGGGAAAAAUCACAUGCCCUUGAUCAAACCUUCCUAAUUCCAAGAGGAGAUGGAGAUUUACGAAAGAAAGCUCCAGUGGCACAUAACUCCGCUCAGGACCCCCUUGUCCUACAACUUAUUGAGGAAGUAAACAAGUUGAAGGCUGAACGUCAGGCUGAAAUACCUGACUGGAACCAACCCAGGCCUGGCCCUCUUACAAGGAGGAUCCUCAACACCCCCCUUCAAGCAAAGACAAAGCAAAAGCUUGGCUUGCAACUUUAUACUGGAAAAGAGGACCCGAUUGAGCACCUUAACCUCUUUGAGUCCACCAUGGCAUACCGGAUGCACACCGACGAAGAGCGAUGUCUUCUCUUCCCCUCCACCCUCUCUGGCGGAGCUCUAAAUUGGUAUUGUCGUCUUACACCUGAGACGGUAGACUCAUUUGAGGAAUUGAGGAAACUAUUUGUUUCCCAACACAUUUUCCAAACCGAUCGCUUGCACUCUGCAGAUGACCUGUACACUAUCCGCCAGAAGCCAGACGAGUCAUUACGUAUGUAUGCUGGCCGCUUCAGCCAUGAAUACUCCCGGUGUGCCGAGGCAGACGACAAGACUGCCCUCAAAGCCUUCACGGCAGGCCUACGUGAUUGUUUCUUUAAAUACAUGAUCAAUGCCAAUACUUGGAAGACUUACUCUGAGGUGAUGGCGCAGGCUUAUAACCAUGCCUCCGCCGAGGCAAAGACAUAUCAGGAGAAACCCCCUACAACCAUCCUNNNNNNNNNNNNNNNNNNNNNNNNNNNNNNNNNNNNNNNNNNNNNNNNNNNNNNNNNNNNNNNNNNNNNNNNNNNNNNNNNNNNNNNNNNNNNNNNNNNNNNNNNNNNNNNNNNNNNNNNNNNNNNNNNNNNNNNNNNNNNNNNNNNNNNNNNNNNNNNNNNNNNNNNNNNNNNNNNNNNNNNNNNNNNNNNNNNNNNNNNNNNNNNNNNNNNNNNNNNNNNNNNNNNNNNNNNNNNNNNNNNNNNNNNNNNNNNNNNNNNNNNNNNNNNNNNNNNNNNNNNNNNNNNNNNNNNNNNNNNNNNNNNNNNNNNNNNNNNNNNNNNNNNNNNNNNNNNNNNNNNNNNNNNNNNNNNNNNNNNNNNNNNNNNNNNNNNNNNNNNNNNNNNNNNNNNNNNNNNNNNNNNNNNNNNNNNNNNNNNNNNNNNNNNNNNNNNNNNNNNNNNNNNNNNNNNNNNNNNNNNNNNNNNNNNNNNNNNNNNNNNNNNNNNNNNNNNNNNNNNNNNNNNNNNNNNNNNNNNNNNNNNNNNNNNNNNNNNNNNNNNNNNNNNNNNNNNNNNNNNNNNNNNNNNNNNNNNNNNNNNNNNNNNNNNNNNNNNNNNNNNNNNNNNNNNNNNNNNNNNNNNNNNNNNNNNNNNNNNNNNNNNNNNNNNNNNNNNNNNNNNNNNNNNNNNNNNNNNNNNNNNNNNNNNNNNNNNNNNNNNNNNNNNNNNNNNNNNNNNNNNNNNNNNNNNNNNNNNNNNNNNNNNNNNNNNNNNNNNNNNNNNNNNNNNNNNNNNNNNNNNNNNNNNNNNNNNNNNNNNNNNNNNNNNNNNNNNNNNNNNNNNNNNNNNNNNNNNNNNNNNNNNNNNNNNNNNNNNNNNNNNNNNNNNNNNNNNNNNNNNNNNNNNNNNNNNNNNNNNNNNNNNNNNNNNNNNNNNNNNNNNNNNNNNNNNNNNNNNNNNNNNNNNNNNNNNNNNNNNNNNNNNNNNNNNNNNNNNNNNNNNNNNNNNNNNNNNNNNNNNNNNNNNNNNNNNNNNNNNNNNNNNNNNNNNNNNNNNNNNNNNNNNNNNNNNNNNNNNNNNNNNNNNNNNNNNNNNNNNNNNNNNNNNNNNNNNNNNNNNNNNNNNNNNNNNNNNNNNNNNNNNNNNNNNNNNNNNNNNNNNNNNNNNNNNNNNNNNNNNNNNNNNNNNNNNNNNNNNNNNNNNNNNNNNNNNNNNNNNNNNNNNNNNNNNNNNNNNNNNNNNNNNNNNNNNNNNNNNNNNNNNNNNNNNNNNNNNNNNNNNNNNNNNNNNNNNNNNNNNNNNNNNNNNNNNNNNNNNNNNNNNNNNNNNNNNNNNNNNNNNNNNNNNNNNNNNNNNNNNNNNNNNNNNNNNNNNNNNNNNNNNNNNNNNNNNNNNNNNNNNNNNNNNNNNNNNNNNNNNNNNNNNNNNNNNNNNNNNNNNNNNNNNNNNNNNNNNNNNNNNNNNNNNNNNNNNNNNNNNNNNNNNNNNNNNNNNNNNNNNNNNNNNNNNNNNNNNNNNNNNNNNNNNNNNNNNNNNNNNNNNNNNNNNNNNNNNNNNNNNNNNNNNNNNNNNNNNNNNNNNNNNNNNNNNNNNNNNNNNNNNNNNNNNNNNNNNNNNNNNNNNNNNNNNNNNNNNNNNNNNNNNNNNNNNNNNNNNNNNNNNNNNNNNNNNNNNNNNNNNNNNNNNNNNNNNNNNNNNNNNNNNNNNNNNNNNNNNNNNNNNNNNNNNNNNNNNNNNNNNNNNNNNNNNNNNNNNNNNNNNNNNNNNNNNNNNNNNNNNNNNNNNNNNNNNNNNNNNNNNNNNNNNNNNNNNNNNNNNNNNNNNNNNNNNNNNNNNNNNNNNNNNNNNNNNNNNNNNNNNNNNNNNNNNNNNNNNNNNNNNNNNNNNNNNNNNNNNNNNNNNNNNNNNNNNNNNNNNNNNNNNNNNNNNNNNNNNNNNNNNNNNNNNNNNNNNNNNNNNNNNNNNNNNNNNNNNNNNNNNNNNNNNNNNNNNNNNNNNNNNNNNNNNNNNNNNNNNNNNNNNNNNNNNNNNNNNNNNNNNNNNNNNNNNNNNNNNNNNNNNNNNNNNNNNNNNNNNNNNNNNNNNNNNNNNNNNNNNNNNNNNNNNNNNNNNNNNNNNNNNNNNNNNNNNNNNNNNNNNNNNNNNNNNNNNNNNNNNNNNNNNNNNNNNNNNNNNNNNNNNNNNNNNNNNNNNNNNNNNNNNNNNNNNNNNNNNNNNNNNNNNNNNNNNNNNNNNNNNNNNNNNNNNNNNNNNNNNNNNNNNNNNNNNNNNNNNNNNNNNNNNNNNNNNNNNNNNNNNNNNNNNNNNNNNNNNNNNNNNNNNNNNNNNNNNNNNNNNNNNNNNNNNNNNNNNNNNNNNNNNNNNNNNNNNNNNNNNNNNNNNNNNNNNNNNNNNNNNNNNNNNNNNNNNNNNNNNNNNNNNNNNNNNNNNNNNNNNNNNNNNNNNNNNNNNNNNNNNNNNNNNNNNNNNNNNNNNNNNNNNNNNNNNNNNNNNNNNNNNNNNNNNNNNNNNNNNNNNNNNNNNNNNNNNNNNNNNNNNNNNNNNNNNNNNNNNNNNNNNNNNNNNNNNNNNNNNNNNNNNNNNNNNNNNNNNNNNNNNNNNNNNNNNNNNNNNNNNNNNNNNNNNNNNNNNNNNNNNNNNNNNNNNNNNNNNNNNNNNNNNNNNNNNNNNNNNNNNNNNNNNNNNNNNNNNNNNNNNNNNNNNNNNNNNNNNNNNNNNNNNNNNNNNNNNNNNNNNNNNNNNNNNNNNNNNNNNNNNNNNNNNNNNNNNNNNNNNNNNNNNNNNNNNNNNNNNNNNNNNNNNNNNNNNNNNNNNNNNNNNNNNNNNNNNNNNNNNNNNNNNNNNNNNNNNNNNNNNNNNNNNNNNNNNNNNNNNNNNNNNNNNNNNNNNNNNNNNNNNNNNNNNNNNNNNNNNNNNNNNNNNNNNNNNNNNNNNNNNNNNNNNNNNNNNNNNNNNNNNNNNNNNNNNNNNNNNNNNNNNNNNNNNNNNNNNNNNNNNNNNNNNNNNNNNNNNNNNNNNNNNGAAGAGCNNNNNNNNNNNNNNNNNNNNNNNNNNNNNNNNNNNNNNNNNNNNNNNNNNNNNNNNNNNNNNNNNNNNNNNNNNNNNNNNNNNNNNNNNNNNNNNNNNNNNNNNNNNNNNNNNNNNNNNNNNNNNNNNNNNNNNNNNNNNNNNNNNNNNNNNNNNNNNNNNNNNNNNNNNNNNNNNNNNNNNNNNNNNNNNNNNNNNNNNNNNNNNNNNNNNNNNNNNNNNNNNNNNNNNNNNNNNNNNNNNNNNNNNNNNNNNNNNNNNNNNNNNNNNNNNNNNNNNNNNNNNNNNNNNNNNNNNNNNNNNNNNNNNNNNNNNNNNNNNNNNNNNNNNNNNNNNNNNNNNNNNNNNNNNNNNNNNNNNNNNNNNNNNNNNNNNNNNNNNNNNNNNNNNNNNNNNNNNNNNNNNNNNNNNNNNNNNNNNNNNNNNNNNNNNNNNNNNNNNNNNNNNNNNNNNNNNNNNNNNNNNNNNNNNNNNNNNNNNNNNNNNNNNNNNNNNNNNNNNNNNNNNNNNNNNNNNNNNNNNNNNNNNNNNNNNNNNNNNNNNNNNNNNNNNNNNNNNNNNNNNNNNNNNNNNNNNNNNNNNNNNNNNNNNNNNNNNNNNNNNNNNNNNNNNNNNNNNNNNNNNNNNNNNNNNNNNNNNNNNNNNNNNNNNNNNNNNNNNNNNNNNNNNNNNNNNNNNNNNNNNNNNNNNNNNNNNNNNNNNNNNNNNNNNNNNNNNNNNNNNNNNNNNNNNNNNNNNNNNNNNNNNNNNNNNNNNNNNNNNNNNNNNNNNNNNNNNNNNNNNNNNNNNNNNNNNNNNNNNNNNNNNNNNNNNNNNNNNNNNNNNNNNNNNNNNNNNNNNNNNNNNNNNNNNNNNNNNNNNNNNNNNNNNNNNNNNNNNNNNNNNNNNNNNNNNNNNNNNNNNNNNNNNNNNNNNNNNNNNNNNNNNNNNNNNNNNNNNNNNNNNNNNNNNNNNNNNNNNNNNNNNNNNNNNNNNNNNNNNNNNNNNNNNNNNNNNNNNNNNNNNNNNNNNNNNNNNNNNNNNNNNNNNNNNNNNNNNNNNNNNNNNNNNNNNNNNNNNNNNNNNNNNNNNNNNNNNNNNNNNNNNNNNNNNNNNNNNNNNNNNNNNNNNNNNNNNNNNNNNNNNNNNNNNNNNNNNNNNNNNNNNNNNNNNNNNNNNNNNNNNNNNNNNNNNNNNNNNNNNNNNNNNNNNNNNNNNNNNNNNNNNNNNNNNNNNNNNNNNNNNNNNNNNNNNNNNNNNNNNNNNNNNNNNNNNNNNNNNNNNNNNNNNNNNNNNNNNNNNNNNNNNNNNNNNNNNNNNNNNNNNNNNNNNNNNNNNNNNNNNNNNNNNNNNNNNNNNNNNNNNNNNNNNNNNNNNNNNNNNNNNNNNNNNNNNNNNNNNNNNNNNNNNNNNNNNNNNNNNNNNNNNNNNNNNNNNNNNNNNNNNNNNNNNNNNNNNNNNNNNNNNNNNNNNNNNNNNNNNNNNNNNNNNNNNNNNNNNNNNNNNNNNNNNNNNNNNNNNNNNNNNNNNNNNNNNNNNNNNNNNNNNNNNNNNNNNNNNNNNNNNNNNNNNNNNNNNNNNNNNNNNNNNNNNNNNNNNNNNNNNNNNNNNNNNNNNNNNNNNNNNNNNNNNNNNNNNNNNNNNNNNNNNNNNNNNNNNNNNNNNNNNNNNNNNNNNNNNNNNNNNNNNNNNNNNNNNNNNNNNNNNNNNNNNNNNNNNNNNNNNNNNNNNNNNNNNNNNNNNNNNNNNNNNNNNNNNNNNNNNNNNNNNNNNNNNNNNNNNNNNNNNNNNNNNNNNNNNNNNNNNNNNNNNNNNNNNNNNNNNNNNNNNNNNNNNNNNNNNNNNNNNNNNNNNNNNNNNNNNNNNNNNNNNNNNNNNNNNNNNNNNNNNNNNNNNNNNNNNNNNNNNNNNNNNNNNNNNNNNNNNNNNNNNNNNNNNNNNNNNNNNNNNNNNNNNNNNNNNNNNNNNNNNNNNNNNNNNNNNNNNNNNNNNNNNNNNNNNNNNNNNNNNNNNNNNNNNNNNNNNNNNNNNNNNNNNNNNNNNNNNNNNNNNNNNNNNNNNNNNNNNNNNNNNNNNNNNNNNNNNNNNNNNNNNNNNNNNNNNNNNNNNNNNNNNNNNNNNNNNNNNNNNNNNNNNNNNNNNNNNNNNNNNNNNNNNNNNNNNNNNNNNNNNNNNNNNNNNNNNNNNNNNNNNNNNNNNNNNNNNNNNNNNNNNNNNNNNNNNNNNNNNNNNNNNNNNNNNNNNNNNNNNNNNNNNNNNNNNNNNNNNNNNNNNNNNNNNNNNNNNNNNNNNNNNNNNNNNNNNNNNNNNNNNNNNNNNNNNNNNNNNNNNNNNNNNNNNNNNNNNNNNNNNNNNNNNNNNNNNNNNNNNNNNNNNNNNNNNNNNNNNNNNNNNNNNNNNNNNNNNNNNNNNNNNNNNNNNNNNNNNNNNNNNNNNNNNNNNNNNNNNNNNNNNNNNNNNNNNNNNNNNNNNNNNNNNNNNNNNNNNNNNNNNNNNNNNNNNNNNNNNNNNNNNNNNNNNNNNNNNNNNNNNNNNNNNNNNNNNNNNNNNNNNNNNNNNNNNNNNNNNNNNNNNNNNNNNNNNNNNNNNNNNNNNNNNNNNNNNNNNNNNNNNNNNNNNNNNNNNNNNNNNNNNNNNNNNNNNNNNNNNNNNNNNNNNNNNNNNNNNNNNNNNNNNNNNNNNNNNNNNNNNNNNNNNNNNNNNNNNNNNNNNNNNNNNNNNNNNNNNNNNNNNNNNNNNNNNNNNNNNNNNNNNNNNNNNNNNNNNNNNNNNNNNNNNNNNNNNNNNNNNNNNNNNNNNNNNNNNNNNNNNNNNNNNNNNNNNNNNNNNNNNNNNNNNNNNNNNNNNNNNNNNNNNNNNNNNNNNNNNNNNNNNNNNNNNNNNNNNNNNNNNNNNNNNNNNNNNNNNNNNNNNNNNNNNNNNNNNNNNNNNNNNNNNNNNNNNNNNNNNNNNNNNNNNNNNNNNNNNNNNNNNNNNNNNNNNNNNNNNNNNNNNNNNNNNNNNNNNNNNNNNNNNNNNNNNNNNNNNNNNNNNNNNNNNNNNNNNNNNNNNNNNNNNNNNNNNNNNNNNNNNNNNNNNNNNNNNNNNNNNNNNNNNNNNNNNNNNNNNNNNNNNNNNNNNNNNNNNNNNNNNNNNNNNNNNNNNNNNNNNNNNNNNNNNNNNNNNNNNNNNNNNNNNNNNNNNNNNNNNNNNNNNNNNNNNNNNNNNNNNNNNNNNNNNNNNNNNNNNNNNNNNNNNNNNNNNNNNNNNNNNNNNNNNNNNNNNNNNNNNNNNNNNNNNNNNNNNNNNNNNNNNNNNNNNNNNNNNNNNNNNNNNNNNNNNNNNNNNNNNNNNNNNNNNNNNNNNNNNNNNNNNNNNNNNNNNNNNNNNNNNNNNNNNNNNNNNNNNNNNNNNNNNNNNNNNNNNNNNNNNNNNNNNNNNNNNNNNNNNNNNNNNNNNNNNNNNNNNNNNNNNNNNNNNNNNNNNNNNNNNNNNNNNNNNNNNNNNNNNNNNNNNNNNNNNNNNNNNNNNNNNNNNNNNNNNNNNNNNNNNNNNNNNNNNNCUUCACCUAAAAAGCUUCACCCAAAAAGCUUCACCCGAAAAGCUUCACCUAAAAGCUUCACCCAAAAAGCUUCACCCGAAAAGCUUCACCUAAAAAGCUUCACCCACAAAGCUUCACCUAAAAAGCUUCACCCAAAAGCUUCAAAAAAGCUUCACCCGAAAAGCUUCACCUUCACAAAAGCUUCACCCACAAAGCUUCAACACCAAAGCUUCACCUACAAAAGCUUCAACACAAAACCUUGCUCCAAAUAAACAAAUUUUGUUCACAAAACCCAAGAUGCCCUUGAACUUGUACAAAAAACACUUGGGUAAACAUAAACAUUUUUUGUUUUACACCCACAAGGGCCCAAAAUUUUCCUUCUUAUUUAUUCACUUAUAUAUGUUUCCCAAACAUAUUAUAAUAGAUCCAACAACAAGCCAAAGUCCCAAAUUUCAUAAUGGACAAAAGUACAAGCAAUUCAUCAAUAAUGAAGGUGCUACAAAAAUUGGAAUCUGCCCCAAAAUAGAAAUCCAACCCAAGAGACUUUUUCUCUCUCUCCCUCUUCCGCCUCCUUUCAUCUAUCAAAUUUCUGCAACCUCUGCUCUUCUCCAAUGGAGCUGAAUUUUGGACACCCUAUAGUUCUUGAGCAUAUGAACAACUUUCAAGAAGGAACCAUUUCUGUUUGAGCGACGGAAAUUAAAGUGUUGAAGCUCCAAACAUGAUAGUCGGCUUCUUGCAGAUUUCGAAGCUGUUGUGAUGUUUCGAAGAUCUGGAAAUAUUUAACCGUUAGUUCAUCCUGAAUUUUUGAUAUGUUAUGAAAGAGUCGAUGAGGAACAACUUCAAUGAAGAAAGCAUACCGAUCUGAACAAGAGAAAAUGGAGUUUCGAAGCUCACAACAAAUCUGACGGGUUGACAGACAAAUAAUAACCAGUCAUUCAUCAUACCUGAAUUUCUUGAGUUAUACAGCUCCGAGGGAUCUCAAAUUUGGAUAUGUUGUAGUUCACAAGCUGAGGAACAACUUCAAUGAAGAAAGCAUACCGAUCUGAACAAGAGAAAAUGGAGUUUCGAAGCUCACAACAAAUCUGACGGGUUGACAGAAAAAUAAUAACCAGUCAUUCAUCAUACCUGAGUUUCUUGAGUUAUACAGCUCCGAGGGAUCUCAAAUUUGGAUAUGUUGUAGUUCACAAGCUGAGGAACAACUUCAAUGAAGAAAGCAUACCGAUCUGAACAAGAGAAAAUGGAGUUUCGAAGCUCACAACAAAUCUGACGGGUUGACAGAAAAAUAAUAAACCAGUCAUUCAUCAUACCUGAGUUUCUUGAGUUAUACAGCUCCGAGGGAUCUCAAAUUUGGAUAUGUUGUAGUUCACAAGCUGAGGAACAACUUCAAUGAAGAAAGCAUGCUGAUCUGAGCAAGAGAAAAUAGAGUUUCAAAGCUCACAACAAAUCUGACGGGUUGACAGACAAAUGAUAAACAGUCACUCAUCAUACCUGGAUUUCUGGAGUUGUACUGCUCCGAUGGCUCUCCAAUUUGGAUAUGUUGUAGUUAAGGAAUUAACGAACAACUUUCAUGAAGACAACUUUGUGAUUCGACCUACAGAUGAAUGGUGUUAUGUUGAAAAAACAAUUCCGGUUGAUUAGGGGAAAUGAAAAAACAAUUCCACCAAAGAAACAUCAUUAUGAUGUUUCAAUUAAUUAUGAUGUUUCAUCAUUAUGGUGUUUUCAUCAUUAUGAUGCUUUCAUCAUUGUGAUGCUUCCAUCAUUGUGAUGCUUCCAUUAUGAUGUUAAUGCACCAACGGUUACACCUUCUGCAAUUCCACUUAUUUGGGCCUAGCAACCUUCAUCAACAAAAUCUAUGAAGAAAAAGUCCGGGGCUACCACUUAGAAAACAAAGAAUGAAGUUUUGGUACUUUACGACAUGACUAUUAGCAAGAGACACCUCAUUCGGCAACUCCCUCGACCUAGAGACUUGGGGGACUCCCACCAUAUGCUACUGCGCCUUGGUACUCAAAAGUCUCACGUGAACCACUCAGUGACUUGGAUUUUUCAAGUCUCCAACCGAGAAGUUUUCCUCACUCGGGAAAUUAAGGGAACACUACCUCAAACUACAUGCUUCACUCACAAAGCUUCAACAAUACAGGUUUCAACAAAAGCAAAAAUUCAAAGAACUUUAUGAAGAAGGCUUUGGUGUAUUUAACACAAUAUGUUGAAAUGAAGCAAAGCUUAUUUAUUAAUAUUUUCGAUAAGCCACAAAUAUGUACAUAUACAUGAGUCAAAAAUAAACAAACAAAAGGGAGCCUUCACAAAGGUUGCUUAGGGGAAGUCUCAGCAGUCGGUAGAGCCCCAGAAAGAGAAAGCACCGGAGGGUGGUUAUCCGGAGCCUCAGUACUUGACAAAACCCCAGAAGGAGGAGGCAUUGGAGGUUCAUCAUUUGAAGCUUCAUUACCAGGUACAGCCCCAGAGGACGAAGGCAAUAAAUGCCUUUGGAACAAACCCACAAACCGCUGAUGAUCAAGUAAAACCUUACCAUCAGAUUCCUUCAUCUGGUCAAGCUUCCUCUUCAUGUUUGUAGCAUAGUCAUGGGCGAGCCGGUGCAACUGCUUAUUCUCAUGCUUGAGCCCUCUAAUCUCCUGUUUGAGACUCAUCACUUCAGCAGCCAAUGAUUCAACUUGGCGGGUUCUAGCAAAUAGGCGUUGGGCCAUAUUAGACACAGAACCUGCACACUGAACACUAAGAGCCAGAGAGUCCUUAACAGCCAACUCAUCAGACCGUUUGGAAAGUAGUCUGUUAUCUUUGGGAGUGAGAAGGUUCCUGGCCACCACUGCAGCGGUCAUAUCAUUCUUCAUCACAGAAUCCCCAACGGUAGAGGACCAGUAGGGGAUAUGAAGGAUGGGCGCCAUAUGUUGUCUGGAGAAGGCGUGGCUGUCUCUUCUCCAAGGUUCAAGUCAAAACGACGGUCGGAGGGUCCAGACAUUUUUCAAAUGUGUUGAAGAAGGAAGAGGUCAGACAAAUCAAGAUCUUAGAAGUGCAAGAAAUGAGCUUCUACUGGUAGAGAUUCAAGUGUGCUGUGGAACUUAAUGCCAGCCUCUAUAAAAAUCUGCACUCGACGGAGCUUCAGAAAUCGAAGAGGCGUUUGCUUUCUCAAAAGCUGGGCUGCUCAGAGACCACGAGGGCCGAUCUCAGAAAUCGAAGAGGCGUUUGCUUUCUCAAAAGCUGGGCUGCUCAGAGACCACGAGGGCCGAUCUCAGAAAUCGAAGAAGCACCUGCUUUUUCAGCCUCGUCAGCACCUGUCACAUGCACACUCAGCUUUGCGGAAAUUACGGGCAAUCUGUCGAAGAUUUCUGGUGAAGUAGAAAGCACGUGAAUCUUACUGUUCAAUCACCGCUCUCCAUAUGCACCAUCAACUCCUCGGGUACCACAUAUAACUUUGUCAAAGAUCUCUGACAAAGUUUAGGCACGAGAAUUUCGAAGUUCCAGCUACCCUACUAUUACCCAUAAGGGUAAAGGAACAGCACCACUGCUUGACAACUGGAAAGUCCCUAUGUGUGUCGACCUCCGUGUUUUGCGGCAAGACAGGUUGGCAAGAACGUCCAACCUUUACUCACAUUCGAGAAAAGACUCCCAACAUAAUUACUUUCUCAAAAACCGGAGUAGCACCGCUUUCCGAAUCUCGAGAGUCAGAUCCUCGACGGGAUUGCUUGUUCGAAAACCGAAGAGGCACAACUCUCAGAACUUCGAGAGCCAGAUUUCCUUAGAUAAAGCUUGUCUGUAAUCUUCACACGUAAUAUCAGCUUUCCAGAUACCACAUACCACUUUUUCAAAGUGCUCUGACAAAAUUAAAACACGUGAAGCUGGCAGCUCCCACUACAUUGCUGUGACCAAGAAGGGUAAAGGAAUAGCAUUACUACUUGUUAUUGGGAAAUCCCUAUAUACAUUGACCUCCCUCCUCAACGGACAGGCAAACCUGCAAAAAUGCUCAACCCUUUCUCGCAUUCGAAAAGGCACCCUCAACAUAACCUCUCGAAAUACUCAGCUUUAUUUCCCCCCGAUAAUACCUCAGCAAAUAAGCCACACCAAGAACAAGAGUAUCUCAUAUCAUCAGGGUCGAAAGCAAGAGUAUCCCAUAUCAUGCUUUCUCCCUGUCUUUGUCUUUGUCCUUGUCCACACCUGCAGGACAAGGAGAAAGAGAGCAGUCAGUCGGAACCUGAAAUCAAACCUCCAAUUUGGAACUGACUGCCUGGAGCCUUUGCCUGGUUGCUUACUUAGCAUUGCUCUCGAGUACUCAUCCUCAACUGCUGUCAAGGUCACGAAUUCCACCGGCAAAUACCUCAUGACAGUUGAUCAGAUAUUGGCUCUUUACACUGAAGCUGCCAAGCGUGGAUGAGUCACUAUGAAGGAAUGUUCUGAAGGACCAUUUAAAUGCAAAGGUUGCACACCACUUCUGCCAUGCAAAAGAUUGAAGCAGAAGGUUCAACGGUGAGCUGAAACAGAUCACUACAGCACGACACCUUUCCAUACCACAUUCAUUAUUCCGUCAACAGCAAAAAGUAUCCCAUAUCAUCAAGGUCGAACGUACUCUAGAUUUGAUGGACUUGUUUUGACCCUCAAAUUUUUGAGUCGGCCUUAUACUCUGAAGGGCACCAGAAAACCCUCCAGCACAGUUCAAGAAUAAGCCUGUGGAAAGUUACUUCUUCAAAAGCAAAAGUAUCUCAUAUCAUCUCUUAUCCAUUUGCUUCUCCUUAUCCUGGCAGUUGAAUGAGAGACAAGGAGAAUGAGAACAAUCAACCGGAAGCCGAAGUCAAACCUCUGAUCCUGGGUUGCUUACUUGGAAGUUUGACUGCUUACCUUGUCUGUCACCUCUUUCGGCAGAUCUCCUAGCUCGGCGACUUGGGGGACUCCUACUAUAGGGUUUGUAUCGCACUUGACCAAGCCCGAAACUACAAGUAAGCUUCAAGUGAAAUUGAUACAUUACCUUGUGCGUCAACAUCAGCUAAAUACACCAUUCCCGGAUGGAGGAAAGGUACUUCCAGAGAAGGGCAGAUGAAGAUCAGACCACACUUCGGUACUUAGAAGUUUCGUGAUUACUCAAGGGAUUGGAUCUUGCAAGUCCCCAACCGAGGAGUUUCCCUCACUCGGGAACUUAGGGGAGCACUGUUUGUACCAUACUUGACCAAUCCCGAAACUACCGAGCACCGGCCAACGCUAUACUGUCAAGGACCCAGAAGAGUUCCCCUCCGACCAGGAGGCCAAUCACUACUCGACACGUGUCAAGAUUAGAAGCCAAUCAGAGCGCAGCACGUGUCGACAUCAAGAACCAAUCACAACAUGACACAUGUCAAUGUGACAAAGCUACAAGUUUUUCUAUAAAUAGGGGUCAUUCCCCCACAAUAUUGCCGAAUGCCAUUUUGUGUUAAAUCAUUCACAAGAACUCACUAAAUUGAGAGCUUGAUCCUUUCUACUUGUGUAAGCCCUUCACUACUAAUAAGAACUCCUCUACUCCGUGGACGUAGCCAAUCUGGGUGAACCACGUACAUCAUGUGUUUGCUUCUCUGUCUCUAUUCAUUUACGUACUUAUCCUCACUAGUGACUGAAGCAACCAAGCAACCAAGCGAAGGUCACAAAACCUGACACUUUCUGUUGUACCAAAGUCUUCGCUGAUUUUGUGCAUCAACAACUUUCCUUUAAUUUUUGUAAAUAUAUUUAAUAUUACAUUUAAUUUCAUGAAUUACUUUCCCUUAAUUUUUUUAAAUAUAUUUAAUUAUAUUAUGUUUGUACCAUACUUAUGGCCUCCGUAUUUUGAUCUUGUAUAAAUACUCGGGGGACUCAAAUGUAAUUAUGUAAUAAAUGAAGGGGCAAAUAUGUAAAAAGGGAGAGAGCCCUUAUUCUAUAAAAUGGCAUACUCACCCUCACAAACAUCAAGCUCUCAUCCUCACAAACAGAGAGCUCUCUCAAACUCUCUCUUUCUCUGGGGGGGACUCCCCCUCACCCUUGUAACCCAUUCAUACAGAGAAGAGAAAUACAAUCAACAUCAGUGUGGACGUAGCCCAAACAUUGGGGUGAACCACGAUACAUCUUGUGUUCUUUACUUUCUUACGGAUUCACGGUCGGAUUUACCAUGUUCCAAGACCUCCGGUUUUGUGCAUCAACAUUUGGCGCCGUCUGUGGGAAACGACACGAAAAACUAUGUCGGUUCUCUCUCAAUUUUUCAUACCUCUACCGUGAAUCUGCAAAAACCCAAGUUGUUUAAAGUGCUUAAUUACACUCACCGAAACCUCACCACAACAGUUCCCAGCAGAUUUGCCAUUGAUUUUCUAUCAAUUCGAAAAAGUGACGACCCACUCAACCCUCCACGUAGGCAUAAAUGUGGUGGGGAUCAGCCUCUUUCAUUCUCGACAAGCAGGACGAGGAGCGAAACGCCGCCGUCUUAGCCUCCAAACCUGAGUCUCGAAAAGGCAGUGAAAAUUCCAAUGGCUACUGCUGCAGUCACCUCAUUCUCACUGUUUAGGAAUUGUGCAGCAACAACUGUGAGAGCUUUUGUGACAAUGAAAGCCUCCAACACCAAUUUCACAACUUCCCUUCUUCCUCUGCACUCUCACAGAUCCAUGUGCCGUGUUAGCGCUACAAACAACGAGGAGGCUACUGCAAAGGUAGCUGCAGUGAAUGCCGACACUAGAGCUCCAAAAAUAUUUGACAAGAUCAUAUCUAAGGAAAUCCCAUCAAGCAUUGUAUAUGAGGAUGAUCUGAUCUUGACAUUUCGUGAUAUCAAUCUGCAGGCUCCUGUUCACGUUUUAGUCAUCCCAAAGCUCAGGGAUGGAUUAACCGGCCUGGGAAAGGUAAUCUAUGGCCCUUUUUUGUCACCUGGGCGACCAACUUUCCGAGCAGACCUCGAUCUUCAGCCUCCGUCUCUGGAUUAUUGUUGGGGCGCAGACAACCUCUCUUCUCUUUCUCUCAGUCCUUAAUGCAUCCAAAUCUAGAUGUGGGCCAAAAUCAGCAGCAACUGUGUCUGCUAAACAGUACACUGACUGAUUCUUCAUCACCCCCUCUUUCUAAGUCCUUCGUCAGUGAGCAUUGGGAGGGUUACAAGGAUUUCUGUUGCGAAUGAUUCUCCUUCGCCACCAACUACUCCAAGUUCGUUAAGUGGGACAAGCCUCUCCCUCCCUGGUCCGACUCCGACGUCGAAGCCUUCAUUGCUCUCGACCCUGUUCAUAGCCCCGUUUUGAAGACUGCUAGGGAAGCAAUGAAAUUUGGUCUUGCAUGAAGUGUUAUUAGAGCAGUAUGAACUGCCAGCUUUGUGUGGAGAUAUUCAAGGAGUUUACAUGAGACCCCGGGGAGAUCAAGAAAAGCAAAAGAUACCUUGGAAAGCAACAUGGGUGGACAGAGAAGGAGCGGGGAGAUCAAGAAAAGCAAAAGAUACCUUGCAAAGCAACAUGGGUGGACAGAGAAGGAGCGGGGAGAUCAAGAAAAGCAGAAAGCAAAAACAGAAAACAAAAAAAGAUAAAAAGAAACAGACAUAAUUGCGGUGGUGAUGGCAUGCAGAAAAUGGAAUUAUGGGCGUGACCCAUUGAGCAGAGGGUCGGAUUUAUUUUUGAAUGAUGUGAUUUAUUUUUCUUAUCUUUUGAAGACAUCUGUAUAACCCCAUCAGAGGUUAAUAAUAAAAUAAAUAAAUAAAUAAAUAAUGGCAAGCCCAAAAUAAUGGGCUGGAAUGUUAUGUGAAGGGCGAAACCCAUAUGCCCAAAAGAGCCAGGCCCUCUAUUAUCACCAACCAGGUGAUCAAAAGUACGUCCAGUACUACAAAAAAUUAUUCGGCAACCUGCCGCUAUUAUCACCAACCAGGUGAUCAAAAGUACGUCCAGUACUUCAAAAUUAUACAUGAGUAUCACUCAUGUCAAUCAUACAUAAACAUUCAUGAGCAUCAUUCAUGUCAACAUUCAUGAGCAUCACUCAUGUCAACAUUCAUGAGCAUCACUCAUGUUAAUCAGCUUCGAAAGCUUCAUUUACAGAGCUCCAGCUUCGAGAGCUCCAGCUUCAAAAGCUUCAUUUACAAAAGCUCCAGCUUCAAAGCUCCAGCUUCAAAGCUUCACUUGCAAAGCUUCACCUACAAAGCUUCAGUGCAUGGUAUACAAAUACCACCUCUGAACAAUCGCCACUUCGGCCCAUACAUGGAUUCAAUUUGAAGUCUCCAUCUAACAGCUCUAUUAACUGAAGACUUGGGGGACUACACUAUGUACCAUAUAUUGGGCUUCCACAACUAGGCCUCAUGAAAAAUGCUUGGGGGACUCUAGCCCAUCAUUUAUGUAUUGAGGAGCGAGCCCUUAUUCUAUAAAAAUGACUCCCUCACUUUCAUUAGAGAGCACCCAUUAUUCAUGUACUGAGGAGCGAGCCCUUAUUUUAUAAAAGGGACUCCCUCACCUUCAUUAGAGAGCAUCACCGCCAGCUGAGCAACCACAUCGACGCAAGCAUCAACUCUAGCCCAUCAUUUAUGUAUUGAGGAGCGAGCCCUUAUUCUAUAAAAGGGAUUCUCUCACCUUCAACGCCACAAGCCGAGCCAACCAAAGGCAACAUAAGCCACAAGCCGAGCAGCCUCGCAACAUGUGCUACUUCUAGUUGAGCAUCAUUUCAAAUUGAGCACCGCCUCAUAUCGAGUAUCAGUUCUAGACGACAUCUAGUUACUUCGGCCCACACAUGGACUGAAUUUCAAGUCUUCAGCCAAAAGACUCUCUUGAUUGAAGACUUGGGGGACUACUGUUUGUACCAUACUUAGGGCCUCCGUAUUUAGAUCUCGUAUAAAUACUCGAGUGACUCAAAUGUAAUUAUGUAAUAAAUGAAUGGGCAAAUAUGUAAAAAGGGAGAAUAACCCUUAUUCUAUAAAAGGGCUUCAUCACCCUCACAAACCUCAAGCUCUCAUCCUCACAAACAGAUAGCUAUCUCAAACUCUCUCUUUCUCUGGGAGACUCCACCUCACCUUUGUAACCCAUUCAUACAGAGAAGAGAAAUACAAUCAACAUCAGUGUGGACGUAGCCCAAACAUUGGGGGUGAACCAUGAUACAUCUUGUCUUCUUUACUUUCUUACGGAUUCACGGUCGAAUUUACGUUGUUCCAAGACCUCUGGUUUUGUGCAUCAACAUAUUACAUUUAAUUUCAUAAAUUAAUUUCCUUUAAUUUUUGUAAUUGUAUUUUCUAGGUACGCCAAGCGAAGGAAUUUUAUAUGGAUGGAAACUCGAAACCCUUUCAGUUUCACGGUUGUUGGGAAAUUUGUAAAGGAUUGGUGUUAUUUGAAGAUCCACCUCAACAUAGAGUAGGUCCUACGUUGGUGUUCGGAACUGCAUCCUUAGUUGUAGAUAUGGACGGAGAUGGAUCUCCUACCAUUCAACAAAGGUUUCAUACCUAGGGCUAUGGGACGAAACAAGGCCCGAAAGGUUGAAGGAAAAGGGUAAGGCAAAUGAUGAUUACGCCGCUCAACAGGAAGUGGCGGCCUCAUUGCGAUUAAUGGCGGAGCAAAAUGCCAUUGAUGCGGAAGAAAUGAACCGUAGGCAUGAAGAACGGGCCAAACAAAUACAAUAAGAGAUGAAUGAUAAGAAUAUGGAAAUGAACACUUCGAAUUACACUUCAAUGAGUAAGGCCUAUUUUGAUAGGAAAAAAAAAGAUAUUAUGAUCCGGCGGCAGUUGUUUACCUCUGACUAUACUCCUACAAUGGUGGAUGAUGAAGAUGAUAUUGAUUAUGGAUAUUAAAUUUAAGUUGUUGUAGUUUUUAAAUUUAAGUUAAUGUUGUUUUUAAAUUUAAUUUAUAGUUUUUAAAUUUUAGUUGUAGUUUUUAAAUUUAAGUUGUUGUUUUUAAAUUUAGGGUUAAACUCUGUUUACUACCCUCAUGUUUCGUGGUUUUCAACAUUUAGUACAUCACGUUUUUUUCGUCUCAGAGUCAUACCUAAAGUAUAAAUUUUGAGACAGUUUCAUACAUUCGUUAGUCAAACUGUUAAGUCUUCCGUUAACUGAUGACGUGGUACCCACACAGACAAUGACUUGUCGCCACGUGUCAUUAAAAAAAUUAUAUAAGAAAAAACCCCAAAAUCCCCUUCUUCUUCCCUGCAACCCGUACCCUCCCCCAGCUUUUUUUUCCUUUCUCUCUUCUUCUUCUUCUUCUUCUUCCUUUCUUCCUCCCCCAACCCUACUUUCCUUCUUCCUUGCAACCCACACCCUCCCCCAGCCUUCAUUCACCACUAGUCUCCCCCAACCUUCCCCCACCUUCCUUCUUCCCUCUGUAAUUUCUUCUACAUCCCUCUCUCUAAAAAAAAAAAAAUUGAAAAGCAAAAACACAAACCCUACUGACUCAAAUUGGAAAUGAAUACACAAUUGGGGGGAAGUGGAGGGAUGGGGAGUAUACCUCGGCACGUGCGAGAAUGAAAGCAAGGUAGUUAUUGAAAUCGGGGAACUAAGAGUAGUGCUAGAGCUGCUGCCAAAUCUGAGACUUGUCAGCGAAGGAAGCCGAAUGCAAAAUCUACUGCUCCAGCAGCCCGCAGAUCGCUGCGAACCCUUCUUCCUUGGGCUGCCACGGGGCGGUUACCGCCAUUAGAAUGGAGACAUAAGGUUUUGGUUUUCUGCAACCUGGAUGUUGGAAGCGCAUGCAAGCUUUGGGGGUUUUGAGCAGAGAGAAGAAGAAAAGGGGAUUUUAUGGCAGCUUUGAGUAGGGGUGGGUUAAAAAAAUCGAAAACCGAAAAAAAUCGAAAACCGAACCGAAUCGAAACCGAAAAAACCGAACCGAACUGAAUUCUUUUGGUUCGGUUUCGAUUUUAGUGAUCUAGAAACCGAAUCGAAUUAAUUAAAUUAAUUUUUUUAUUUAAUUAUUUGUUUUGAGUAUUAUUUUAUAAACCCAAUUUGUAAGUUAAAAUGUACUAAACCAAAUGUGUUGCCAAACUUUAAGCUCAAAAUAUUAAAAAAAAUGCCUAUAAAAACUCUAAACCCUAACCUAUUAUUUCUCCCUCAUAUAAGGUUCCGGAACCAAACCUCCUCCUGAAGUACCUACAUCCAUCUCCAUAGUACUAUCUACAUCUGCCCCAGCUUUCUUUUCCAAAUCUACUCUCAUAUAACAUGUAACAGAAUCCAUAAACAUUUAUUUCGAGUAGAUUACUUGCGUAAUUUGUGAUGGAAAAGAAUCCAACACACACUAAAUAAAUCCACCCAUGCAUUACUUUUACUAAUCAAGUUGUCAACAUACAGUUACAAGCAAACAACCCUGAUCUUUGAACAACAUCAUACAAUUUAACUUUUCUAAGUCAUUUGUACGAUUUUUUUGUUGUGAGGUUGUUAGUUUGGACUUUGGAAGGCUUGAUUGAUGAUUUUAGUUCAACUUUAAAUGUUUAUUUUCAUUGUCUUUGAUUCUAGUUAGAAUGCUUAUGUUAUGAUUGUGUUGGAGAUGUUAAAAUUUAAAAUUUCAAUGUUUUUCAGUUUUUGAAAAGAAAAAAAAAACAAAAAACUGAAACCGAAUCGAAACCGAACAAAAAAAAAAAUGAACCGAACCGAAAUUUCGGUUUUGGCAAAAAACCGAACUGAUUUGAACCGAACCCACCCCUAGCUUUGAGGGGUUUAAAAUUUGAUUGGGGGAGGAAGAAGGGAAGAAGAAGAAGAGAGAGGGGAAAAAAAAGCUGGGGGACGGUGCGGGUUGCAGGGAAGAAGGAAUGAAGGUUGGGGGAGGAAGAAAGGAAGAAGAAGAAGGGAGGGGGGAAAAGUUGGGGGAGGGUGCGGGUUGCAAGAAAGAAGGGGAUUUGGUUUUUUUUUUUAAUAUUUUAAUAUAUUUUUAAUAACACGUGGCGUCCAGUCAGUGUCCACGUGGACACCAUUUCAUCAGUUAACGGAAGACUUAACAGUUUGACUAACGGAUGUACGAGACUGUCCCAAAAUUUACACUCUAGGUAUGACUCUGGAACGAAAAAAACUUGAUGUACCAAAUGUUGAAAACCACGAAACAUGAGGGUAGUAAACAGAGUUUAACUCUUAAAUUUAAGUUGUUGUUGUUUUUAAAUUUAAGUUGUUGAAGUUUUUAAAUUUAAAUAAUAAAUUAUGUUUGGCCCUUUGACCCUCGAUUGGAAACAGUUUUUUGGGAUAAGGCUAAAACGAGUCAUAUGGCCCUUUGGCCCUUUGGCCCUCAGUUGAAUAUGGAAACAAAUAUGAUCAUGUAUUAUUUAUUAAAAUAUUAAUCUUAAAGAAUCAGAAAGCUAACCUUCGAUUGAAGAUGACCUAAACAAUCCAAUGGUAACUCUUAAGGAGAUCCAAGAUUAAAGAACCACCACAAUACUACCAAUAACUCAUUCCCACAAAGGCUUACACGUGUCAGUACCCCAACUCCCCUUCCUUGCUUGGCGCUACAAUGUCGACCGGAAAACCUGGAAUCGCCAGUCAACCAGCUACACAUCAUACCCAAAGUUCUCUCUCUCUUUUCUCCUCCAACGGUUCCCCCUUCCCUACUGCUAUGCUAUGGUCUUAGGCUCUCUGUUUUUCUUCCCACAUUUGUAUAUCUUUCUCGAAUUACUUCAUUUGGGAUUUUGAAUUCUUGCUUUUUUUGCUGAAUUCUUGAUCUGGGUUUUGGAAAUUUCGAUCUGUUUUCUCCGGAACGACUCGAAAAAUCAAAUCUUUUGGAAAAAAAAACAGAGGCUUGGAGUUGCAGGAGGAGCUUGCCUUCUUGAUCUGCUGUGUGAAAUUCUGCAUCUUGGGUCAAGCGCUUGAUGGUUUUUGACAGCUGGGUUUGGCUUUUGGAGGCAUUGAUUGUGUAUUAGUGCUUUUUCUGUGAGCAUAUGGGGGUUGUGUGACAGCUGCUUUUGGCUUUGGCUGAAGUUAUGGUGGUUUAGUUGAAAAGAGUUGUGAGAGAGAUUGAUGGGUUAGGAAGGAGAGAUUAAUGGCUUCAGGAACUGCAGAUAUCUCGCCACAAGUCACCGGAUUGGAUGGUGGGUGCUUAAACGGAGGUGGAAUGCCGAUCAUGGAAGAUCAAAACGUCGACGCUUUGGCCAAUUCGAACCACAUUCCAACCGGAAAGCCUCCGAGAAACCUCUCGGUUAUGCGAAAUUGCACUAGCUAUGCAUUGUUGACCGAAUCAGUAAGUUGAGCGAAGCCUCAUUUUUCUUCUUAAUCUGCAUUUUUUCUGAAUUGCGUAUGCAGAUUAUUGCACCUUAUAUGCAUUUAUGCACAAUGCACAUACUUCCCUCAUCAAAACCGGAGAGAUCAGAGGUAGAUACUGUGGGCGAAAAGGGUCGAUUUUACGUUGUUAAUUAAGAACAGGCAUUUGAUGGUUGUGUUUAGCGGGAACUGGGAAGUAAAUCAGGAAAGAACGAAUUGUACUACUGAUGUAUUUGUUGCAUUGUGGAAGAAUUUGAAUGAUAACAGCAGCAAUGAAUCUGGUUUUUGGUGUGUAAUAUUUAGAGAAUGCCAUGCUAGCUUCAAAAAGGAAACAAUUUUUCGACGUGUUGGAAGUGGUCAGAGAAUGCUACCAGCAAACUUGUUCAACUGUUAUCUUAAUAUGCCAACCCUGAAAUUUAAUGGGACAAUGUCUGCAAAAUAUCUGGUUUUUACUUAACGAAACUGCGCAGAUUGGCACGCCGCAAAUGGCAACCAAAGAAAUGCAUUGAUAGUUGUUCUAGAGGGUAAUGCCUUAUUGGAUCCGUAUUGAUCCUUGUAGCAUGCAAUGCAAUCCAUGUUUCUGUUGCAUAUAGAGAAACUUUCUGAGGUCAAUGAUAUAAUGCUUAACUGACACAAAAUGCUUUAAUUAGUAUGCUUAAAUGGAUUAAAAAUCUAUUCAGAAUAAGAAAAAAAAUUAACUAAUUAUUCCUCUGCGCUGUCCUUUUUCAUAGGAUUCAGAUAUUGGAAGUAUGGGAUUGAAGUCACCGGCAAGUGAGACAGCUGAGUUCGUAUUUGUAUUCCGUUCAGGAAGCUGCUCUGAGAAAGGACCUAAACAGUACAUGGAGGAUGAGUACAUUUGCGUAGAUAAUCUCCAUGAUCAUAUUGCUGAAAUUGAAAACUUGCCUUCUCCUGGGGCAUUUUAUGGGGUAUGUAACUUGGACUUGUUAAUUUCUUUUUGAGUGGUACUUUUUUGUGCAGGGACAACCAUGCUUAGAAUUUUCCAUAGUUUCUUUUUGACAAGGCCAUCUUAUUAAUUGAACUCUUACUGAAAUUUUGUUGAUUUCCACAGGUCUUUGAUGGACAUAAUGGUGUUGAUGCAGCGUCAUUCAUCAAAAGCAACAUCCUUAAAUUCAUCGUUGAAGACUCUCACUUCCCAUCUGGCGUUAAAAAGGCAGUUAGAAGCGCUUUUGUGAAGGCUGAUCAUGCUUUUGCAGAUGCUAGCUCAGUUGACAAGUCCUCCGGUACCACUGCCUUGACUGCCCUGAUCUUAGGAAGGUGAGCAAUUACACUUGAUCUAUCUGUCUAUGAUCAUCAACAUUAAGAUCUGUAAUUACGUUUUAAUCAUUGAAAAAGUCGAAACAAUAUGAUUAAACUUUGCAUCUACAAAUUUUUACUUUAUCUCGAAUGCUGCUGUAUGCUUUCAGGACCAUGCUAAUCGCUAAUGCUGGGGACUGUCGAGCUGUGUUGGGCAAGCGGGGAAGGGCAAUUGAGCUAUCUAAAGAUCACAAGCCUAACUGCACCUCUGAAAGAUUAAGAAUUGAAAAGCUGGGUGGUGUUAUCUAUGAUGGCUACCUCAAUGGCCAACUAUCCGUAGCGCGUGCUCUUGGAGACUGGCAUAUCAAGGGCUCGAAAGGUUCAAAAAGCCCCUUGAGCUCCGAGCCAGAGUUGGAGGAAAUUGUCCUAACAGAAGAAGACGAGUUCUUGAUAAUGGGCUGUGAUGGCUUGUGGGAUGUGAUGAGCAGCCAGUGCGCAGUUACAAUGGUGAGGAAGGAGCUCAUGCAGCACAAUGAUCCCGAGAGAUGUUCAAAAGCGCUCGUCAAGGAAGCGCUCCAGCGAAACACGUGCGAUAACCUCACUGUUGUCGUGGUCUGUUUCUCCGAAGAUCCACCUCCUAAAACCGAAAUAUCUAAAUCCCACAAGAGAAGGAGCAUUUCAGCUGAAGGGUUGGACCUUCUCAAGGGUGUCUUAAGCACCAUUUGAACAAAUGGACUGCAUAUAUACAGAUGGAGCUUACACCCCCUGUCGGGGAUUUUUCUGAGUCGCUCCUGCACCCUGCUGCGGCCGCACCUUCCAGAUUUCUUUUAACUAUACGUCCUGUACAAUUUGAGAUACGAUUAACAAUCUCGAAUUUGAUUCUUUAAAAUCAGAAUUUUUUUUUAUGUUAGAACUGCAUAAGUUGCUGCAAGGCUCUCUUGCACCAGUCAGCUUACUUUCAACUUGGUUAUAGGAUUUAAAUAGCAAACUCUACAAGUAGUCCUCUUAUAUGUAGAACUUUUAACAAAUAUGGAUCAUGUAUAAAGUCUUUUUCCCUUUCCCUCUCAUUUUCUUGUCCUUGAGUUACCGCUUAUUGCAAAGUCAUGCAAUUGAUAUGGACAUCAACUCCUUAACGAGACAAUAUUCUAAAUUACUCUAAUCCACUGUCAAGAAAAUUAAACUUUUUGCAUUGCAAGUCUGUUUUCUUUCCGACCACUUGGAAUAACAUACCGAAAACCUCAUAUUAGGGUUCUAAAAAACCUAAAGAUUAUAAAUGAAAUUUACACAUCUUACAACACAAGAUAAAAUAAUACACAAGAUCUACUUACCCCACUGAAUAAAAUGAAAGAAUUUAAUGUUGUGCCAUAUAGGUAACGAGGUUGAGCACCUGCUUACCCAAGUUUUUCUCUAUAUGUUUGGUUAAAAAAAGCACCAUCAACAUAAAACAAACUUUAGGCUACAAACCUCCAUCCGAAGAGACUACAAAUUCGUAGAGAUAUUGGUUUUCCUUUUGGUACUAGAGCAAGACAUGUUGGUCUUUGAUCGUAGAAGCAACUCCGUAAGCGUUAGCUGGGCCGCAUUCCUUACAAGGCGGCCAGCAGUGGGAUUAAAUCAGGGGCAACGGGAGUACAAUGGUCCCCAGAUCACUCCUAUACCCGACAGGAAGACCAUGGAGAGAUAAAUCCCGACCCUUGCUGAGAUGCUCUCAAAGGAGGCGGCCCUAGGACGACGGGACAGAAGAGGCCUUAACCGAAAAGCGACGGAAGGGGCUCGAGAGGUGGGGAAUAAGCCAGCCCCUCAAGAGAGCCUGCGAAGGGCAUAGAGUAGUAACAAGAUCAAUGAUGGCCCUGACUGCCCAGCGAGAGGAUGCAUGACACAUACAGGAGCAUGCAAAAAUAGAACAAAUCCGGGCAGUAUCUCUGCCGUACCCCCACUUUAACGUACCCCCUAUAGCAUCCUACAGGCGUUCCCAUCUGCCUACCAAUCAACCCUUCCAUUCGAUACCGCACGAAAUAAGAUAAGUAUCCAAAAUGAUAAGCUAGACUUGAGAGAAGCCACAGGAACGAAGGCGAGAAGAAGAGAGAAAAGAGAGGAGACCGGCUCGCUCCCGUACCCUAACCUAUACCUUACAUCACCCUAGCGAACUUCCUACAUCCAUCGGCCCAGUGGUAUCAUUGAGUCUGGGAUCGACUCCUCGAAUGAAGAGAGAGAAGCAAGGCCAACGCUAUAUGCAAAACGGACGGUCAAAUUGGAUAAAGAUAAUAAUAUUUUAUGGUUGAGAGACGGUGAGACCACACAAUGUGGAAUAAAUAAAUUAUAUAUGGAAAGAAGCAUUGACGAAGAGAACACGUGAAAAGGAGAUGAAAACGCCAAAAACAGAAGAGUAUCACCGAACUACGAGUGUAGUAGAGUAGAAAUCAAAGAGGAAAUGAGGAGAGGUGGCAAUUAGAAAUAAUAUGUCAUCACUAAUUGCCAGGGAGUUCCAAGGUAGAGUUGGAAGGAUGCAGAGGGACAUAAAGAACAGGAAGUUUACUACUUCUGGAUCUAAAGAAGUAAAGAGGCAGAGUAUUACAUGUGUCAUAUUUGUAGAAAAGAAAAUAGAAAGAAUUUGAAAAAAAUAAAAACGAAUCAGAUCAAGCCCCAAGCGAGAUUGCGCGACUGACCGAAACAGCAAAUCGAAGGGGGAUCACGACUAGGCAGGACAAGACGGCCGACGGUACAGAGGGGUGCCCGGAAAACUUAUCCAAACAGCAAAGAAGGAGGAGAGAGAGUCGGCGAAAGGAGAACAAGUUGCUCUAAGAAACACCUGAAGGAGCCCAAAUUACACAUAUGUUUUCUUAUACAAUCCAUAAUUUGGCGUGGGGCAUAAAACACAAAUUAAAAAACUAGAGAUAAGUGAAUGAUAAUGGUCCUACUGAGCAAGCCAAUGGAUGAAGAGGCGGAAAGCUCAAAACUAAUGAAGGAACCCAUACCAUAAAGUGACGGAAGGACCCCCAGGAACCAGCCACAAGCCAAAAGGCUGGUCAUUAAACCCUUGCCUCACUCUCCAACGUUUCCACACCUGCAAAGUGAGUGAGCGUUUGUAGUCGAGCAGCAAAACCCAUGGCAACCCUGAAGGAAAUCCUAACCCGACGACCCGUGGCGGCGACGAUCCGCCUCACAGUCCCGGCGGGAGCCGCCCGACCCGUAGCUCCGGUGGGUAGCUCUGGGUCAAUACAGGCUAAACCUAUGCCUUCUGCAAGGACUUCAACGCCCGGACCCAGAAGUACAAACCCGAAACCCCCAUGGCAGUGAUCAUCACCGCCUUCAAAGACAACACCUUCGAGUUCACUGUGAGGUCGCCGUCCGUCACCUGGUACUUGAAGAAGGCCGCCGGGAUCGAGUCUGGCAGCAGUCGUCCAGGACACGCGGUGGUCGACGCUAUCGGUGAGGCACGUGUUACGAGACAAGAGGGGUGAAGAGCAGUACAAACACCCGUAUUUGGCACAAGAUAACCAUGCCGAGUAUGGGAGUCCGCAUUUGUGAAGUCGUUGAUGUACGCGACGGGAAAAUAAAUUUCAGAUAGUGGAUUAAGCAGUUGUUAAGAGAAACAUCUGAAAUGAAAGCUUUUGGAGGAAAAAAUGAGUCCAACUUUCUGAGACCCGGUAACCGGUUAUGAAGUGUAUAAAAAGCGAUAAAGGCCAACAGACGUGUGGAAUCGGCUGUGGCUUUUGGGGAAAGAGCAAAUGUGUCGGUAUGUAUCAGUGGGUAAUUAAUCUUUUGAACGUUGGACUACCAUGUUGCUUGAAAAUUUGAUUAUCAAAAAUUAAACAUGUUGUGGUUAGGUUGAUGUUCUAUUGGAAGGUAUUUAAGUGAUAUGAAAUUGAGUAAAGCUCUUUUACUGCUUGUGAAUAUUCACAUGGUCAGCCAUUCUUGAAUGUUGCGAAAAUGAGGAAUGAGGAUCGGCUUUCAGUUCAUUACAACUAAGGCCUCAUGUAUAUACCUAUGUUUACUCGAUGGGCUAUCCCUGUCUAUGCAAACUCUGAGAGGAUGAUCCAGCACACAGCGAAGAAAAAGACAAGACGGUAAGCAAAAUGAACCACAACUGUGCGACUUUAUAAAACUUAAGAAAAUCAUCAGAAGAUGGUAUAGUAGUGAAACACAGGCCAUGUGCCGAGGUUAUCAAAUAAGUCAGAUAGUACUUAAGUCGAAUCCUAGGCGAGAAACGAGAAUUUUAUCCUUUUUCUGUUCAAACGAUGUUUAUGUCAUUUGGAUAUGGUAAAAAUAACACUUAAUAGAGGGGCCGGAAGGUUGGGACGUAGGUAUUCACCGGAGAGGGAAUACGAGUAGCUGAUGGCGUGGAAAAAUUAUCAUUUUGAAUGCAAAAAAGUGGAAUUGAUUGUAAUCUACGAUUAACUGAAGAGUUGUUAAAAGAUCAGAGACAAGAACAAAGAACACGUCCAAUGCCCGAACAAAUUAAUAAAACAUUCGUAUAGCAUAAUGUGAUGGAACUGUGCUAAGCCUUAUAGAGUUUUGAUGUAAAAGGGUGGGAUUGUGAAAAUGGUUUCGGAAAUUUAUGAAAAGUCAAUCUAGAGGGAGAACCAAAGGGGUGGUGUUCUAGUUUCAUACACUUAGUGUCUUUAUUCGUUGAAUGUAGUAUGGAAUAAUUGCAUUGGGAUGAAAGCGUAUUGACUGUUAAAUAAGAGUGGACGACCCAAGAGGCAUAUGGAAAUAAGUUGUGUUUUGAUAUGACGAAAACAAGACCGGAUAGACCGAGUAAGUUACAUCAAACCACCUUCCCGACGCCCACAACAAAACGGACUCCUGCCCGCUAACGCCAUUGAGGCAAACGAACAAGUCACCCACCCACAAACUACUAUAGAUUGAAGCCCUAGGCAGCUGAGCCACUUCACCCCAAGACCUGUUUCGUGAACCUCAGAUUUCGAGAGGCCAGCAGUUGUGUCAUGUGAUGAGGCUCGUUGAAACUGAAAGUGGAUAAUGGCCAGGGAGAAAGGUAUCAGGCCACUCUAGACCUUUUAUUUAUUCUUGAGUAGAGAGGUUUGGACAGGUGAAAUAUGGGAACAAUGUUCAAAGAAGAACUGCAAAAAACCAUACGUCUAGACUUCGGAUGAGGGAAGGACGCAAACCUACUAAGGAGGAAUAUAAAAAAUCAGGAUGGCUUGGGAGGGUAACCGCGGACAGUCCUACCCUCAAUCUUGUACCAGAUUCGAUACGCUAUUUCAUUUCAUAUCCCAACAAAAUCGAUGAAAUUCUGGUUGACCCAAAAAGGGAAUUAUGUGGGCCGAUAAGCACAACGUACGGAUGCUGAUGAAAGAGAUGAUUUAAUAUUACAUGGUCAAUUCUUUCCAAGGUGAUAAAUGCGUAUCAACAUUUGUUAUGUUGCGUAAGAUUUUGAUAGAAUGGGAUUUCUGAUGUGCAAGGAAAGUGAAGAGGUGGGACGCAACCAUAAGUAGGAAGAUAGAUACCUGGAGAUAAAUGGGGUUUAGGCAUCUGGCCGUUAAAGCGCCUUUCAUAACCAAGACCGAAAUUAUUUGAUUUCGCGCUAUAUCUUUCGUGUGAAUACAUGGAUUAGAGUUAUGCAACUGAUACUUACGUGGCAUACGCCCGAUGUGUCUCUCAUGGAAGACGCUCUUCCAAUAGAUUGUUAUAUUAAUGGAGUGAGAAUCAAGAUGUGACAGAAAAUGUUCAACGGCAUAACGAAUAACUAUAGUGUGUUAUUUUUUGUAGGUUCAAUUCAAGUUAUGUGAAUUCAACAGAAAGGUCCUAAAAUUAAAAAAUUAAUACAAUAAAAUUAAAAAAUAGACCAGUAGAAAUGAGACAAAAAUUCAAUUCUCCUAAUUCCUCCGAAAUGCUUGCAGUGACCCAUAUCAAACUGAGAAUAUGAGGACCAUACCGGAACACACCAAUUACCGAAAAAACAGACAACCUGUAAUCUAUAUGACACCAUCUCUAUAAUGAACUCCCCAAAACAAAAUAUACAGUAUACUGAUUCUACCAAGAAUUGUACAACUAUAGAAGAUCUCACCUGAAAUAUAUAAGUAACGUCAAAAGAAAUUAACCGUAUACAAAAAAAUAAUGAGGAUCCUAUGUUAUGAUAUUCAAAAUUAGAGUAACUGUAAGUAGACUGAAGAAUUUGAAGCAAAUAACAGUAAUAAUAUGGGCUAAUCCAAUGAAGGAAGAAGUAAGGGCACAGCUAAACUCAACGAUCCUUAAGAUUAUAAUUCAAUCAAUUCCAACACACAACACACAGUAAUCACAAAUAAGAUUCUGCUAAAUUGUAGAGAUUAUAAAAAAAAAAGGUUUGAUUACGCCAAAGCCCUAACUACAUUAACCCUUAGAACCACUCACAUAAAAUAAAUUUAAAAAAAGGGAUUCGAGUGGUUUGAUCUAGCAAAGAUUAGAUGAAUUGGGAAAAUGAAUUAGUUUAUAUUGGUCAAAAUUGAUGAAGGAGUUUGAAAAACAAUCAACCAUACACUCAUUCUGUCUGUUGAACCCAUCAACUAAACUACACCUUGGAUCCGAUUGCUCGCAUUGCAAGACUCCAAGUUUGUCCCACACUUUUUGAGUCUGGGCGCGGACACAAGUAAUACAUGAUUGUCGUCAGCUCGUGCUGGCAUUUCAAGACUCCAAGCUGUGUCCCACUCUUUUGAGUCUAAGCACGAACACAGGUAAUACAUGAUUGUCGUCAGCUCAUGCCGUAAGAGUGAGAGAUGUGAUACAUAGUGAGUUUAGUACGUCUCGUCAAAGCGGCUCCGAAACAAACAAAAAGGUGUGUGCCGCACUCACGAGGGUUUAGGUUACGAUUGGUAUGCAAAAACGAGAGUGCGAGAAUGGGAAAGUACCAUGAAGUGUGAAUUUUUUUUAUGGGAAAGUACUCGUAUUUUGGUUUAGUGGUUAGAUAUUUAUGCUAUAGUUUUUUAAUGUUGGUCUUUGGAUAAUGCCAAUUAUUCUCAUUUGGCUUUUUGGCCCCUUCCAAUAACUUGCUCAAGUAGAAAUAGACUAACCCAGCUACCCAUCCCCACACCCAUCAUCUUUCCCAAAUCCCAAUUUCCACCAAUUCGCCCUCCAAUCCAAUCUCCAAAUUCUAUCUACUCCCUCUUCCCAAUCAAAAUCCCAAAACCCAAACCCCCAAAUUUCCAAAUUUCUCACUUCCACCCCUAGAAAAUUAGGAACUUGCAAUUGUCCACCCAGCGACACAGAGCGGCAGCAGCAAUGGUGGUGUUCGACAAAGAAGCCAGCUCCUCCACCAACACCCUACCUCCCUUCCCCCGAGAAGACACUCCACUCCUCUCCAAACCCAGCAAGCUCUCCUCCCAACCCAAAACCUUCGCCAACGUCUUCAUCGCCAUCGUCGGCGCCGGCGUGCUGGGUCUACCCUACACCUUCAAGAAAACCGGCUGGGUCUUCGGCUCCCUCAUGCUCUUCUCCGUCGCCUUCCUAACGUACCACUGUAUGAUGCUCCUAAUCCACACCCGCCGCAAGCUCGACUCCCUCCACGGCGGCGGCCUCUCAAAGAUCGCGUCUUUCGGCGACCUGGGUUUCGUCGUCUGUGGCCCAAUCGGCCGGUUCUCCGUCGACGUCAUGAUCGUCCUCGCCCAGGCCGGGUUCUGCAUCAGCUACCUAAUCUUCAUAUCAAACACUUUAGCCUUCGUCUUCAAUUACUCAGGCCCCGACCGGAUUCUUGGUCUGACCCCGAAAUCAAUCUACCUCUGGGGCUGUUUCCCAUUCCAGUUGGGUCUGAAUUCGAUUCCCACCCUGACCCAUCUCGCCCCUCUGAGCAUAUUCGCCGACGUCGUCGACCUCGGCGCCAUGGGAGUUGUAAUGGUAGAAGACGUCAUAAUCUUCCUCCAAAACAAACCGGCUCUGCAGGCGUUCGGCGGCUUCUCCGUCUUCUUCUACGGCCUCGGCGUGGCGGUUUACGCCUUCGAGGGAAUCGGAAUGAUCCUCCCCCUCGAAUCAGAAGCCAAAAACAAAGAGAAUUUCGGGAAAGUCCUGGCAUUGUGCAUGGCAUUCAUAGCUCUGAUCUACGGAUCAUUCGGAGUUCUGGGUUACUUUGCAUUUGGGGAAGAAACCAAAGACAUAAUCACCACCAAUUUCGGGCAGGGCUUAGUAAGCACACUGGUCCAGCUGGGUUUGUGCAUAAACCUGUUCUUCACUCUCCCAUUGAUGAUGAACCCGGUUUUCGAAGUGGUGGAGCGGCGGUUCUGCGGCUCCACCUACUCCCUGUGGGUGCGGUGGCUGCUGGUUUUUGGGGUGAGCCUGGUGGCGCUGCUGGUGCCGAAUUUUGCAGAUUUUUUGUCGCUGGUGGGGAGCAGCGUGUGUGUGGCGCUGGGGUUUGUGCUGCCUGCUCUGUUUCAUCUGAUGGUGUUUAGGGAUGAGCUGAGUUGGUUUGGGAGCGGUUUGGAUGGGUGUAUUGUGGUGGUGGGUGUGGUGAUUGGGGUGUCUGGGACUUGGUCUUCAGUGGCUGAGAUUAUUGCACCCAAAGCUUGAUUUUGGUUGAGCCCCUUGAGGGGUUAAUCAAUUAAGUUUUAAUUUGCUGCUGCGGAAUUGUAUUUUAAUGCUACGUUUGCUCAUUAUUUUCACCAAUUGUAACAGCUUAAUGCAAUGUGUGAGACUCACUGAGAUAGUAGAUAUUCUUCCUUUUUUUUUUUUUGUCUGUUGAACUGCAUAACAUUUACACCUCAUCUCGGUGGAUUGAGUAGGUACUUGUUCGAGACUGUUUCUGAAAAGGUUAAAGGUCGUUGUUUGGGGUUUUACAUAACCGCUUUUUACGAGGGUUUUUAUUAGGGUUUAGGAUUUAGAGUUUUUCAUGAAUCUGGAUCAUAGGUGCUUAUUCAGGAAGCGAAUGCUUUUCUAGAAAGAACUUGGACUAACCGUUUUCUUAAAAAGCACUUCUAACAAAAACGUUUAUAAACAAAAUUGCUUCAUACCAUAUGCAAUUUCAAAUAGGAGGAAUUUUGAGUUUUUCAAUUUCAUGUUGGAAUCAAUAAAAAAUUGUCUUCGAUAUUGGGUAAUAUCAAAAAGGGUAUAGAAAAAAUGAGGAACAUCCUCACCGUUUUUGUGAGUAGAACUUUAAUGCUAUGUAGCACUAGGAUCUUUUAGCUUUUAAUUUGAUUUUCACUGUUAAAUUUUUUUAUUUUUAAUAUCGAAAAAGAAAUUCAGAAAUUGAAAAGUUUGGAAGUACUUGAUUGCCAUCGACAAGUCCACAACUUUAUGCACUCAAACAAUUUUUCUUUUGUGUUUUGCAUUUUUUAAAUGUAAACAGUGUCACAUCCCGACCCGAGCUCAAUUCCGCCGUAGCACGAUAUUACACUCUCACGGUUUUGUUUCUAGGAACUCACACGAGAACUUUCCAAUAGAUCACCCAUCCUAAGAUUGCUCUCGCCCGAACUCCGAAGCCAGUGUGUUCUCAAAAUGCCUCGUGCUAUAGGGAGGUAAGCAUGUACAUAUAAGGCAUAAAUGAUUCACUCCCUUGGACAAUGUGGGAUCUAACAAUCCACCGCGCCUUAGGGGCCUGACGACGAUGUGGGAUCUAACAAUCCACCCCCCUUAGGGGUCUGACGUCCUUGUCGGCACACUCGCACCGAACGACAGAGUGGCUUUGAUACCAUUUUGUCACAUCUCAGACCGGCUCCGCCGUAGCACGAUAUUGUUCGCUUUGGGCCCCGACCACGCCCUCAUGGUUUUGUUUCUAGGAAUUCACGCGAGAACUUCCCAGUAGGUCACCCAUCCUAAGAAUUCCCUCGCCCAAACUAGCUUAACUUCGGAGUUCCAAUGAAACCCAAAGCCAGUGAGUUCCCAAAAGACCUCGUGCUAUAAGGAGAUGAGCAUGUACAUAUAAGACAUAAUGAUCCACUCCCUGACCGAUAUGGGAUUUAACAAAUAAUACUAAUAUAUGUCGCAUAUUGAUAAUAUUAUCACUAUCUAAGUGCUCCUAUUUUAUAUUAAUUCUUUAUUUUUUUCAAGCUAAACAAUGCAAUUAGUGCUAAUAUUGUAAUAUUAUUCAGUCACUAAUUUAAUAACUAAGAUUAAAUAAAUUGGAUUUAACCAUAAAGCAAAACAAAGGGGUAAACCAUCAAAUGCAUUUUCAACAUCUACCGAUGAUAUGUGGACUGAGAGAAACCUUUUUGAAGAAUUUAAGAUGUAUUUUUACUCAUCAUCUUUAAGUAAUUUCAAAUUUUAAAUUUAUUCAACGGAUAUAAAUAGGAUGAGAAACAUCACAAUCAUGUUACUUAAACAUGAUGAGAAAAACUAUUUCCGAAGAAAUUACCCAUUGGAUUCUCGCGAUAAAAAUACACGUAGCUCGCCCGCAUGAGGCAGGUGAACCCUUGGAAUAUGGGCCAAUAUUGGAGACAUGCUACGGUUAAAUACAGCCCAAGAACCUUUUGAGCUCAAUAAGGUUUAAUAAGGCAGGAAGCCCAACAAGAUCAACUGAUGGACCAAUACUCUAAAAAUCCAGGCCCAAUCACAAGCCUAAUUCAUGACACGUGUAGUGAUCCAGAAAUCAUGGACUCUUAGUUACGUUGCGUAUCAAUCAUUCAAAUUACGAAUUGACUGCAUGGGCAGGAGAAGGUUCUUCUUAUCCAAUAUGGGAAUAGGCCAACAUUUUAUAAGCUCUUGUAAGGUUUUUUAUCUUCAUUCAUGUGAGAUUCUCUUAUCUUCAUAUCAUUGCACACCAAACUAAUACGGCAUACUUUAUUAGAUUUGUUGACACUUACGGUUUUAAUUACUCAACACAACAACAUACAACGAAAAUUGUAGGUUAACUCGUAAAAAAUAUUCACGUCGACAUCCUGAAUUGAAUUUCUACUCAUGAUCAUAUAUCUCUUGUUGGAAUAAAGGAUAAACCAAACAAGGACUUGUAACGCCCCAAAUGUUCCAGGAUUUAGACUUUAUUAGAAAGGGAAUAGCCAUAAAGAAAUAAAAGAUUAUUGAGCAGGUGGCUAACACCCAUCAAACCAUCAUCAACCCCUUUCCAACUCCACAUAAAAACCGAUCACUUCAAUCCACCUAACGAGUACAACCACCCGUUCCCCCUUAUAUUGGCCACCUCUUACUCAUCUUCUUUUUUAGUGAUUUCCCAUAAAACAAAACAAAAACCCAAAAUCUCCAAUUUUGCAAGUUCACACCAUCACAAUAAAAAAAUAGUGUAAUAUUUUAAAGUACAAGAUAUGGACCAUGACGUAUAUUUGUAUAUCUUUGUAGAUAUUGAGCCACAUAAAGAGUCAGCUAUUAUUUAAGGAGAAAUUUUAUUUGAACUCAUCUAACCUCUUCCUACACUCAAUUUACUGUCUUCACCCAUAUUAUUUUUUUAUUAAAGAAUUAAUAUAUCUUUAAACCCAAAUUUAUUACCUAAAAUACCCUCUCAAACCCAAUUCAAAAUGAAAAAUUAUCUUUACACUCAUUCUCUUUAUAAAAUAACAUUUCUAAUUGAAUUUUUUUUUCUUUCAAAGAGGCUUCCUUUGCCCCUCUAUAAUGGCAUAUGCCAUAUAGGACUAGUAUUUACAUGGAUGCUUUUUUUCUUUUUGCUACCACAACCCAUCCAUGGACUUGGGAUCCAAGAGAUCAUUUCAUAGACUUGAAUUUUCCAAGAGAAUGUUAUGCAAGCUCCAGUUCAGUCAUUUUAAAUGAGCAUUUUCAUGUACUUUUUAAGAAGUGACAUAGAGCUGGGUGCUUUGCUGCUAUGUUAAUAAACAACUAAACAAAUUGGAGCUAUUUUGAAUAAAAAAAGGUGCAAGACAUGGCACCCGCUAGUUCGUGGUUAAGGUUGAGCAAUCUUUAUUUGCACCAAAAAUCAAGUUUUAUGUCUUUGCAGUACUAAUCAAAAGUCUUUGCACUGGUGUUUUGGGGCGCAUAUAGACGGUAGAAAAAAAAAACAAAUAUAAUAUAAUAUAAAAAAAUAUGAAAUUUAAUCCAAAUAAGAAGCAAACAAACAAAAUAUCCAUAAAUCGAGUCAUAUCUUAGUUGGAGAAUUAAAAACUUCAAAAUCACCAUCCAUCAAUAGAAAAGCUUGUUUUUCUCUAUCAAAGCUAUUAGGGUUUUAGUCAGAAUAAACGUAAAAUAAACAAAGGGUGAUGCUAGAGUUUAAUUAUAGUAUGUGGGUCUAUUGAUAAAUUUGAUUUUUAUUAUUAAUUUCAUUUUGUACUUAAUAGUAAUUAUGCAAUAGGGUAAAAUAAACAAUUAACAUUUAAAAUUUAAGUUGGGUGUAGAAAAAUAUUAAAUGAGUUUAAAUAAAAUUUCCCUUAUUUAAGUAUUAAACUGUAAUACUAGUUAUCCCAACGUUUAUCCGUUAACAAUUAAAAAUGAGAAUUAUUAUUGACACUCUAAAUAUCUUUAUAGAUGUUGAGCCACAUAAAAAGUCAUCUAUUAUUUAAGUACAAGUACAAAUAUAAUACGUCAUCAUUGAGUUAAACUUAAAUAUCUCGUCUACAAUUAAAAAAAUAAUAUCGUAAUAUCACUAAACAACAGAAAUAAUUAUUCCAACGUUUAUCCGUUAACAAUUAAAAAUUAAAUUCGGUGUCAUAAAAAAGUCGCCAUCACGAAGGGGCAAAAUGAGAAAACACCCAUUUUCCUCGGAAAGACCCACCGCACCCAGGGAAAAUGCCAGCAAUAGCAACCAACUAGAAAGAAAAAAAAAGAAGGAAAGCAAAGAGAAAAAAGUGGAGAGACAUCAGAGGAGAGAGAGAGGAAGGCUUCCUGUUGAAGACCACACAAUCCUCCAUUAAUCCAUUUUAAUCUCAGACAUAGACAGAGAAAGUAGAGAGAGAAACACAAGGAAGAGUGGGUGAGUCUCCUUUCUCAUUGCAACGGAGUCGUCGAUUCAAAUCCAGCAAACUUGCCAUUUUUAGCUUUUACCCAUCAUUUCAAAUCGCCUUCCAUUGUCGAAAUCGCAGAAAAGGUCGUUGCUUUUCGAUUGUUGGGUUCGGAUUCAGGAAACCCAGUUCGAAUUUGGAUCGGGAGAGGAAGGAAACCCUGUUGAUCAAACGCCAUGUCGUGCUCAUCUUCAUCCGGGUCGGAGGAGGACGAUGAGGGCAUCGACUCCUACAGGAAAGGAGGCUACCACGCCGUCAGGGUCGGCGAUCAGUUCAACGGCGGCCGCUACGUGGCCCAGAGGAAGCUGGGUUGGGGUGAGUUCUCCACCGUCUGGCUCGCUUACGACACCACCACCUCUGUAAGCCAAGCUUCUUCUUCGUUUCAUUCAUUUUUUUUUUUGUGUCAUUAAAUGUUUCUUUUUGUUAUUAGUUAUUGGUAUGAAAUCUUUUCUGGAUUACAUGUAAAUCGGGAAAUUUAUUUGCUUUUCAUUUAUAAUUUACAUUUGUUUCUCGACUUUAGCAUUUUUCUGUAUAUUCUGAUACUUAAAUGUUUAAGAUCUUCCUUAAUCUAUUCGAAUUUGCAUUUUUCCGUGCAUUUUUUGUUGUUGAUGUAUGAUUUGAUUUAAUUUUCAACCCUUUUGGAUUGUUUUCGAUUCGAUAUUUGAUCACCUUUGGAUAUAGGCUGAAGAUUUGAUUUUUUUCAACAAGACAUUAUCUUCAUGUGUUCUGUAUAUGCAGUAAUGCUGAAUGAAUAAUUUCUCCGUGUUUUCGUGUUACGAUUGUAAAUUUUGGUUCAUCACUUCCAUUUUUGGCUCUUUCGUUGCUCCAUGCAUCUGCAUGAAGUAAAUGAUUCGUAGGAAAGAAUAAUAUGUUACUUCAGUUAAUCCGAUUGUUGCGUCAUCUUAUGUCUCUUUUGUAUUUUUUAGACGUACGUUGCUCUUAAGAUUCAGAAAAGUGCAGCGCAGUUUGCUCAAGCUGCUCUUCAUGAGAUUGCAAUUCUUUCCAAUAUCGCGGACGGUGACCCCACGCACUCCAAGUGUGUUGUGCGGCUGAUUGACCAUUUUAAGCAUGCAGGUCCGAACGGGCAGCAUCAGUGCAUGGUCCUUGAAUUUCUUGGUGAUAGCUUACUUCGGCUGAUCAAGCAUAACCGUUACAAAGGCCUUAAAUUAUAUAAAGUUAGGGAGAUCUGCAAAUGCAUAUUGAUAGGUCUCGACUAUUUGCAUCGAGAACUUGGUAUCAUCCACACUGACCUAAAACCCGAAAACAUCCUUCUUUGUAACACCAUCGAUCCUGCCAAAGAUCCAGUCAGGGCUGGCCUCACACCAAUUCUAGAAAGACCUGAAGGGAACCUGAACGGUGGAGCCACCAUGACUCUUAUUGAGAAAAAGUUGAAAAGGAGGGCAAGGAGGGCAGUUGCUAAGAUUUCGUUGAGAAGAGAUCUAUGGGAGGUAAUGAACCUCCCAAGCCUGAAAGAAACCUAGAUGGGAUUGAUGUAAAGUGCAAGGUUGUUGAUUUCGGAAAUGGAUGUUGGGCCAACAAGCAACUUGCGGAAGAGAUUCAAACAAGGCAGUAUAGAGCUCCUGAAGUUAUACUGCGAUCUGGUUACUCAUACUCAGUUGAUAUGUGGUCAUUUGCCUGCACUGCAUUUGAACUUGCGACUGGCGACAUGUUGUUCGCUCCAAAGGUGGGACAAGGCUUUAGUGAGGAUGAGGUAAAGAUGGUUUCACUUUUACACCAUUGUAUUAAAGUUUUAUGACAAUGUUGCGAAUGUUUGUAUAGCAUACUCACGAAUUUGUCGCAAAAAAAGUUAUAAAUAUUAUCCGUUUUUCCAUAUUUGAAAAUUGAAUAAACCCUAUUUUUUGCCUUAUAAAAGCUUUGAACCCCAGCUCCCAAGAUAAUUCUAAUAUAUGUAGACGGGAAUUUCUCUCUACGAACAAUUUGACAUUUUGAAUUUGGUUAAUGUUAUCGACUGUCUUUAUUUCUUGUGAAUUACUUGGAGUUUGUCAAAUUUGUGCGAUUGGUCAUGUUUUGUAGAGAGUACCCUAUUUUCCACUGCCUUCUGCUUACUGGUUUGCAAUCGAAAUAUUUGUUGGAUUGAUUGCAGGACCACCUUGCGUUGAUGAUGGAACUCCUUGGAAAGAUGCCUCGAAAGGUGAUAUUCUAAUCCUACAUCGCACUUAUAUUUCUCCAAGACAUUUAUCUGAUGCCAUUCAUAUCUUAUGCUUGGGUUUUCAGGUAGCGAUUAGCGGAGCUCGUUCCAAGGACUUCUUUGACCGACAUGGUGAUCUAAAGAGAAUCCGAAGGCUGAAGUUUUGGCCACUUGAUAAAAUACUGAUGGAUAGGUACAAAUUUUCAGAGACCGAUGCUCGGGAGUUUGCAGAUUUCCUUUGUCCAAUUUUCGACUUUGCACCAGAGAAGCGGCCAACAGCCCAGCAGUGCCUGCAACAUCCGUGGAUCAAUCGCAGUACUUCGAACCAGAACGAGAUGAAAAGCAAGUCAAAUGUGGAAAAGGUGAAUGUUGGGAUGAGCAACCCGCAUAUUAAGGUUGGCAAGUGAAGAAAAAGAUUGAAGGAUGACGAUGCUGGCAACUCCUACCGCACCCUUUCUAAGGCUUCCGAACAACUCCACUCCGCACGUACGACCCUAUUGAUUGCGAUUUAAUUUUGUUUGUUACUCGACUAAUAAGAAUCAUUAUUUUUUUUAUUAACUAUUAACUAUAAGAGUUGUAAAUUAGUAACGAUUUUUGUGAGAAACGACGCCGAAAAAUUCGGAUAGAGAAUUCGACUGUCGUUUUGGAUAUAUGCCCCUGGUGGCUUGUAAACACAUGUAUGUGUUCCCCACACCCUGUAUACUGAUGAUGAUUGAUGACUUUCUUGAUUGAUAUAGGGUUUUAGGUUUCUUAAUCCCUUCUUGACUUUUGUUUUGCUCUCUAAUCCUAAUCCUAUUCCCACUUUCUUGAGAAUGGAAGAUGAAUGCAUCUUCUGUACAGAUUCCAGAUUCGUGCUUAACGGGAACAUAAUUCAAUGGAUUGUGAUGAACCUAUACUCGAAUAGAGAAUGUGUGAAUUGUCGAUUUAACUACUACAUUUUAAUUGGAAUUUGGUUAUUCACCGUGUACAAGAAUUCCUGCUAAGCAUCCAUGGUUGAAUGGUUAAAACUCCAAUAUAAGAUGGCGUUAAGAGUUUGAUAAGAGCGCACAUCUUCAGCACGAGGGAAUAUUUAAUCAAAACAUUAAUUAAUUAUUGCUGUAACAAUUUAAACCCUAAUAAAGAACAGUGAAUAUCUCGAUCAAACUCCUUACCUACUUUUUUUUUAUUGUGACAUAACAGUCCACCAAUCCGUGUUCGUUUAUCUUUUCGAUUGUUCGAUCAGGUGGGAAGUGGGCGGGCUGGUCCUAAACAUUAAUAAAUAAACUGACUUAUAACAAAUCAAUUGACAAAUGAAAUGAGUUUUUAUUAUUUUUUGCAUCUGAAAGUUAAGUUCUACAUGCUUAACUCAAGUAGUCAGUCUAAUGGUAUUCAUGUUCUUUUAGAAAUGAGAAAUCUUAGAUUCGAAUCAUCGUAAAUGACAAAUUCGAACCAAUUUAAACUGCUCAUUAAAUGAUUUUAUUGAGCUCUCUCUCUCUUUAAUAUAAAAAUAUCAAUGUACUAAAAACAAAUGAAACCCAAGUGUGAUCACCGCCCCCAACAUACAGCGGGCCCACUUCGGAAAAAUAAAGGUUUCAUGCCUCUGUUUUUUGUUACUGCAGACGUACAACAGCAACUUCUGAAACUAUUGACCAUGGCAAUGUACUGACAUCAUGAUUUUUUUUUUAAUUUUUAGUAUACGUUAGGGAUACGGAGAUGCAAAAUGUCGGCUGAAAAGCUUUUAUAAUGAAAGAGUAAAAUAUUUAUAGGAUGAUUUAUUCACACACUUAUUUUAAUUUCAACACUCUCAUAAUUUAUGGUAUUGGAUUGAAUUAGUUGAAGAUGAUCAAAAGAUUUCAACACUCUCUCAAUUUUUGGCGUUAGAUUGAAUGAGUUGAAGAUGAUCAAAAGACAUAAAUUAACAUCAAGCGUGAAAGGUAAAAUGAGUAUAAUAAAAUGUAAAUAUAAAUCUUUUUUUUAUCCAUUUUUAGAAGAUAAGCCCCUUGAGUUAUAGAGAAAAAGAAAUGAUCUCAAAUUUACACCAUUGGAGUAGAAUGAAAUAUAAAUGUGAUUUUGAUAUUUCGGAUGCAUCUUUCUACUGGAGAUGCUCUAACAAUAUAUCCAUUUACUGUUAGGUGUGGUUACUAGGUUGUUGAUUAAGGAUCUAACUGUUAACAUUAGCCCUUUUAGGCCCACACAACGACAUAAGCCCUAGGAAAGACUAAGAAGCCCAAGGCCUAUAAAGUUCAAAAAGAGGGCCGACCCUAGUGCUUAGGCCAACUGAGAAAAAGAAGGAUUACACGACCACGCAGAACGCGUGGGCAUGCUGACAACUUAUGGCACAAGUCUUCAAUGACAGAACAACUCAAGUGCUACUCAUACUAUUCAACAUUGUGCAGACAAUAGUAGAGACCUAGGAUGGGACUUAAGGGCAAUUAGGGUAGUGCUUAGCAAAGCGACGCAGAGUAACCGAGGUUCGAGUGAGAUGCUCGGGCGACCUGGGUGUUGAAAAGACGUGUCAUCUGACUGCUAGAAUGUCACUUUGCUGUCGAAGGCAUGGCCAAAUAGGUGAAAAGUUGUUGGUAAGUUAGUACAAGCGGUUGGCACAUUGAAUGUUAGUUUGAGAGACCUCAAGAGGGUAAGGCCUAUAUAAAGGGGUAGAGACCUCCAUUAUAGGGGUCAGACGAAUUGGAGAAAAUAGAGUUAAUGUAUUAGCCGAGCACUAUUUAUCUUUGAAAUCAAUAUAUAAGAGCAAUACAGUGGAUGUAAUUUAGUUUUGAGGGGUAAACCACUUAUAUCAUUGAGUCCAUUAAUUUUAGCUCAUCUUGCAAGGCCAUUUAGUUUCAUUUAGUUAAGUUUGUUAACCUUAUAAUUUGAGUGUUAACACUAACAAUUGAAAAUCUCAAUGUUUAAAAUGUACCCAAACAUACUAGAAAUUUUCAAAGUGAAAAUUUUGAAGGCUGAAAAAAGGAAGUGAAAAUCUUCCUACAUCUUACUCGCCAGUGAAUGAAACACCUACAUUUGAGUUCCUUUCUGGCGGGUGGAUGCCACACCCGAACUCAGCUCUCUCCAGUGAGCUCGUGCCCAAUAUUUUUUUGAGAUUUAGGUGGCUGUUGGAUUGGUUGGUAGCAUAGUAUUUUAGACGUUUUAGAAGUAUUUUAGUUUUGCUCUUUAAGGUUAGUUUUAGUUAUUUGACUUGAAAAGUUCAAAGGAUAUGUCAUGAAAAGGUAAAUGAUUCCAAUUAAUAUUUGGCUCCGAAAGCUUUAAAUCUCGAAGUAAGAUUUUCUCCUCUCUCAUCCCCUUCCCUUCUAUUUCACUUUCAUUUUUGUCUCUCUCUAUAAAAAAAAGUCAAAACAAGAUGUUGAUAAUCGUGAUUGACUGUUCAAAAAGGAGGAGAUUGAAGGAGAGGAAAAUUUGAAAGGAAGAGAAUCCUACAAUAUGGAACUGUACUACUAGUUCAAUAUGGAAUUUUCCUUUUUAGCAUAGACCGGCUGAUAAUGUAAAUCGAGAUUCAUAACUUUUAAAUUUUUAGUCAUUCAAUUAUUGGUUAAGGGUUCAUAGUUAUAAAUCUCGAUCUGUUCUAAAAUUUUCAUUCAUUGUAAUAUGAAAAACAAGACAGUGUUUAAAUUGCUGCUUUCAUGAUGAAUUUAGGGUUCGAAUUACCGGAAAAAAGUCGGUAUCAUACGAAGUUCAGUUGCCGAAAACUGAUACUGCCAAAUGUCGAGAACCGAUCGUCUUUUCUAAUCGAAGGACAAUCAUUGUUCUUUUUUAUAUUGCAACAGCAAAGUACCUAAGUUACCAGAUCACAGAGGAUUAGUUCAUUGAUUUCAUGAAGAAUUUACCCCAUUUAUGGAAAGAAUUAACCCCCUUCAUUAGUUUCAUGAAACAACAAUCUCAGACAGUAAAAAUUUCAAAUGAAUAUAAUUACCGAAGACAAUGAGAGUUGUUUACAUCUAUGAGCACACCAGCAGUAAUUAUUGUGCAACAUAUCAACAAAACACUAGACAUUCUAAUUGCAUCCCUGUUAUCUCAGCUUCCCGAGCAACAGGCGAUUCGGACGAGCGGGUAAACCACGACGGAUGCAAGUAAUGUAACAUCUAAAUUUACAAGUAGUCAGUUUCAAGUUCAUUACAAACCCAGACGGAGCGGAAGAAAAAAGGGUAAUGAAAUAAGGCCGUUUUCUAUAAGACGUGAAAUCGUGAAUCCUACCUCAGCUAUCCAAUCCUAACUCAUAGCUCACCACAACAAUAUCGUUUCGACAUCAAGAUUGCAUGACUUUGUUUUGAUUCAUGCACGCCGGAGCCUUAAAAUCCUUGCAUUUCCACACCGGUGUGGCUUCAAUUGGCAGCAUACUAUCGGCAGAAGACUCCACAGGGAACAAAGGCUUCUUUGCGGCAGUAGGGUUACCCAUGUUCAUGUCAAUCAAUGGGGAGCCUCGUGCAUCCGUAUCUUCUUUCAGAUUUGCUUGAUCCCUGAAGGUGCAAUUGCUCAACGGCAACUUUUUUAGCUUCACUCUUCCCCUCUUUUUACCGGUGGUACUCGCAGCAUCCCAAUUUUUCUCCGUACGACUUGAUUCUGCUUCUCCAUUAUCCAUCUCCAUUCGACCUGCUCUAUCAGGUCCACCAUUUUCGUACAUGUCUUGGAUGGUGCCUUCAACGUUGACCUUAUCUGCUACAGAAUGUCCAUUGCAAGUAGACGCUGGGCCUUGUUCCAAUACAAUUACCCCAUUGGGAACCCUAACUUUCUCGGAACCAUGUGAAAUUUUAGGCUUCUUGUGUUUAUGACCCUUGCCAUCAGCACUUGAUGAAUUCUUCGUAAUUCUCGGAGAGCUAUUUAUAGCUCUGUGCAAUUUCCGGGCCAACUCUUCGUCCUUCUUACAAUUUUCAAUUGGUUGGUAUUUUUUGUACAAGAGCUGAACUGGAACAUGCUUCUUCAGCUUGUUCUUUUUCAGGUGUUUUUCCUUGCCUGCUGCCUCUUCGGAAAAAGAGGCAACCAAAUCUAAAGCACUCUUCGCUGCAGCCACUGCCUUUGCAGCUAUUGCAGCUUUUUCCUCAGCUGCAGUUCUCGCAACCUCUGCAGCCUUUGCUGCAGCAGCAGCAGCCGAAUUCGAGACCUCUACCAGCUCCUCGGGCGAAAGAUUAGUAUGAGAACUCAAUAUACUGUUGAGGCGAGUGUUAAAUUCACUUGAAGAAUGCGAAGAAGAAGAAGAUGCAGAAGCCGAAGCUGAUGCUGAAUCUGCAGCUGCAACUGAAGUAGCAACUAGAGACAGCCAUGCAGCACUAUCACCCUCCGGACUCUGUUUCUUCAAUCCAGCAAGCAGACGCUUUCGUGGAGGUAGAAGGACGUCAGCGUCCAAAUGAUUGACAUCACAGAUGUUUGCCUCCAUCAGUACGCUUCCAGUAUACCCCUUUUACACUGCAAUGAUAAUUACUCUCCACAGAGGGGAAAUGACCACACCAUCUACAUAACAAUAAGAAUUCAAUCAAGUUUCGAUGAAAAGACAAGUACUUGAUAUAUGAAAUACCCAAAUAGAAAAACCCUAAAAAUGUUGAGGAAUACUAAGGCCUACUAAACCCAAAACCGAAAUCAAAUCAACAUACACAAAUCGUUUGUUUACUGGUGAAAAAACCCGGAGGAAAAGAAAGAAACUUCAAAUCAAAAUACACAAAUUGGUGGCUUCAAUUUUCGAUAAAACUUAAACCACAAUAACCUCGACUAAAUCCUGGGAGUUUACAUAGCUAAAUUGAGUUCCUUUCUUCUUCCUCAAUCAUCCUAGUAACUUAAGAUAAUGAAAAACAACCGGAAAACCACAAAUUACCUUGCCCUUAUCCAACCCUCAAAAUUUUCCUGAGAAACAAACAAAACUUAAUCAAAACCGCAUCCAACAAUUCAACAACAACAACAACAAGGCAGCUGAAUCAUAAGCAUCACAAUCACAGCAAAAUUCAAACACACCAACUCAAAUUAAUCACACAAACAAGAUCGGAAGCAGGCAAACAAACGGACAAUAAUCCGAACCAAUCCGUAAUCCCAAAAAGCUCAAUUCACUAGAAUUCAACAAAUCAAUGCAAGUUUCAACUGCCAUUACCGAUAAUUCUAUCAAAAUUCAAUACAAAAUGAUCAGAACAGAGAGAGGAGGGCAAGCAAAAAAAAUACCUGAUCUUAUUGCUAAAAAUUUGUCCGUCUCCUUGAGACAAAGGAGAGAGAUAAACGGCAGAGCUGUAAUUAGGGUUUUCAGGGGGAGAGAGAGGUGGAAGAAAAAUCAGGGUGGUGGAAGAAAAAUGGAAGAUGUUGUUUGUUCCCCCUAUAUAUAAAUAAAUAAAUAAAUAAAUAAAUAUAUAUAUAUAUAUAUAUAUAUAAUUUCGAUUGGUUCUGGUUCUAGAAUCCCAAAAUCCCCACAAUUAAACCCACCAUUUUUAUUUCUUAUUUUUACCCCCAAUUUAUUCACUCUCUCCUCAUCUCAUGCCACCAUGGCAUCACCAUGCAUUCAUGCUUUUGCUUAUUCAUUCCAUGACAAAUGCUAAAUAAUGUAUUCAAAGUGAGAUUUUUUAUAAAUUUUUUGUUAUUUUAUGUUUUUGACAUAUAUUUUAUAAUCUUGGAACAGAACAGAAAAUUAACAUUAAACUGUGAAGUAACAGAGAAUCUAUGGACUAAUGUUAAUUCAUUUAUGAAUGCCAAGUUCAUCUUUUCUCAAGUUUGUUAUUAACUGAAUUAAUUAUUUUCCUUUUUAAUACAUUCAAACUCGAACAUUAACCAACUGGGUUACAAGUGAUUGGCCGACCUAAUUAGCCGUAAGUAAUUUGGAUUGGACCGACUUGGAUGGAUUAGCUCUUUUUUUUUUGGUUGAAAGGGUAUGUAAUCAUGACUGAUUUUUGUUUUAGGUGGUGGUUAAUUGAGUUUUAUAUUGAAUAAUGUUGUAUUGUCCAAAUCCUAACUUGAUGGACAUUGGAUACUAACUAAACUUAAUCUUGAGCAUGUUAGGUUUAAGUAAAUUACUCCUCUACCCGUUGUCCUAAUUUUUUUAAUUUUUAACAUGGAGAGCUUGCUUAGUGUUACUCUUAUUUAUUAAUUUAGAUAUUUAUUUUUAUCGCAAAGAGCUUGGUUAGUGUUACUCUUAUUUAAUAAUCAUAUAUCUAUUUAUCUUAUAUGGAUAUAAAUAAAUAUAGGGGUAGAUUCGUAAUUUACCAGAAGACAUCAGCUUCAAGUGAAAGGGAUAACGACUGCUUGAAUCUGUGAAUUACAUUACCUGCGGGAUACUUUUACAUGUCGCCUGUCAGCCUUCUAUAAAAGGACAGGGAUCCUCUCCCCGCGAGACCCUUCCAUCAACUUCAUCAAAUCAUCUAAUUUAGAUUUUUAAAAUUUAAUUUAACGGUUAAAAUUAUUAUAAUUUUUUAAAAAUAAUUUUCUGUUUGUAACCGUUGAAUCAAAUUUAUAAAAUCUAAAUUGAUUGAUUGGAUAGAUUUUGUGGAAGAGAUUUUCCUCCUAUAAAAUAAAUAGAAGCAGACAUAUACCGCUCAAGCGCCACGUGUUAGGGUUGCUACUAUCAGCCAAUGACGUUCCAACUGUGAUUCACCUAGGCCAUGCCGCGUGUACGAUUAUCAAAGCCCGCUCAAUCUUCACGGGUCCUCACACUCGCGCAAACGGCGGUUAAAGAUUCAGUUAACUGGAGUCUGACACUGAACCGCCUUUUUUUUGUCCAAACCCGCGAAAUCGGAGGGCUCCGAACCGUCGUCUGAUCAUCCAAACGACGUCGUCGUACCUAAAGCCCAAACCCCUAAUUUUUCGAAUUCGUUCUCGCAGUUAAGCUACGGAGCAUUUCAAUUCGCCAAUACAUUUUCCUUGUCUCUGUUUGUUUGCCGAGAAAGUGCGGGAAAAUUGAACAAGGUAACAAUUUUUCGUUUUCUGUUAGUUAAAUGAUUGGAAAUUGUCGUCGUUGUAGGUCUCGAUGAGGGGCGUAAAGCCGUUGCCGGAGGCGGUGCGUAGCUCGAUGCGCUCUGGAGUUGUUCUGCUCGAGCUGACUAGCUUUGUGGAGGAGCUGAUUUUUAAUAGCUUGUAUGCCGGCGCAACGAAGGUAAUUGCUUUAUGCCAUUUAAAGGUGUAAUUAAGUCGUUUUAAGUAGUAACGAUGGCAAAAAAGUUAAUUAGCUUCACAACUGUUUGUUUAUGGUCUCAGGUAUCGGUUUUCGUAGGUGUUGGGACAUGCUAUGUAAAAGUAGCGGAUGAUGGUCAGUGCUGAUCUUCCUCUUUCGGUUAUAAUCUAAAGAAUGUUAGGUUUUAGGUGUUGUUCACAACAGAAUUGCUCUAGGCCUUUGUGCAAGUUUUUCUCCGGUUGACUUUUCCUCUAUUUUUCAUAGGGAUGCAAAUGUUUGUAUCUUGGAAUGGAUGAUAACAGGAAGGAUGUGGGUACUACAGGUACCGACCUAUUACUGUUCCUAUUGUCUUCAUUUAAGCUUGUCAAACUUUCUAACGUUGCAUCUUUGUUUAUGGAAAUGAUUUCAUUGAAGGUUAUCAACCAUGAUCACUUUGACGGGUUCUGUUACAUUACCAGGGAUAAAUGCUUAUUGGCGUUUUCCCUGGAUAAUUCCACCUACAUUAAGAAUUUGAUUAAUCACUUGGUUGUCGUUGUAGUUGUUGUUCGUGAUCUGUUCUACAAUCAACCAGUUCGGAGGAAGUACAUGCAAUCCAGGUGCCAGUCCUGAACCAUUUUGUUUUCUUUAUGUGGUUUAUAUAAGAUUUUUUUCAGCUGCCUUAAACAUGAUAGUGCAAUGAAAUAAACUGACUUGAUCUGACUUUUGAUUUCCAUUACAAACUGGAAGCCCCAAGAAAGUAUUGCACUCUGUCAAUAAAUGUGUACAUCGGAUCGCCCUUGUGCACUCAAAUGUUUCCUUCAAAGUUGUAGACAUUGAAAGGUUUCUUCUAAACACAUUUUCUUGUUGAAAAAUGUAUGGUUGUUGUUAUUUAUUUCUUUGUUUAUUAACUUACUUACUCCAGUAUGUAUGUAGUGAGGAUGAGCUUCUUCGUACAACUCCUUCUCCCUCUCCCUUGAUACUAUUGAAAAGGACUUUUGGGACUGAGAUCUCCAAUGCUCUUCAUGAAUUGAACAUAAGUGAUGGCAGAUUAGAGCUUUCUGGAUACAUAUCUACUCCUUGCAAUAACCUUGCUGAUAAGGUAGAUUUAUAUGAAUGAUGCAGAUUAUUUUGUACUUUUUUAAAUAUUAGUAUCCUUGUUUCUUAUUCUUGAAACAUCUAUUUUUCAGGCCUUCUAGUAUGUCUGUAUCCAUGUCCAUAUUUUGGAGAAUAUUUACCAAGUUAUAGAAGGAGUGUGUUAGGUCUGAGAUGAGUUAUAUUUUGUUCUUGAUCUUGACGCUGGUAGAUAUUAACUCACGGUUCGUUUGCAAAGGGCCAAUUCAUAAAUUGCUUAAUCAGCUGGCCAAUAGUUUUGAAUUCUGGGAUCCAGGGAAGGCUAUUGAUGGGUCUAAAAAUAGGAAGCAAAGUAGGCCUAAGGCAUUCACAGCUUAUGUUUUGAAUUUAAGCUGUCCCCGAACAUUCUAUGAUUUAACCUUUGAAUCAUCAAAGACAUAUGUGGAGUUUAAGGUAACUUUCCUUUUUUACUGUGAGUUGUGAUCUAUGUAUCAUAUACGAUCUGCUGAAUGUUUUAUGCUUCUUGUUCUUCUCUCACUUUGGCCAGGAUUGGGUUCUGUACUCACCUUUAUUGAUAAUGCCAUUAAGAACUUCUGGACGAAAAAAUGCCUGAUGGUACACCUUUACCCCUGGCUUGUUUCUGAGAGCUUCUUUCACUUUUGUUGGUGUGAAGACAUAUUAAUGGAACAUUAUUUUGGUAUAAUGUUUUUUUUUUUUUAAAGCGUAUUAACCUCUAGGAUAUUUCUAGGGAAUCUGGUUGUCAUGGAGCUGAUAUUUUAGAAGAAAAUCAAAUGCGGAAGAAAGGUGGCAACAUUAAAUCUGCAGAUGAAAGUAAGGAACAGAAUUUUUUUUCCCAUUUUCAUUAGACACUGUGAAAUGAAUAUGAGUCCUAUCUUUUAGUUUCUUCAAUUCAUUUUUGUGCUACGGAAUUAAAAGAUGUUACUUUGGUUCAGUUUUUCCUUGGCUCAUAUCCUUUCUCUUGCUAGAUUUACUUGAUGGAGAUUUGUCAGAACUCUCUAAGUUCGGGAAAAGAAAGAGCAGGAAAAGUUGUCAGGCUUCUCCCGACCUUAUGGAUAUGUUAAUUCAAGAAGACAACCAUACAUCUCAGAAGAGAUACGUCAGAAAGCCAUUUGAAUAUACUGAAGCCUUCAAUUUCCAAGGGCAAUAUAUUGGGAUUGAAUUUAGUUCUCAUACUGCAUAUUCUUUUCAAUCACGGGAUGAUACUCUAGACAAAUGCGUGGUAACAACAACUCAAAAGAAGGAAGACCAUUUUUGGAAGUCAGAUAUCAAACGUUUCUCUGGUGAAGAUUAUAUCCUUGAGAAUAGAUCCCGUGGUGGAGAAAGAUCCAGUAAUGUGGAGGACAAUAUCUUUAGCUCAGAAUGGCAAGAUGAACCCUUUAAAGUUGAUUCCAGUGUUGGCAUUGAUUCAGCAACUAGUAGAGUAUCUUAUGAUCAUCAUGAAUUUGAUAGCGAUGUAGAGUAUUUAGUACAGCCGUUCCUCAAGAAUUGUUCCUCAAAAGAAAGGUUUCUAUGUGAGAGGGAUUUGUGUGUGGAUGAUGGGUCCAGAUAUCAAAAUGAUGGCUUCGGGAACAAGAGAAGGCGGGGCGGAUCUUAUAACUGUGUACGAAUUCCAGAAAUUGAUGGCAGCAAGGGUUUUGAUUUCUUUUCAAGGACUUUGUGGCCAGAAAAGGAAUCUACUGCUCGGCCCUUGACCAGAGUUGUAACAAAAUUUGACCUGCCUACAGAGUUCAAUUCUUCGUCAAGACCUUUAAUAAAGUCGCUCCCACACUAUGAGGAGCUGUUUUAUGAAGAAGGUUCAGUUAUUGAUGUAGAGAACCUUGGUUCCUGCCAAAAGACCUUAAAUAAUGAUUGGUGCUCUUUGACCUCCCUAUCCCAAAACACCUAUUUGGAUUUUGAACCUAUCUCUGAUAUUAAUGCAGUUUAACGGCAUUAUAGAUAUGUUAAAAGGGCAACUAAUAAGUAUUUUGUGGAUAGUGAAGAAAAGAACUGCACAUUUAGUUAUGAUAUAAUAUCAAAGAGGUCCUUCUGAGAGCACUGCACUACAUAUAAAGACCAUGGACUGGAUGUUAGUGAUUAUUUAGAUUCUGGAAAAUUCUUUCAACUGCACAACUUAGAUGGUGAGUUUUCUCUUGAAUGCCCAGAUAUAUUAGCUGAUGAGACGGAUUGGUCAUGUUUGCAUCCGUGCAGCAAAGAUAACAAGGGUACUGACUUGUAUAAAAUACAAAAACAUAAGUUUAGAGUUCAAGAUUGUCUACAAAAUCAAUCUUCCAUAGGAAGAUUGAGAAGAAGCCAUUCUACUCCACCAUUUUAUAGAAGCCAGAGGAGGUACUUUACAUUAAGUCAUCCUUUGACAACAACAGCCAGCAAACCUGAUGCACAAACCUUUCGUGAUGCACCUACUUAUCCAGGUAUUAUCAUGUGAUUUUCCCUUUAAGCCUUGGCAGCUGAUAUCGAUUCAGACUAGCUAAUACACCUUUUUGUGCAGAAGUUAGCAAGAUGAAGGAUCUCCAUCAACCUUCUGGUGGUUACCAUCUAAAUUUGAAGCCAAGUUCUGUUGAGGAUUUCCCACUAGACACCAGGUACUUGAACUUCAAUUAUUUUCCUGUCACAUCAUAUUUUCUUUUAAUUUAUUGACUUUAUCCUCUCAACUGUCAAAUUUUCUUUCAGGGCAGAUAUUGAGAAAUCUCAAGAUAUAGAGGCUGGUGUAAACAAGAGUCACGAAGUUGAAAUGUUUGAACAGUCCACAUGUUCUGAGAUUCAAGCUACUGCUCCAAUUAAAGGUAUCUUGUAUGUUUUUUUUUCUUUUUUUUUUUUUUUUUUUUUUGUUUGUUUUGAACAAACUAUAUUAUCUACACUAAGGGGGAGGGGGUUUAGCAAUAAUGAGGUUCAAAUUCGCCUUUGGUGAGAAUUAAACCUAAGACCUCUCACUUACAAGUGAAGAGGAAUACCACUUGACCGCAGUACUCAGUGGCCGGUAUCUUGUAUGUUUAUUAUGCACCAAGUGCAAUCAAUACUUGAAUGCUUAUUAUAUAAAAUUACUUCUGAGCCAAGAUGGGAUCAUCGCUAUAAUUGCUUGCCACAAAAGUUUGCAUCCACUUAAUCAACUUGUAAUUAUAAAUGUAAUUUUGUAUAAUGCAGAACUCAAGUAAAACACAAGCUCUUCAUGAUCAAAACAUACUCAAUCUCUUCUGGAUUCUUGCUUCUCUCAGCUGACUCGUUAGUUCCUCAAUCUAUCAACAAGAACUGCCUCAGUGAUUGCGGAGUUCUUCGGCAGGUGGAUAAGAAAUAUAUUGCAGUUAUGGCCGGUACUACACUUGCUGUUAUUGACCAGGUCCGUUUGUUGUGUAUUUUUUUAGGGUGGUAUUUAAGUUUUGGUUUGGGACUUGUGCUCUUCUGUAAGUCAGCACUAAGUUUCUUGUUAAAUAAGGGGCACCUACACUUCACUUAUAGAUUACAGCAAUAGGUAUCUGAUCACUUUCUUUACUUGCCCAAAAGUGGCCUUCAGAGAGGAGGAAAUAAACUUAGGAUGUAAGUUUAUAUAUGAAAAUAAGAGAAAAUUGUAUGUCUUCAAAAUAGAUGCAUAAGCGUAAAUAUGCAGUACAUGCAGCUGUUCAUAAAACAUUGGCUACAUUCAUACUAAGUGUCACAUGCACACGAGUGCAGCUGGAGUUCCAACUUUGACCGCAAUUCUUUUCUACAGCAUACUGCAGAUGAAAGGAUUCGGCUGGAGGAGUUGCAUCAGAAGGUAUUAGUAUCUUUCCUGUUUAAACUGUUGGAAAUGAUGUUGCUACUUUGGCUUACAUGACUAGUUGGACUACCUAGGUGUUAUCUGGAGAAGGAGAAGCAAAGGCAAUUACUUUUCUGGAUGUUGAACAAGAGUUGGUAUGUAGUGUAUCUGAUGCUAAAUGAAGUUUAAUGGUUGCAUUCCUUGACUCUUUGGUUCUUAUAAUCAUAAUUCAGGUGCUGCCAGAGAUUGGCUACCAGUUACUGCAUAACUAUGCUAAACCAGUUGAAGGGUGGGGUUGGCUCUGCAACACACUUGCUGAAGGUUCAGGGUCCUUCAAGAGGUAUUUUACGUCCCGGCAUAUUUCUUAUUUAAUAAUAAUUUAUCAUUUACAAAAGAGUAUGAUGUCCAGCAUUAUAAAGUUAUGAAUAUAACACUAACUUGGUAGGCUUCUGCAUUGCUAAUUUGAGUGUCGAUAGAUAAACUCUACAAGAAUAUUGGGCUGCACCUAAGGAUUUGAAAUUCUUGUAAUAGCAAUCUUGAGUUUUCGGUUACACAAUUGUGUUAUGAUUCAGCGUCUAACGUGCAUGUACUAGUGUUUGAUUUCACUGUUAUGUAUUCAUCUAUUAAAUGUUGUUGCUUCUUUUACCUCAUUUUGCUUUUCAUGCUUGGUGUUACAAAAACGUGAUAAGUUAGACACUACUUACAUGGUUCAUUUAUGAAAUUGUAUUGUAUUUUCUGAGACCUUAUUAUUUGUGUACCCUGAAUUUUGGGAUUUAACCAUUUGGCAGGCAUUUGAAUCUCCUCCACAGGCAGCCAACAGCUGCCACACUUAUUAGGGUGAAGCACCCAUCACUUCUCAAUUAUAACUCUUCCAUUCACCUUUUUUAUUAGUUCAAAGCAUGUUGAACCAAGAUCAUUUACCCAUCUCGAUUUCAUUUGUUUAGUUCGAAGUAAUGACGAUAUGAAACUGCCUCUCACACGUUCACGUUAAAUGGGAUGCAGGUGCCCUGCAUCCUAGGUGUCAAUUUAUCUGACUCGGAUGUUAUGGAAUUUCUUCAGCAGGUAAUGUAAAGCGUGCCUUUAAUUCUAGGACUUCUUUCCUCUCUUCUUGUGUUGAAUUUCUUUAUCAUUCCCCAACUUUAGUUAACUAAUGCCUGACACAGCUUUCUGCUCAAUCUUCAGCUUGCUGGUGCAGAUGGAUCAUCCACAACGCCGCCAUCAGUUCUUUGAAUCCUAAAUUCUAAAGCAUGCAGAGGUAAAUCUGAACCUCAAGGCUCUCCCUUGAGGCAAACUAGCCUUGUUCGAAUAUAUGGACCUAAAGAUUCUUAAACUUGGUGCCAUUAAGGCCUUUCCACCGAGUGUAUUUUCAUUCACAAACUGGAAAGUCAACCUUUGAGUUGGUAUAAUUAUACUGACAAAAUAACCUUUUACUGUUUUUACCUCUUUACACAGUGCAUGCCUGAUAUCAAAUUUCCAGACAAGUUUUUCUUACAUAUGAAUUUAGUGCUUGUAUAUAAAUAAUUAUUUAUUUAUAUAAUUUCCUUCUCUUGUUAGGUGCAAUUAUGUUUGGGGAUUCCUUGCUUCCUUCCAGAGUGUAACCUCAUCGUUGAAGAGCUAAAGCAGACUUCUCUAUGUUUCCAAGUAAGUGAUCUUUAGAGGCUAAGAGACAGCUUAUGGAUGUGAGUGUGAAUUUGUAGUGCCUGGGAGAGGCUUUUAUGUUGGCUUAUCGAAAAACUAUGAAAAUUUUGUAUUUCAGUGUGCUCAUGGUCGACCAACAACUGCCCCACUUGUCAACUUGGAGGCGUUGCAUAAGCAAAUAGCUAAGAUUGCAUCGUUGAAUGUUGACGCAGAUCAUUUGUGGCAUGGUUUAUGUCGAGAUGAACUUAGUCUUGAACGUGCAGAAAGACGAUUAAACUUGGCUAGCAGGUAGAGUGAUGUCGAUCCAAUUUUGGUCCAGAGUCAUACUGCCCGGUCCCGCCUGUUCGGAAUUGACACAUUCAAGCUGUAAAUUUGUUCGCAUUCUAUACCUAGUGUAAGCAUGCUCAAAAAUUGAAGCCCCAUUAAAGAAAAACAAUGAUCGAGCUUUUUCAUCAGAAGAAUGAUGAUUCUGUUGUGUGAGCGCUUGAUUGAUCAUGUAAUUUGCUUUCUUCACAUAAUAUCAAUUAAUUUUUAAUUUUCGUUUAAUCAGUCUGGUCUCUACGAAGGGCUACGACAUUCUGUCAUGUAAUCUGCUGUCACCGGGGCUUGUGUUCCUUUGUGUCUACAUCACUCAUUGUGCGAGUAAAUUCCGGGUUUUCACGAAAACACAUAUUCAUGAUAUCUGUGGGGCACCUGGGAUUUUUAAUCAACUUGUGGUUGGUCUAAUCUUUGGUGUCAAGGUAGGCAUUUGGUAAGCAACGAUUUCAAUCAUCUCUCUUGAAUAAAACUCAAAUGUUAUCUACCAAUUUCGGAACUUAUUUGGCUCCAAAUAUAACAAAGUGAGAAACAGGGCCAGGGAAGCAGAAGCGUAAACUCGAAUAAAGAACGAGGACAAAUUUUGAAUUUACAUUGAUUUUGGCUACAAUUAAUUGAAUCAGCAGAUUGUACAAUGUGAUUUGUGUAACUGAUUGCAACAGGAAUCCCUUUGAAUCUUGUUCGAAUCAAAAUUUUCUCCGUUCAUCCUCCGAGUCGUAUCAAUGCGAACUCUAAACAACCAAGUGAUCAAAGAGGAUGCAAUUAGCUCUGCAAAUUAUUCUGCGUUACUUGAGCAAUGGAGGUUUCUAAUGCACAAUUGAAUUAAUCAUCUCCAUCAACCAUCUUCCGUACAUGUGUUUGAGCUUCCUUUAGUACCAGUGGCAGCGCACAAGGCCUUCCAGAUGGGCACCAACAUUUUCAUAGGCGGACGCAAGUCCUGGAAAACAAAGUCAACUUUCAAAAGCCAAGUAAUAAAUAUAAGAUCGGCAGUUUCACCACAUUUAUGCCUCCUAAUACCUUGCGCCAAGCAAUAGCAUGAAUUGUACCUUAAAAACUAACACCAAUUCUGCUUCCCCGUGCACAAUCAAAGACAGGCUCCAGUAACAUGUAACUGGAGUCACACAUUCUAGUAGCACAGGUUUCAAAAUCUUGUCCAUAGGAACGAACCGGCGAAUAACCUUUCCACUAUAAGAGUAAAACACGGAAGGAAAAGAAAAGAGACUAUUGGAAAAACUGAAAAAGCACGGAACUUAAUCAACAAGGAAUACCCACAAAACAAAAAUAGAAGCUACCUCGCAUAGUGAGUUUCUAGUUGAACUCCAAAGGCUGGCAUAAUCACUACGGACUCUGUCAUUAAUACACUAAACAAGGUGAGCACAUGAAGGUGAACUAACACAGGAUGUACCAAUUCAGAGGACAAAAAGUACCAUCACUUGGGUGCUCACCUUUCUCAACACUCUUCUGAAGCAACUUUACAAGGAAUGCAUUUAAAAGGAGACUCCAUAAAACGAUGACAACUGAUUUCUCCUGUUAUUCAUAUCAUCGUUAUGUUAAGUUCCUGAGUUAUGAUGGAUUUAUAUAUAACCAAUAACAAAGAAAACAGACAUAAAAUUAAGAACAAAAUUAUUAUCACGAACAAGUUUCAUCAUCAAUAAACCAAUCCGAAAUCCUACAAUGGUGAAUGGCAACUAAAAGUCUCUAACCAAACUAAACUCAAGUUCCUAAUAUCCUAGUUAAGCUUGGAGCCUUGGAUGUUGGCCUAAUAAGUUGGUAGACAUAAAUUAAGAGGAUAAAAGGCGUACCUUAACCAAGAAAAGAUAGAAGGCGGUAGCUAGAAUAACCAGAGAAAAGAAGUAUCUGAAGAAACCCUUUGCACCACUCUUUUUUACAAUGAUGUGGUGCACGUCAACUGCUUCACAAGGCCACUUACAGUCAUGUAAAUACGUAUAUUUCGAACUAGUUAUAGAUGAACGCAUAUUCCCCCAAACUAAUGAUUCAUAUAAUCGCCCCUUUAUAGCUUCAUCUGCAUAUUCACAAAAGAAACAAUUACUAAUAUUGCAGGGUUGGAAGAAAACUUUUUCAGGAUAAUUGUGUCAUUCAGCGAAGCAAUUGUUACAAACAAUAUUCUAAAAAUUACUCUAAUAUACAGCGAGGGUGAUUCAAACUAGGUUGCAACGGGGCAGGCACGAUGUCCAACUGACGUAACUCACAACUGCAUCUUUCAGUGAAGCUUAAUUUAACAUGAUAGGGUUUGUUUAUUUCACACUGUAAAGCUCACACCUUUAAAACAAUGGCUUAGCUACAUUUUCGAAAUCAAACAAUUUGAAAGCAUUUCCAACAAAUACAUUGCUGGAUUUUUGCCCAAAUUUUCCAUGAAACAAUUAAAAACCUACAAAGAUAAACCCUAUUUUCACAAAUUGGUAAAAAUAAAAGCUUGGCGAUUUCUGUGGAUUAGGUACUGCAUUGACAUUGGCCAACACAAUGCCGAAUCCAUGGCAAUUACGGUUUGAAGUUUGCACUGAAUUGGGAAUUUUUUAUAUGCCCGAAAUCAACUUACCCGAGACGAAGUCCUCUUUCAGCCAGCAAUGGCGAUCGGAGCUAAGGCCUAGAAGCCUCUCAAAUCCUCUUCCUCCUGCCCUUUUCUGCAAACCCUAAUUGUGAAAUCAUGGAAGACGACGACUGCGAUGCGCAGGUAGAAGUGAUGCGUUCGAUCAGAAGAGUGAGUCUGCUGAAAACCCUAAUUUUCGAAAAUUGAUGGAGCUGGCGGAGCACUCAACCUUCGUACUUUCAGCUGCCAAUUAGUGUAGAGAAUACAAACCAACUGGGGAAGUUGUAUGAUGGUAAAGUUAAUUAAACAAAUUACUUUCAUGGUAAAAAUUAAUUUAACCCAUGGCUUAUUAAUUAAAAUGUUAUCUGAAACUACCAUUUAGUCUCAAUUUAUCCUUUAAAACUGAUUUUGUCUCACUUUGCCAUAUGAAAUCUAUAUUUUAAACCUUUUUAGUCUCACUUCACCUCAUCCCAUUAAAGAAAUGUUAAAAAUAAAAAUAUAUUAAACAUUUCACUUUUUACACACCGCAUGAAAUAUGUAAGUUAUCAAAGUUUUCAAGCCUUUUUAUUAGCUUUUCUUUUUUUUUUAAAUUCUAUUUUGUGCGACUGAUCUAAGAUCAUUUUUUUAUGGGUGAAACUCAUGGUUAGGCCAAUUUCAGUUAGAAAGAGAUAUUGGAAUAGGCUUAUCAUGUUUUCUUUCUGUCGUAAUGAGUAUUUUCAAGUGCAAAGUUUACAUUGUCCAGUAUAUGGAUGCCUUACAAGUGAAAUGAACAGACUUGUAACCCUUAUUUUAGUUGAUAUAAUGAUUUUGUAGUCAGAAAUUUUUCUAUUGAUUGAAUAAUUUAUUUUAAAACAAACCCCAAAAGUCAUGGGUUUGAAUUAUAGUUGUCAAAAUAAAAUUAAGAUUAGUUUGUAGACUAGAGGUAAAUAGAUGUUUAACAAAUAAAAAUAUUUAAAAUAUCCUUUAAUUAACAUUUCUUUAAUGGAAUGAGGUGAAAUGAGACCAAAAUAGUUUAAAAUGUUUGUUUCAAGGGGGUAAAAUGAGACAAAACCAGUUUCAGGGAUAAAUUGAGACUACAUGGCAAUUUCAGGGGCAUUUCAAUUAAUAAACCUUGACCAAUUAACAAUAGUUAUAUAACUUAUAUUAGUAUAAUAAUAGUUAUUAAUGGAUUCUUAUCGACAUACGAGAAAUUUUUCAAUCUACCGGAAACAUAACCCGGUACACCAAAUGUCAUUAUUUCUAAGAUAAACUCAAAUUCCCCCAACUCGAUUUUUUUUUUCUUUUUGUCAAAAUUUUGUAACUCAAAUGAGUAUAUCAAUUUUCUUUUGUUUAUAUACAAAUGAUAUUAUAAAUUAUGCUAAUCUACGAAAUAGAGAUUCAAGUUCAAGUUCAAAAUGAGCACACAAACUGUCUUAGUCAACGAAUCUAACCCUCAUUCUAUUAGUUACUGUUACAUUUUGCCAUUUUAGCAAGGGUUUGUGCUUAAGCCUUCCUCGUAAUUACAUAAGAGGAGAUUAAACUCGUAGUUACAGUGAAAGAGAUCGAAGAAUUGACAAUACAAGUCUUUAAAUAAUGCAUUAUAAAUGUAAAUAGAAAUACCAUCUAUUUAAACCAUAUUUUGUAAAUCAAUCUCUUAUUAAAUUAUUACUUAAGUGUUAAUUAAUGCAGAAAAUAAUUGACAUAUUUUCAUAAUUGCACCAAACCCCUCAUGCUGGUGAAUGCAAUGAGUGUAUAGAACCUUCAAUUUCAAACACAAUGACCGGCUUUUCUCUUUUAAGACCAAACUAUAUGUCGUCAUUUCCAUCAUUCCAUCCCCCCAACUAACACAAACACCUAACCUUUCCUUGCAAACAAAGAUAUAAUAAAAUCAUAAAUUAAGCACGCAAAUGCAGAUUAAGCCAGUUGGCAAGAAUAGUGUGCAUGUCCUUUUAUACAAAGAUUUAAAUUUGCCUCCACACAAAUAAAACUUGUUUAAAUUAUCGCCUUGCCAACCAAAAAAGGAAAAGAAAAUAAGUGCAUGAUCUAUUUUUGGCUUCCCAAAAGAAAAUAUUUAAUGUUCAUUCUACUAACAAAGCAAGAUUGAAUAGCCAAGGCUCAAAACACAAAAACCCCAAAGCAAAUUUGCAUGUCAUACUAGUAUAAUAUAUAUCACUAUAUCUAUCUAUCUACUCUCCAUUCUCCAAGUUAAAUUCAGUUGGAGCCACAGCUCUCUGCUAGGGUUAGGCUUGCUAUGUCUCCAUAUUCAAACAGGACCAAACUCACUCUCUCACUCAGGGAUCUACUUCACAAAAUAGCUCAUCAAACAGAACAAAAACUCAGACAUUCCCUAAUGAGCGUCAACUCGUCAGGCCGUAGUCUUCUGCCUCCUGAAAAAGAUUAUAAUUUCCGGCUUCCAUCUUUCCGGUCAUCAGCUCAUGCCCUGAAAAAGUAGAUGCCAUUUGUGUUAAGAGUUUCACAAAUCUUAAAAGUUCCAUACAUAUUUUGCAAGUGUGUAAAUGAGAGAGCAAGGGAAAGGGAGAGCACUUGUUUAACAUCGUUAACCAAGUCAAUUACCAAAAUGCACUCCUCGUCUUUGUUCAUCCAAAGCCAAAAAAAUCAAAUUACAGCCGUUGCUAGCUCAUUAAACGUUUCUAGCCAAUUCUGUAACUUCAAAUUUAGGGGUGCGGCAUUUGUCUAACAUUCUACGCUAUUCACUAGACUAGGGAAUGAUAAAAGCUCUAAUCAAACUGAUAGAAACGUAUAAAUGGUUAAACAAGUAAUGGCUAAUUUGGUUCAUGGUGAAAGGUGUUGUAAGAAUCAGAGAGCUAAAACGAAUGAGGUUAAGAAUUCUGUGAUAUUCUUCUGCAAGACAUAUGCGUGCGCAAACUUAGAACCUAUUUAGAUUUUCAGCUGUUGGUAUUUUGUUUGCUUGUUGAGUAUCUUGCGGAAAUGAUAAAUUAUUGACAUAUCGGAUGGGAAGCCAAGAGCCAGAAGUAAUAUAUGGUUAAUAUGAUAACUUACUUGAGUUUGCAAGCACUUCAUCAUAGAAUGACAUUUCGCUUAAAUGCCUAGAACUUCUUAAACCGCUGUGUGACGGGAACAUUUUAUCCACCGUAGUGGCAUGUGGAUCCAAGAAAUGCAGGUCAGAACUUAUCUCCGGGCUCGGGAAGCACAAAUCUUCGGUCCUUUGAGCUGAGUGCUGCUGGGACUGAAACGUUUCCUCGGGUCUAGUUUUCUUGUCCUUGGGUGAGUCAACUUCCGUCUCCACUUCUGAUUCAGCAUGGUUACAUGCUGCAUUUUGCUGCUUCCUUUUUGAUCGAGCGCGCCUGUUCUGGAACCAAUUGUACACAUUUGUUUCGGAAAUUUGUCCGUGCUGGCUCAGCUCAGUGGUGAUCUCCUUGAUCUUCUGCUUGCUCGGAGUUCCAUUCCCUUGCUCGAAUAAACGCUCAAGAAUUUGGAGCUGCACUGGUGUUGGCGUCCACCGCUGCCUGGCGGUAAUUUUGUGGCCGGUGGAUGUCAUCAGCGGAUCGCAGUACAGAUUUCCCAUCCUGACUCCUGAGAAAGCAAAUGCAGAUGGUUUUGUUCAAAAGCAUAUAUGGUGUCAUUUCAGAUACCCUAAACUAAUAAAUUGUCCUCCUUCUUGAAAAAAUGUAUUAGUGAAUGAGCAAAUGUAUUAGUAGAUAUUUAUUUAUGUAUUAAAUAUUAAAUUUAGUAAAAUUAAAAAAACUGCCUUGGCGCUAGGCCCUGUCCGCCGUCCAAGUAGCGUCUAUCACCUUUUAGAACCUUGCCUAAAGUGCAGACGUGGGGUAGCCAUAUUGACUAUGACAGAUGUUUAAGGUAGAAUAUUACUUGUACAAAAUAAAAACCCGAAUCAGUUCAAUUUCCAGAUCACAAAGAGCUAAAUCUGACCAAACAGAGGAACCCAAAGAAGUGAAAUUCAACAUCUCAAGUUAGGAGCUUUUACCUACGCCACCAAUUUCGGAGGAUGAAAUUCUUAGAACAAACACCAGAAGAAGAUAGAGAUCAAUGGUAAAAAGGACCACCCAAGUGAGUAACCCUAAAGAAAAGUGAGAAAUGAGACCGCAAGAACUUUCCUGGAACUGGAAUGUCUCAAAUGAACGACCGCCAGGUGGAAAAGUUAUAAUACAAAAAAGUGCGAGUGGCUUGAAAAACCGUCACCGUGGCAUGUCAAAUAUAGAUAAGCCUUCAACUCCAAGGAGGACAAACUGCCGGGCAUGAAAUGAACUGGAAAACUACCCAAAAAAAAAAAAAGGCCAAAGCUUUGGGGAAAAAUUACAAAAAAAGAAGAAUCCUUCAUUUGGAAAACAACAAAUCAGAAAAAAAAUCAUCACAGAAAACAAAGAAAUGAACCAAAAUGACCACUGAAAGAACCCACAAACAAGAACCAUAUUGCAAACAAAUGAAAAGUUGGAAGGACUAAAAGAGAAAAGUGAGAAGAAAAGAGGGACCUGCAAGAUCUUGCUGGGAAGUGAGGUUCUUGUGCAUCUCAACAAGCUGCUCACAGAUGGUGGCAUAAACUGCAAUCUGUUUCCUCAGAGUCUCCAACUGCUCAUCAGUCAUCACCUUCACAUACAUCACUCCUCCAUUCCCAUUAUUCCCACUCCCGUUCCCGUUCCCCUCCAUCUCUUGCUGCUCUUUCAGUUGCUGCUUCUCCCACUCCAUCAUCUCUCUCUAUAAAUUUCUCUCUCUAGACUCUAGAAUCCUCGGUCUGUGUGUGUUGAGAAACCGAAACAGCGAUGCUUGUCAAAGCAGGAUGGAGAACACAAAGAUAACGAGAAAGUAAAGCGAGGAGACGAAAAAAGGGAGAGAAAGUAUAUAGACGGGGGCCAGAGGAUGUUGAAAAAUCAAAAAAAAGAAGGAAAAUAAUUGGUGGGUUGGUGUAUUGUUCCCAUGUUUGUACGUUAGUGCAGUCCUUUUGCUAUACGUGAAUGGAUACUUGUUCAUAUUCGCUCAUUAAAUUUUGAAAUUUUUUUAGCACAUAUCUAAGCCGUUAAAAUCAAUAAUAUAUGUCAUGUAUUUUAGAGUUUUUGACGUUGGAAUUCACGUUUGGAUCCUUAAGAAAUCUUUAAUUGAUGGUAAAAAUGAUUUACCUUCCAGUUUAACCUAUGAUAUUCUUUAUGAAAAAGUAGGUUUGAAGCAUCACAACUCAUCCUAUCAUUAAGGUUUGAGUAAAAUGCAACCCAUUAAUUGUGUUUAUUUGCUUAAUUUCAUCAUAAAGGAUCCCAUCAAUAAAAAGAUAUCAUGAAGAGAUUUAAAAGAUUAACACGAGGGAUUUAAAAGAUAUAAGUAAAAUGUCACUUGGAACUAUAGUCUACUGGUAUUUCUCUUCAUUUAUAAGCGAGAUAUUUUAGGUUGGAUUAUCGCCAAAGAAUAAUUUGAACCACAUUAUUGCUAUCUAACUGUGAGGUUUAGCCCAUUCCUCUACCUCUUUAGUGUAGAUAAUAUUAUUUAUUAAAAAAAAUUAGUUUAACACAAGGGAUAAACAUGAGAAAAUUUAGACAAAAAAUAUUUAUUCUUCUUGUAGUUGGAUUUUUUUUUCAAAUGCAUUGAGAUGAUUUUUGCAAAUGUAUAGUUAUUUAUAUUACUUCAUUACAAAAUGUUAUUAUUACUUUAAGCUACACUAUCUGACAUAUCCCGACUUGGAAUGUCCAUUAGAACUCCGAAUCGAGCUAUGAUGGCCGACACUUAGAAGGUGACGAAGCCAUAAAGUGUGAUGAUGUGGAAAAAUAUGAAUAAAUUUAAACCUAAGAAUGCCUAAAUACCAGGGUGCGCUGGUGAGCGGGAAUGAAUCCCCUUCACAUGUGACGUUAGAGCAUUAGUAAGUACAGUAUAAUGAAUUAAGAAUCAUACCAUCAAAGGUAAUCUUCAAUACCAAGACUUGCCAUGAAUCCUCGACGAUAAGAAGCUCAACUAAUAAAACCUAGAAGGUGAAAACCAAACAAGGGUGAGUGGCCCUGGAAAUACAAUUUUUAUAGAAACCAUAUAAAACUAUGGAUCAUCAUAUAUGGAUCUCAUCUAGGAAGGUACGUACAAGAUCAGCACAUAUGCUCCAAAAAUGCUAACUCAUUUUUGCUAACUCAUCACAUAUAUCAUUACAUAUGCUAACUCAUCACAUAUAUCAUUACAUAUGCUAGCUCAUCAUAUAUUUCAUCACAUAUGCUAGCUCAUCACAUAUUUCAUCACAUAUGCUAGCUCAUCACAUAUAUCAUUACAUAUGCUAGCUCAUCACAUAUUUCAUCACAUAUGCUAGCUCAUCAGUCGGGAGUCACCUCUAAUGACCUGUACAACUUAUCCAUAUCUCAAUAAGUAUACCUGCACACGAGUCAGAACCACAUAAAGUAGUCUGUACGACAGGACUGGGUGUAAAUAAAUACGCUCGAGUGCUACGAUCACGUAAAGACUGUGUGAAUAAUCACGGGUCACCUACGAGUCGGAAUCACCUAUAGUGGUCUGUACAACAGGCAUGUGCACCUACCUUGGAUCCAAGGUGAGCGUAAGGUGCGGGAGGUGAACAUCACAUGAAGGACUGUGGCCUGGCCAUGGGCAGGAGCACUAACACCGGGGUGUAGGGUUAUGAACUCUAAAUGCAUCUCAUCAUAUCUCGCAUACUAAAGCAAUCUCAUAUGACAUAUACAACUCAUAGACAACAUGUACGACAAUGUCGAAGUUGCCUAAAACAUAAAUGUGAUCAUGCCACAACCCAAUCAUUUCAACUAAUACCAUAACUCACCUGAACUUACCUGAGUAUUCUACGUUCAUCUUUGUACUUCAAAACAUUCACAAUAAUUAUGUGCAGGAACAUAUACAUAUGGAUAUGCCAUAGUGCAAGUCUAAAACUUAACCAUAUCAUAGUAUUUUUCCAAUAUAUAAAUAUAUAUAUAUAUAAUGUGGUGUAAAAUACACAAUCUAUAAUGCCCUACGCCCGAAUUAUUUAUUCUCGGAAAUAAUUAUCGAGGAUAAGUCCAACUAAACACUAGUUUAAUUAACUAUCGUUACUUAUGUUUCCUUAUUUCAAUUUCUUGAUUCCUUCCACAUUGAUUUAUGACCAAUAUCCAAUUACUAAAAACAUAAGGUUAAAUCUCAUAUUUUCACCAAUUUCCUUCACAUUGCUCAAUUCCCAUACAAAUUUUUUGUUUCAAAUAAUGUAUGGCUGAAUCUAACGUCUAGUUAGACUGCCUACGUACCCUAAACAGGGAUCAGCCAUUUGUAGUUCACUUCAGUACUUCUAAGCAUUCACAGUAAUUAUAUGCAAUAAUCAAUUUAUAACCGUUUGUGAAAUUAUCAAUCAUAUAUAUAUAUAUAUAUGUAUAUAUGUAUAUAUGUAUACGUAUACGAUAGGAAGGAAAAGACUCAAUCACCUGGAGUUUACACUACAACUCCCUAGCACACACAAAGAGGUGUCACGAACGAUCGGUGCCUAGAACAAUUAUCAAAUCACAUCUCAAAAUUCUUAUCAAUAGAAUACAUAAUUUACAUAAAACAUAUCACUACGUAAUUCAAUUCAAAAGAUCUGCAUCAUGGAUUUCCGAUCCGUUGCUUCCAAAGAUCCACAUUAUACUUGUAGAACAACAUCCUAAGGUUUCAUUACGAUCCAACGGUUUGAUCUCCGCCAAUUGCCAAAACCAAAUGGCGGUCAACAUUUUAUUUUAUGAACUUACAACUCCAAUUCGAGAAGAUCCGUUAGUCGAUUCCCAAUCUGUAAGUUUCUAUAGUCCUCAAAUAUUACGUACUAUAACAUAUUAAAGUUUGGUGACGAUCCAACGGUCGGAUCGUCGAUUCAUAUUUUUACCAAGUAACGUAUCGUAAGGGAAUUUAGUUUCAAACGAUCAACCUACGUUAUAAAAUUUCCAAAACUGAACUCAAGGCCUCUAAUUUAGCCUAAGAAUGACAUUGGCGGGCCCCUGGCCACGCACCGACGCACACGCCGCCGUGGGUGGCAGUCGGCCGCCCAAACUCGCCGGAAAAUCCAACUAUUUCCAAAAAUUACCAAAAAUUGCAGGAAUGAAGAUCUCAAUGAGUAGAGCAAACUUUAUACAUGUGGCCAAGUCCAAUUUGGCCUGGAAAUGCUCCAAUUUGCCUCGAAUCCGUCGGGAACCCUAGAAGUGGGUGUUCUUGAUUCGUCCCCAAUUCGACUCUGACGCUCCAACCAAUGAUUGGGCAUUGUUCUAGGCUUCAAGGGAAGUCUAUUGGUAGUGUCAAUUGGAAUAAAUUGCUUCAGAAAUGGGAGAAUCGACACAAGACCCGUCGGUGUCACCAUUGCCAAAUGUCACGGAUUUGACCCAAUUUCCAUCGAAUCUUGAUAGAAGAAUGAAGGGGAAGAGUGAUGCGAAAUAUAUAAGCACACAAAUUUAACCCUCUUUUUGACAAUUGUAGUAUAGAUGUAAGCAGGGAUCGUUCUAAACCGGGGAUUAGGAGGGAUUGCUAAAUCACUUGAAAACUAAUUUAAAAACAUAAAAACAAAGUUAAAAAUGUAAACAAAAGAUUUUAAAACAAGAAAGUAAAAAGGGGAUUUGAGUUUGGUGAAGUUGAAAGUAAAAACGAAUAAACUAAAAACUUAAAUAGAUUUUAAACAAAUUUGGGUUGAAUGGAUAAUGGAAGGCUAGCUAAGGGGUUCUUCUCCACACAUGUCUUGCUUGCAUACACAAUGAUUUCCAAUUGCAUUUCAAUAACUUAUUAAUUCUCAACGCCCCAAAUUAACCGUGAAUUGCACUAAUUAACCCUCAGUUUUUCCCACAAGUUAUUGGGUUGGAUGAUUGCAUACGACAACCCAAAACAUUCCCUACAAGUUCCCUACAUGAAUUGCAUAAUAGAGAUACAAGCAAGAAUCAUUAAGUUCUAUGAAAAACAUAAGCAUUGACGAGGCACUCGUUACUAUGAUUUGCAUGAAACUUAUGCCAAGGAUUUACUUAACACAAUCGUGACUAGCGACUUUUACUACUCAUGAAUAUAAGUUCAUAACGAUUAGGUGAAAUUCCCUUAUACUCUAGCAUCAUAUUUAUGCAUGCAAACUAAGUAUGCAUCCCUAAUCAACAUACAUAAACAUGUUAUCAAUCAAAUAGAUAAGUAAAUCGAAUUCAUAACUUAUGAAACGCAAUUAAAAGUAAUCAAAUCAUAUUGCAAGCAUUAACAUGGUUUCGAAUCCCCCCCUAGCCAAGGGGGGGUUUAGUUCCUCAUUAUUACAAAACAAAGAUAAACAAAUUUAAACAUUGAAAAACAAAGGAAAGAAAGCACCUAAACGUUCCAACGAUCCAUGUUGGAUAGCAAGUGCGUCUAAGGACUUUUCUCCUUCUCUUUGCCGCAACAACAAGGUUGGAAUGAUGUUGAAGGGUUGGUUAUUUGGAGGAAUGGAUGGGAAGGGGUUUAGAUAUGUAGGAGAGGCAAAGAAAGGCUUGGAGAAUGGUUAAUUUCUGGAUGAUUUGAAUGAGGUUGCUGCCAUGGUAUUUAUAGGAAGAGGAUGGACAUGUUUAAUACAAAAAUCUGGUGGAAUGAAGUAGGUAAGGCAUGGCAAGGUGGAGAAUUGUUGGUGAGGGUAGGUUUUGAGUCAUCCACUCACAUGUCAUGGUGAGUUAAGCAUUGCAUCAUCCACUCAAAUGUCAUGGUGAGUUAAGCAUUACAUCAUCCACUCAAAUGUCAUAGUGAGAUAGGCAUUGCAUCAUCACUAAAAAAAUCUGGUGGAAGUAAAACAAAGGGAAGGCCACGGCAUUGAUGAAUUUUUAUGGGGUAUGCAUGGUUUUGAGUGAAGUUUUGGCCAAUCCUUCUAGAAAUUUAUCCCUUCUUGCAACUUGUAUUUGUUUCACCAGAUUUUUAGCAUGUUCCUCCUAGCCUCUUUUGUCUUCAAAUUCGUCCAUCCAUCUUGCUCAUAUCAUACAUAUGUAAUCCAUUACAAGCUCAAAACUGCUCCAAAAUGCACCAAAAUGCACUUUCUUGCUACCUUAGCCCUUUGGACCUACAAACACACGAAAAUGGCUUAAAGUACUAAAAUAACUAAGAACUAAUAACGUAAAUGCAAGAAAACUAGUUAACUAAGUCGCAUAAAUAUGCGUCUAUCAAAUUCCCCCACACUUAGCUAUUGCUAGUCCUCGAGCAAAAUAAAACAAAUAAAACAUAACCUAACCUUCCAACAUUUGCCUUAGGGAUUUUCAAUGCAACAUGACAUGCAAAAGAUCAUCAUAACCACAGAUUUUUUUUUCCCUACCCUUGAGCACAUACUUAAUCAAAGUCACCACAUACUAGUUCACAUAUAACCAAUUAAAACGAUGUUUUGAAUGUAGUAACAUGCCUUAGAGAAUUUGCUCAAUUCCUUACAAGAUACACUCUUAUUUUCACUCUGAUUUUCUGACUACUUACCCUACACUAGAUGUAUGUGAGAAGAUUGAUGUAAACAUGAAAACGAACACUCACAUAUGUUUAUAGCAAAGAAAGCAAUUUCUGGAGUUAUUAAGCAUGUAUAGAUAUGAUCUCAUGACUGAAAUGCUACUACUUAGAUGCGAGAACCAGGGACACCAUAUGCUCGUACCAAUCCCAAACUCCACAUAUUGAAACACAUAACACUCAAGAUUGAAGUUAAGGGUUGUAACGGGGUUAGGGGUGAUUGGCUAACAAUGAAAGGUAAGGAAACAAACGUUUUUAAAGCAUAAUAAGCAAAGUAAUGAAAUUGAUGCUUAGAAUUCCCUUUGAAUGCAGCAACUAACUUUAAACACAAUGGGGUUAUUCAUUCAACUUUUUAGGGCCGAUUUCAACUACAAACAACACUUGUGAGCCUUUCCUCACUUAUUUCAAACUCUUUUUUUUUUUUUUUUUUUCUUUUUUCUUUUCUAACCCGUGCCUUAUUACUUUCUUUUGGCACACAAAACAUAAAAAUCUCAUUCCCCCACACUUGUUUUCUGCAUAAGGACAAUCAAAAGGAAUUCAUUUUAAGUCAUGCUUCAUUAUGCUUUAAAAACAAGGGUAUGGAUAGUCCUAAUCUAGGCUAGGUAAGGGAAAUGUGGUUUAACAAAGAAAACAGGCUAAACAAGGCUCAACGGGGUUAAACUUAAACAAAUAUGCACGGGAUAAGCUUUUUGGCUCUAGUUCACUACACAACUUCAUCUUGAAUAUGUGUUAUGCAAAUCAAUGUCAUGCUUUGAAUGGAACGGGCAUAAGUUCUAGUAUUUGGAACUAAAUGAUGAAACGCCUUCUAAGUAGCAACCAAGCAAAGAAUGAUGAGAUCAUGCAACGACUUUAGAAAACAAAAAUGCACAGAUUAAUAACUCUCCAAAGAACGUAUUAGGCUCAAGUCUCUCAAGGUUGUAGUGUUAGUUUGAGUUCCUUCCUUCAAGCAUGUUACAAAAACUGAUUUUUUUCUUUAUGAUUACAUGUGAAUUCGUAAACUAUAACUAUAACCAAGCAUAAAUCAAGAGCAUAUCAAACUUCCAUCCAUGUUUAUAACUUUCUUUAACAGUCAUGCAAUUAAAAACCAAAUCCUCAUUAUUUGUGUUGGAAGGUACCCUAAGACACAAACAAACACACAAAAACAACUCUUUUUGGCUUUUUCAAAACAAUUUUUUUUUUUCAAAUUUUUGUCAAAUUUUCGGAUUUUUAUGUCAAAACAUACUAACAUGCUUAAAAACACACUAAAAACACUUAAAACAGCAAGAAACAACAUUGUAAGUGAUAGGUGAAUAAAAUCCCACGAAAAUCAUGCAACAGCAACUUGUUUACCCCCCCCCACACUUAAAUAUAACAUUGUCCUCAAUGUUUCAAACAUAAACUCACACGAAAAUCAUGCAACAACGAGGAAACAUGAUAAACAUGGCAAAGUAAAAGCAACAGAGAGGAGGGUUAAAGAACGCAAACACCUGGUUUUGGAGUCGGAAAUUCCUAGGUCUUCUUUAUUUCCAUGGGUUGCCUCCAUCACUAAUGAGAACUCUAGGCAUGCCAAACCUAGCAAAGAUAUUAGUUUUCACAAAAUCUGCAACAACCUUUGAAUCGUUAGUCCGGGUGGCUUUGGCUUCCACCCAUUUGGAAACAUAAUCAACAGCUAGCAAGAUAUAAGUGAAACCAAAAGAUGGAGGGAAAUGACCCAUGAAAUCUAUACCCCAAUGUCAGAAAACACUAUAAUGCAAAUAAAAAUAAAAUAAAUAAAUAAUAAGAAACAAAAUAAAGCAAUUGGACUGAAAACUUCCCUAGUUUGCAGUAAAACCAAGCGAUGACCCCCCAAGCUAAAAUUCUGCAAUCAACUUCAAGGGUGGAAAUAACCAAAAGUUCCUGCAAAGAAAAGAAAUAAAUCAGUUUAGUAACACAAGAAAAUAUAAAAAAAAUUGCAAACGAAAAAUUGAAAAUCACGAUAAAAGACAAUGAAUAGAACUAAUAAGUGAUCAUUGGUCGUGCUUGUUGACUUUCCACAGCUUUCCUCUUGAACAGGGUGACACUUAGCUUUUUACUUGCAAGUGAUGAUUUGAUGAUAUUGUACGGCGAAGCUUUGCUCUUUGGUGAUGUUGCAGUUCCUUAUUUGUUCUCCAAGCAGAUGUGGCAUCUUCUCUAGUUCUUCAGCUCGGACUCCUUCCGCUGGGAUGAUUGUGCAAGCUGCAUUCUUCUCUGCUUGUUUCUUCUGUACGUUGUCUCCACAUGCUGUUGGUAUCAUUUUCGCUUGCCUUAUCUGUUCUUCAGGUAGAUGUGGCAGCUUCUUUGGAAGUACAUCAGCAGUGGAAGACGAGUACUCGAGAGCAAUUUCUCCAUGUCCUGCAGGUUAGAACAAAGACAAGGAAAAGGACAUGGAGAAUGCAUGAUAUGAGAUACUCUUGCUUUCAACCUUUAUGAUAUGAAAUACUUUUGCUCUGGAUGGGUUGUUUACAGGGGUAUCCCAGGGAAUGAGGAAUACAGUGUGACUCGAGAGGGUUCUUUGGGAAUGCAUUCUCGGAGAUGAAGAAGUGCUGAGAGGGUUUGCCUUUGCUGUGGAAGGCAAAGGUAAAUACUUAUAAGACUUUUCUUCACAACCGGAACUAUUCUCUCACUCAUUGUCGGCAGCCGGUGGAUGGAUGAAUAGUACAAAUUACGCGUUUCUGACAAAGCUGCCCGUAAUUUCCGCAAAGCUGCCAGUUGCAUGUGACGAGUGACAACACGUCUGGACAAAUUGAUCUUUUGAAAUCCGGGGUUCGGCUCGUGGUUUCUGAGCAAGCCCAGCCUUUAAGAAAUGAAACGCCUCUUUUGAGAAAAGAAUCCGACUUUUGAGAAAGGAGCCCCGACUCUUCGAUUUGCGAGAGGACGCUUCUUCGAUUUCUGAGGAGCGCCUCUUUGAUUUCUUCUUUUCAUAGAGGCGUUAAUUUUGUUCCACAACACACUUGAGCUCCCUCCUGUAAACACUCCCUCCUGUAAACUUCCAAAAUCUUAAUCAGUCCGACUCUCUUCUUUCUUCACCACCUUCAGAAAAUGUCUGGCCCUUCCGAUCGUCGUUUUGACUUGAACAUUGGUGAAGAGGCAGCUCCGCCUUCACCAGACAACAUAUGGCGCCCAUCCUUCAUAUCCCCUACUGGUCCUCUUACCGUUGGGGAUUCGGUGAUGAAAAAUGACAUGACCGCUGCGGUGGUGGCCCGGAACCUUGUCACCCCCAGAGAUAACAGACUGCUCGCUAGACGAUCUGAUGAAUUGGCGGUUAAGGAGUCUCUGGCUCUUAGCGUGCAGUGUGCGGGUUCUGUGUCCAACAUGGCCCAACGCCUAUAUGCUCGAACCCGUCACGUUGAAUCGUUGGUGGCUGAAAUACAGAGUCUCAAAGAGGAGAUUAGAGGACUCAAGCAUGAAAAUAAACAAUUGCAUAAGCUUGCACACAACUAUGCCACAACCAUGAAGAGGAAAAUUGACCAGAUACAUGAAUCUGAUGGUCAGAUUUUACUUGAUCAUCGGAGGUUUGUGGGUUUGUUCCAACAGCAUCUGCCUUCGUCUUCUGGAGCAGCAUCGCGUAGUGAAGCUCCAACUGAUCAACCUCUGUUGCCUCUUCCUUCUGUGGCCCCGCCGACUGUUGAAGCACUGCCGACUACUGAAGCAUCACCUGACCAAUGAAUGCUAUUAGUUUACAUAUCAUUGUAAAAUAUUUUUACUUUAAUGUUUUUUUUUUUUUUAAAUCAAUGUAAAAUAUGUAAAUCAAUGUAAAAAAACCUUUGUUUAAUUUUUUUUUUUUUUUUGUGUUUUUUUUUUAUUUUUUUUUAUUUUUUUAAAUGUAAAUUAAUGUAAAAAGACUUUGGUUAACCUUCCCCCACACUUAAACUAAAUAACACAAACUCACAUAAAUCAACCAAAUAACACAACUAACUAAACAAAACAAAAUGAAAGCAGUAAAGAUAAGGGUGUAAGAAUGCAAAUCUGAUUGGGUUAGCGAUUCCAAAGUCUCCCUUCGUUGAAUGCUUGGGUUGCCUCCCAAGAAGCGCUUGAUUUAACGUCUUUAGCCGGACGAAUCUUUCCUUUAAAUUCCCCUCAGCUCCAAAGCAUGGAAUUUAUCUUUUAAUGGGAGGUGAUACUUGAAAUGAUUCGGCAAUGGUUUAAAUUCAAGAGUGGGUGCCUGAAUCAUCAAAAUCAGAAACAUGUUAGUAUAAAUUAAAAUUGAAAUUGGAGAAGAUGGCUUACUUUCUUUUUCCGACACAAACUCAAUGACAAACACCACAUCUUUGAACAUUUCCGGGAUUUUGAACUUGGCCAGGUUUACUAUGAUGGUUGUGGCUUGUCCCGUGUCAUCAAACUCAACUGCUUUGGGCUUGAUUGUCUCAUGCACAACCUCUUGGAUGUAUUCUUGAUAUGCUUCAACCACUUCAUUCUCUUGAAUCCCUUUUCUUGGUGUGCAAGGUUCUUUGAACGUUUCAAUACCAUCGGGAAUUUGUUUUGGUGCACCAAGAAUUUGGAUAUCACUUUGCACCUUUGGAAGAGCUUCCACAAUGUCUUUUUCACUCUCUUUGAUAUUUGGAAUCAAAAACCUGCAAGGACAAAGGACAUUCGGUGGAAUAAUGUUGGAAUGAAGUGAAUUUAGAACUUCCUCACCUGAGUUGGAUGACAUAGGGAUUUGAGGAGCUUGCAGCAAGAAUUCUUCUAAACUGCCCAGGUCGUCCUCCUCCUCUUCUGCUUGCAGCAGCAAUUCAUCCAUGUUCGGGCUGUGUUUGGAUGGUUCUGGGACAGCUUCAUCCUUCAUAGCACUUCCCAAAGUGAUAGCAUCGUGGAUUUCAAAAUCUUCCUUCGAAUUUUCAACAGUUGAGUUGGAGAGUUCACUUUGCUCUUGAAUUUGUACCAUGAAUUCCAUAAUCUCUCCCAUUUGACUCUUCAAUUUAUCCAACUUCUUGUCUUGAUUUUGUUGGUCCUGCGUCAAAGAGGUUAGUACUUGAAGAAUUUGAUCACUAUCCAUGGACAUACUUGAAUUUGAUUGGAAUUGUUGUGGGGUAUGCGGUGGUGGCUGUAUAGGUGUGGUGUAGAACUCCUCAUAUGGCUGCCAAUAUGCAUCUUGUUGAGCCUCCUUGGCUUGAUUUUGUGAGCCCUGCACCAAACAAUUUAAUUCAUUAAGAAUUUGAUUAUAAUUUAUUGACGAACCUGAGUUUGAUUGAGCAUAUUGCAUAGGUUUUGAAUAGAACUCCUCCUCUUGCUGCCAAUAUCCCUCUUGUUGGAAUUGUUGAGGUUCCCCCCACAUAUAAUUUGAAUGAUCUCUCCAAGCCGAAUUGUAAGCGUUGGAAAACAUGUUGUUGCUUGGUUGAUCAUAGCCUUGAUAACCCCAAGCAUCUUCGUUCACAGUGAAUUGAGGAUGUUGGUAUCCUUGCCCAUAGGGCACAUCAAAUGUAGGGACACUUGGCAUUGUGUCCGUUCGGCAUUAUGAGUCAAUUGAGCAGUGAGCUGUGCCAAUUGAGCUUGAAUGGUCGCAAGUGCCAUGUCUUGCUCCAUUUGUACCUAAAAUCAAAGAAAGAAAAAUAACUCAAAUAUCAAAAGUAACACAAAACAAGGAAAACAAAACUAAGUCAGAAACUAAAACAAAAACAAACUAAACAAAAAGAAAAGAACCAAGGGAUUAGCAAAGUUGCUAAUCCCCGGCAACGGCGCCAAAAUUUUGAUGCGAAAUAUAUAAGCACACAAAUUUAACCCUCUUUUUGACAAUUGUAGUAUAGAUGUAAGCAGGGAUCGUUCUAAACCGGGGAUUAGGAGGGAUUGCUAAAUCACUUGAAAACUAAUUUAAAAACAUAAAAACAAAGUUAAAAAUGUAAACAAAAGAUUUUAAAACAAGAAAGUAAAAAGGGGAUUUGAGUUUGGUGAAGUUGAAAGUAAAAACGAAUAAACUAAAAACUUAAAUAGAUUUUAAACAAAUUUGGGUUGAAUGGAUAAUGGAAGGCUAGCUAAGGGGUUCUUCUCCACACAUGUCUUGCUUGCAUACAAAAUGAUUUCCAAUUGCAUUUCAAUAACUUAUUAAUUCUCAACACCCCAAAUUAACCGUGAAUUGCACUAAUUAACCCUCAGUUUUUCCACAAGUUAUUGGGUUGGAUGAUUGCAUACGACAACCCAAAACAUUCCCUACAAGUUCCCUACAUGAAUUGCAUAAUAGAGAUACAAGCAAGAAUCAUUAAGUUCUAUGAAAAACAUAAGCAUUGACGAGGCACUCGUUACUAUGAUUUGCAUGAAACUUAUGCCAAGGAUUUACUUAACACAAUCGUGACUAGCGACUUUUACUACUCAUGAAUAUAAGUUCAUAACGAUUAGGUGAAAUUCCCUUAUACUCUAGCAUCAUAUUUAUGCAUGCAAACUAAGUAUGCAUCCCUAAUCAACAUACAUAAACAUGUUAUCAAUCAAAUAGAUAAGUAAAUCGAAUUCAUAACUUAUGAAACGCAAUUAAAAGUAAUCAAAUCAUAUUGCAAGCAUUAACAUGGUUUCGAAUCCCCCCUAGCCAAGGGGGGGGGUUUAGUUCCUCAUUAUUACAAAACAAAGAUAAACAAAUUUAAACAUUGAAAAACAAAGGAAAGAAAGCACCUAAACGUUCCAACGAUCCAUGUUGGAUAGCAAGUGCGUCUAAGGACUUUUCUCCUUCUCUUUGCCGCAACAACAAGGUUGGAAUGAUGUUGAAGGGUUGGUUAUUUGGAGGAAUGGAUGGGAAGGGGUUUAGAUAUGUAGGAGAGGCAAAGAAAGGCUUGGAGAAUGGUUAAUUUCUGGAUGAUUUGAAUGAGGUUGCUACCAUGGUAUUUAUAGGAAGAGGAUGGACAUGUUUAAUGCAAAAAUCUGGUGGAAUGAAGUAGGUAAGGCAUGGCAAGGUGGAGAAUUGUUGGUGAGGGUAGGUUUUGAGUCAUCCACUCACAUGUCAUGGUGAGUUAAGCAUUGCAUCAUCCACUCAAAUGUCAUGGUGAGUUAAGCAUUACAUCAUCCACUCAAAUGUCAUAGUGAGAUAGGCAUUGCAUCAUCACUAAAAAAAAUCUGGUGGAAGUAAAACAAAGGGAAGGCCACGGCAUUGAUGAAUUUUAUGGGGUAUGCAUGGUUUUGAGUGAAGUUUUGGCCAAUCCUUCUAGAAAUUUCCCUUCUUGCAACUUGUAUUUGUUUCACCAGAUUUUUAGCAUGUUCCUAGCCUCUUUUGUCUUCAAAUUCGUCCAUCCAUCUUGCUCAUAUCAUAUGUAAUCCAUUACAAGCUCAAAACUGCUCCAAAAUGCACCAAAAUGCACUUUCUUGCUACCUUAGCCCUUUGGACCUACAAACACACAAAAAUGGCUUAAAGUACUAAAAUAGCUAAGAACUAAUAACGUAAAUGCAAGAAAACUAGUUAACUAAGUCGCAUAAAUAUGCGUCUAUCAAAGAGGUAUGGUGAUGAUUGCAGGUGGAAAUGGGAUGAAAUUUGCCUGAAAAACGGCUCAGAAUAGCCGGAAUUCCACUAGUUUCGAAACCGGGUUGGGUGCGGGUGAACAGAUCACGGAAAGGGUUCGGUUUGGGUGCUCUGCACCUUUCUCCUUUCUUUCCUCUCUCUUCCUUCACAUUGGUCCGUCUCUCUCCCCUCUUCUCCUAACUGGUCCGUCUCCCUCAACUCUAAUUGGGCAGCCAAUGCCCUGAUUUCUUUCUUCUCUUCCAUUUCUCAUUCUUCCUCCAUCAAAAUAACCUUCUCUUUUUUUUUUCUUCUUUUUCCCUUAAUUUUUCUAACCCCUCAAAUAAAAUAAAACAAACAAAAUAACAAUAACUAUAAGAAAUGAAUAGAAUAAAUAACAACCCUUACCAACGUAGUUUUGAAAUACGGUAAAGUAAUAGUUCAUACGAGUCAUGAACUAGCGAUUAACGAAAGUCAAUACCCUCGCCUCUAAGGUAUUCUCGUGAAUUCAUAUUUUAAAAUUUAUAAACUCGUAAAAUUUGGGACGGGUUGUCACACUAUCCAUCACAACAAUGAAUUAAAAAGAAAUACAUUAUCUAUCACAUCAAUCCACAAGUAAAAGGCGGACCACAAACAAAUAAGGCUCCUCACUUUACGAGGGUCAAGGGCGGGGAGUGGAGGGGGGACGCCUACCACAUCAAUCCACAAUUAACAGAUAUAUAAUUCGUUUAAAAGCGUUUUUAAAAUGGCUGAAUGAGCUUUUAAUAAAAAUACUUUUCAAACUAAUCUUUAGUAAAAAUGCAAGUAAAUCCUAUAAAAGUAUUUGAAAUGCUUUUGGAACUCCAAAAUAUUUUUAAUAAAAAUUAUUUCAGUCAUUUUAAAAACACUUUCAAAUGAGCUUAUAAUCUAUCAAUAAUAUUCUUCUGUAGAAAGUGUGUUUUUGUUAGAAAUGAUAAUACUACUAAAAUUUUAUCAAAACAAAAUUAUUUUCAGCUUCAACGACACAAAACAGUUUUUUUUUAAUUAAUCAAACAUGCCUUAAAAUUUGAUCUAUCAAAUUAUAACAUUAAGUAAAAGAAAAAGGUUUGGAGGAAUUUACUCGGGUUUUCUUUUUGUCAAUGGUAAUUAAAAAUUAGGGUUAAUUCUGUAUGCUGCCCAAUUUCUAGGAUGAUUUAAAUUAGUCAUAACAUUUUAACUAAUUAUCUAAAGUUUUGAAAAAUAAAUAUAUAUUAGUUUACUUGCGUUCAGUGAUGAUAUGAAUAAAUAUUAAACAUAUUUUAACUCUAAAGUCAUCUAUGAAUAUUUGAAUCUCCAAAUUGACACUAUUUAACUAAAAAAUUAUGGUUUAACUUGGCUAAAAUGAGUCAAUUUGAGGAAUUAGAACUCAAAAACGUCUAUUAGUGAAAACCAACUUUAGUAUUUGUUCACCUCUUCAUUUAAUGCUAGUAAUAUCAUAACUUAAUGUUGAUAAAGUAUUCGGUGACCCAUCAAAUGUCUAAUUUUAAAAACGUUAAGUAAUUAUAUAAAAUAUUUUAUAAAAUUAAGACUAAUUUAGAAUAUCAAAAAAUGUUGAGUAGGUUUUUUUGUACUUAAUCCUAAAAAUUACUCCAUGAUAAGUGGUGGUAGGCCCCAGUACCAUCAGAGGGCAAGUUGAAUGGGAAAAUGAAUCUUGGUUUUGGAGCACCGCUGUUACAGGGUCAAGUUGUGCUGGCUGCUACUGUAUUUUGUCAUUAGUGAGAGCAGUUCCAGCGGAGGGCAUUUUGCCCAGCACCCAGCUGAAAAAACUGCCCAGCACCCUGUGAAACCCCUCCACCCGACCCAAUUGACUGGCACCCAGCUCAAGCCGGUCUCUAGCCCAGUCCAAAAUUGACUGAGGUGUUGCCCGGUAUGUCACAGCCCGCGCCCGGAAUUUUUAAUUCCGAGGACAUGAAAUUACGGAAAUGUCCCUAAUACGUGACUAAGGUAUAAUUUUCACGUUCGUUAUAUCUAAGCUCCAAAAAAAUUUGGUAAUUGGAGUGGAGACUUAGACUUAAAUUUUAUGAUGGAAUUUUAUGAAAUUGGGAUUGGUUUGGACAUGUGGGAUCCCCACACCUCAAAACCCUCCCCAUUUCCCGUAUACUGUCCUUCAUACUCUCUCUCUUCCUCAGCUCUUCCUCAGAAACUCUCAUUCUCUCUCUUCUUCUCGAACGCACGGGCAACCACCAAAACCACCUAAAACCUAUACCAACGUUCCAUUUAAGACCACCAUCGUGAUCCUGGGGACUUCACGAGCACGGGGAUACCAAUUUCAGGUGAGUUUCACUUCGAAAACCCUAGUUCUAAAGUUGCCGUGAGAUGACACUGUUCAUGAGCUUUGAAUUGGUUACGUUUUAGGCUAAAACAAGAUCACAGCGAGUUUAGUAAGGUCCCAAGGAAGCUCGGAGUGCUUCGUUGGAAGUUUUUGGACGUAAGAACACGGAGAUCGACAAGUUCAAAGUUUGGCCGGAGCUUUCGAGGCGUUUUCCGGCGAAUCCCCGGAGAGUUAGGAGUCGAGGUAGGUGUCAAUCUCUUCGUCUCGUCAAGUACUACAACUUUCCUUUUUUGUUUCACUCAAUUUCGUUGAGUAUUGAAGAAGUUAUACUCAUUUUGAAAAAUACCCAGUUUCCGGCGACCUCCGAGGCUUUCGAGGCCGUUUCCGGCCAAACCACGGCGAACUAGGUGUUGUGCAAGGUACCAUUCUCUUUGUCUCUUCAAGGGCUACAACUUUCGUUUUUGAAUCACUUGAUUUCGUUGAGAAAUGACAAAGUUAUGGCAAUUUGAAAAACUGCCCGGAAAACGGCCGCCGGAAAAACCAGUCCGGCGACCCAAGGAAGAAGAAGGUGCUACAGUAAAAAUAAAAAAAAUAAAAAUAAAAUUAUUUUAAAAAUAUGUCGACGUCCGUGACGUCGAGUAGAUCACUGUGGUAUAUUCAUAUACCUAAAUUGAACACCGUAUGAGAAAGUUAUUAAGGAUUGUUGGUUAGGUGUUCAAAUAACGUUUUAUAGUUUUCACAUUAGGUGAAAAUGUGAAUUGAUGAUCCGACCGUUGGAUCAUCACCAAACUUUGAUACGUUGUAAUACGUAAUAUUUGAGGAUUAUAGGAACUUACAGAUUGGGAAUCCGAUUUGCGGAUCUUCCGAAAUUGGAGUUGUAAGUCCAUAAUAUAGAAUGUUAACCGUCACUUAGUUUUGGAAAUUGACGGAAAUCCAACCGUUUGAUAGUAAUGAAAUUUUAGGAUGUUAUCCUAGAGAUAUACUGUGGACCUCUGGAAGUUAUGGAUUUAAAAUCUGAGUGGCAGAUCUUCCGGAUCGAACUACGUAGUGACGUAUUUUAUAUAAGUUAAAUAUUAUAUCGAUAUGAAUUCUGAGGUUGGAUUUGAUUUCUAUUCUAGGCGGCGAUCGUCGUGACGCCUUGAUGUGUGGUGCUAGGGAGUUGUUGGAUGAACUCCAGGUGAGUGGGCAGUUUUGUUUUCCGUAUAUAUAUAUAUACUUAACGUUUUCCCAGAAAUUGAAAAUGCAUGAAAUUAUGUUUAAAAUGAAAUGCAUAUGAGUUAUGUGAGAAAAAACGGGAAGUGAAAUACCAUGCAUAGAAUUGAUAUGAAAAGUAUAUAGAAAUGUGAGUUGAAAUGCCAUGCAUGAAUUAAUAUAUGAUGCAUAUGUAUGAAUUGGUGCGGUGGACGCACAGGUAAGAAUUGAUUUAUGAUGCAUAUGUAUGAAUUGGUGCGGUGGACGCACAGGUAAGAAUUGAUUUAUGAUGCAUAUGUAUGAAAUGGUGCGGUGGACGCACAGAUGAGUAUUUAAUUACUGUUAUGAUGAUGAUGAUAUAUAUUGAGCUCAAAUCCUGCACCAUGGUUUAGUGCUUAUAGUAUUCACCGCAUCGCACGCUCGCCUUGGAUCCAAGUAGAUGCUAGUCGUACAGUCCACGCGGAGUGGGUACGACAGGCCAGUCGCGAGAGUGUUAGUGAGAUUCCGACUGGUGGGUGACCUUAGAUUAUGUGCACAGAUGAUUUAUGAGAAGCACUAGAGCGUAACUUGUGUGCAGAAGGCCGGACGGGUCACAGAGGUGACUCCGGUAGAGUGAUAAUGAUAGAUUUUGAGCUCUAGGUUCAACCGUAUAGGGCUAUUAGAGGGCCUACGGUUGAUUACUUUCUUGCACCUGAUAUGAUUAUGUUGAUGCAUUCAUACCUUAUUACUGUUGAGAUAAUGUGGCAUGGCAUAAUUAAUAUGAGAAAUGUUGAGAUGACAUGGCAUGGCAUGAUUGAUAAAGAGAUAAUGUUGAGAUAGUAAAAAUGAAGUUUUGAGAAUAUAUAUGUAUAUUUAUAUUUUACAUUUCUGGGAAAGUAUACAGGUUUUACGGAGAGGGGUUACAACGUUUUGAGAAAUGUUUGGAUUUGGAAAAGAAUUGUUUUACUGACCCACUCAAUUUUGGUUUUGCGCCCCUCCAGGUUCAGGAAUCACAAAGGUGUGGUGACUACGAGGAAUUCGACGGUGUUCUGACAGAUUGGACAAAAUUAGGACUCACCUUCGGGUGUAUCAACUUAUAAAUUGUAUAAUUAAAGCUUCCGUACUGUGCAAAUGGUUACGUCACUCUCACGUGACGGCCAGCAUGCCCUCCUUCGGGACGGGGUGUGUCAGUUGGUAUCAGAGCAUGGUUGCAAUCUUGGACAUCUUGAGAAGUUUCUAGUGAAUUCUGUCAGAACUACACCGCCUCGUAGCAAGCCACUUAGUUAGAGGAAUUUAGUCUCCCUAAUAUAGCGGUUUAGGGAAAACUAUUAUUAUGGUGAUUCAGUCUAUUAUAAAAAGGGACAUUUUAAGACGGAUUAUGAGUUGAAUUUGAAUCACUUAAGAGAAAUGAUGAACCUGAGGGAACAAAGUGACGGAUUAACCAAUUGGAAAAGAUGUUUCGGAAUAUGCAAGUCAAAGGAAUCUUCCUUCUGACAGGGGGUCGAGACGACUACCUGGUUUUGGGUAUGAAUUUGUAUCCUGGUGGAAACAGGAGUAUGAUGUGUUGUCACCGGAGGAACAGCCGAUUUAAAAUUGUUUAAGGACUUGUUUAAGGGAAAAGUUUAUCCCUCCGGCAUUUAUCGAUGGUAGUAAACAAGAGUUUACAAAUAUGAGACAAGGAAGGUGAUGAUCGAGGGAUAUUAUAGAAAGUUUUCAGACUUGCCUCGUUCCAUCCAGAUAUGGUUGUUAUUGGUGGAGGUGUUAUGUUGUUUUUAAGCUGGGUGGCAAAAAGGGAAGUGGUAUUUUUGGGUGACCACUAUCCAUUAUACUUCUUACCAGGAAUAUACGAGAUGCUGUUGAGUCUUGAGGACUCUGAGAACAUGAUCAACGAGAAUAAAGAAGAAUAAGAAAUGAAUGGGAAUUAAAAGAAGACGAUAAAGUUAAUGAUUCGUCUUAUCAAGGAUAUAGAAAGAUUCAGAGCUUCGAAAGAAGUGAAGCUAGAGUUAAUUCUUCCAGCUGAGGUUUUAAUGUCGCUGGUCAGAGUAAAAGUGAUGGAUAUACUAGUAAUCCCAGAUAUUUGAGACAAGGUGUCUCGAGUAAAGGAAAUGUACUUUGUGCAGCAGGUACAAAAUUAACACUUUGGGAAGUGUGAAAUUAAUGAAUGUGUUUAUGUGAACAGAGGGGACACAGAAUUGUGAAUCGUCCCUAGAAUCAGUUGUACUCAACAGUUUUCUAUGACAUCGUAGUGUCGAUUCAGCAAGUUUAUGAACUUAGUAGUUUGGUCGGAUUGACCGUGGGUACAGAGAGAUUUGAUGAGUUAUAUGUUCAGCCGUACAGACCAUGAGAGGUGGAUCUGGCUGACGCAUGAGAAAUUGGUGAGUUAUAGGCUCGGCCGUACCGACCACGCGGAGUGGAUCCGGCCGACGUAUUAUUGAGAUAAGAGUUGAAUCAACCGUAUUGGUCAUUCUAGUUGACUUCGGCUGAUAUAUUUCUUAUUAUGUAUGUUAUACCUAGAGAGUAGUAAAUAAAUGUAGUUGAGACGAGUGUAUGUAUUUUGCAUUGAGUGACAAAAUAGUAAUGUUAUAUCUUUGUGAGUGGUUGCCUACUUAUCGAGACAACGAUGAUUUAUCAGUAUUGCGGGCUGCAGACCGUAAUAUUAAUAACUCAUUCGUGGAUUCGUUAAGCAAGCAACCCGGUAGAUUAUUUUAUGUUAGUAUUGUACUUAUUUGGAAUGCUUAAUAAUAAUAGAAUAUAUAUUGUAUCAGUUAAUUCUGUUCCAUUAGAUUGGUUGGUUAUAAUUGUGACAAGACGAAAUGUUAUGGGAAACCAGUACUUUCCAUCGAUCUGGAUGAACAGAGAUUACUUUUGUAAGUAUGCAAAAUGGAUUGAGUCAGGCUGUUAUUUAUGCUGUGAGAGCAAAGAGAUUGUUUUCGAAAGGCUGUCAAAAAUACUUAGCUCAUGUGGUGCUAAAUGAUGUUGUUUGGAGUAGUGUGAAUAAUGUCGAAAGAGUUAGACUUUUCUUGAUGUCUUCCCUGAAAGUAUACCUGGAUUGCCUUCAGGCAGAGAUAUGAGGUUCACUAUUGAUUUGUUGCCAGGUAUAAAUUUAUGUUAAAGAUUGGUUCAUGAUGAGUUAAGGGAAUUAGAAAUUCAGUUGAGAGAAUUGGUUGAUAAAAGUUUUAUUCAACCAGUACAACACUCUUGAGGAGCACCAGUUUGUUGGUGAGAAAGAAAAUGGAUCUUGAGACUGUUCAUUGAUUAUAGACAAUGGAGUCGGGUAACGAUUGAGAACCGUUAUCCAUGGUGAUGUACUGAUGUUUAUUUAACCAGCUCAGAAGUAAUUGCGAAGAUUCAAAGAUUGAAUUGAGGUCUGGUUAUUACCAAUUAAAGAUUAUGAGCGACGUUGUUCUUAAGAUUGUUUUAUGAAUUAUGGUGAUGCUAUAUGGAUACUCAUGCUGUUUUAUGAGUUAUUGGAUGAAGUAUUCCAAUAAUGCCUUGAUAAAUAGAUAUCAUUUUCAUUGAAGAUAUUCUGGCAUAUUCUGAGCCAGAGCAGAGCAUGUAAAUGUAUUAAGUCGGUGGAACAAAGAUUGGAAGAAUGUCGGUUGUAUGCUAAGUAGCAAAUGCUAAAGUUAGAUGAAUCAGGUGGCAUUCUGAGAUUUGUUAUAUAUUCUUAAGGUAUUCAAGUGAAUCCUUAAAAGAUAGCAGAAAUUGAGGAAUUGGAACAACCACGAACUGUAAUUGAGAUUCGGAAUUUCUUAGCUUACCAGGCUAUCUUGGAUGGUUGUGAAAGAUUUUUCAGUCAUUGCUUUGUCAUUGACGAGACUGUUGAGAAAGGAGGUUAUGUAUGAGUGGGAAGGAAAUUGUGAGCAAAGGUUUCAACAACUGAAGUAUUUCCUCACUCAUGCACGUAUUUUGGUAUUCCCAAAGAAUAGUGGUAAUCAUAAAUUUUUAGUGAUGUUUCUUGAAUGGUAUUGGAGGCAUGUUGAUGCAAAUGUUAGGGUGAUUGCAUACGUUUCACGAUAAAUGGAAUCUCAUAAGAUGAAUUACCCUACGGGUGACUUGGAAGUCAUGAUUACCAUUCUUGCUGUGAAGUUAUGAAGGCAUUAUAUUUGGUAAGAAUGCAAGAUUUUUACGAAUCCAAAAAGUCUUCAAUAUCCAUUACUUGGAAGGAUUUUGAUAUGAGGCAGCGAAAGUGAAUUGUAUUGCUUAAUGAACAUGAUUGUACGAUCAGGGUGAUCGUAAAGUUUGUUCUAGCUCAAGCACUUGGUGAGAAGACUACAGUAAGAUUAAUGUCUGGCACGUUUGCCAAGAGUAUCAUCUUGUGGAUUGAAAACCAACGGAAGAAAAAUUAAGAAUGGAAGAUCGAGAAGAAGUUAUACUUGUUAAGUAACAAGUUAGUACAUUUACUCCAGUGUUGAGUAACAACCUUUCCCAGACAGUGCAACAUUACUUAUUUGUUUUAUGGAAAAGAGAAUUGGUUUACGGAACUGCUGAGUUUCUUAAGUAUGUUGGUUGUGCAGUUUCCGAAGUAACGCCAUAAGGAUCAUGAAAUGUGUCAUGUGAGUCGGUUUUUGAUGACUUGUGAAUGGAAUGUUUCUGGGUAGAGAAGGAUUCGAUCAAGAAAGAGUUUUAGUAGACCUUGAGACUAUGGAUGAGUUUCCUCAAAGUAUUCAGGUGAUUAAGUUAACCUGAAGUAACCAGGAAUGGCAAAAGAGAUCAACAGAUGGAUAUGCCACUAAUCGAGUGUGUAAGGUAAAUGGUUUGAUAUUUUUGGAAAAUUCACCGCGAACAGAAAUGACGAGAAUUGGAAAAGAGACAAGAUAAGAUUUAGACACAUCAGACCAUUUUUUUUUUCUCACUAAAGGAAUCAAUAAAGUUGCAUACAAGUUUGUGAUGCCUUCAGAAUUGGCUAAGGCACAUAAUGUAUUUUGUGUUCGAUGCGUUGUCACUAAGUGGCAGGGUCGUUACAUGGGACUUUGGUGCAACUAUUGAGAAUUAAGCCGGAUAUGAUUGGUGAGGAACUAAUGUCGACUUUGGAUUGGAAAAAGAAGGUCCUAAGAAUUAAGACAGAGUAAGUAGUAAAAGCUUUGUGAAGGAAAUCAUUCAGUAGAAAAUUGUGUGGGAGAAAGAGAAUCGGAUGAGAGAGAUUUAUCCGAGGCUAUUGUAUGAGUAUAGAUGAUUUGGUUGGUUGCUGGAAUUUCGGGGACGAAAUUCUAUAAGGAGGGGAGAUUGUCACAGCCCGCGCCGGAAUUUUUAAUUCCGAGGACAUGAAAUUACGGAAAUGUCCCUAAUACGUGACUAAGGUAUAAUUUUCACGUUCGUUAUAUCUAAGCUCCAAAAAAAUUUGGUAAUUGGAGUGGAGACUUAGACUUAAAUUUUAUGAUGGAAUUUUAUGAAAUUGGGAUUGGUUUGGACAUGUGGGAUCCCCACACCUCAAAACCCUCCCCAUUUCCCGUAUACUGUCCUUCAUACUCUCUCUCUUCCUCAGCUCUUCCUCAGAAACUCUCAUUCUCUCUCUUCUUCUCGAACGCACGGGCAACCACCAAAACCACCUAAAACCUAUACCAACGUUCCAUUUAAGACCACCAUCGUGAUCCUGGGGACUUCACGAGCACGGGGAUACCAAUUUCAGGUGAGUUUCACUUCGAAAACCCUAGUUCUAAAGUUGCCGUGAGAUGACACUGUUCAUGAGCUUUGAAUUGGUUACGUUUUAGGCUAAAACAAGAUCACAGCGAGUUUAGUAAGGUCCCAAGGAAGCUCGGAGUGCUUCGUUGGAAGUUUUUGGACGUAAGAACACGGAGAUCGACAAGUUCAAAGUUUGGCCGGAGCUUUCGAGGCGUUUUCCGGCGAAUCCCCGGAGAGUUAGGAGUCGAGGUAGGUGUCAAUCUCUUCGUCUCGUCAAGUACUACAACUUUCCUUUUUGUUUCACUCAAUUUCGUUGAGUAUUGAAGAAGUUAUACUCAUUUGAAAAAUACCCAGUUUCCGGCGACCUCCGAGGCUUUCGAGGCCGUUUCCGGCCAAACCACGGCGAACUAGGUGUUGUGCAAGGUACCAUUCUCUUUGUCUCUUCAAGGGCUACAACUUUCGUUUUUGAAUCACUUGAUUUCGUUGAGAAAUGACAAAGUUAUGGCAAUUUGAAAAACUGCCCGGAAAACGGCCGCCGGAAAAACCAGUCCGGCGACCCAAGGAAGAAGAAGGUGCUACAGUAAAAAUAAAAAAAUAAAAAUAAAAUUAUUUUAAAAAUAUGUCGACGUCCGUGACGUCGAGUAGAUCACUGUGGUAUAUUCAUAUACCUAAAUUGAACACCGUAUGAGAAAGUUAUUAAGGAUUGUUGGUUAGGUGUUCAAAUAACGUUUUAUAGUUUUCACAUUAGGUGAAAAUGUGAAUUGAUGAUCCGACCGUUGGAUCAUCACCAAACUUUGAUACGUUGUAAUACGUAAUAUUUGAGGAUUAUAGGAACUUACAGAUUGGGAAUCCGAUUUGCGGAUCUUCCGAAAUUGGAGUUGUAAGUCCAUAAUAUAGAAUGUUAACCGUCACUUAGUUUUGGAAAUUGACGGAAAUCCAACCGUUUGAUAGUAAUGAAAUUUUAGGAUGUUAUCCUAGAGAUAUACUGUGGACCUCUGGAAGUUAUGGAUUUAAAAUCUGAGUGGCAGAUCUUCCGGAUCGAACUACGUAGUGACGUAUUUUAUAUAAGUUAAAUAUUAUAUCGAUAUGAAUUCUGAGGUUGGAUUUGAUUUCUAUUCUAGGCGGCGAUCGUCGUGACGCCUUGAUGUGUGGUGCUAGGGAGUUGUUGGAUGAACUCCAGGUGAGUGGGCAGUUUUGUUUUCCGUAUAUAUAUAUAUACUUAACGUUUUCCCAGAAAUUGAAAAUGCAUGAAAUUAUGUUUAAAAUGAAAUGCAUAUGAGUUAUGUGGAAAAACGGGAAGUGAAAUACCAUGCAUAGAAUUGAUAUGAAAAGUAUAUAGAAAUGUGAGUUGAAAUGCCAUGCAUGAAUUAAUAUAUGAUGCAUAUGUAUGAAUUGGUGCGGUGGACGCACAGGUAAGAAUUGAUUUAUGAUGCAUAUGUAUGAAUUGGUGCGGUGGACGCACAGGUAAGAAUUGAUUUAUGAUGCAUAUGUAUGAAAUGGUGCGGUGGACGCACAGAUGAGUAUUUAAUUACUGUUAUGAUGAUGAUGAUAUAUAUUGAGCUCAAAUCCUGCACCAUGGUUUAGUGCUUAUAGUAUUCACCGCAUCGCACGCUCGCCUUGGAUCCAAGUAGAUGCUAGUCGUACAGUCCACGCGGAGUGGGUACGACAGGCCAGUCGCGAGAGUGUUAGUGAGAUUCCGACUGGUGGGUGACCUUAGAUUAUGUGCACAGAUGAUUUAUGAGAAGCACUAGAGCGUAACUUGUGUGCAGAAGGCCGGACGGGUCACAGAGGGUGACUCCGGUAGAGUGAUAAUGAUAGAUUUUGAGCUCUAGGUUCAACCGUAUAGGGCUAUUAGAGGGCCUACGGUUGAUUACUUUCUUGCACCUGAUAUGAUUAUGUUGAUGCAUUCAUACCUUAUUACUGUUGAGAUAAUGUGGCAUGGCAUAAUUAAUAUGAGAAAUGUUGAGAUGACAUGGCAUGGCAUGAUUGAUAAAGAGAUAAUGUUGAGAUAGUAAAAAUGAAGUUUUGAGAAUAUAUAUGUAUAUUUAUAUUUUACAUUUCUGGGAAAGUAUACAGGUUUUACGGAGAGGGGUUACAACGUUUUGAGAAAUGUUUGGAUUUGGAAAAGAAUUGUUUUACUGACCCACUCAAUUUUGGUUUUGCGCCCCUCCAGGUUCAGGAAUCACAAAGGUGUGGUGACUACGAGGAAUUCGACGGUGUUCUGACAGAUUGGACAAAAUUAGGACUCACCUUCGGGUGUAUCAACUUAUAAAUUGUAUAAUUAAAGCUUCCGUACUGUGCAAAUGGUUACGUCACUCUCACGUGACGGCCAGCAUGCCCUCCUUCGGGACGGGGUGUGUCACGGUACAUUUGACCAGAAGCAGAAAGAAAAAGGAGGGAGGGAAGUGACUGACCCAAAGGUGCCUUGGGAGCCAGCAUCAUCGCCGUGAACGUCGGGAUGGUUCAAUCGAAGAAAACUGUUGUCGCCGGCGGGCGUGGCCAUGGUCUGCUCACUGCGGCUGGAGGGCGAGCCCACGCUGCCGCUCAUCGAGACGGACUGACCCCUGGCCAUGUCGUCGUCGUCCUGCCCUGCUCGCUCUCGUCCUGGUUGCUGCUGGGACCUUGUCCCCAUCCUAAUUCCAACCACACCACACCACACCACACCAAUGGAAUCUUGUCCCCAUCCUAAUUCCAACCACACCACACCACACCACAUCAAUUUAGGCGAGCUGGUCUUUGCAGUUUAUAGGUGUCUGUGUGAAUCUUGAUUCUUCAAACCUCUUUCGUACCCGUCUAAGCACUGAGAAAGAAAUGGAAGUAGAGAGAAAGAAAUUAAAUGAUAAAAUAUUAAUUAAUAUGAAUAAAAUAAUAUAAUAUUAGAUUGACUGGGUGCCAGCGCAUUUUUAGGAAUGGAGAUGCUUUGGUCUAUUACUGUUCAUUGUGGUCUAUUACUGUUCAUUUGAGUGGAUAAAUGCGCUGGGUGCUGGCACAAAGUCUUUAGGGGUAGACUUGCUCUGACUUCUUCAUGUCAGAACUUUGGAGAGAGGAUUUUUUUGUGAGGAUUUCAGAUAUCCUUCGAUUACAUUCGUUCAUCGUACAUUGUACGGUCAUAAAUUAUUAUAAAUUUUUUUAUUUAAUAUUGAAUAUAAACAAUAACUGAUUAAAAUUGACCACAUAAUGAAUGAUGAACAUAUAUAAUUAAAAAAAAUUUAGAGUCCUCACAAUGAAAAUCCGGCCAACAUUCUGAUUCUCAACUCUGUUCUACUGUCCCUUUAUACAUCUGACUGACAUCAUUUUACUGACAAAAGGCAAAGAUGACCCAUCACAUAAACUAAACUUGGUCGAGGAAUUUCUUUUACUCAGGAUUUCACUGACUUCGUUUGACUGAGUUACCGUAUGGGAAGUGAAUACACCCUCGUUACUCGAUAGGUGGCAUAUUUGAUCAGUUAAUAUUAAUAAUUAUAGAUAUGUAAUUGGUAAGACUUUUUAGUUAGAAUAGUUUGUAAGAUUGUUAUAAUUUUUUAUUUUAGUUUUAGAAAUUUAAAUUUGAUGUAACUGCUUCCUGAGUUUAUCUUUCAUUAAUUAUUUUGGUUCUUCCGUGAAAAAUCAUCGUUAAAAGUACUCUUAAUUUUUGUCAAAUUAUUUUGGCUCAUUACUGAUGAAAUUGAGAGUAUUUUUGUUAUUUUACUCCUUAUUUAAAAAAUAUAUUUCAUGGAAUGACCAAAAUGAUUGACGAAUGACAUACUUAGAAACCAUUUUUGUUGAUUUCAAUUUUUAGAGAUCAAAGUGGAGAGUAAUUCUAAUCUCAAGAACUAUUUUGGUUAAAAUGCCAAAUUUUUUGUUGUCUAUGAUCAACACUGCGAUGAUACACUUAUGUUUGUCUAUGAAAACUUAAUUGAAAAAUAAAUGACAAUGAGUUUGGCAGGCGGUCAAACAAACCAGUUGAUCAAGAAAGAUCAAUAAACACUAAAACAAUCCAAUUUAUUUGGGAAAUUUUUUAACCCCAUGGCAACCUGAAUUCAUACUCGACCCCAAUUAUAAUAUAUAAACAAAAACUAUUACAAAUUGCUAAAAGGAGUUCUAAAUUUGCUAGUCAAAGUAAAAAUUGCUUAAUACUACUUCCAACUAUAAUAUGCAUACAACGAUAUAUUCGUACUAAUGAAUUUGGGUAAGCUACAUAAUCUCAAACUAUAAUAAUUUAGUUUGCCAUCCAAGAGAGUUGAACUUCAUACUUUGUACGAGCUUGGCUACCUGUCACCAUAUCGGUAUCUAAAAGCGUGUUUACAUGCUGCACAUGCAUGUGAAUGUGAUCCAAAAUUCAUGUGUGCCAUGAUAGAAGAAGAUAUAAGCAUUUGAAAUCUAAAUGAAGUGUAUUUGGAACAUAAUCCGUGUUUUGAUGCUGGCAUUUUUGACAUUAAAACUUAGACUAAUGCAUGCAUGGAUGGAGUAUUUGUGGUAAUCAUUUCUCUUCCCUAUUCAUUUUUCCAAAAAGAAAUUGACUUGUUAGAUUAGUGUAAACAAAUAUUCACAAGCACAUUAAAUUUAAGGUUGUAGUAUUAGUAGCAAUUACACGUAAACACGCGCACCUGCUUAUCAAGGAUGAUUAAGCUAAUUUUGAAUAAUUAAUGUGACAAUUAGCAUGAUUAGGAGAUGGCAUGUGCCCCUCCAACUUGUGGAUUUGAUAUCAUUUAACAUGUAACUUUUCUUCUUUAGUGGGUCUAAGUUGAGGAGUCCAAACAAUUGAUCGUUUCAAAUAUUUGGAUUUGCCAUUUAUAAGCCCCAGUGGAUUUAUGUUGUUUAUAGUGUUUUAUUACCUUCUAUAGAUCCAAGUUCCCAAUUUUGACCAAGAAAGUGUUUCGGCCAUUUGGGCAAAAGGAGCAAUUGGUUCAAGUUUUGGUGCUAAAUUCAACACUCAUUUCCGUCAUGGGCUGCUAAGGCUCAAGUUAAAGCGAUGGACAAGUCAUGUUAGUGUAAGAAGAGUGGGAUCAAUCUUAUCUACUAAGUUGAAAAUUUAUAGUCGUGAGGGAAAUCGAACAUAACUUCGAGUGAAAGAACAAAUACUCGAUCAUUUGAGUGACGUGUCUCUUGAAAAAGGAUGCAAGACAGAAGAAACAAAAGGGCAAGAGACAAAAAUAUGAUUAAUCUUAAGUAAGGGAUUAACUAGUCCCAUUAUUAAUUUAAUUCAUGCUUUCUGUAUGGAAUUAAUCAUAAAUUAUAACGGAGAAUCCACACUGUUGUAGACUUGUAAUGCGUCGGCAAACACAAAAAACUCAAAAAAUCAAAAUUAAUUCCAUUACUUAUUUGAAGUUGGUAAGCAUGCCAUGACAGGCCUUCACAGUAUUGAAAGCAAUAUACAAUAAUCAUAUUCUACUUGUAAAUGUUAUAAAACUUUCUAUUGGUAGAGAACAUAAAACCAAACAAAAUGCCCCAACAAAUUGGAUAUGAAAAUUCAAAAGUACAAACAAAAAACAUGCAUCAAAAUGUACACUAAGUAUAACUCCAACCACCCAACCUAUAUCUCCUAAUCUCACAAACCACAAAGAAGAACACAUAUAUAUACAAAAACACAUGCAAUAAUCUCCCAUCAACACUCACUUAUUUAUAUAAACACAAACAUAUUUACGUCCUUCCAAUAUAUGUACUCAACCCAUUAAUAACUGCAUAUCAUACAAAAUUUCCUGAACAAGAUCUCCCAUGAUCAGGCUUUCGAUCUCUUGUCCCACUGCAUUAACGUCCUCGUCCAUCAGUCCGGACCAAGGAACUGAUCCAAGAUCCCGGGCGGCCAUAUCAUCGAGUGAGUAAUAGGGUACAUUAGUUGGAGGAUAUAGGCAUUCGCAGAUGAUUCGCCACACACAAUUCAACAACUUCUUGCCUCGUAAUGGUGGCAGCGCAGAGGAGUUGAUCAUUUUUCUCCGGAAGUUUGGCAUGCUUAUUGCUGGUCCGAGAACUGUUGAAAGAGAUUCGUUCAACAAGUCGCGUAACACCUUGUGAUUUACCAUCUCCUUGUGAUCUGUUGCUGAAGGAUCUUGCUUGUUGGCCAAGUUUUUAUACGAUUCUUCCACUUCUUCGAACACUGAGUUGCUGAUUGGUUUCGCAAAUGUGUCCCAUCUCGAUAGUGAUUUAUCAAAUGAUCCAUCGUACAAACCAGAAACGACAAGCAAAUCUCGUAUGUAAACCUCUGCUGGGUUGUCUAAACUAGCCAUUUCAGACUCAACCGCUUCCUCAACUUUAAUCCCCUCAGGCUCAUUAGACUCGAGUUGGUUCAGUUGCCUUCGUAGCUCUGUAGAAUCGACAUUAGACAAUUAGAUGAUUAUUCACGCGUCAGUUUAUACUCUGGAAUUAUAUGCAUCUUGAUAACAACAAAAUUGGCAACGACGCAACAGUCAUGUAUGCUACAUAAACACAGGCACAUAUACGCCUAUACAGUCACAUAAAACAAAUUUGGGUAGACUGUUUACUAAGCAUGUACGCUUUCAUACUAUCAACUCAUUUGUCAUGCCGGAACAAAACAUGUUCAGAAAGCAUUCAAAGAAACAUACGUACCACUCAGAUUAUCGCUGAUGUCCCUAAAAGCCUGUGGCACGAUACUAUCUUCUCGUGGAGUUGCACUCGGAGUUGAUAUUGGACUAAGAUAAUCAGUUGGCCUCCAGAACUCUUCCCGAGCAGUGCUGCAUGCAGAUGCAGGACUAGGAGGCACCUCGGUGAAAUUAUCCUAAAACAACAAAAGAAGAUAUUAAGAUAAAUAUAAAUUGAACCCCCUACAUAAUGAAUAAUUCUCAGUAAAAUGAAUAGAUCAGAUAAAGUAUCUGCUUACAUGUCUCUCUCCAGAGUUUGUAAUCACUGUUGGCCCGCUCAUGAUAUCCUUCAUAGGAUACCGUUCAGUAUGACGUGAUUCCGGAACUGAUUGGUUUUUUUUGCCAAAAAGUCUCCCCCUAAGCAUAAAACUGUACCGGAGAUUGGAAACUUUUUCUUUAAAAUUAAACCUUUCUUUCUUCUGAUGUUUCAUCUCCAUGGACACAGGUCCAAUGCCUUCAUGCUUCCUCUGAAUGUGAGCACCGGUUAAAACAUGACGGUCCUCCAGAAGAAGUUUCCCAAAAGAUGUUCCGGGUACUGGGGCGGAUAAGGACCUAAUGAGGUUUCUAGGGGACAACUCUCUAUCAAGCACUUCAUCUCCAUGUGAUCCAUAUCUGAAUGAUCUUGUGUUUUCAUGUUCAUCUUUCACUACUCCCCUUUCCCUUUCGUAGUCUAAAGCAGAUAACCUAGAUCUCCCAGAAACUAAUGAAGGAUCACGAGGUUCUGUUUCUAUUUUUGAAACAUUUCUCGGUCUCUCUAACAAAAUUCUUUUAGUAUCUCUAUGCAUAAAUUCCGGGGAACCUGAUCCAUUGAACUGCAUUUCGCUUCUGUAUGAUCUUGUCGAUUCUGAUCUCAGCAAAUUCAUGCCAAGGUCCCUCGUCGCACUUUCCCUGACCUGGUUUGCAAUGUGUCGAGCAAUCUGCUUUCGAGAUGAUGGCUGUUCGCUAAACGGGGUCUCAAUUCCACUUCCUCGGACAACAGAACCCCUUUUAUGCAUUUUCCCUUGCAGCUCAGAUCUUAGUCGUUCUUUCACCUCCUCGAGAAAAUCUUCUAUGCCACCCUUCCUCUCUAGAGUGUUUGAAGAACCUGUCCAAGUCUCUUCAUGGUUGCAAAGUCUAUCGGGACCAGGUCUUAAGAUAACUAUCCUUGUAGGAGGAGAAGACGCGUCGAAUGACUCAAAUCUCUUCUUAGAACUCACCAGGGAAGAUUGCUCAAAGUCUAAGCUCAUGGUUCUUCUGCUUCUUGAAGAAAAAGAACCCUUUUGCUCAGCUGGGAAUAAUUCCGAAAACUCAUUUCCUCGACGUUGUAAAUCACUUUCUUCAUGUGAGAUUUCUUUUACUGCGUGGUCCUUACGUUCUAAAGUUGUCUGAGUUGUUCUAUGCCCUGAAACUGCCAUCUUUUCCUCGUUGAGGUUGCUAUCAAUUUUGAGAAACCUUGAGCAUUCCCUAAACCUGGAAGCUUGCCAUGCUUCAAAUUCUUUCUUGAACUUUUGUAGUUCCUCCUCUUGAGGAUGUUCUCUACGCCUUGGAUUUUCGAUUUUCUGGUCAUCGCUCCACCUAGUGGCAUCUCUGCCAUUACUGUGAUAAUAAGAAUCAAUAUCCAUCUGCUUGGAGGAAUUUAAGUUAGAAGAGACGCGACCGACUGAGCUCCUUCCAUUCAUUUCCUUCUUUGAAGAUUUCGUUCUCCUAUUUUCACCUUUUUCUUCCACAACUACAGAUUUUGGUUCCACUGGCAACAUAUCCAUCCCCAUCAGUCGGGCCACAAUGUUUGGUGCAUUUUGUCUGGUACUCGAAUGUUUGGAUAUUUCCUCAUUAAUCAAUUUCUUCAUUGAACUUUCCGAUGGAUUAUUCUUUCUAGACCAGUUUUCUUCAACCUGAUAUAUGUAAUGAAAAUUCAUCAAAACUAAAAUACGAUGAGAGUGAGGGAGAGAGAUGACUCAAAAAUUCUGAUGUGAUGAAAUUUGGUAGAAGAAAACACAAUAUGAGAAUGGCGUUAAUAUAUAAAGCAAGAUCACUGAUAUCUACAAGAAAUCAGAUGCUGCUAAUGCAAUAGCCGAAAACUCCACAUCUUCGUAGCUAAGAGAGCACAGAAUCCACAGAAAUUAACCACCCUAGGCCACAGGACAAGCAACAAGAAGGAAUGUGAUGAAUCAUUACCGGCAAAUCUCCUGUGUCACAAUAGCUCUGAGGCUCUACCUGCAUCUCCAGGCUAUUUCUUGGAGCAUCAAGGCCUGCAAUAUGUACAAAACAACCUACUUCAUCAGCUGAAUAAGCAAAUUGACACAAACAACCCAACUGUUCAAGCUAUUUUCAUUCGUCAGCGGAGAGAUACAAAGUUUUUUUCUCAGUUAUUGUUCGAAAGAGAAUUGUUCGUGUCAUCCACAAACUUUCGAAAUUUUCUUGUUGCGCAGAGAGAAAAGUAAAAACUCACCGCCAUCAUGCUUCUUAUGUGUAAAAAGCUUUCUGGCCAUGCUGCCCUGGUUGAAAUCAAAAAGGUGCGAUAAGCCUCCCAUGCAGCCACUGGAUCUACCAGAAGGAUGUCAUUCCCUUUUCCACUUCUCUAUAUCUCACCCCAUUCGUACCCGAAUCAAACGCCUUUUAUACACCGAAAGAACACGGUGACACCGCAACAACCGGAUAUAACCUGCAAAAUGAAGAAAGCCUGAAUUUCACUUGCUGAUCAACAGACAUUUGAUUAAGUAAAAUGAUGUAGGUCCAUCACAUAUGGACCAACCAAGAGUUUUCUCCUUGUGGACUAUUUGUUGUACACUACAGAAAGCAGACUUUACAGCAAAAUAUACAAAAGUCGUUGAAAUAAUGGAGCAAUAAUUAAACAGGAAUUCAAUAUCUCAGUUGCAUUUCCUGCAACCAAAAAGUUAAGAACCUAGAGAGAGAGAGAUGGUAAUUCUAAUCCCAACAAAAUUAAUCAGGAGCAAAAAUUUAGAAAAACCAAAUUAACAAGCAGUAGAAUUUAGCAUUUUCAUAAAUGCACAUUUUCUGUAACCACACCAACCAAGUUAGUUUGAGGCGGAAAAUGAUUCCGCACUCUCAUUUUCUCUCCAUGCACUCCUCAAAUUAAUCAAAACGAAAUCAAUGGGCAGAAACAAGUGGAGAAGCGCGGAGGAUAGGAGAAAACGAGAGUGCGAAAAUCACUACCCUUCGACUGAACAGGCAAAAACAUGAAAAAAUUGAACUUUUGAAUUCAAAACCAUAAACACAGAAAACCCAGAAACAGUUUAGCUCUGAGAAAUGCAGGGAGCCAAAGAAGCCAAAAAUCCUGAACUCAAAGUAAAGCACUUUUCUUACCGUUUUCUGGGCUUGUUUUCUCGGCUACCAAACACGCCAACUGGGCUUCUGACGCUCCGGGAGACCAGCAGGAAUGUCAGGUUUCAGAAAGCGAACUAUGAUUUGCGAUGGAAUUAUAUGUGAACAGUGAAUGGGAAAUUUUAAGACGAUGGAGAAAAAGCCUUUUUCCUGCUGCAAACAGAAGUGAGAGAGAUUUCGGAAAGGAAAAAACAAGAAGGCAUAGGGAAAUUCAAAGAUACGAGGGAGGAAGUUGAGUACGAUUGGAUCGUUUGAUAAAAUAAUGGUAAAAAUAUCUUGAAUGAUUAGAAUAAUGUGGAACAGAGAAAGGUACUGCCUUGGUAUUGCUGGAGUGGAAUAACCGACCAGAAAGGAAAGGUUCCAUCUUCUACCACGUCUUCGCUAAAAUUGGCCAAAUUAAAAACACGACGAAAAAAUGAGUUAAAUAGUUAUAAUUUAUAAGGAAAGUUAAUAAAAAUUUUGAGUUUUAACGAUAAGGACAAAAUAAAGGGUAAAAUGAAUAGUACUAUGAUUGAUUUUUUAGUGUAAAAAUAUGGUUUUUCAUUAAAGUGAACUGUACCGAGAGUUUUUCGUUGAAGUUCCCAAAUUUAUAACAUGGAAAUCAUUUUAACAUUUAAGUCUAAAUUUUCAAUAACAUUUUAGUCUUAAUUACAUUUCCCUUUCUGGCCGAGACUAAUAACACAACCAUGUGCCUAAGUUCGACACAAAAGUAUUCUAAGUAUUAUAGUCUAAUAGUUUUUAAUCUUCAUUAAUAGGUAAGAAGUUUUAGUUUUGACAUACUUAAAUGUUUGAUACCUGAUUAUUAUUUUAGUUAGAACAUCGUUGGUUAAAGAAGUACGGCAUAUAAGUGAUCAACUACACAACCGAGUGCUAGUUAAAUAGUGAUCUCAAUACGUUAUUCUUGUUAAACAACUAAUUGUUGACAGCUCAACGAGAGUUUCUUUUAGUUAGUUACCAUAUACACAUGUUAGAGGUUUGUGGCUUAAGUGGUUGGAGCAUUUACUCAUGUACUCGAGAUUCACAUGUUAGGUUUUUGGCUCAAAUCGUAUGAAAAUAGAAAAAGUGCAUGCAGCUUACAGUGUGAACAAAUGGAUGUCUCCUAACAUACAUGGUACAUCAUCCAUGUCAAUUUUUCUUAGUUAAGUUCCGUCUCCAAUCAUGUUACGUGAAAACCGGACCUCAAAAUGUGAUAAACACAAUUAGAAUUAUCGUCCAGACAAAUAAUUGGUGACACCUUUCAUGAAUGGGUUGUAUGCACUUUAUGAAUUUGUCAAGUUUAGAAAUUUAGGUAACCCAAAAAUUAUGCAAAAAAUAAAUAAAAGGCAUUGCCUAAGUAGACAUUAACCAUGUGCAUUGGUAGCCUCUAAUCUGUAUAGCUUGACUUUAUAUACAAAUUGGUCGGUCCACAAAAUUGAAUGUGACAACUAUUAAGUGGCACCACCUAUUUAUUAAUAUUUACCAAAUCUCUUCAAAAUUACAAAUUAGAAAAAUAGAAAAUAUUCUCUCGUCUUCUUGCUAACCAUAGCCAUAGCCAGUCAUUUUCCUACUCUUUUGUCAUUUAUUAGAUAUUCCAUAUUUUUUUUGUUACCGUUCCCUUUCACAUCCCCAUAACAGUAAAAGAAAGAAUUAAUUCAAUUUUAUACUUUUUACAUUGCACCCGAAAAUUAAAUUUUGUAUAAUUUUUGUUUGUUUGGAUAUCUAAUAUUUUAUUAAAUUUAUGAUUUUUUUUGUUAAUAUAAUAAAAAUGUGACUUUUACGUUAGCUGGCUUAUAUAUAUUUCUUAUGUUUAUCAUAUCAUUAAUUUAAAUAAAAAAUUAAAUAAUGAAUCAAACCAAAGGAAUAAAUUUGAUACAUUUCAACAUUUUAUGUUGAAAUAUGAGAAAUUAAAACGUCUCGAUCCAUCAUGAAUAUUACCACAAAUUUAAAGAGUGAAAUAUAAUUAAUUCAAAAAGAUAUGAUGGAAAUUAGAAAAAUAAGAAAGAAAGAAAAAAACCAGAAAGUUGUCGUUGUCUCACGUAACGAACAGCUCAGAGACAAUUGCUUUUGAGGCGCACGAUACCUCCAUUUGGCGCCAGAUUAAACGGCCUUUUAUACCAUCACAUCAGAAGAAAAAAAAAUAGAAAAAAAAAGAAAAAGAAAGGGAAUGUGUUAUGCAAUUUUUUAUUCUUCUACUGCGUGCAUCUGGCUGGCCUUUUCCAACCGUCACGCUCGAGAUUGCUAGCGUUGCCUAGUCCCGCCGAUUAAUUGCUCUGCAAAAUGAACGCCCCAGUUUUAAGCCUAGCCAAUUUCUUAUUAUUCUAGCUCACUACUAUUAAGAGCAAUUUCACUUGGUCGUCUGAAUUGUUUUAUUGAUUUUAAAUCACAAAAAUCAAAGUAAGAAAUUAUGUCAAUUUCAAUGACUAUUUUGGUUAAAAGGCCGAAAUAGUAUGUUAUACUCAUCUAACGACUUGCAAUUAUGAAAGUCUCCAUAUGUCAUUCGUAAUCGUAUGACAAAAAUUUUCUUAUUAAAAAAUCAUAAGAGAUACACACCAAGAGCAUAAGUUAAAGGCUAACCAUUGGCAAUUCUACUCCUUGUCCAAUGCUUGACUGCUCUAUGUCCUAUAUGAAUGUACUCUACAUGACCCAAAGAACAUUCAAUAUGCAAUGUUUUGGACUAGCAUUUUUUAGUUUAAUUUAUUUGCUUCACUUGACCAAUAUUAUUAUAUCAAACAAGAUAUCAUUUUCCUUUUUAUCCAUUAAAUUAUUAAAAAAAUUAUUAAAAAAAAAAAAAAAAAGAGAAGCAAAAAGUGAUAGGAAAGCUUAAGCUAACAUGUUAGAAGCUCCAACUCAUGAGAUGGGAUGAUGGGUUUAGCCGUUCAAGUGGGGCAUAUGUGUAUAUAUAUAUUGAGCUACAAAGCGUAAGGCACCCCCUUUCGUUCCAUGCAAUGAUGUUGACUGCGCAUUGUCAUGUGCCUCAAAGCUUAAGCCUCCACAUGACAAAAUGAGAUGAAAGCGUGGCUCAAUUAUAGAGCUUUUUGGCAACUAAAAGGGUCGCCCAAAAUACCAAGUUGGGGGGCCAAGGGUUUUGCCAAAUUUUCAACACAACCCACCUGGCAUUCUCAAAUCAACUUUGACACCUUGUUUGGUGGUGUUAAAGUCGAACCACCUUUCAUUAUUUGGGGCAGCUCUCCGACAUUAUUAUGGAGAGAUUACCGGGCGGGCGAGAGUUUCAAUGUCACGUCACAUGUUUGCUUAAGAAACACACAGAGAAACUUCCUACAUUUAAAUUCCACAUGAGUCUAUUGUGGUACCACGAAUGCAUCAGAGUACUCAUUGUGUGUUCUUGGCUAGAUGGGAACCUUGACACCGAAAUCCUCUAUCAAAUGAUAAAUUUUUAUGUGUAUCCAUAACACAGUACCACAAGGCGGCACACUACAUGUACAGUAUAAGUGGAUAUGUCCCACUUCUAUGUUACAAUACGUAAUGUAUUGCCUUAUGUUUCAAGUACAUUAAAAAAUCUCUUGUAUCAUAUAUUUUCUUGUUUAUAAACACAUGACCACUUGUAAGUGUGGUAGAGAUUGUAAUGGUAAUUGGGCUUCUGGCAUACAAGACCGCAAACUAUCUCAAGUAUGCAGACAUGGGCUGAAUUGGUGUCCGGCUUCUGGCCCUGAGCAAACUAUGUGUGUUACUACAAAACUUGAUGAUUGUGUUGGGUGUGGAAAUCUUCACCGGAUAUGCAAAGUUGUUAGAUAUGCUCAAUGAGUUUUGAAUUAUCAGGUUCAAUGGCGAUGUGCUUAGAUUGAAAAAAGAGAAGGGAAAAUCACCCUUUUAUAGAAAAUAAAAAUUUCUCUAAAAAGGGUAAAUUAUCCUUUCAUAGAAAAUAUAUUGCAUACUUUUUUUGAGUUGUCAAUGAUGAAUCUUGGUAGCUAGAAAAAAAUUGAAAGUUUAUCAUUUUAAACUAGUCUAUUAACAUGAGAAUUUACUUAUUGACAGUUGUGACAAUUUUCUUACAGUAAUAACAACUAGUUAGCUAUUAGAUAAUUUGUGUUGCGAUUGCUAUGAAUCUCGAGUUCCAACUUAAUGAGAAAAAAAAAUUUGAUUCCUCUUUGACAUGUCAACGUUCUACUAGUUGGCUUUCUUUUCCAUCUCAAAACUCGAGACUUCGCAUUCGUACUUGUUUCUUUGCUUGGAAAAUCGUAAUGCCUAGACAAGUAAUUUGCAUUAAAAAAAGGGAUAAUAUUGGACUUUCAUAAAAAUAGAGUUAUCCCAUAAAGUUUGAAAUCACAAAACGGAUUCUUCAAUAUUUUCUGCAUGGCCUCUCUGUACAUUGACGACUAGUUGAAGCUAAUUUUUUGGCUUUGUAUGAAAGAUGGAUAUCAACUCUUAAUCUUCAAAGUUUUUGCAUGGAUUCUCGUGCUUGACCGACCGUCUAAAACUCAUCUUCCUCCCUACCAUAUUGGUCAUAUUUCAUUUUCUCCAGAUCAAUUGUAGAGGUUUAACUUUACAGUAUUCGUUAAACUUUUACGUAAUCAGAUUAAAGUUCAGUCCGCCAUAUUCAUAUUCCUGAAAACUCAUGUUCUUACUUUCCAUAUUAGUUGAAUUUUAUUUUCUCUAGUUCAAUUGCACAUGUUUAACUUUAUAACAACCGCUUAAUUUUUACAAUGAUCAAACUAAAAUCCACCCCGCCAUAUUUACACCCUGAAAAUAACUCUAAAUUAUUAAAAUUCCAUCCACCAUAUCUUCAUCAAAAUCUACACAGAAAAAAAAAAAUUUCCAAUAGGUUACUAAAAAUCAUUGCACCUAAGCACUAUGAAUCUCUUGAUUUGAACAAAAAUAAAAAUUGAAAAAUGUAGGGAUUUUCCCUCCUUGUUUUCCAUAAAAGAGCGACACUUGGGCCAAAGGUUGCAUCUUCCCGCCUAUACGUGUUCAUCCGUACUCGGUUCAAACGGCAAUAAAUACACCCAGGUAGAGAGAGAGAGAGAGAGAGGAGAGAGAGAGAGAGAGAGAGAGAGAGAAAGCAUCAGUCAUUCAGUCCUCUUCUCUCUCUCCUCUGUUCUGUCCGCAUUCUCUGAAUUCUAGGGUUUCGCUGGCGAUUAGGGGGGAAAUGGGUUCCGCCGCGGAAGCAGCGGCGGUCUUGGAGACCAAAGGUGCCAAUGGGGCUAAGCCACCGGCUUCUCUUCCUCAGGUACUUUAAUCCCUAAUUUACCCCUGUGAUUCUUGUUCUUUCGAUGCUUUAGAUUAUAUGAGUCUAAUGGUUUCUUGAUUUUGUGUUAAAAUUUUGACUGCAAUUUUGUUGUGCCGUGAAUUUAUGAUAAUGGGUUGUAAUUAUAGGGGUUUUAGAUUUAGACUGCCCCUUUUGUUAAAUUAUGCAUUUGUGAUGUUGUAUCAUUAACCCCAUACGGUUUCUUUUGGUUUCAAAAUUUUGACUACUAUUUUUCGUGUUGUGAAUUUAUGAAUUUAGGGGUUUUAAGGUUCGUUUGGAAUUGCUUUGAAAAUGAUUGAAAGUAGUUUUGGUGAAAGUGAUAUUGGGUUCUAAAAGCAUUUAAAGUUCUUUUUUGAAGAAGCACUAGAUAUGUGUUUCUUGAAGGAAGCACUUUACGUGCUUUCCUAGAAUUCAUUUGGAUUUUUAUCAAGGAUUGAUUACAAAACACUUUCACUAAAAGCAUUUUUAGUCAUUUUAAAAGGGUUUUCAAUGAUCCCUUAGAUUUGAACUGUUAUUAAAUUAUGAAUUUCUGUUGUUGGAUUUUUGGUCCAACAAUAAAAAAAGAUGCUGGAUUUAUUUUUUAACAAGCGAUAUUGUAGAAGGGGGAAAUCGAACUCGAGACCUUGGGUGCAAGGGUUCAAAGAUGUUGGAUUUUUGGAUAUUUUUUAAAUGGUUUUUACCACCCCGUUUAUUGGGUUGGGAAUUUAUGAUUAUGGGUUAUACUUAUGGGGUUUUUAGAUUUAGGCUGCCUCUUGUUAAAUUAUGAAUUGUGAGGUUGGAUUUUUGGCUAUGGUAAUUUUUCUUAAAAAUGUUUUGGACUGCCCCUUUUAUUGUAUUAUGAAUUUAGAUUAUGGUUUUAAGGUUCUGACUGCCAUUUUAUUGUAUAGUGAAUUUGUGGUCAUGGAUUUAUGUUUAUGGUUUUUCACAUUUUCGAUGCCGUGUCAUCAUGUUAAAGAAUUAUGAACAAUGGUUUACAUUUAUGGGGUUUUUAGUUUACUGUCAUCAUAUUAUAUCAUGAAUCUGUAAAUAUGAUUUAUGAUUAUGAAUUUUCAAUUUUUCACUAACCUUUUACAGUAUUAUGAGUUCAUUAUGAUGGUUUCAGCCAAAGGCUACGUGCUUUCUCAUGAUUUUGUUUGCUUAAAUUUCUGUUUCUGCUUUGGAUUUGAUCCAGUUUCCAAAUCAAUUUAGAGGAUUAGUACAUGGAUCCUCCUCCUUCAUUGUCUUGCGCAUAUAUAUGUCUAGGUUCCGCCAAAUCUUGGCCUGGGUCUUGAUUUCACUUUUCAGUUAGCUUGUCAUUCCUUUGCCUAAUUUCUCUAAUUUUACUUUUGUGAUAGGAAUGACGAAGAAGAAGAAGAAGGGCAAACCAGCUUCCCAAAAGGCAGCACCUACUGGCUCCAAAACUAAGAAGCGAAAUUUGCCUCAGAGCACUGAAGAGCCUUCCAAGUCUCGGAAAAUGCCCAAGCGGGCUGCUGCAUGCACAGACUUUAAAGAGAAGUCUGUUCACAUUUCUGAAAAAUCUAAUCUUAUUGAAAGCAAGAAGGAUCGAGUAGUUGAUCAAGAAACUGAUGCUAUAGUCCUGACUUCUGGCGAGGACCAAGAUGCAGCACGCCCAAACAGACGGCUGACUGAUUUUAUUGUGCAUGAUGAAAGUGGGUUACCCCAGCCUCGUUGAGAUGUUGGAAGUUGCUGACAUGUUUAUAUCUGGUACUAUAUUGCCUCUCAAUGAAAGUUCUGACAAGGACAAGGAAAGAGGUGUUAGAUGUGAAGGUUUUGGGCGAAUAGAAUCUUGGAACAUCUCUGGUUAUGAAGAGGGCUCUCCUGUGAUAUGGCUCUCAACUGAUGUUGCUGAUUAUGAUUGUCGUAAACCUGCCAGCUUCUAUAGGAAAUACCAUGAUCAAUUCUUUGAGAAAGCGCGUGCUUGCAUAGAGGUUUACAAAAAGCUGUCAAAAUCCAAAUCUGACACUACUCUUGAUGAAUUACUUGCUGCCAUUGCUCGAUCAAUGAGUGGAACCAAAUUCUUUUCCGGUACUGCAGCUAUCAAAGAAUUUGUUAUAUCUCAAGGUGAGUUUAUCUAUGAUCAACUGGUAGGUUUGGAGGAAACAUCAAAGAAGAAUGAUCUGCCGUUUACAGAGCUGCCUGUUCUUGCUGCCCUUAGAGAUGAGAGCAGAAAGUGUGGAAGUUUUGUGCAAUCAAAACCGGCAACUUCAAGUGGAACUCUAAAGAUUGGUUCGGAAGUUAUAGGCGGAGAGGAUGGACUGAUUUCAGCCGGUUCAUCCAUAGUUGAAGCUGAGGAAAAUGAGGAUGUAAAGUUGGCAAGACUUUUGCAAGAAGAAGAGUACUGGAAGUCAAUGAAACAGAAAAAGCGUCAGGGUUCUGCCCCUGGUCGAGCAAAUACUACAUCAAAAUUAAUGAAGAUGAGAUUGCCAAUGAUUAUCCUCUACCUGCUUAUUACAAGAAUUCCAUUGAAGAAACUGACGAGUUCAUAGUUUUUGACAAUGACUAUGAUAUCUUAAAUGUUGAUGACCUUCCUCGAAGCAUGCUUCAUAAUUGGUGUCUGUACAAUUCAGACUCAAGAUUGAUUUCGUUGGAACUUCUUCCAAUGAAACCUUGUGCAGACAUUGAUGUUACCAUUUUUGGUCGGGGGUUAUGACUGGAGAUGAUGGAAGCGGCUUUUUUCUUGAUUCUGAUGGUUCUUCAAGUGGUCCAGGAGCAAAGGAUGCUGAUGGAAUGCCGAUUUACUUGAGUGCAAUAAAGGAGUGGAUGAUUGAAUUGGGAGCAUCAAUGAUCUCAAUAUCAAUCCGAACAGAUUUGGCCUGGUAUAGACUUGGACAGCCAUCUAAGCAGUAUGCUCUGUGGUAUGAACCAAUUCUAAAAACAGCAAAGGUUGGUAGAAGCAUAAUCACUUUGCUGAAAGAGCAAAGUCGAGUAGCACGGCUUUCUUUUGCAGAGGUCAUUAAGAGAUUGUCAGGGUUUCCAAAGGACCACUGUGCGUACAUUUCUUCUGAUCCGGCAUUUGUUGAGAGAUAUGUGGUUGUCCAUGGACAGAUAAUACUGCAACUGUUUUCAGAAUUUCCUGAUGCGCAGAUUAAAAAGUGCCCAUUUGUGGUUGGACUUACAAAGAAAAUGGAGGAGAGACACCAUACUAAGUGGUUGGUAAAGAAGAAGAAGGUUGUGGAGAAGAGUGGAUCAAACUUGAACCCGAGGGCAUCCAUGGGACCUGUGGUUUCCAAGAAGAAGGCAAUGCGGGCUACAACAACAAGGCUGAUCAACAGAAUCUGGGGGGAGUACUAUUUAAAUUACUCUCCAGAAGAUUCGAAUGAGGAGGAAGCUAAUGGUGAAAGAAAGAGGAGGAAGUUGAAGAAGAGGAGGAUAAGGAGGACAUAGAAGAGGAUGAUGAUGAAGAGAACGAUAAUGCAGCAGUAACGGAACAAGCCCAGAAGCCUAGUUCAAUUUCGAGACAAACUAAAUCAUGCUCCAACAACAAGGAGAUUCUGUGGGAUGGGGAGCCUGUAGGCACAACAUGUUCUGGCGAAGCUCUUUAUAUGCGUGCCAGUCUUCGUGGAGAUGAAAUUUCUGUUGGUGGUGCAGUCUUGGUAGAACUUGAUGGAUCAGAUGAACUUCCUGCCAUUUAUUAUGUGGAGUAUAUGUAUGAAACAAGAAAUGGAAGCAAAAUGUUUCAUGGGAGAUUGAUGGAACGAGGAUCUCAGACUGUUCUUGGCAACACUGCCAACGAGAGGGAGGUAUUUUUGACAAAUGAGUGCACAAACUUGGCAUUAAAGGUUGUUAAAGAGACAUCAGUUGUGGAUAUCAAAUUAUUGCCGUGGGGGCAUCAGUACAGGAAGGAGAAUGAGGAAGCUAGCCAAAAAGACAGAGAAAGGGCAGAAGAUAGGAAGAAGAAGGGAUUGCCAACUGAAUAUUACUGUAAAAGCUUGUAUUGCCCCGGGGAAGGUGCAUUCUUUAGCCUUUCCUGUGAUACCAUGGGUCUGGGUUCUGGUGCUUGCAACUCUUGCAAAGUGAACGAAGCUGAGGAGGCCAAGGAGAUUUUUAAAGUGAAUUCAUCAAAGACUGGUUUUGUAUACAGGGGAGCCGAGUACUCAGUUCAUGAUUAUGUCUAUUUAAGUCCCCAUUUGUUUUCUACUGAAAGGAUGGAAACUGAAACUUUCAAGGCUGGUAGGAAUUUGGGUCUGAGAGCUUAUGUUGUGUGUCAAGUGCUGGAGAUAAUUGGUACGAAGGAAUCUAAACGACCUGGACCAGAAUCUACCCAGGUUAAAGUGAGAAGAUUUUUCAGACCAGAGGACAUUUCGGUUGAGAAGGCAUACUGUUCUGAUAUUAGAGAGGUCUACUACAGUGAAGAAACACACCUUGUGACUGUUGAUGAUAUAGAAGGAAAAUGUGAAGUCAGAAAGAAGAGUGAUCUUCCAGUAUGCAAUGCUCCUGUCACUUUUGAGCAUAUCUUCUUCUGUGAGUAUCUGUAUGAUCCUUCUAAUGGGUCUAUCAAGCAGUUGCCGGCGGCCACCAAACUGAGGUACUCAACAGGAGGAGGUGGUGCGGAAUCUAGGAAGAGGAAGGGGAAAAUCAAAGAAGGAGAAGAUGUUUCAGAAGUUGAGAAACAGAGAGUUGAUGCUGAGCAGAAACGUCUAGCCACAUUAGAUAUAUUUGCCGGGUGUGGUGGCUUGUCUGAAGGGCUGCGUCAGGCUGGCAUUUCAUUAACCAAGUGGGCAAUUGAGUACGAAGAGCCUGCUGGUGAUGCUUUCAAACUGAACCAUCCCGAGUCACUGGUGUUUAUCAAUAACUGCAAUGUGAUCUUAAGGGCUGUAAUGGAGAAAUGCGGGGAUACAGAUGAUUGCAUCUCGACUUCCGAAGCUGCUGAUUUGGCUAAAUCACUUGAUGAGAAGGUUAAGAAUGAUCUGCCACUGCCGGGGCAAGUGGAUUUCAUCAAUGGAGGACCUCCGUGUCAGGGUUUCUCUGGAAUGAAUAGGUUCAACCAAAGCACUUGGAGUAAAGUUCAGUGUGAAAUGAUUUUGGCAUUCUUGUCCUUUGCUGACUACUUCCGGCCAAAGUAUUUCCUCCUGGAGAAUGUGAGGAACCUUGUGUCUUUCAACAAAGGACAGACUUUCCGUCUGACUCUGGCUUCCCUUCUUGAGAUGGGUUACCAGGUGAGGUUUGGUAUUCUGGAAGCUGGAGCUUAUGGAGUUUCCCAGUCACGGAAGCGAGCAUUCAUAUGGGCAGCUGCGCCCGAUGAGAUUCUCCCGGAGUGGCCAGAGCCAAUGCAUGUCUUUGGGUGUACCAGAGUUGAAGAUCAAUUUGUCAGGGAACUCAUAUUAUGCUGCUGUUCGAAGUACUGCAGGGGGAGCCCCUUUCCGUUCCAUAACUGUCAGAGAUACAAUUGGAGAUCUCCCAGCUGUAGGAAAUGGAGCUUCUAAGGUCAAUCUGGAGUACGAAGGUGACCCCAUCUCAUGGUUCCAGAAGAAAAUGCGAGGGGAGAUGACUGUUCUGACUGAUCACAUUUCGAAAGAAAUGAAUGAGCUGAAUCUCAUUCGCUGCCAGAGGAUUCCAAAGCGGCCAGGUGCUGAUUGGCAAUGCCUUCCAGACGAAAAGGUGAAGCUCUCUACUGGACAGAUUGUUGACUUAAUCCCGUGGUGCCUGCCCAACACGGCCAAGCGCCACAAUCAGUGGAAGGGCCUGUUCGGAAGGCUUGACUGGGAAGGCAACUUCCCAACCUCCAUCACAGAUCCCCAGCCAAUGGGAAAGGUGGGAAUGUGCUUCCACCCUGACCAGGACAGAAUUCUGACAGUUCGGGAAUGCGCUCGGUCUCAAGGAUUCAGGGAUAGCUACCAGUUUUCGGGCAACAUUCUUCACAAGCACAGGCAGAUUGGAAAUGCAGUUCCUCCUACUUUGGCCUAUGCGUUGGGACGAAAACUCAAGGAAGCAGUGGACAGCAAGAACAAGGCAGAGGAGUAGUUCGUGGUCGUGUUUUUCUAUGUUGUUGUAAAUAUGUUGUUCCAUUUCGUGGCCGAAAAACCACAGUUGUCUUUCAUCUUUUUAUUUGCUCUGGCUGUUUACUUGGCCUUUGAACUUGUAGAUUUCAAUUUCAAUACACACAGGCAAUUUACAUAAAGAAAAAAUUUAUUUGAAUUCAUAUAACCUCUUUUUAUAUCCAUUUUACUCUCUACAUUCAUAUUAUUUUUAAUUAAAUUACCGAUAUCUUUUUAAACUCAAAGUCACUAUCUAAAUUAGUAUGUAAAUUUAUUUUUACAUCCAUUAAAAAAAAAAAAAACUCAAAAUGAGUAUUAAUGAAUGUUUGGCAACUCAUUCAAUUUUAAAUCUUUUGGUUGAAACAAGAGAGUAGUAAAAUGAAUGAUGUUAAUUCAUCCACGCAAAGGUUCAGUAUUAUACUCUUACACAAAAUUAUCUUCAGAAUAAUCAAGUGCUGUUUGUGAAAGUUUAGAGAUUACUGUGAUUGUUAGUACUAUAAACUCUUGAAAUCAAAAUUAUUUAUCAUUCUAAUGCUUACUACUGCUUAUCUACAUACAUAUAAAAAAAUUAAAAAAAUACGAACUUUUGUUUUAUCUGAAGUCUUAUAGUUGAAUUCUCAAUUGCACAUUCAACACUUGUUCAUCGGGUGCGUAACAUUCAACUACGAAGCAGAAAUUUUAAAGUAUCCAAAACCGUGAAGUUAGCUGUUUCAGAUUGGGCCGCGUAGCACGGCAACAUCGAUUGGCAAGGAUCAUGUGUGGUGGGUCCCGGGUUGAAUCAUGACAUGUCACGUGUCCACGUGUCCUUUGCUGAAGCUGUCCCAGGAAGGUAAAUUUUCUGUCAUGUGGUACAAAUCUUGAAAGAGAGUGAGUGAGUGAAAGCCAAGUCAAAGCGUCAACAAUUUUUUUCACCUAAUGGUUUCAGAUCUCCUAAUCAACGCCCACGUGUCCACACCAGCAGUUAUUGUAUUUUGUCCUUGAAAAACCGCUUAUAAUCUUGUCCCGUUGCUCCGCUCUUCCAACGUAAAUUGGAAAAACGGCAAUUAACGGCUCAUUUCUUACGCUUUCCACUCUCUCUCUCUCUCUUUCUCUCUUUUCUUCUUCUUCCUCCUUGGCCUCUCUCGUCGUCGGUUAUUUCAAAGCAGGUAGAGCAAUUUGGCUUCUCAGCCGUGGGAUUUAUUUUUGUUGGUCUGAGAUUCUGAGGACAGCACAGAUCAUCAUCCAUGUUUGUCAGAAAGCUUGUGGAGAAGGCUUCCAAGAAGGUAAGUGAUCAUCUUCUUCCCUCUCUUCGUUUUUUAAACUUAGAUCUCAACGUUUUUAACCAACUGAGUUACAAUCGGCUUGUAAACGUUUUUUUUGAGUACGUGAUGAUUUUGAUCCAUUCUUCUCAUCCUCCCUCUUCUUGUUCUUGUUUUUGUCAAAAAGGAGAAAUAGGGUAUUGGAUUACAAUUUUGAUUAAGAUAAUAGAUUGUCAGGCAAAUAAAGUUGUUUGUUAUCAUAUAUGUUGCAUCUUUUGCCGUUGGAUGCACGUUGCUUCCCAAUUUUUAAUAAUAAUUUUUGAACUUUGGUAGUAGUUGAGAGUUUAGAUUGUUUCAAAAUUGUCAGUUGAUGUGUGAGUGUGUUUGUUAGUAAAAAAAUGAGGUAAAAAACAUUGAACAAAUAGUACACUUCCAUAUUUAGAGGAAAGUUUUCUAUGGCUACAUAUAUGCACAAAUGGGAUGAAAUUUAUUUUAGAAUUUUCAUGAUUAAUUCGCAAUUAAGUGAUUGGAUUUGUUUUAAUUUCCCAUUCGCUUGAUAUAGACCAAUUUUUUAAAUCAAAUUUGUGUCAUCAAUAGAAAAUAAGUACGUUAAAUAAUAUUUAAGUAAUAAUUCAAUUUUUAACAACCACGUUAUAUAAUUUACAAAAUUUAAUAUAAACAGUUAUUCAGUCUCUCUAGCAUUAACUAAUAGAAAAAGACCAACUCACAGAUGGAGUGUGACAUAUAAAGGUAUAUGUGUCGGUUUGGUGGAUGAGAGACGUUACUAAAAUUAGUAUACUGUAAUGCGUUGCUUUACCCAUUUAAUGAGUCAAUAUUUUGGGAAAAAAAGAGUGAAUUUUAACUAAAAGCACCGGGUACUGUUCACUUUAACGAAAAAUCACAUUUUUACACUAAAAAGUCAAUCCUGGUACUAUUCACUUUACCCUUUAUUUUGUCCUUAUCAUUAAAAUUCAAAGUUUUAGAGGUCGCACUUGGUGCGAUGGCAAGUGCCUUCGCCCAUGAGCGGUAGGUCUCGGGUUCGAGACUUGGGAGCAGCCUCUUCAUAAAAUGGGGGUAAGGCUAGCCGACAUUCACCUCUCUCAGACUCUGCGUAAAGCGGGAGCCUUGUGCACUGGGUACGACCUUUAUUAAAAUUCAAAGUUUUCAAGCCAUUUUCAUUAGUUUUCCUAAAAAAAAACGUUUUUAAUAGGUGGGGCCUUGUGAAGAGGUGGCCGGUUGGAUAAGAAACAAGCCAAUAUGCUUUCAUUUUCAUACUUUUCAUAACAAGAAUAUGUAGAUAAUACUUUAAUUAAUUGAAAAUAGUCCAUAGUUUUAACUUUAAUGUCGUUUUGGGCAUUGUCUUAUCCAAUUUGGCAUUCAAUUAGACAAAAGCUAUUCGUGUGCUUUUAGGUCACGAAAAAAUCUUCAAUACGAGCAUCCUGACUAUGUGUAUGGUCCGUAUGCACAUACAUAAAAGCACUUGUUUCACUAUAAUCUUUCACACACACGUAAUUUUCACUAUUUCUAUUUGUUACAGUGCGUCACAGCCUCACUGAAUACUUUUUGCUAAAUAUAAAUAACACUUGUGAAAUUGUAAGCAUCAGUAAGUUUCGUUUGAACUUGUUUUAUAAAAAAAUCAUGAUAGUAUUCCUAUAUCCUAUUGAGUUUACUUGUCUUGAUAUCCUUCCUCUUUUCCUUUUUGACUCCUCCUUCUUACAAGGGGAAUGAGACCUUAUUAGAAACCUCACCUUUUCAGUUGGUUUCAACACUAACUUAGGUCUCAAGUAUUUAGCUCCCUUUUUAACUUUUAUUAAAGGCGUUCAAAAUCCCCACCCUAAUGUAAAUAGCUGCCACGUACCCACCAUAAAAAAAAAUUCUUAUCCUUAAUAGAUCAAUGACAUAGGUCAUAUCGUACUAAAUCACCGUCGUAAUUUGAGUGAUAGAGUAUUUAUCUCAAUUCAUAAGACAAGAGUUCAUUUCCCUUCUCAGAAUAAAGAAAUUACUGCUACCCAAAUAAAUCUUAUAUUCUAAUGUGUGUCAUCUUUCGAUAUUUCUCAUGUAAUUAACAAGUAACAAUAGCCACUUAGUACUACGGUCUAAUAAUAUUCUUCUUUACUGGGAAGCGAGAUGUCUUAGAUUCGAUUUUUGCCAAAGACGAAUUUGAACCACAUUAUUGUGAGGUUAAGUCCACCUCUUCCACUUAGUGUAGAUAUAACAAUAUAUCAAAUUUCUUUGCUACAUAUUUUAUUAAUUUGUCUUUAUGCAUGUUUUUUAAUGGAUAUAUAUAUAUAUAUAUAUAUAGAAUAGUCAACUUAUAGCAAAUAAAAAAAGGAAAAGAUUAAUAAUUUUGGUAAAUAGUAAGGAGUAAAGAUCUAAAAGACGUCCAUGUGAUGGGCGGUGGAUCAAAUAUUUAUUUAUCUACAAAAGAGAUUUUGUGGGCCCAAAUUUAUAUCAAAGUGAGAAAAUGGGCCGGGAUGUGUGUGCCCAUUACGAGCCCACGAGCAAACUGGUCCAAUUACUCUCCUCUUCCAUCCACUGCCCAACGAGUUUCUACCGUCCGAUUUGUCGACCCAUAUCAUGCUCAAAGAGAGGGAGAAACUCAAUGACACACUAUUCAAAUUUACCUUUUUUGGGUAAAACAACGGGGCUAAACGCCCAACAAAGAAAAACUAAAGCAAAACAUCAAGAGGUUUGGAGAUUCCAGCAAUGUCCGACACUAGGAAAUGUCGAUAUUCAAACUAACUUUAUUACUCACGUAAUAUAUCUGGUAAACUCUUUAUCUACUCGUACUUGUGGGUUAGGUCAAUUUCAUCAGUGCAGUUUACUUGCCUCCUUGCAUUUGAAUUUGAAUGUAUUUUUUGUAAAAGGAGGCAAGUAAACUGCAAUAAAGGGACCCUUUUGAAAUACAAUAGAUGUGAUUUUCUAGUGGAAAAACACUCUUUUUAGACUCAAAGUAGUUUUUUAGGGAGGGAGAAGGUUGAACAAAUACCUUAAAUAUAUGAGCGAAGAUUCUAAACCGUUUGAGCUACAAGUCACUUGGUAUAGACUAAAACUUUGUCCUUUUUGUUGGUUUUGAGAGUUUAUGUUGUUGCUUUUGUGGCAAUGAACAGUUGAUGACAGUAUUAAAUUAAAAAUCAGAUUUAUCUAUUUGUCUCUAGAGGCAGUUUAAGAGUUAACAUUACUUAUUUGUCAUCUAUUUUGUAGCCUGGAGGAAAUUCUGAUGGUGUUAAAGGCAGUGAUAUCGAUCCACGUGUAGUAUUCCAUCAUGGAAUACCAUCAGGCUGUAACUUGUUGGCUUAUGACUCCAUCCAAAAAUUACUUGCAACUUCAACCAAGUGAGUCCAUUUCUUCUACCAAAAUUAGUAUUACCGGCUUUCAGAAAUUUUCUCUGCAAGAUGCCGUUCUUUAAUACAGAUUGGGCGUGGCAUUGAUAUUGUCAAUAAUCAUCGACACAUUAUCAAUGACAUAUCAUUAGCUAGACUGUAUUGCUGUUCAUGUUUUGUCCAAAUAUUAGUCUUCGUUUUGAUUACGAUAAUUUCUUUGACAUUUUCAGGGAUGGCAGAAUCAAAUUGUUUGGCAAAGAUAACACUCAAGCUCUACUUGAGUCUGUCAAUGCAGUUCCAAGCAAGUUCUUACAGGUGCUGUACAAAUAUUACGUGUUGCUUUCUUUGAUUUCCAACUUUUUUGUUUUGGUUUUCAUGUUAAUGUAAUGCAAUUUAGAGCCCUUCUUGUUUGUCUCGAAAUGUUUAGCAGUUUUUUCUUUCAUACGUUGUAUUUGUAGUCUGAUAUUAUUGGUGAUGUUAUUAUCCAGUUUAUGGAGAACCAAGGGAUCCUUAUAAAUGUAAAUAUUAGAAACCACAUUGAGGCAAGUUUCUGCACUAUGCUUUCCUCUGAUAUAUUUUUCAUUGUUCGAUGAAUGAAUGAUCGAAACUUAGCUUUUAGCUUUGUUUAUCUUCCGCAUUUAAUAGUUAUUUUGCAACGUUGUGCCUAGGUUUGGGACAUUGAAAAGAACCUGUUUGCUGAUGUUCAUCCUUUUCAAGAAGAUAUAACCUCGUUCACUGUUAUGCAGCAUAGCCCAUACAUGUAAGUGUGUCAUUUUUAAUUGUGAUAGAUCAAGCAGAUAGGCAGGUUCAUUUGUUUCGAGUAAUUUGUGUAUUGGACAACUGUGUUUGCAGGUAUGUUGGAGAUUCUGCUGGUAAUGUUACGGUUUUGAAGCUUGAGCAAGAACAUAUAGUCCAAAUGAAAUACACUAUACCCUACUCAGUUUCUCAUGGUCAGAUGAAGUCCUUCCCUAUUCCAUUUUUUAUGCUCAGUAGUCACAUACAUAGAUUUUAUCGUCUUUGUUUCGUUCUGAAAUUUGGGUAUGCAAGCAUUUUCUUUCCUGUCCUAACUUGCUGAGUCAUAUCAUCAGGGAAUAAUCCAACUGAAGUUGCUGGUGAUACUGCUGUGAUGCAUAUACUGCCUCAACCAACAGCUGAAAGUAAGAGGUAGCCUCACCAAACCUUGCUCCUCUCUCUCUCUCUCUUUAAGCGGUAUCGAAACACUUGGUUAUACUUUAAUUCUUGAGUCAUGUGUAUCAAUGCAGGGUUCUGAUAAUUUUUAGAGAUGGCAUAAUAUCAUUAUGGGACAUUCGAGAAAGCAAAUCUGUAUACACAGUGGGAGGAAAUCCAUUGCAAUCACUUCAUCAGGAAGGGAAAAAGGUGACCUCUGCAUGCUGGGCAUGUCCCUUUGGGAGUAAAGUUGUUGUUGGCUACAAUAAUGGAGAGAUUUGCAUCUGGAGUAUUCCAAGAACUGAAUUUCCUUCAGAGUCUAGCACGCAAAGUGCUCCAAUAUCCAAACUCAAUCUUGGAUAUAAGUUGGACAAAGUGCCUAUAGCAUCACUGAGAUGGGCUUAUGCCGAUGGGAAGGCAAAUCGGUUAUAUGUUAUGGGCGCGUCUGACACUGCAUCUUCAAACUUGUUGCAGGUAUUUGGACUUUUAAAUCAUUAGUAACAUGUGCAUAACUGAGUGAGGUGAAAAUUUGACUUUUUUGUUUUGUUUUGUUUUGAUGAGGCAGGUAAUUCUGUUGAAUGAGUAUACCGAAGGUCGAACUAUCAAAUUAGGGCUUCAACCGCCGGAGCCUUGUGUUGACAUGGGGAUCAUUUCAAGCUUUAGUGAGCAAAGCAAACAUAGGCAAGACUGUUUUCUUUUGCUUGGUAACUCAGGACAUCUUUAUGCCUAUGAUGAUCGUUCCAUCGAGAAGUAUCUUGUACAAAGCCAAUCUAAGUCUUCGCCUUCGUUACCAAGGGAUAUCAUGGUGAAGAUACCAUUUGUUGACUCAAAGAUUACCAUAGCAAAAUUCAUCACACAAAAUACCCACAUGCUAAGUUCUGCAGAUGAGGUAAUAGGACCGUUUAAGAUUAUGUACCGAAACACUCUUUUAUUUAGCAGAUUAUCAUUAGUCUGGAAAGUUUGUAAUGUGGUACUUUGAUUUCUUUGGUUGCAUAGGACUACCUUCUGCUGGCGAAAAGCUUUCCAUCUCUCCUUUCUUUCGAGACAAAACUGAAAGAUGGGACUCAGUUAAAUGCAUCCCGUUUUACUGGAUUUUCAAAAGUCAAAAAUUUGUACAUAACUGGACACAGUGAUGGAGCCAUAAAUUUUUGGGAUUUGUCAUGUCCACUUUUAAUACCAAUUAUAUCAUUAAAGCAACAGGUAACAACAUUCCAUCUGUUAUUGCUCAUAUUAAUACAUUAUGCUUACAAAUCGUGUAGUAUUCGAUAUCUUUGGACUACUGUGCUUACUUGCUCUCCUGUGGCCAAUCCCAUUAAACAAAAUGCAGAGUGAGGAUGAUCUUUCUUUAAGCGGUAUACCACUCACAGCGUUGUUUUUCGAUUUGAACUCCCGGCUUCUUGUUUCUGGAGAUCAGAGUGGAACAGUAAGUACCAUCUUCGAUUCAUUUGGUGACUUAUGAUCAAUUAAUUUAACCACUUUCAGAAAAAAAAUUUGGACUAUAUUUUAUAUAUAUAUAAGUGAUUUUCAGGUUCGAAUCUUUAGACUCAAGCCAGAACCAUAUGCCAACGUGAGCAGUUUCCUGUCUCUUCAAGGUAUGAUUAAGAAACGGCCUUAUGAAUGUCACAUUUUUACUGCAAAAGAAGUACAUUACAAAUGUCCUUAUGACUUUCACAUACUUCUGGGCAGGAAGUACAAAGAAAGGAAACGAUCACAUCAUCCAAAGUGUGAAACUUUUUAAGGUUAAUGGUUCUGUAGUUUCUGUGAACAUAAAUCACAGCACAGGACAUCUUGCUGUCGGGUCUAGUAAAGGAUAUGUAAGCUUGCUAUCCUAUAACUACUUUUAUAAAUAAUUUUCCGAUCUUCUCCUCCUUCCCAACAUAUGCUUAUUAUCAGGUUUCGUAGAGCUGGAAUGUAAUUCUGAUCCAUGUGAGUUUGUUUUCCUCGCAGGUUUCGGUUAUUGAUAUAGAAGGGCCAACUCUGUUAUAUCAAAAGCAAAUUGCAAGUGAAAUAUCCACCGGCAUUGUCUCCCUGCAUUUCCAAACCUGCAGUUUUCAUGGUUUUGACAAGAACAUCUUAGCGGUUGCAACAGAGGACUCAUCCGUUUUGGCUCUUGAUAGUGAUAAUGGAAACACAUUGAGCACCAGUUUGGUUCAUCCUAAGAAACCCACCAGAGCACUUUUCAUGCAACUCUUGGGUAAGUUCUACACACUUUUAAGGGUGAAAGUAUGCGAUUUUCAAGUCCUGAAGCAUUGAAAAGUUGCACAACGAGUAAAUUUUUUGUGAUUGUUACACAGAUGCGCAUGAUACACUGGUAAACAGAUCGAAUAUAUUGAACGGUCUUGAUUUGAUCAAAGGGAGUAGUACAGUUGACGACACCACACAAAAGCAGUUUCUGCUACUGCUGUGUUCUGAGAAGGCUGCAUAUAUAUACUCCUUCACACAUAUCAUGCAGGUAACUAGUAGUUUAGUUUAUGCAGGCACUGUGAAUUGUAGAACAGUUUUAUCUGAUUCUUUCAUUUUCGACUUUCUUUCUUUUAUCUCAGGGAGUUAAGAAGGUAAUCUACAAGAAGAAGUUCCAAUCAUCUUGCUGCUGGGCAUCAACAUUUCAAACCUCCAAUGAUUUAGGCCUUAUUCUCCUUUUUACAAGUGGAAAAAUUGAAAUAAGGUAGUGAUUUUCGUAGUCUAUUUUUUCGAUUUUUUUUUUUCAACAGUAGAUUAUGACCCUACAAACCUUCUUGUGAAAUGUUAGGUCCUUGCCAGAUUUAUCCUUCAUAAAGGAGACUUCAAUAAGAGGCUUCACAUACUCCACUCCAAAACCAAAUUCAUUUUCUGACAGUUCGAUAUGUUCUUCGUGCGAAGGAGAACUUGUUAUGGUAUAAAAGCGUAAUCUAACCUUUUUAGUAUCAGUUUCUUGAGAGACAAUUCAGAGAUAUAUUCUUCAUUUGCUCUACUUUAUCCUUGCGCAGGUGAACGGUGAUCAGGAAAUAUUUCUCUUCGCUCUUUUGCUCCACAACAACAGCUUCAGGUAUAUAUAUAUCAUAUACACAUCCUUGAAAGUUUCUUAUACUUGAUUGAAUAAUUCUUACUAAAAUGUGAGUUAUUCUAGGCUGUUAGACUUUUUGAACUUGACUUACCAGAAAGAUUUGAUAGUUUCACAAGAAGAGCUUGUCGCUGGAUGUGCCACUCCAAAGGAGAAGAAAAAGGUAUACAGGGAAAAGAAACCAUACCAAUUCUGCCUGCUGUGUUUUGGAAUGAAAUGUUUCAUAAACUUUGUUUUCUUGGCAGGGUAUAUUUAGCUCAGUCAUUAAAGAUAUCGUGGGAAGCAAACCGAAGAAUGUACCUGAGAUAGAAACUGCAGAUACUAGAGAAAGUAUCGAAGAACUUUCAGCUAUCUUUUCAACUGCUAACUUUCGAGUUGACGCUGAGAAUACAAAUCACCAGGCUGUGGAUGAUGAUGAUCUUCAGCUAGACCUAGGUAUGCAUAUGACUGACAUCAUACAAUAUUCUAAGUGAAUGAUUAUCUGCACUUAAAUUCAAGAAAGUUUAGCAUUUCAAUCCGAAUGGAUAUCGGGAAAAGUCAUUUAAUGAAUUUUAAUUUUUCCUUAAAGAUGACAUUGACAUCGACAUGGACAUGGACAUUCCUGGAGAAAAACCGAAAGAGCAGAGUAUGUUGGCAGCUCUGAACAAGGAGAAGUUGACAAGCAAAUUUAUGGCCUUUAAAGGUCAGUCCAACCUAGAUGACAUGAACUCAUCGAUCAGAUUUUCAUACGCUUUCUUACUUGAUAAACCUUUCAAUCUACAGGUAAAGUGAUGAAACAGAUGAAGUCGAAAAAUGAGAAGAACUCCGGUAAGCAGGAAGAGCAACAGGAUGAGAAGGUUGGUCAAGUUGACGAAAUUAAGAAGCGAUAUGGAUUUUCGUCAAGUGUAAGCACACAUCCUUUUGCAUGCAUGUCUCUCGACUAACGAAUAUUUUGCUUACCACAGUAAUUGCACGACGAACUUUUACCCUAACCAUGCACAUAGCACUGAUAUUUUUCACCUUGGGCGACGAAACAAUCCAUUUACCUAGAUGUUGUGGGGUUUUACUAUUCUGCAGGAAUCAAACGUUGCUAAAAUAGCACAAAGCAAGCUGCAGGAGAAUACGAGAAAGUUGCAGGGCAUUAACCUAAGAGCUACAGAUAUGCAAGACACAGCUCAAUCAUUCUCAUCCUUGGCGAAAGAAGUGUUGCGAACCGAACAGGAUAGGCGAAACUCAUGACCCCGACUCAGCUCGUCUUUGAAAUCGAACUGAAAUUAUACGUUCUUGUUCAUUUGGUUUGUUUUUGGGUUUGAAAUCUAUCUUGUUUGUUUGAUACACAGUUUUCUUUAUUUCUUUGCACAUAAUGGAUGUAAAAAACAAAGAAACUUCUGCAUAUAUAAUCAGGAAAUUUGAGUUGCAUGGAUGAAAUUAUUCUCUCAGUCUAGCAGCCUUUUGCGCUCUUCUUUUUUUCUUGGGGAUUAAGCAGCUAACAUAAAGCCGGAAGAUGCGAUUUUGUAUAUUUGAAAAGGCAUAAAAAUGAUGGGAUACACAUGCAAACAUAACCAGUUAUAAAAUUUCAAUAAAAAUUAGACAUUGAGAGACAUUUAACUGGCAUUAAGUUGCAUAUAAACCACACGUUGUGACCCUUUAUUCAUGUCUUACUGUCCUCGAGUUUAAUUUUUUAUUAUAAGUUUGUGAACUAAGAUCAUGCUGAAAUUCAAAAAGAAGAAUGCACUAUUGAUUUUUACUUCACAGUUCGUACGUCUAAUUAACUCAUUAAAAACGCAAAAAUAAAAAUUUGCACACAUAUCAAACUGCGAGUGCAAACCUCAAUCUACUUCAAGUUGAACUGAGCCGGGCUUUCUUGGAGAAGAAGUUUCUCUUUGCUUAUGAUGAUGUUUGGAAUCAAAAUUAGGACCAGUGGGGUUCCUUAACGUGUCUGUUUCAAUCUGGAUGUACCGCAGCAAUGAUUGGUACAUCGCUCCUUACCAUCUAGAGGGAAUAUCUGACGCAGAUUGCUGGUUGUUAUUUUCCAGGCAUGCGUUUACAAGUUCAGGCAUCAACAAUGCUCGUCUGCGCGCAUUCUGAACAUCUUCGGGAUGUUAAAAGAAAAAUUGUUAGCAAGUGUGACGGUCUUCCUCUUGCGGCCAAGUCACUUGGGGGUCUCCAACGGCGUUAACCAAAUGUGAAGAUAUGGGAAAGAAUAUUGAAGAGUGAUAUAUGGGACUUGUCAGACCAAGAGAGUAGCAAUCUACCGGCUGCUCUCUGGUUGAGUUACCAUUAUCUACCUCAACAUCUCAAGCGUUGUUUUGUGUAUUGUUCAUCUCAAACCGCAUGCGUUGUUUUGCAUUGGCUUGUGACCCGUUACUCAUGUCCUACCGUCCCUCAAGUUCCAUUUCUGACUAUAUGUUGGUAAAAUAACAAUAUCAUGCUGAAUUUCGGAAAGAAGAUGUGCACUAUUGAGUAUUUAUUUUUGAAAAUACCAUAUGAGCUCCUUCAAGUCUUACAAUUGAGGAUGAUUAACGACCACAGUUAUUGUUUACUCAACAAAGCUACCAAAUGGGAGUAUAUCUCUUCUUUAACAGCAUCCCUGUUACCUUUGCUCAGCGUAAACAUUGUUGCCCCCGGAUGAUUCUUCAACCUUGCAACUGCACAAGUUCAGAAACCCUGGUCAUAUACAAAUUAGAAACAAAGAACAGGAUGGCUUAAACCUAACAUCAACUUCGCCAUUGUCUAUACUCUCUAGUUUUGUUCGGUCACCAACUCCACCCCGUGUGACAAGCAAUACAUAGUGAAAAAACUCGCCCAAAAAGAAACAGAUUUUCCACCUUGAAUUUACUAUGUUCGGAUGAAAAUCAUACAUAUCAUCAUGAUUCUAAAACUGUUAGAACAUAAACCAAAAUUAGAGCAAUUGUGCAGUACAGCAGUGGUGUAACAAGCCAAGCAAAAUAAUGGAAUACUUGAGGAAAGUGCACCUGCAGGUAUAUCACGACCGAAUUUUGGAAUUGGGACUGUGGCCAAAAACGGGACAUUGGACUCCAGAAUCCUUAAAACACAAGGGAAGAACGAUGAACUGAACAACUCCAUCUUCCCAACUUCAUCAACGAUGAAUAGAUCGGUAUCUUCUCUUACCUGAUAACACAUCACAAAAGGAUGACACAAUUCAAAUAGUCAAAUGCCAUAGCCGCAUGAUGCUUGAAAACAAUGUGACAAGAAAAAAGUUUCACAAAAUACCGCAAACGUGAAGGCCUAAAAGUUAACUAAAUAGCGAAGAGGGGGUGGCGAGAGUUGAUCAGUAAGCAAUGAAAAAACUCAUCCCACCUGCAAUUCAGGCAGUGCCAGUGACUCAAACGACGCAACAUCUACUUUGUACUUCCCCACGGUAGGCCAUCUCAAAGACUCUGGGCUGACAUACAAAAACUUGUUUUAGGGUUUAAUGCUAUGUAGCCGAAUAAUAUGAAUGAAUGUAUACUUAAUUAGUACAGUAGAACCCCGCAUAUUGUUAAUGUUAGCGAAAAACACUUACAAGAAUAAAACUAUGAAAAUCCAAAAAGCGCUCGACUAUCAACUGUUAAUGUCCGGUGCGGUAACAAUCGGGCGCAACAACAGUUGGGUCGAUGGAUUUCAUCUUCAAAAUGGUUUAUGAAGUGUUUUUUAACUAGGAAAUGGAGUUAUGGAAACUGAAGCAACAAACAUUUAGAAUGGAUGAAAAGGAAGACCUGGAAAUGGUGGAGGAUGAGAGGGGAGCUGUACGGCCGUCCAACGUGACCACCUGGAACCCCACUCUCUCACUUCCUUCUCUAACCUCACCUACGCAUUACGAUUACAAAAAUCUAUAUGAUGUAAAUACAUACGAAGAAAAUUGAAAAUUAAGAGAGAGAGAGAGAGAGAGAGAGAGAGAGAGUUACUAGUGUAGAAACCCUGAAUUUUUAAGUUUGGAUAUGAUGCUUUUAGGGUUUCAAACACUCUCAUUACUAAAGUGCUUUUGCCCACACCCUGCACCAGGAAUCAGCAUCAUCAUCGCCAACCGAAAGCACUUUUGAGAAAAGCAUUGAAUAAAUAGAAAUAUGAAAUCAAAAUUUGACUGGAAAUUGCUUAGCUUACAGGAGGUCCAGUCACCAGCAAGCACUUUCCGGGGCCGGCCAUCUCCUCCCUCUUCCACUGUCGUUCGUUUCUACCCCCGCUCGAUCGGCCAACGUGACUAAGUUUACAGAAAGAACGACAGGUCGUUGCGGAAGAGAGGGUACUGAGUUGAUUUCAUUACUGCAUUGGGCUGGGUGUGUUGGAGGAAGAGUUAAGGUCCGCCCAGGCCUAAAUAAGCCCAAUAAACUUGAGCUUACCGAGGGGAAUUAUUAUUUUUUUAUUUUUUAAUCAUAGAGUAAUCAUAAUAAAAUGGGACCUUUAAUUAAAAUAUUUCUAACGAAAAAUCAUAUUUUUACACUAAAAAAUCAAUCAUAAUAUUAUUCAUUUUACUUUUUAUUUUAUAAUUACCGUUAAAACUCAAUAUUAAAACACACCGACAAUAAUUUGGAGGAUUACUAAGUGCUUUGAUUUGGGGAUCUGGUUAUGGAGUCACGCGAUCUGUUAUCUUUUUAGCAUAAUUUGGGGAUUUAGUUAUAGAGGAUCCAAUGUAAUUUAAAAAAAUAUAUAUAAAAUAAAACAGAGGAUGCAGCAAAUAUAUAUUUUGUCGGCCACAAAUGGAAUCAAAUACUUUAUAUACUGAUUUUUUUGGUUAAUUAUUUUCUCCAUCUUAUGAUUUGCAUAAAGUCGUAAUAUUUAAUUAUUUUCCUUUAAUUGACUCUCCUCAUGUUGGUUGCAUAACCUCAAAUUCAAAUCUCAAGCGCAAAAGUACCGUUUAAAUUAUCCAAAAGCGUUUUUAACACUUCCAAAAUGCAUCUACAAGCAUGCCCAUUCUCAUCACGAACAACGCCCAUUGGUAAAAACUUUUGCAAGUGGUCAUGUUAAAACUCACGGUAGCGACAUCAGCUUGUAUAACACAGGUUCAUUGAAAUCGUGGCAUCUCAUGCCAUUGUAGGUCAUCCCUCGUUCUAUAGCACGAGUAUAUUGCAAACGUAGCAUCCCGUGCCAAUGUCGAUCUCUCCAAGAGAGUUUGAUUGAGAGUGAAAUACCGCCAUAUUAACAUCUCAAUUGUCGUCUAAGACUUAUCUCAAACAGUAAUCAGACCCCAAUGGGAGAAUUUCUCACCCCAAUUGUUCCAUCAUCCAGAGGCAAAGUAAAUCACCAUCCCCAAGAUAAAGUCAAACACUACAAGAAGGGUAAACUCAAACACCAAAAUCAUCCCAUCACAUACAACAAGAUGAACAAUGACAAACAUUCAUACAACCCAAAUCCCCAAAUGUAGACUAAACAAAUCAUAUUACCAAGUCAUCAAGCAUACUAAUCACGGCUUAAAUGCUAAUUAAACGAAAACCAUACACCAAAUUGCAGAACAAGAAACUAACAAACGCGUUAUAUAACGAAGGCAAACUGAAAUUCAUUGAACAUAAGGAGGAUCAUUAAGUACAGAAAUGACGACAUUGGAAUCGCGGGGAGAAGACGAUCCUGAAACUGAAUCCGAUUUUGUUUUUGUGUUUUCCUAAAAACUAACCCCUAAAACAAAAGGUAGAGAGCCAGCAACUUAUCCCAUAGUGAAGAAAAGGUGCAGGCAGGCCUUUGAAUUAUCUUCUAAGCAACCCUACACAUAUCGCUUCUCCCCCUCCAUUCAAUUCCCGUUGCUCUACUCAUCGUCGUCUUCCUCCUACAACACAGCCAGCAGCCAACACAAACAAUUAAGUAACUAAUUCAACUAACUGAACAUGCGAAACAAUGAAAAAAAAAAAACCCACAAUGUGAACUCGAUUAAUCGAAAACACAACUGACCUCGCCGCUCUCGUCCUCAUCCUCAUCAUCAUCAUCAUUUACCUCAGACUUGGACUUGUCAGACUCUUCUUCGUCAGCUUCAUUAGGUCCUUCAGCCUAAUUCACAUAAACAAACCAACAAAGUCUCACAAAUAUCCUCAACCCGAUAACUAAACGAAUUAAACGAAAGCUGGAACAACAGCGCUUACUAAUUGCUUGUUGUAUGCCUGAAUGUUCUUGUUAUACUCAACCUUCCUCUUAUCUGCCUUGGCUUGAUAAGGAGCUUUCUCCUGAUUAAUUCAAGGACAGAACAAUCAAAUCAAUAAAAUCCAACACCAAAAUUCACCAAAUAAUUUCGUAUUACUCACUAAUCGAUGAAAUUAAAACGAUAAUUGAACACUCACAGCAUCUGACAACGAUUUCCAUUUCUCACCGCCAGCCUUACCGACCUGUUUGGUUUCGAUUAAACAAAAUCAAAUUUAAUUUGUAUAAAUUUAAACUCUAAUUAAUUAAUUAAAUAAUCAAAUCAACUAAUCAGAGAGUAAAAUCCAGAACAAGUUCGUAGAUCUGAGAUGAUGAGAUUUGACUUACAGCAGCAACCGACUUGUUGUUUGGAUGAUCCUUCUUGUACUUCUCUCUGAACUCCUCCCUGUUCAAGUACGAAAUAAAAGUAAAAUUCAGUAAAACAAAUCUAAAAAAAAAAGAUAGAUAGAGAAAAAGUCAGAUCUGGAAAUUCAACCGAAGAGAGAGAAAGAUAGUUGACCGUACAUGAAGACGAAGAAGGCACUCGCAGGCCUCUUCGGCUUGUUCGGAUCCUUUCCGGCUUUCUUCGCCGGCUUCUUGCUCGCUCCGGUACUCUUACUCUUCAACCUACCAAAAUUUAAAAAAAAAUCAAACACACGAACAGAGCAAAAAUCAAAGCACGAUACAACAAAUCGAAGAUCUCCGAUCAAAUCGAUGUAAUCGGAGAGUAAUCUAAGCACGAUAGAGCCCAAAACUCACUUCGUAUCGCGUUUGGGAGCAGCUGCUCUGGCUUUCCCCAUGGCGAACCUGCAAACACACAAAAAAACCGUAAAAAACGGGCGAGAACGAGCGAGAAUCGUUCAGAAACGGUAAAAAACGGCGCGACUCGGACCGAGUCAGAGCGGCGGAGGCGCGAGUUUACCUAGGGUUUUCGAGAAGGAAAUAAGACGAAGACGCAGAGAGAGAAAGAGCAAAUACGCCUUUGUUUUUUGUUGGGCGGUGCGUGUGUGAAGGUUUGGGAGAGGAAAGAAGGGUAGGGGGAUAAGAAGGAAUUAGGAAGGGGCAAUAUUGAAUUUCGACUAACCAAAAAAAUUGAAGUUUUGGGUUUCGGCGGGAUUUCAAAAAUGUUUUGCCGCGUCAGCUAUCCGUGCGCUAUGCCUUCAUUUGCUGAUGGACUCUCCCUUCUGUGCUUCCUUGUGUGCUUCUUCGCUAGCGAGGCCGCCACGUGGGAAUGCACGUGAUAGGGGUAGGGGUGAAAUGACGGAUUUGGGGUUUGAUUUUGUGCUUUGGGGUUCUAGUGGUUGAGGAUGAUCGAAUCGGUAGAAUAAAACGUGUUGUACGCAACAACUAUAUUGGUGUGGGAUAUUAUUGAGGCGGGGGUAAAUAGGGAAAUUUGAUGCCUUGAUAUUUAUGGAGUUAUGGAUUUUUUUUUUUCAAAAUAUUUGGAGAUAGGGCCUCUAAGGCCUCCUCCUCCAACCUGGGCUAAAUGCCAAAUUACCCCAUUUAUUCCCCCCCCCAAAACACCACCCAACCCAAGCUAAAAUAUUGGGCUAAAGGUCAAAUGCUAAAGUUGCGCCAAAUACCCCCAAAGCCCACCCCCCCAACGCGUGGACUCACCUGCAUUUGGGCCACUCUUGGCCCGCCCACUCACUAACACGGCCCGCAUCAAUUUAGCUCCCGACAGCUGGGGGGCCCACUGUCAAGGCCAUUGUCAGCCACUUCCCUGAGCCCAACGACUCUUUUCUGCAUCAAACGGCCACAAUUUAAGGAUCGUUGGUUGAUCCUACAGUCCAAAUUCAAAUUUUAUUUUUUUAAAAUAUAUUAUUUUAAAAUACAUUGAAUCCAACGGUUGAGAUCGAAUAUAAUCAAAUAUAACGGUAAAACAAAAAGAUCUAAUGACCCAAAUUUAAAUUCAACGGCUAAAAUAAUUAAAAAAAAUAUUUAAUUCAAAAUUCACCCAUGACACUCUUCUCUAUCACGUUGCACAAAUGCACGUCCCGUGACAGAACCACGUUGGCUAGAUUCGCCAUGGUGCUCAUACUGCAUAAAUGAGUUUACAAGUUCAGCUUCGGCGUUGAUCAAUUCUGCAUCCUCAAUGUCAAGCCUUACUUGGUAUUGUGCCAUCUGCAUUGCCUUGCUACGCCUUAUUCUAUCACCCAUCGAUGAGAUAUUGAAGAUAUUUAGGAAACAAAAACUCUUUCAAAGUUGAAAGAUUGGUGAAUAUAGAGGAUGAUUGAAGGUUGAAAGAUUGUGUGAUCAACUAAUAUUGGACAUGUAUUUAUAUAAAGGAUGAUUGAUGAAAGUUUAAAGUUUGGUAUUAAACGGUUAGUGAAAGUUGAAAGUUUGGUGAAAGUUGAAAGAUGUGAAAGUUGAAAGAUUGGUGAAAAUUGAAGGCUUGUUUGUGGAAAAUUUAGUGAUUUUUUGUAAUAUCUCACAUCGCACAGGGGAGUGAAUCCUGUAAACCUUAUAUGUACAUGCCCAUCUCUUCCUAGCACGAGGCAUUUUGGGAGUUCACUGGCUUCGGGUUCCAUCGGAACUUCGAAGUUAAGCGAGUUUGGGCCAAAGCAUUUCUAGGAUGGGUGACCCAUUGGGAAGUUCUGCUGGGUGAGUUCCCAAAAUCAAAAUCGUGAGGGCAUGGUCGAGGCCCAAAACGGACAAUAUCGUGUUACGACGGAGUCGAGCCCGGGAUGUGGUGGGGGCCCAAGCGGGGAUGUGACAUUUUUCAAUAUUUAUUAGAAUUUAAACAAUUUUAGAUUAAAAUGUUUAUAAAAUUAAUUUACGAUAGUCUACAUUUAAAAAAAAAUUAGCCUAAAUUCAUUCUUUAAUCAUCCCGGGCUAAAAUUUUAGGUUAGAAUGGUUGCAGCAGAAAAGCUGUUUCUGGGUUAAAAGCUAAAUUUUCCGGGCUAAAAAAUAUGAUUGUUAGUUCGAGGGUUGGAGAUGGUCUAAACGAGCUGGGUUAAAUUGAAAUACAUUGUGCUCAAGCUUGGCUAGUUAAUUUUUUUUUCCUCACCUUAGCUCUGUUUGCCUUCGUUCUUACACGAACCGAGCUCGAGUGAGCUUAAAAGUUUUGAGUUCGAUACCAAACUCAAGUUGUUUCAACCUAUUUUUUAUAAUAAGUUGGUAGGAUUGUGUAAAACGCUUUGCAAUAUCAUGAUACGGUUUAGGCUCAAGACCCGAUUACUAUAUCAAAUCUUUUUAAUAUAGUGUUUCAUAGUAAUUAUUAAUCAUGAUAUGUAUAAUAUAAUGAUAUAGUGUUUAGUGUACACUACUAUACAAUUUAGAGUGUUCAAUUUAUAGCAAUAUUUUACUUCUUAAAUUUUUUGAAGUAGAUACUAACACUGGAAACAAUGAAUAAUCCGAUAAUUAGACUUUGUUUUUGCUUAUUUUGUUGUAUGGUUUAGGGUUUUUUUAACUAAGAAAAUUGUUAUUGCCACUCAAAAAAUCUCAUUUUGAAUUCCAAACUUUCUAUAAUUAGAAAGAAAAAUACAUUUAUAGGCAAAUACCUCAUCGGUACGACUAAUAACAUCGAUACAACAACCAAAAUCGAUACCUUACCGGAGACCAGCACUUGUACUCGGGCCAAGAAAGGCAGAAUCCCUUUCCUUGGAUUACAUUGCAAAUUAAAAAGUAGCGGCAGUUUUCAACACUCCAGGUCCCGAAAUCCCGAAAAUGAAACCAAAUCUAGUCCAAUCUCAAAAUAUGAAAAUUUCUACUAUGCUUCGGUGCACUAUAUGCCAAGAGGAUCCUCGUCAAAUCCUCUUUAUGAGAAUACUCUAGUUACAUCCGUUCAUCGUACAGUUAUAAAUUAUUAUAAAUUUUGUUAUUUAAAAUUAAAUAUAAAUAAUAUCUAACAAAAACUAACUGUAUGAUGUACAAUAAACAUAUUUAAUUGAAAGAUCUUCAAAAUCUUCACAAAGAAGAUCCAGCAAGGAUCCUCUCUCCACCAUAUGUACCAAGAAAUUUGGCCGUUAGAUCUUAAUUACUAAACCUAGAAUCUGACAAUAAAAAAAUCUCAGGCUGACAUUCAUACCAUGCUAAAAUACUGACAGGUUUGUCAUCCAAAUGAUGUUGAGAACCAACCAACAGAGGAAAAUCCCAAAAGCAAUCCAAAGGAGCCAAAAGGAGAAAGUCAAAAGAGAAAGACACAUAUUGAAGUCAAACCAUCAUCAUCACAUAAAACAAGAUGGAGAGAAUUGAGAAGAAUGGUACAUAAACUUAAACCCAGAAGCAGACAAAGCCAUUCUCACUCCCAAGUCUUUGGAAGCCUGAAACUAAUUUAAGCCAGACAGCUUUCCUAAACCACGAUCACUGGUUGCCGGUACUCCAAGCUAAUCACAUGCUCUUACUAGCUCAAAAUACGAACAACGUGACAACCAUGUUCUAGGUAAGUUCAUCUCUAAAGGUCAUAACCAUUUCAAAAUGCUCAAGGCAAUUUAAUCCGAUCAUAUAAUAAAAAGGAUAUUAACUAGAGCGAAAUAGAAGUCAUUUGAACAUAAAAACGAUCACUAAGUACAGAAACGAUAUGGGGAAUCAGGUGGAUGAGUCCCGAAACAUUAACCCCUUGUGUUCUUCUUUUCCCUUCCCUAAUCCUACAAAUGUGGCUAUCUUAUCAUCAGACACAGAGCUUUAGUCAGAAAAUGCAGGUCAUUCAAUAUCUUUUAACCAACAACCCUAACACAAAUUGCUCCUCCUUCAUUCCGAUACCUGACUUUCCUGCUCUACUCGUCAUCAUCUUCUUCCUACAAUUAACCCAAAACAACACAAUUCAACCCAAUUCAAUAAACUAAUCACGAAACUAAGAAGACACAGUUGAUCAACAAAACAACGAGAGCCAAUCAGAACAAACCUCUCCACUCUCGUCAUCAUCUUCAUCCUCGUUUUGCACCUCAGACUUGGACUUAUCGGACUCUUCAUCAUCCGCUCCGUUACCUCCCUCAGCCUAAUUUCACAAUUAAGCAACAACUCUCACAACACUACUCGAAUCAAUUAAACCGAAAACUCAGGAAUCAAAACAAGGGCACUCACUAUGCGCUUGUUGUAAGCAUUCAUGGUCUUGGUGUACUCAGCCUUCCUCUUUUCUGCCUUGGCAAUGUAGGGAGCUUUCUCCUGAAUAAUUUAUACAAUAAAGCAACCAGUCAACGAACAGUUACGGAAAAUUCAAGCAAUUCACAAAUCGAUAAACAAAAUUUAUUGGGAGAAAUACUCACGGCCUCUGAAAGUGAUUUCCAUUUAUCACCACCAGCUUUACCGACCUAUUCAAAUUUAUCGAAAAUCAGAAUAAGUAUAAUUUUGUAAAAUUAAAUAAAAAAUUAUUCAGCAAAACGAAAUUAAAAACACAGAUCUGAGAAGAUGAAAUUCACUUACAGCGGCCACAGAUUUGUUAUUAGGAUGAUCCUUCUUGAAUUUCACUCUGAAAUCCUCCCUAUAUAUAUUUGAAAGAAAAAUUCAUACAAAUAUGAUAAAAUAAAUAAAUAAAUCAAAGUAAAAAACGAUCGAUCUGAAGAAAGAGAGAUAGGGAGAGAGAGAGAGAAACAGAGCGUUGGCCGUACAUGAAAACGAAGAAGGCACUCGCAGGCCUCUUAGGCUUGUUCGGAUCCUUUGCAGCCUUCUUGCUCGCGCCAGAGCUUUUGGUCUUCAACCUAACAAAAUUAAAAAAUAACACAAAAAAUCAACAUAAAUUCAAAAUCGACGUUUCACAUCGAGAUCUCCGAUCAAAUCGUAGAUAAUUCACAGAAAAACGGAAAACGAAAACGGAAGCUCACUUCGCAUCGGCUUUUUUGGGAGCAGCAGCUCUUGAUUUCCCCAUGUUCAGCUAAACCUGCACACAAAACCGCAAAAAAACCGAUAAGAGUGGUUGAGAAACGGCAAAAAAUGAUUAAAAUCGUUUAUAAAUGACCAAAAACGACGGGAACCGCUCGGAAGCGGCGAAAAACGACGUGUAUCGUUUGGAAUCGGCGGAAAACGAAGAGACUCGGUCCGAGUCGGGGGGCGAGCUUACCUUUGUGUGAAGGGAGAGGAUAAGGCGAGAGAGAGAACAAUGAGAGAGAUAAGCCUUUGGGUCGUUUGCUUUGGUUGGUGCGGUGUGCGAGUGUGUGUAAAAUUUGCCCCUGGGGUGUGAAGGGAUAGGAAGGGAAGGCCCGUGGCGCAAAAAUAAAAAUGAAAAAAAGGCGGAAAAUUAAAUUUUGAUUUGUUGGAAGGAUUGAAGUCCGGGUUUGGGCGGGAUUUCAAAAUAUUUGUCCCACGUCAUGCAUCCGCGUCAUGGGGGUCGAUUGGUUGGGGUGUAUUUGCUUGGAUCUCGCUUGUGCUUCCUUGUGUUUCUUUGUUCUAUUUCUGCUGGCGGUACACUGGAAACCGGUGGGAAAAGGGGCACACGUGGAGGAUGUGUGCGUGGGUCAUGGUUGGCACGUGCGGAUAUUAUUGGCGAAAUUACAAAUUUGGGGUUUGGGCGCGUCUAGAUGGUUGUUGGGGUUGUGGUAAAAUUUGGUGCACAAUACUUCUGUACUGCUUUGGGGGUAUAUAUGUCAAUUGGUUUACUAAUAACAAUUUUUUUCCCUUUAUUUAUUUUUUCCUUUUUCUUUUGUUUUUAUAUUAUUUAAAUUAAAAGGAUGGAGGAGUAGGCUAAGUAUCAAAAUAAUGUGGUUUAAAUUUACUUUUUGCUACAAUCGAAUACAAGACCUCUUACUUACAAAUAAAAAGGAGUAGGCUAAGUAUCAAAAUCAUAAUACUAAAUAACUUCCUUUUUUUAAUUAUAUCAAAUUUGAUAUGAAAAUGUAUUCAAUUAGAAUUUUUAGGAAUUUUAAUAAAUAACUCUUUGGAAUGAUUUUAUGAAAUAUGUCAAUUUUACUCUCAUAUGUGGCACAAACGUGAUAAUUUCCACAACAAACUAACGGUGUUAUGGAUAUUCUCAUAUUGCAACAACUAGAAAACUAAAUGAUCAAAUUCGAUACAAAAAAAAUACAGUGAACAAAAUUGAAAUUUCGGCUUGAAUACUAAGUUUUACUUAAUUUUACAAAUAUUUUAGAUAUUAGAUUUAAUUAUCAGAAAUGUUCAAAUCUCUUAUUUUGUAUUAACAGAAAAGUUCAACUACAAGAACUAAAACUCUCUUAUUUUGUAUUAACAGAAAAGUUCAACCACAAGAACUAAAAACUCAUGAAUUUAUCAGAUUUUCGCAAAAUUGGGCUUUAUUUGAUUGGAACAUUGUCGAACAAUUUAUCCCCAACAGGUCCAAUUGAAUCGGGGUUACCCAAUACCCAGGCCCACUGGAGUUUUAGACUUGGGUCUCUAGCAACUGACCCGGUAAAGGAAACAAUCAGACAUGGGAGAGGUAAUAGAAACCCUACCGGAGCACCGGAGCUUGUUAGCAGCUCCGAUUGUAUUCAUUAUCGUCGUCGCUUUCCAAUUCUUCUCCAGGUGGCUAGAGCAGUUAAAGAAGGUAAUUUGCUCAACGAUUUUUCACUUGCAUUCAAACAAUUUACCCGUAAUUUGGUGCGAAUUUAAGCUCUUAAUCAUUUGUUUGAUGCUUUAACUGCAAUUGUUGUGAAAUUAAAACUAUAUUUUGGGUGAUUUUUUGUGUUGGCAGGGAGUGAAGAGUGCUACGGCAACCCGAUUGCGGGGAGAAAUUAAAGACAUCUUAAAGGAGGCAAGCUACUCGUCGCAGUGAGUGAUUUUUAUUGGUCAAUCAUAAUUUUCCCCAAUUUUUCAAAAGGAAUUUUAUUUUUUUGGAUUGGCAGAAUUGUUUUGAUGCUUGCAAGUUGCAGCUACGCAUUGUUUUAGCUUUACAGUAGUAGGCGAUAGUUUGGAUUCUUAGCAGUUGUGUGAUCUUCGUUUCGUUUGAAUCCAGGCCGUCGACAUUUGCGCAAGCCGCGUAACUUCGGAGGAUUGCAUCUGCUAAGGAGAAAGAACUUGCAAAUUGCACUAGUUUGCAACUCCAUCCUUUCAAUUAUGUUUUUAUUCUGAUCAUAUAUACAAUUACAUACCUGCAUUCUUGGGGCACAUGUAUAUAUCCAUAUAUCGUCACAGAGGGUAACUAUAUGCAAUAUGCUUGGGAUCAAAGUUGUGUUUGUAUAGUAACAUAUACACUUUACAGCUACGAUGUUUUUAAGCGAAGGGUUGAAUGGCUAAUAAAGUUUAUGCAGUUUUCAAUGCCAUAUUAUUUCCAUGUAUUUACAAUAACCAUUUUGUUUUCGACCAUUAAUUUAUUUUAUUUUCAAUCAUAAGAAUCUUGUGUAGUUGUUAUGAGUUGAUUGUACGUAACAGGUACUUAGGUAAGCCUGACCCACCAGGUGAAAGAUUCUAACAGUGGUACCUGCCUUCCAGAUCAAGAGUUACAUGGCAAGGAGAUAAAACUUUCAUACGACGUGUAUCUGAGAAUUUUGUUCAUCUUAAAGGUAGGUCUCAGUGUUUUAGAUUUUGAGAGUCUUUAUUAGCUUAUUCUGAUAAAAAAGAAAUUAUUUCAGAACAAGGGUUCUUAAUAGAUAUAUUUGGUUGUCCAUUUAGGUCUUAACAUAUGUUGUGCUGGUUUGCUGGUUUUGGAGGGUUCCUGUUGGGUCCAUAUCGCAACAACUUGUGCAACCAUUUGGUAACGCGUUCUUGUUCCGAAUAUACUGCCCAAGUCCCCUCUUCUUUCUGUUUGGCUAUUUUUAGACUGAGCAUUGAGACAGUAAAAUCUAUAAAAUGAUAGAAGUUCUGAUUUGUAUAUCUUGUUGCUGUGCAGGGAAGAUGAUAUCAUGGAGGGCUGGAGGAGUUGUAAACGAAAAUGUUAUGGUAAAUAAAGUUGGGAUUACUUUUGAUUGUUAAUUCUCAUAUCGUUUAGGUGCCAUAUUGUGUUCUUGUAAGCAACUAAAUGAUGUAAACAACACUAGGUACAAUGUUACUUCCGUGUGUUGAACGCUGCUGAUGUUUGCAUAUUACUUAUCUUGGGUCCGAAAGAACAGAGAUGGUCUUUGAUUUGCAUGCGAUAUAAAUCAUCUUAAAUAAAGUUUUGAACAUUGCUUCUGAUUCUUUUCUUAUGUGGUUCUGCAGGUAGGAAUAAUUCCUUGGUUGAUAUUAUCUACCAGGGUCAGCAAGUUCAUAUGUCGACUUGCCAAGUUCUAGAGGUUAGAUGAUUUCUGUCCUGUCAAGUUUUUGUACACAUGUUAACGUGGUUUUGUUUUGACUAUUACUUCACGAUAUCUUUAGUCAUGAACUUAGGAUUGUUACCUGCUAAUUUAAUUUGUAUCAGUGAUGUGCAUUACUGUUUUGGUCGUCUGUGUAGCUUGAGUUUAUUGUUUAUCUUAAAAAACUAACCUCUUGAAAAACCCAUUCUUUGAAGUUAUUUAUUAAAAUCCAGCAAAAUAGUGUGAUGCUUUUUGUGUUUGGUAAUCAAAUGCCUAUGCGAUCACCGUCAACCAUGCCCAUGAUGGAAUUAAGAGUGGAUCCAAGAGAAAAUAAAGAAAUAUGAUACUUGGAGCUCAAGACUUCAAUGCGAACUCAAACUCACAAAAGAGAAGAAAGGUAUGACAAAUAUUAUUUAUUCUCUAGUACAAUUGACAUGAACGCUCUUAAUUAAUUGAGCGCUGUGCCAAUUGUUCAUAUCGCAUUGAAAGUAUGACGCGGGUAAUCCCAUGGUAACAUGCAUCUCAUGUACUUGAAUAAAAAAGAACGAGGAAAUUUAUGCCUGAACAUUAUUCUUGGCACAUCUAAUACUAGUAUUUUGACGACCGGAAUAUUCAUAGAUUUAGCCAAGGCAAAGAAGAAAAGGCAUCCUAGCACACAAGUAGCGAUGGCAAGUCCUGGCGAACGACCACUCAGUACCACAUAUGUGCCGGUAAUGAAUGCAACCACCAUUGCCAUUAAGGCAAACAAAGUAAAGGAUAACGCGUUGUGGAAAUUUUUCUGCAAUUUUCCGGUCAGACUUGUGUAAUUCCUGCAAAAAAGGAGCACCAUGACAGAACAACUAGACAUAGCCAUGGCUAUUGUAUUUGUUAUCACAAAAGCUUUGAAAGCUGCAUUUCUGGAUAGAACUGCGAAGCCCUGGUCUGGUCCUUUUUCGCCUUGGUAACCACCAGGCAUGGUGAAACCAGCUGCGAACGUUACGGUUGCUAUAAGUGUAGCCACAACCAGAUGGGAGUCUCUUCCUUCCUUCACUUCGAUGCCAACACCUCUGUUUUUCUCUACUUGGCUGCCACCUAUGUUUUCCUCGACCUUGCUGCUGCCACCAUCCUUGUCGCUUGAAAUCCGAUGACCUGGUAUGGCACCAAUCUCUUUCAAUGUGCUUUGAAGAUAUAUCUGCAACACAUAGUUGUAAUGUUGUAUUGGUAAACAAAGGAUCUUAACCACUUAUAUCACAAGGGGAAUGAUGUGCUGUCCAUACUUGUUGUUCUGAAUAAGGCAAAGCUUGAACGAUGUUAAGAGCGUUGAGAUUUUCCUUGUUGAAUGUCAUCUUAUCAACCCUAGCAUCACGUAUGAACCCAGCGUUGUUGUACCAAGCGUAAGCCAUAAGAUGGAGGGGUGUGUUCCCAUCUUCGUCUUUGCCAUUCAAAAGGACGUUGCUGAGCCAUGGAUCUUGUCUCACAAGUUGCUCUACUUGAUGAUGACGCUUCCUAAUGCAGAAGUGAAGAGCGUCGCGACGGCGCCUGUCCACCAGUUCGCAACAAUCAGGGCAACAGGCAAUAAGCUCUUUCAUUACGUCUGCAUGGCCUCCGAGUGCUGCAACGUGAAGAGGUGUAACCUUCUCAUUGUCGCCGAUGUAGGCGGCGGAUUUAUCAGCUGCUAGUAAGGAUUUCACAAUUGAAGUGUGACCCAUGGAUGCAGCGUAGUGUAGCGGAGUCCAUCCCUUUUCGUCGAUUUCUUUCGUCGAUUUCUUUCGUCAAAGCCUUUUCAGUGUACUUCAACAAAUCUUUCGUCAUUUCUUGAAGAUAAAACCACCAAAACAUACAAUUAGAUUAAAGAAAAAGCAGUUUGUUGUUGAUUCACUAAAUGUUUUGCUUAUAACUGAAUCCGUUCAUAUUCUAAUUAUUAUAAAAAGAUCAUAUAUGAAAAUAUUUAUAAAUUAUGAGAUUGUUGGGUCAUCAUGCUAUAUAAAAAUAAAUUAUGAAAAAUUAAAGAAAAAACAGUAAAAAUAUGUCUAUCUCCAUAUUAUAUACGUAUUGGUACCUAUGCCAUUGAUUGUGACUGCAGCAUGCAAAGUUGUUCUGCCAUUAGGGCCUUUGUAAACGGGAUUUUUGCAAGUCUUCAUCAUCUUAUAAACUAAAACACAAUACCCCCUCUCGACAGCCAUGUAAAUUGGAGUCUCGCCGUCACCAUUAGCCGUGUACAGACUCUGGAUCUUCCCUUGUCAAUAUCUCCACCACUGCAAAGUGAUUAAAUCGAACCGCCUCGUGCAAGGCCGUGUCCUUGCCGUUGUUGGUUGCCCUUAUGAGCAUCUUCCAUGCUUCUUCCGAUAAAACCCCUUUCUCGAGGUCGUCAUGACGAGCUUUUGCAGCUCGGAUUAGAGCUCCAACUAUUCCAGCACGCCCAUGUCUCGCGGCAAUGUGUAACGCAGUCUCACCACUCUCAUUCUGCUGCAACAGCAGUGCUGGACAAGUUUUAAGGAUAUCCUCAACGAUGUUGGUUGACUCGAUUACUUGUUUCUCAGAUUCGUUGAACGUUGGGCUGCUUGAGCACGCUAUGUAAAUAUGGAGCACUGUGUUUUUUGUUGCAGUGAGCUUUAUGUCAAGAUGCUCCCCGUGUUCCCUUAGGGCAUCGACGUUGCCUUGUUUCGCAGCGUUGAAAACAUCAAGAUCUAUGCCCUCUGUAGGUUCCUCCUUGGUCUGAUCUGCUUGCUGAGUAGCCUGGCAAUCGACACCCGGGGAUGCUAAUGGUAAUGGAGCAGCACUCUCAAUCUGACCAGUCGAAUUGGAGGAAUCCAUUCUGAUUUUUGCACGUAUCCGAAAUUACUUGCAAUCUUUGAGAGAGGAUGGAACAUCUCCAUCAACAUAUUCCGAAGAGCUUUAUUAGUCAAAUCCAGUUUCGAACGUUGACUUUUAGGUAUAGCAAUUUCGUCGUGGUUCCAUUUCGUAUAUUUAAAUAUGAUUUUUUUUUGGUGUUAUAUUUACAAGUUGUUAAUUAAUAAACAUAGUUUAUUGUAUAAAUCAAGAUGGCAUUUCUUAAUUCACGGCCUGUUUGGUGGGUAGGAUAAGAUAGGUUAUUUCUAAUUAAAUUGGACUUGGAGCCCAACUAAUGUUUAAUGAGAAAUUUUUUAACACGGACUAAAUUGGCUACAAAUCCGAAAUAAAAGAAAAUAUGAUGGGUUAUGUAACUCAACCACACACAUGGGUUAUGUAACUCAUCCCUAUCAAUCCAAUCCUAUUCUAAAGCUUAAUCUCAUCCGGCGCACCAAGCGGCUGGCUGAUGACUGUCAAGUGUGUGAAGUGAGGAUCACCAACUCACUACGAAAGGUGAAUAAAAGAAGUCGCUAGUGGGAGAGUACGUAAAACUAUCUAUACCAUUUACCACCACAGCCGUGUAGAAGCAUAUGUAGCAGCCAUAUAAGAGAGGAAGAAGUAGACGAGUCUCCUUCCAUGUGGUGCGGGAAAAGUCUACUUUACCCCAAACAAAUAAUGUAAAACAAAUAAGGUCAGGAUCUUUCCGAGAGGAAGACAACCUCUGAGUUCGUCGUAUUUAUGAACUAGGGAGUAUUGAAAGAGAAAUAUAAGAGUGUCUGGCCGAGAACCUUUUCAGUAGGCGGUACACUAAGCAUCAUAAUAUAAUUGGUUGAAAUUUCUAACCAAGUAUAUUAUUACAUUUGGUGCAUUGAACUGUGUUCCUGACACACUGAAAAAUCUCUCUUUUCCGAUAUUGGGGGAAUGAGUUUGAUGCUUUGUAUAGGCGUCAGCAAUGAAUUGAUACAACAAUAGCGUGAAAAUACAUCAAAUUAACAUUUUAAACCGUUCGAUGGUCCUCCUGGUUCCUGCUCACGUGUUUUACUGCUCAAGGUUCUAGAUUUUCUUGUCAAAUAAUAAAAAUGGUCUCCUUCAAGGUUCUAGAUUUCCUUCUCAAAUAAAAAAGGAAAAAAAAACCAAGUUAUUCACUUUUUUUUAUGAGCAUUGAAAAACCAUUAGAGCCAUAAAUAAAAGCAUUGAAAAAUCAUCAAUAAAGUCUUGAACAUUGCUUUUGAUUCUUUUCUUAUAUGGUUCUGCAGGUAGGAAUUAUUCAUUGGUUAAUAUUAUCUACCAGGGUUAGCAAGUUCGUAUGUCGACUUGCCGAAUUCUAGAGGUCAGAUGAUUUCUGUACUGUCUAGUUUUCAUACACGUUAACGUCAUUUUGUUUUGACUAUUACUGCACGAACUUUAGCCAUGAACUUAGGAUUGUUACCUGCACAUUUAAUUUGUAUCAGUGAUGUGCAUUUCUCUUUUGGUCGUCUAUGUAAAUUGAGUUUCUUGUUAUGUAAAAAAACUAACCUCUUAUAAAUCCCGUUCUUUGAAUGUAUUUAUUAUUUGAUUUUAUUUAACAUAAGGAAAAUCCAGCAAAAUACUGUGAUGCCUUUUGUUUGGUAAUCAAAUGCCUAUGCGAUCUCCGGACUACCAUGCCCGUGGUGGAAUUAUGGUGGAUCCUAGAGAAAAUCAAGAAAUAUGAUACUUGGAGCACAAGACUUCAAGGCAAACUCAAACUCCCAACAAAUGAGAAGAAAGGUACGGCAAAUAUUAUGUAUUCUCUAUUACAAUUUACCUGAACACUCUUAAUUACUUGAGCCCCACGCCAUUUUCCUACAAGCUUUCCUAUAAUUAUUAAUCCUUAUUCAUGACUCUUCUCCUUCUUCAUGAGGAAACCUACUAUUGAGCUAAUUAUAACAUUUAACGAGUAAUCUGUCAGCAACUUAAAGUCGCCAACCAUGUCGUCCAGGAAAUGUGGAGCAUUAAGUAUUUUUCUUUCAAUGGAAAGAAGAGAAUUUGCAAAGACAGAGAAGAAAAUGCAGCCAAGCACACAAGACGCAAUGACAAUCCCUGGAGAAUGACCACCCAAUACUGCAUAUGUGCCGGUAAUGAAUGCAACAACCAUUGCAACCAAAGCCCAAACUAGACAUGGCCAUGGCUAGUGUAUCAGUUAGAACAAAUGCUUUGAACGCUGCGUUCUUGACAGAAGGGGGGAACCCUGGUCCGGUCCUUUUUCGCUUUGGUAUCCGCCGGGCAUGGUAAAACCUGCGGCGAAGGUUACAGUUGCUAUCAAUGUAGCCACUACCAGAUGAGUUUCUUUUGCUUUCUGUAAACUUUCUCCCAUGACCUUGUUUCUUUGAGUUCCUGGACUUGGUCUAACACCCGUGGCUCGAAGUAUUUUUCCAUACAGUUCCUGCAAAGCCAGAGAAGGACUAUAAUAUUAUUAUUAUCUUGGCAAACAAAUUCAAGCAAUUUAAUGAUCACAAGGUGAUACGUACCUGCAAUAAUAAUGUGUUUAUAUCAUUGUGAACACGGAAAUUUCCUGAAACGAAAGAGACAAGAACAAACGUGCACAAACAAAUAUUUGUAUUUGAUGAUUUUGGGUUACAAUCUCUCUCUAUUUUGAUCCUCUGAUUCGAUCUCCGUAAGGUGUGUAUUUGUGGAUGUGUGAUUGAUUCAAAGGGCCGUUGGGCUUGAUCUAAGGAUGAACGUUCUUCAAGGGCCAUGGACUUGAUCUUGAAGGUGGAUUUGAGCGGAUCUUCAAAGGGGCUUUUGGGCUUUUGGGCUUGAUCUUUGAAGAACAGUGAUGAACGGAUCUCCAAGGGCUUUUGGGCUUGAUCUUGAAGAACAGUGAUGAACGGAUCUUCAAGGGCUUUUGGGCUUGAUCUUGAAGAACGGUUGGAUGUGUGGAUUUGUCGACGUUGUUGAUCCAAAGGGCCGUUGGGGCUUGAUCUUGGAUGAACGGAUGAUGAACGAUGGUGCUUUCUUUAAGGGCCGUCGGGGCUUGAUCUUGAAUUGGUGGAAGUUCUUCAAGGGCUUUUGGGGCUUGAUCUUGAAUUGGUGGAUUGUUGAUCCAAGGGCCGUCGGGGCUUGAUCUUAGAAGAACGAUGAACGAAGAACGAUGAACGAAGAACGAAGAACACUUUCUUCGAGGGCCGUCGGGGCUUGAUCUUGAAUUGGUGGAAGUUCUUCAAGGGCUUUUGGGGCUUGAUCUUGAAUUGGUGGAUUGUUGAUCCAAGGGCCGUCGGGGCUUGAUCUUAGAAGAACGAAGAACACUUUCUUCGAGGGCCGUCGGGGCUUGAUCUUGAAGAAUGAUGAUGAACGGAUCUUCAAGGGCUUUUGGGCUUGAUCUUGAAGAUGGAUGAUUGUUGAUCCAAGGGCCGUCGGGGUUUGAUCUUGGGAGAACGAUGAACGAAGAACGAAGAAGGCUUUCUUGAUUCUUCGGGAACCUGGAUGCUUGAGAGCUUCGGAAUUUCAGAGCUUCAGAGCUUCAAGGUGUAAUAUGAAUUGGUCCUUAAAUGAAUGAAGUAGCCUUCUAUUUAUAGAAUUUUCCAAGGCCUAAUUUUGAAUAUAAUAUUCCAGAUGAAAUAAGUCGUUUCUGCCAGGUGUUGACACGUGUCCUGUUUGAUGACUUUUCCAACUUAUUUCGAUUUUUUGUUUAGACACACGCUACGUGUAAAAUUUAUGUAAUACAUGAGCGUUGAAACUUUGAUUUAUCGGUCAACAUUUAUUUACCGAAAUUUCGAUGUCUACAAUCAUCAUCGUUAGCUAGAACUAUUUCAAAAGCGUUUAAGUUUUGCUUGUUGAAUGCCAUCCAAUCAACGUUAUGACCAUCUAGUAAGUCUAUGCUUUUGGGAGAAUGAGUAGCUAGGUGAUGGAGGGGUGUGUUCCCAUCAACAUCCAUGCCAUUUAACAGGAUGUUUCUAAGCCAUGCAUCUCCUAAAACAUAUUUUACUAUUUGGUUUUGUUUGUUCUGUAUGGCGUAGUAAAGAACAUUCUGAAAUUUGUUGUCGACCAGUUCGCAACAAUCAGGACAUUGAGAAAUAAGCUCUUUCAUUACAUCUAGAUUGCCUUCGGACGCUGCAAAGUGAAGAGCUGUCGCGCCAUCUUUGUCAGCAAUGUAAGCAGUAGAUCUAUCAUUUGCAAGCAGUUGUUUAACAAUUGAAACGGAACCAAUACGUGCAGCAAGGUGUAGUGGAGUACAUCCUAGUUCGUCUGCUGCUUUGCUCAAAGUCCUAUCGGCUUUUAGCAGUUCCUCCGUCAUUUCUUAAGUAUAAACACAAAACACAAACAAAUAUACAUAAAAUUAAAAACAUAUAUACGUACCUUUUUUUAGUGUAUAAUCUAUUUACUUUUGUAUAAAAUAUACACAUUUUAUAAAAAAGUACUCAUUUUUAUUUAAAAAAAUGUUUUUUUUUAAAUGUAAAAUCUAUUUAUUUUUUAUUUUUAUGUAUCCAUGUUUUAUAAUAAAAUGUACCUUUUUAAUGUAAAAUAUACACAUAUUUAAAAACAAAAAUAAAAUAAAAAAUCUGAUCAUAUUUAACACAAUUCAAUUUCGAGAAAAUAAUUAAAAUUACUAUUUGGUAUUAAUUUUUGCAUAAUUUUAGGGAAGAAUAUUAAUUUUAGUUAUUAAAUUUCUUAAUCAAUCAAAGUAUUCAUAUUAAUAAGGCUUUAGCUUAAGAUUUUGGUUCUUUAGAGAUAGACCUUAUAACUCCUAUUGUCUAGACAAAAUCCACCUAGUAUUAAACAUCCAAAUAAAAUCCAAAAUUUAAAUAGUCUUCCAUGUAGGCAAUGACCUAUUAUUAUAAAAUAUUUACAACGUUUGCCACAACGCCUUAAAUAUGUCAAUAAAUAUUAAUUAUUACUCACCCUUAAUUGUGAUCAAUGAGUAAUGAGCUCCUAUUUUAAAACCAAGUAUUACAGAUAUAAAAAAAUAUCUAUAACUACUAAUAUUUAUUUAUUUAUUUUUAAAUGGCUCUAUAACUACUAAUAUAUCUACAUAUGAAUUAAUUUACUAAUUUACGUACAUUCUUUUGAUACAACUAAUUUACCUAUAUUUUGAAAAUUCACUAAUUUACCUACAUUCUUUUGAUACAAUCUAAUUUACCUGCAUUUUUGUAGUACAAUCUAAUUUACCUACACAUUAAUGCACCUAAAGAGCAAGAAAAUACAAGUAAAUCAAUUUUCAAACACAAACAUAUGUAAAGAGCAAGAACAUGUGGAAAAAAUUAUAAAAUUUGAAAUUUUGAUAAAAGAAAAGUGGAAAAAAUUGGACUAUCAUCUCAUGGUGUGAGAUUAUACAUAUCAAUCAAUUAGAAAAUGUAAACACCGUUAAUGAAAACGUUACCAGAUUUGCAAUAAAUUCCACCAAAUUUGUUUUAAAAUAAUGAGGGGCAUUUUAGGACAAAAGUUUAUAGAAUACGAGUCAUUAAGUUGUAAAUGAAAAUUUGGUUAGUUGGAUUAUAGUCAUUGGGUUUAACUCUGGAAAAAGAAAUGGAACGGGUUAAAGGUGAGAAGAUAUCAGUUUCAAGGGGAAAACUUGAUCAACCAGAUGUCGGAACCAAAGUUUCUCUUAAAAUAUGUAGUGGGUUUAUGUCAUGUAAAUAAGAGGAAAAGGAAACAAAUUUAGUUUUAUAUGCACAUAUACCUUUAUCCAUUUGAAUCACUGCAGCGUGCAACGCCCUUCUACCAUUUGGGCCAGUGUAAGUUGGAACACUGCAAUUCUUGAGCAUUUUAGAAACCAAAGGAAGAUAUCCCCUCUCGGCAGCUAAAUAAAUUGGAGUUUCACCUGAAUCAUUAGCAGCGUAGGAAAACUCGGGGUCUUCUAUGGUCAAUUUCUCCACCACAAAACAUUGAUUAAAGCGCACUGCUUCGUGCAACGCUGUAUUCUUGUUGUUGUUGGUUUUCCUAAUGAGCAUUUGCUUCUGCAAGCAGGCUUCUUCUUCUGUUAAGAGUCGGCCUUGCUCAAGGUCGCCAUGGUGACGAACUUUUGUUGCCUGAUCGAUAAGAACUCCAACUAUUUCAAUUAGCCCCUGUCUUGCAGCUAGGUGUAAGGCAGUCUCACCGCUCUUAUUGUGCUGCCAUAGUAGUGCGGGACACAUUUCAAGGAUAUCCUUCACAAUCCCGGCUGACUCCAAUGUGUUUUGUCCAGAUGUCGGCCUGCUUAAGCACGCUAUAUAAACAAGAAGGACCGUGUUAUUUGUUGCAGUCAGUUUUAGGUCAAGAUGUUCUGCAUGUUCCCUGAGGGCAUCAAGGUCGCCUUGUUUCGCAGCACGAAACACAUCCAGUUCCAUGCCACCUAUCGAAACUGUAUUAUUGGCUUCUUUAGUAGCUCCCUCCUUAGUCUGAACUGCUAAGUGGUCAGUACUACUAGCACUCUCGGCCUGAUCAGUUGAAUGGGAAUGAUCCAUUUUUUGAUAUUUCGUUAUUACGUGCCUAGACAAGGGGAACUUUUGGCCUAAUACAAGUAUAAUCAGAAAGAACUUGCUGAUCUUUGACUGGAUGAUGGGAAUUUAAAUGAAAAGGAACAAUGGAUGAGAUUUGAGAGACUCAAGAGUGAAGAGUAAGCAAGGAAUACAAGAUGAGAUAAUUUAUAGAGCAGGAAUCCAAUGCAAUGCCACACUUCUGCAAAGACUGCAAUAGUACUGCAAUAGUACUGCAAUAAUUGGAGUGACUUUAUCUUUAUUGCGCAUGUCGUUUUCAAUUUUUUUUUUAAUUUUUGCGGGUAAUGUAGGAAGAUUAAUUUAGUUUUUUUCUAGUAUUACUCAUAUUGGUACAUGUCAAUUUUCAAAUUAAUUAAAAAAAAUCUUUGAUGUAUGUCAGUUAUCAAAUUAAAUGAUACCGAAUCUUUAUAUUUUAUUAAAAAUUUAUCUUUGACGGACCCAAAAAAAGAGCCCAGCAAGCAUAGCACUUCCACAGCAAAAGCCCCACUCCCACUGCUUGCCAUGGCUAGGGGUGGAUUUUUUUGCCAAAUUGCCGUGCCAACCGAAUUGCCAACUGUGUCAUACCGAUUUUGUGCCAAAUUUUUUGUACCAAUCGGUAAUGAUACGGUAUUGUACCGUAUCGAAAUUUCAUGGUACGGUAUUGGUAAUGGAUACCAUUACCACGGUAUUACCGUACCAUACCGAAAAUACAAUAUAAUAUAUAAUUUAUAAAUUAUAAAUUAUAUAAUAGAUAAUUAUAUAACACAUAUUUAUAAUAUUCCAAUAAUUUGAAAAUAAAACCCUACUUAUAUUAGCAUUGUUGUUGGUGACUUUGAUCUCUUGAAAUUGUGGAAAUCAAAUACAAAAGAAUUCCUAAUUGUUUCACAAAUAGCCAAAAUAUCUUUCUAACCCCCACUUCUACUGUUGCUAGUGAAGUUGCUAGUGAAAAUGCAUUUAGACUAGGGAGGAGGGUUGUGGACCCUUUUAGGGUAUCCUUGACUCCUAAAAUAAUGGAGGUACUAGUGCAUACUAGUGGUUGGCUUAGGGCAGAUGAAGUAAACUUCUACAAGGAACCAACGGAAGAUAUGCUUCAAUUUUACAAGAAAAUGGAAGAAGAGAAAACAAGAAAGAUAUGCUUUAAUUUUUUUAGUAAAUUUGUUAUUAAAUGGUUUUCAACUUUAAUUCUUCUUGCUACUAAUUAAUAUGUUUUCUUUGUUUGUAAUGUAGGCUUGACACAAACUCAAUAUUCUACAAAUUCAAUGCCUCCUCCAAAAGCUUCGACAUCUCAAGCUUGAAUAAUUGAUCAAUGAAUUCUCCUUUUUGAAGUUUACUUCCAAUUUUCAUUUGGUUUGAAACUUUAAUUUCUAAUUGGAUUGUUAACUUUUAUUUGUUUUGGUUCGUAACUUCUAUUUGGAUUGUAAGCUUAAUUUUCAUGAUGAAUCUUGAUGCAUCAUUUGAAUUAUUAUGUGUGUGAAUUGUGAAUGAUGAAUUUAAUCUAUAAUGUAUGAGAUAAAGGUACAAAAAAAAAAGUUUUGCCCUUGAAUUGGGUUAAAAAAACAAAAACAGAUUUUGUCCCAAAACAAAAUGGCAAUUACCAUUGCCAUACCAUGCCAACCGAACUUUUGACAAUACCGAACUUCGGUAUACCGAAAGUUUGGUACGGUAAUGGUAAUAUAUUUUACCAAACCGAAAGUUUGGUACGGUAAUUAGUACAAGGGUUUUGGUACGGUAACCGUACCGAACCCACCCCUAGCAAUGGCUGCCGCCCCUCCUUACCCAAAAUUUUUGCUUAUUUCCUCAUCUGAGUUGCAGCAAUUUAUUAGGUUUUCUCCAUUUUAGUUUAUGGAAAAAAGAAAGUGAUUGGACUUUAAAUCAGAUGAACCAUACAAAUCUUAUUUUUAUCCAAUCUCAUCAUCUUCAUCAACAAAAAUGUUCCAACAAAUUCCACGUAUCAGGAAGAAAGCGAUGGUGAGAAGAUUAUGGACAUCAUGGUUCUUUUUCAUUGGAUAAUACAAAUUGGCUGUUUCUACGCCUCUAUUGAACCUGAAAAUUUUGUACAUCUCAAGCACUUGGAAGGAGACUAAGAUCAUCUCCGGAGAUUUGCCUCCAGAGCCAACAUACCCAUUAAUUAUGGACACUAAAUUUAAUCGUCUAGCCAUGAAACCAGAGGGGAAAGGGUGCAGGCAAUGAGAGGAGGAGGACACGGGGAUGGGGUUGGAUAAUGGUAGUCAUGGAGGUGGGUGACUGCUUUUUUUUUUUUUUUUUUUUUUUAAAAGAUACGAUAGUUACUUUCAUUUCAUCAUAAAUUUCAUUACAAGAGUUUAUCCAUUUCUAAGCAUAGAGCUAGCACAGUCAUCCACAAGUAUAUCAGUUAUAAUACUAGGCGGAGAAUCAAUCCAUUCACAACUUUGCAUCAGAGAUAGUCUAACUUUGCAAGGUAGUGAGCAGCAGCGUUCGCAUUACGAUGAAUGUAGGUGAUAUUUGCUUCAGUGAUUGUGUUGAGCAGAGCUUUGUAAUCCUCCACAACUUGCCCAAUGAUUGACAAAUUAAGAGUAAGAUCCCUCAGCGCCUCUACAAUCUGAAGCGAGUCAGUUUCAAUAAUAAGGAAUUGAUAGCCCCUAUCAAUUGCCCAUAGCAAACCUACCUUCAUUGCCAUAGCUUCGGAGAGCAAUGGGGAGCAUAUAUCUUUAAAGCUUCCAGUACGAGUAGCCACAAAACACCCAUCGCUGUCUCUGAUAAUGGCCCCGAAUCCUGCAAUGAGUCUUCCUACAUUCCAGGACCCAUCAAUAUUCAUCUUGAUUCGUCCAUGUGGUAGGACACUCCAUCUGGGGGUGUUUCUCAGCCUACUAUCCUGUUCCGAGCCUGCGUUUUUGGUCCUAGUAAACUCCAGCCACCAUUGGAUGGCACGAUUAGUGCAUACCUCAGGUGGUUCCAGUUUUUCCUCCCAGAGUUUCAUGUUCCGUGCCCUCCAUAAUGUCCAAUAGACCAUCAGAAAAACAUUGAAACGUGCCUUGGGUAUAAGGUCAGCCACUUCAUCGAUCCAUAUCAUAAAGGAAGGAGGAUGAUUGUUUCUCAAAAGUGUACCCACCCGCGAGCUCAUCCAUGCACAUCUCGCAUAAUGGCAAUCCUUCAUUAGAUGAAUGGUAGAUUCAUCAUAGGCUCCACACAAUACACAUUCCAUAUCCAUGGUAAUAUGUCUUGCCACCAAAUUGGCCCUAGUAGGAACCAAUUCAUUGGCAAUUCUCCAUACGUAAAUUUUGACUUUUGGUGGUACCUGUGCAUUCCACACCUUCACCCACACCUUAGCUUCAUCACCAUUUGAGGACGAUGCCCCACAAUUUGUGGGUUGUAGCCAAUUCCUUGCCACAUGGUAAGCCGACUGGACCGUAAAUCUUCCCUGUCUUUCAUGGUGCCACAACAAGUGAUCCGGUGGGUUUCGUACACUUAAGGGGAUUGUCUGGAUUAGAUUUACCUCAUCUUCAAAGAAGAGGCUUUCAAGCACAUCAAUUUUCCAACACUUUGCAACGAGAUCAAUCAACUUGUUCACCAUUGUCAGCGUGCAUCCUACCGGUUUGGGAGAAUAGGGACGAAAUCGAGAUGAGAUGGGGAUCCAAUGGUCCUCCCAGAUCCAAAUGGAUAGCCCAGUACCCACCUGCCAUCUUAGACCCAAACUUAAAACAUUUUGUGUAGUGCAAAUACUUUUCCAUACAUACGAUGCUUCAGGCUUCAAUGAAGCUUCCAUAAAAGAGCUAGUUGGAAAAUACUUUACCCUUAGGACCGUUGCAACCAGAGAAUGUGGAUUAGCCAACAAUCUCCACCCCUGCUUUGCUAACGUACCCAAGUUGAAUGCAUAUAAGAACCAAAACCCAAGUCCACCCUCAAUUUUGGAUUACACAGGCGUUCCCACGAGCACCAAUGCAUUUUCUUUUCUCUUUCAUCGCCACUCCACUAAUAGGAUGCAACCAGCUUGUUUAGCUCAUCACAAAAUAAUUUAGGCAAAAGAAAACAGCCCAUGAAGUAGUUGGGGAUUGCCUGUGCCACGGCCUUCACCAACACCUCUUUCCCUACGACACUUAGCAACUUUCCUUUCCAACUCUUUAAGCUCUUCCAUAGACGAUCCUUAAGAUACCUUUAUCAACCCCCGCCGUUCCCGCUAAGCGAUCAACGUAACCAGCUUGUUUAGCUCAUCACAAAAUAACAGAUGAUUAAUCGAUGGUAUUUCUGGACAAAUUGAGAUGCCAUUUAUCAACCCCUGCCGUUCUCGUUGAGCGAUCAACGCUGACAGUCCCUCUGAACACAUAAUAAAUAUAUAUGGUGAUAAAGGAUCUUCCUGGCGUAAUCCACGUGAUGGGAGAAUAUAAACCCCGUGGGCAACCAUUUACCAGUACAGAAUAUGAAAUCGUAGUCACACAGAGCAUGAUGAGUUUAAUCCAAAGCUAAGAGAAACCCAUCUUAGUAAAGAUUCGAUGUAAGAAUCCCUACUCAAUCCGAUCGUACGCCUUACUUAUAUCUAGUUUUAGUGCAAAACCUUUCUUCCCUCGGCACCGUCUAAACAGAUAGUUAUCAAUUUCUGAUGCUAAUAUGGUAUUGUCAGAGAUAUUACGACUUGGCACGAAGGCACUUUAUGUUUGUGAGAUGAUCUUAUGGAUAAUAACCUUAAGGCGAUUCGCAAGUACCUUAGAAAUGAUUCUGAACAGGACAUUGCAUAGACUGAUAGGCCGAAACUGAGUUACUUCCUCUUGUUGUUUUGUUUUAGGAAUAAGGUUGACAUAUGUAAAGUUUAUUUGCUUCAACAAUUUCCUUGAUGCUUGGAAGUUUUUAAUCGCAUUUGUAAUGUCAUCCCCAACGAUAUUCCAAAAUUUUUGGAAAAAGAAAUGAUUCAUUCCGUCGGGGCUCGGAGCCUUAAAUGGUUGCAUCUGAAAGACCGCAUCUCCAACUUCCUCAGUCGUAAUUACUCCUUCUAGUAUGCGAUUCAUUUAUGCCGUUACCUUUGAAUCCACGGCCUCAAUAACUUCAUCAUCCUGAUUAUACCUAGUAGUUUGGAAAAUAUCCUGAAAGUAUUGAAUUAUAGUGCUUUCGAUCCCCGCAUCAUCAUAGACCAAGCGCCAUUUGUAUUUUUCAAUCGUUUGAUCGAGUUCUUUGGCCUUCGGUUCCUAGCACAUUGAUGGAAGAACCGUGUAUUACAGCUGCCAACCUUAACCCAUAAAGCACAUGAUAUCUGCCUCCAAUACUUCUCCUUCUGACCCUAGAGUUGAUCAAGCCGCUACAUUAGCCGGUGCCGUUCAACCAAAACAUCUUCUGUAAGUGGCUGGGCGAGUAUGAAUCCCAUCUUUUGACGCAUUCCAUUAAUUUCUUCUUGUCUCCCUUUAAAUAUUGAUUGCUGCCAUUUCAGUAAAGUUAUUCUAGUGGCUUUAAUUUUGUCACUAUCUGAAACAUCAACACACCAGUACCUGGUUGGUUCCAAGCAUCACGGAUAAUACAUUCACAUUCCUCAUGAUCAUCCCAAAAAUUUUCAAAUCAAAACAUCUUGCUUUUGCGUCUAACAUGGCUAUAUGUUCCAUAUACCUCUAGAAGAAUAGCAUAUGGUCAAAUUUGCUAGGAUUACGUUGCUGAAUAAGUCAUUCCACCUAUCUGUCGCAAGCAUCUUAUCUAGCCGUUCUUUGAUACCCCAUGACCUAGUAGUAAUCCAGGUGUAAGGAGUACCCAAGAACCCCAUAUCAUGUAGAUGGCAGUCGCACAUUGCAUUCUGUAAUGCCAUUAUUUGGUUUAUAGGACGAACUGAACCCCCUUAUUUCUCGUGGAUACUAAGUAAUUCAUUAAAGUCCCCUCCAAUUAACCAUGGAAGAGAGCAACUCGUGACCAAUCGCCUCAUAAUAUCCCAGGAAAUUUGGCGUUCCUCAGUUGCUGAGUGCUCGUAAAAACCAGUGAAUCUCCAAUGAACUGCAUAGCCUAUUGCUCAUAUUUCAGAGUAAAUAAAUCUCUCAGAUGAAGAAAUGAUUCUCAGGUUAAUGUCCCAUGUCUAAAAUAAUCCAAGACCUACCUGACUGUCCAUUUGAACUAACCCCGAACACUCUUCUAAAUCCAAACUUCAUCCUCAAGCCAUUUAGUACCUCCGCCUUGCACUUGGUUUCAUAUAGGAAAACCAAUUUGGGAACUUUUUGCCGGAUAAUAUCCUGCAACGCUUGAACUUUCUGAGGGUUCCCAAGCCUUGGGUAGUUCCAAACUAGUAUAUUCAUGGCUGUCAGUGGGGCUGAACAUCCUCAGUUUCCACCGAUGAUACAAGUCUUGUUGUUCCAUUUCCUCUGCCCAGUAACCCGCAUCUCUUUGCUUCUUCCAUUUCUUUUGAAGGACUAACCACCACCUCGCACCUUUGGCUUUCCUGCUGCUCGAGGUCAGCAUAAUUGGUCACCGUGGAUCUCCCCAUUCGAUUACCUCAUUUGAGUCUAGAGUUUUUCUUCUUCAGGUUUGAGAGAUGUAAUGGGCGCCCAUAGUUAUGGUAUCUCAGUGUCUUUUGCUUCUUAGUUGGUGGAGUAAGGAGCUCCACGUCAUUUAUCCCUCCUUUUUUUGGAUCUUCCUUUUGCUGGGUAUUAACCUCAUCCAUUGGGCCUUGGUUAUUUUCCCCAGUAUCCAUUACUUCCUCGCUAGAAUCCACCUUACUCCGGAAGUCAACAUUUGAGGCCUGUACCAUUUGGGCUACCACCACUAGGCUUUAAGCGUUCACAUCCGAAAUGUUUGUUCCUGGGGGGAAACAAUCCUUCACAGUAUAUUUUGUGGGCUUGGCUCGCUCCGCAGCCAGGAGUAACCCAUUAACAUUUUCAAAAGCCCAGGGGGGAAUCCUUUUUGGGUCACACCAAUUUUUCUCCAGAGAGAGCCCGUUAAUAGCAAUAGUAAGAGUUCCGUUUGUAAAAUAGGUCUCAUCACUGUCUAGGUGCCACGUAUGCCUAUAGUCAGGUCGUGUAUCCAAUCGCGUUGUAGGAAUAUGCAUAGCCUCAGAGUUUGUCCCCGCCAAGUGUAGUGUCAUUUCCUGGUUAGGGUGGGAGACUAACCCUGUAGACUUACCUACCACGUCUAUGCAAUUCGGCCUCGUGUCAGUACUUGUUGUCGCCAUGUUGACUUAUUACUCCGCCAUUCGACGUUGCAAGUAUCUGUUCGCCGGGAUAUCCAAUACCGUGUCCGGCAGGCCAUAGAAACCACCAUAAAAUUGUUCCUAUUUUAUUCUCCAAUGGUUCUCUCGGGCCUCGAUCGUCGAUGCUCCCUUUCUUUAUGGAAAUAACAUAGAAUUUGCCCUGGAUGCAGGUGAGGCCCGGAGGUCACUAGUAAAUUGAGUUCCACCUGCCGUCGAAAGUGGCACCAGACGAGGACGCGUACUUGAGUGGCCCAAUCUCCCACAUUGGUAGCAGAAAAUUCUCAAUCCUUCAUAUUUGAAUCGGAUCGUAUAGGAGCCCUAAGCUGGGCAUGACACCGAGCAAAAUGUAAUCAAGGGUCGACAAGCAUCAAAGUCCACUUUUAUUCUCAAGAAACCCCGAAAGCCCACCUCUGCUAGAUCUUCAACUUCAAGAACUACUCUGAUUUUUGCCCCUAGACUUUUAACAUUUUUCAAUGUACAGUAGUUCUUGGGUAUCCCAUGAGCUUGCAUCCAAUAAACAGCUUGAUCAGCUUCAAUGUCAUCAAGAGAAUGAAAUGAUGGCCAGAACUUCACAGAAAAUGUAUAAUCCCUGAUAAACCAGAGGUUGCCUUCCAAAAUUUUUCUAGCGACAUGCUCCUCUCCAACUGUGAUGGCAUAUAUAUUCGCUUUGGCCCUUUGAACCCUGACCACCCCUAUUUUGUUCCAGGCUAACUUGAAAGUCUCCUUUACCACCAUUUGGGAAGGCUCAUUAUCAGCAAUUAAUCUCCCCACCAAAUGGAUGUUGUUAUCAAAUAUUUCCUCCAAGUCUAAACUGUCUUCAAAGGUAAUAUUAAGGCAGUCCAUCAUCUCUUCCUCGAUAUCCAUAUGAACUUUGAAAAGAAAGACCACCUAACCCACAAAUACUCACAGUAGAGAUAUCAGAAUAAGUAUAAAACUCACAGCACGGAAGCUGGAGUUAGUAAGAACCCACGACCUGGAGCCAGAGUUAUAAGCCAAUAAUUUUGCAAAUUUCAGCUACACAUUUGAUCAAACAGGUGGUGUGCAUGCGCGGGGGAAUUGUUCUUCACCACUUUCUUCUACACCAAUGUUCUCUUAGACAACACUAUUGGAGUGUACCCUUUUCCUUGCUCUACUUCUCACCACACCUAGACCUGCAAUUCCUCUCUGGAGGUGGGUGACUGCUGAGUGGUGAAGAUGUUGAUAGGAUUAAAAGCACACCACAAAGUAGUACACAAAUGUCCUAUUGAUUUUCCUUAUUAACACUAAGAUUUGUCAAUUGUAGCAUAUGAAAAAUAAGGGUAUUUCCCGUAGAAGAUUGUUUUAUCUAACUACUUAAAAUGUCACAAAAACUGGGUUGCUGUUCCUACUGACCAGCUAUCGAAAAAUAAUUAUUAGACUAACUUACACUUAUCUAAAGUCUACGAAAUUUUAUAUGAAGACACUAGACACACAGAGCUACAAUCACACAAAUUUUUGGAGAUGAUUUACUAUUUAAAUUAAAUCGAACAAAAACAGGACAGAAACAAAUUUCAAGUAGUUCACAAAUUAAGACAAACAAGUUAGGGGAAUUACUAUCCACCACCAAAUAAUCAUGCAAACAUGUUAUGUUUCAUUCAAAUUCCUUUUAUUUCCGAAUGAAGAUGCUCAAGUUGGCUCAAUGUUAAAACUCAAUCUAUUACUCUUUCUUAUGUAGUAUGUUAAGAGAAUGUCGUUUUCAACUUAACUUAGUCCCUAACAAGCAAUCUAGAAUGACGUGUUCAUAGAUUUAACAAGUAGAAAUCAUUAAGAACGAAAAGAGUUUGAGUCAUCACAAUGCAUCGUAAGUACUGGCGUUGUCUUACUUAUCCUAUAAAUUGGUUCACAUGUUAAUCGCAAUUAACAAGUACUACUCUAGAACAUAUGUAGGUCCUCAUUCGACAAGAGCAGGCACACAAAUAUUCAUAGCAUUAGAAUCAUAGAUAUGCUUACUAAGUAUGCAUCUGUAGAAAACACAUAAAUAAUUCAUCACUGAGACAAGUAGUGAACCAAUUUUCAUCAUUUCAUAAAAGUAAUUCAAACAAAAUGUCAUAACAAACUUACAAUCAUAUUCGGGGCUUCAAAACAGCCCCUAACUACUAAAAAUUUAGUUACACAUAAUUCUCAAAUAAAACCAAAAGAAAGACAUGAGUUUGAGAAGAUAAAACCGAAAGAAGAGAAUGCCAAGAUAUCCUCCUUUCCUUUUCUUCCUUCCCCAACGCUGCUGCCUUGCCUUUUUUCCUUCCUUUUCGUUGCAACCUGCAGCCUUGUUUUUUUUUCUUUCUUUUUUUUUCAAAAUUAUUUCUAUAAAAACUGCCCUUUAUUUCCUCCCCUAACGCUGAUUUUAAACCAAUUAUUGCUACAUUCUUUUUUUCUCCAUAACUCCCCCCACUAAUAGCAAUUUCGUGAUGACAAUAAGUGAGAGAAAAUGGUAAAACAAUUGUAACUCUUUGGGCAACCUUUAUGCCAAUUACUCCCACUUAAUCCUCAUCUUUAAUUCCAUUUCCUCUGAUAUUUGAAUAAGUGUCAGCUGGCUUGUUCUUGACUGCAUCAGUUUUGGCUGCUAGAUUUAUUGAGUUUAUUGCUUUCAUUGCAGUUACAAACUGCUCUGUCUCUUGUGACCUUUUUAGUGUUAAAACGGCCAUAACUUCUUUCAGAAAAAUGAUAUUAGCAAUCCAUGAAAUGCUUCAGAAAAUAGACAUCGGUAACUUUCCAAGCAUAUAAGGCUCAUUCUCUAAUUCAUUCUGAGCUGUUCGUAACUUGCUUCCAAAGUCAGCUGAUCUACAUAGACUGUUUAGACGAAUUUGUUACUUAAAAUCCCACUUGUGCUAUUUUUCUUUUCUUUGCUUGACAAAUCCCACAAAACACAAAAACAAAGUAAAUAGCUAAAAAAUAUAAGGAACUAACUAAGAAAAGACAAGUGAAUUUGAUGUAAAAUAUAUAUAAAUAUGAGCUUAUCAGAUGUGAGAGAAUUCAGAGAUGUGAGUGUUGUGCGUGAAAAAGUAAAGAAUUUUUUUUGCUGUAAGAUCUAAUUUCAAACGAUUUGGAUUUUAUUGAUCCUCCCCUUCUGGAAUAACAUUGAUCUGAAGGAUCCUCCUCCCUUGAAAGUAGAGACACCAUCAGAAAAUACUAUCGUUACCGCUCAAAAUUUGCAAGUCAAACUCAAAUGGGUGUGCAUGCUCACAUAUCGUAAGGUUAACAUAGUGAAUAUAAUCAACAACUGUAGUAAAAUGAACACAAGAAUAUGUAGUGGUCUGCCCAUAACAGGGCUACGUCCACUGCAAUUUGUUUAAUAUAUUUCCUGAGAUUAUAAACAGGACUACAUCCGCUACAGUCUAUUACACAAGACUUAGGGGUGGUUUGGGAGUGAGGUGCUUAAAAAAAAACACCCAUGAAAAAAAGCUGUGAGGAUUUUAGGUGUUUGGUAAACUGAAAAAAAAAGAAGGCUUAUUUUGGAAGAUGCUGUGAGAAUAAGCUGAAAUCAAAGGAAAAAGCUGAAGCUGCUAUUUGCAGCUUUGGAAAACUGGCUUUUUUUUAAAGCACACGGAGCUACAAUGCUCAUUUAAUGAAAAGACCCACUAUCAGACUACUUUUUUUUUUUUUUCCAAAAGCACUUUUACCAAAAAAGUUUACCAAACACUCUGCUGAUUUAUUUCACAGCCGCUUAUUCUCACAGCAGCUUUUUUUUCAAAGCACAACAAUACCAAACCAGCCCUUAGAGUUUUGAUAACUCAUUGGAAUGACUUUAUGAAAUAUGUCAAAUUUACUCUCAUUGUGGAACACACGUGAUAAUUUCGCACGACAAACAAACUAUGUUAGGGAUAUUUUCAUAUUGCAACAACUAGGAAACUACAAUGAUCAAAUUCGAUACAACUGAAAAUAUAUUAAACAAAAUUAAAAUUUUGGGUUUAAUGCUAUGUAUUAUUCAUUUCUACGGAUGUUUUAACUGUCAAACUUUUACUAGGAUUUUGAAUCUCAACCAUUUAUUCCGUAAUUCAAUUAUACGAUAUUUAUAAAAAAAUCCAACUCAAGAACUAUAGUCAUGAAUCAGAUUUGGAAUAGGGCUCUAUUUGAUUGGACCAUUUGGUUUAUCCCAACUGGCUAGGGGUUACUGGAUUUUUAGAACUUGGGUCUGUAGACUUACCCGGUUGCAGAGAAGCAUCGAAAAUCCGAACGAUAAGGUGUUUUUCAGACAUGGGAGAGGUAGUAGAAAUACUGCCGGAGCACCGGAACUUGUUCGCAGAAUACUAUAUGAUCGUCGUCGCUUUCCAAUUCUUCUCCUGUGGAUGAGUUAAAGAGGUAAUUUUUCCAAAAUUUUUCCGUAGAAAAAGCAAUCAAUCAGAGGGGGCGAAUCAAAGGUCUUAAAUUAUUUGUGAAUUAAUAUUGUGAAAAGAGUGUUAGGUGCCUCACAUCUUGAAGGAGAAGCUCCUUUGAGUAAUGCAGUGGAGAAAUUUAGAAUUUUCCUCCGUGGAUUUUUAUUUGAUUUUAGAUUUUUGAGUGCUUGCAAGCAGCUACUACGCUCCCAGCAGUAGGGAAUAGACCCGGUAAAGGAAACAAUCAGACUGGGAGAGGUAAUAGAAACCUAAACCGGAGCAACCGGAGCUUGUUAUCAGCUCCGAUUGUAUUCAUUAUCGUCGCUCGCUUCCAAAUUCUUCUCCAGCUAGAGCAGUUAAAGAAGGUAAUUUGCUCAACGAUUUUUCACUUGCAUUCAAACAAUUUAAUCGUAGUUUGGUGCGAAUUUAAGCUCUUAAUCAUUUGUUUGAUGCUUUAACUGCAAUGUUGUGUGAAAUUAAACUAUAUUUUUGGGUGUUUUUUGUGUGAUUUUGUGUUGGCAGGGAGUGAAGAGUGCUACGGCACCCGAUUGCGGGAGAAAUUAAAGACAUCUUAAAGGAGGCAAGCUACUCGUCGCAGUGAGUGAUUUUUAUUGGUCAAUCAUAUUUUCCCAAUUUUUCAAAAGGAAUUUUAAUGCUGGCAAGUUUGAGCCUUGCAUUGCCGUAGCCAAAGUAGCUUUUCGAGUAGUUUGGAUUUUAGCAGUGUGGUGAUCUUCAAGUUGGAAUCCACAUUUCGUCGAGCAGUUGCGCAGUCUGCGUUUUCUCGGAGUUUGCAGUUGCUAAACAAGGAAAAUUUGCAAAUUUAUUGCAUAUAUUUCAAAUAACUUAAAUUCUGGGGCAAAUCUCAUCCAUUUGUUUUUAUACGAAAUAAUGCAAAUAUACAUAACUAUUUGGGGUUUGUAUGUAUCCUUUUCGUCCCACAGAGGGUAAACUAUAUUUAAAGUUGGGUCAAUAUUUGUUUGUAUAUUAUACACUUUUCAGAUAUUUAUUUUAAUAAUUUGAAUCAUAAUAAAUAUUUUAUGCAGAAUUUUCUUGGGUAAGUAGUUGGUUCCAUGGUCGAAAGAUUUACAAUACGACCAGAUUUGUUUUGCUUAAUUUACUUGUAGGAGAUUUUUCAUAGACUUUGUGUAAUUUUAUGUUGAUUGUAAGUUAAAUGCUAAAGUUGGAAGCCUGAGCUUAUUUUCUUAUUUCUAUACAGGUUGGACAUAUGUUGUGCUUCUAAAUGUUGUGCUGUUACCUGGUUCUUAAGAUUUCUCUGUUUACAUCCAUUUCUUGCGAUUGUAUCUGGAGGGCCUGUAAAAAGGAGUUGGUAUUUGUACCGAAGUCCAGCUCUUCUUUUUAAAUUUAUUAUUUUGAAAGACAGUUUAUGUUCUGACAAGGUACUGUUCUGUGCAGGCAAGAUGUUGUGCAUACUGGACAUGCGGGGCUGGAAAAGUUGUAAAAGCCUAUGUUUAGGCAAAUGAGCGAGUUAUACUUUGGAUUUGUUCUUGUUUCAGCAAGAUGAUAUCAUGGAGGGCUGGAGGAGUUGUAAAAAUAUUUGUUAUGGUAAAUAAAGUUGAGAUUACUUGAUUGUUAAUUCUCAUAUCGUUUAGGUGCCAUAUUGUGUUCUUGUAAGCAAGUAAAUGAUGUAAACAACACUAGGUACACUGUUACUUUCGUGUUGAACGCUGCUGAUGUUUGCAUACUACUUAUCUUGGGUCAGAAAGAAAAGAGAUGGUCUUUGUUUAGCAUGCGAUAUAAAUCAUCUUAAAUAAAGGUUUGAAUAUUGCUUCUGAUUCUCUGCAGGUAGGAAUUAUUCCUUGGUUGAUAUUAUCGACCAGGGUUAGCAAGUUUGUAUGUCGACUUGCCAAGUUCUAGAGGUUAGAUGAUUUCUGUCCUGCCAAGUUUUCAUACACAUGUUAACGUGGUUUUGUUUUGACUAUUACUUCACGAUAUCUUUAGUCAUGAACUUAGGAUUGUUACCUGCUCAUUUAAUUUGUAUCAGUGAUGUGCAGUACUAUUUUGGUCGUCUGUGUAAAUUGAGUUUAUUGUUUAUCUUAAAAAACUAACCUCUUGAAAAACCCUUUCUUUGAAGUAAUUUAUUAAAAUCCAGCAAAAUAAUGUGAUGCUUUUUAUGUUUGGUAAUCAAAUGCCUAUGCGAUCACCGACAACCAUGCCCAUGAUGGAAUUAAUAGUGGAUCCAAGAGAAAAUAAAGAAAUAUGAUACUUGGAGCGCAAGACUUCAAUGCGAACUCAAACUCACAAAUGAGAAGAAAGGUACGACAAAUAUUAUUUAUUCUCUAGUAGAAUUGACCGGAACGCUCUUAAUUAAUUGAGCGCUGUGCCAAUUUUGUUCAUAUCGCAUUGAAAGUAUGAUGCGGGUAAUCCCAUGGUAAUAUGCAUCUCAUGUACUUGAAUGAAAAAGAACGAGGAAAUUUAUGCCUGAACAUUAUUCUUGGCACAUCUAAUACUAGUAUCUUGGCGACCGGAAUAUUCAUGGAUUUAGCCAAGGCAAAGAAGAAAAGGCAUCCUAGCACACAAGUAGCGACAGCAAGUCCUGGCGAACGACCACUCGGUACCACAUAUGUGCCGGUAUUGAAUGCAACCACCAUUGCCAUUAAGGCAAACAAAGUAAAGGAUAACGAAAGCAUUCAAUCAAAAAUUCAGAAAUCACACCAAUUCCCAUAAUCGAAAGCAUUCAAUCGAUAAUUCAGAAAUCAUACCUUUAAUCAAUCAAUCAUACUAGCGUCCACUAGCUUAAGUAUAGCAUGCAAGGUAUGCUAGCAUCAACUAGCUAAACUCACUACUGGUAAUAAUCAAUAAUGCUAGUGUCUACUAGGUUAAAAUAUCACUUGCAAAUAAUCUGUGGCCGAGGAUAGUUAUACAACAUAUAUAAGAGAUCAUGUGGUGAAAAUAAAUCACCAAUGAUCUCAAGAUAUCAUCAAAUAUCAGCAUAAGUCUCAUCAAAGACCAACAUAGUAAUAUGCAUCCGCAUAUAAGACAUAUUAUCUAUAUACUAAAACCCGGUAGAAAAGCACUGUUCAUGAGCAGUGUAAUGGCUAAAAUGCCCUUUGAUAUCUUCUUUGUUGCCCUUCGUCUUGUACACAUCUAUAUAGUGUAAAAAUGUUUAGUUUUUCAAAGGGGUCCACUAGCAGGUAAGCAGAGCCUCCUUCCCCAAUAGGCUCCUUGCCUAUAUCCUUCAAAUGGCACAUGCAAUGGUGUGGCUAGGUUCCUCUCAUCCUAGAGAUUAAGAUUUCGAGUUUUUGUAGUUCGAUUUGUGAAGGAAUUAGGGUGGUUCUCUCUCACGGUGGUAGAAAGAGAGUUGAGUUCGAGAGUGUAAAGAGAGAAUGGAGAGAGAGUGAUUUCAGCUGAGGAAAAGAGAGAGGCCGAGAGUCAUGUAAUCUCACUUAAACCCAUUUAAGUAAAAUUACAAAAUUGCCCUCUACUAGUUAAAAUUACAUUUAGGCCCUCAUGAUUUCGUUUCGAUUUACAGCGCUUCAACGUGUAAAACCUACUGUACGAUAUAAUAAAGGUUAUGGAAGAUCACAAUAUCAAAGUACGCCAGGAUUUCAGACUUUCUGAGUCGACUGCUAAUAAAUUAUUCUUAAGUGGCAACCCACCCGUUCGUGGUCAAAAUGGCUCAAGUUCAUAUUGGUUUCAGGGUAACUAAAUAUAACAAGACUUGCUUAGGAUCAACGUGAUAACAAAGUUCUCUCUUACACAGAAGAAUACCGAAUUAAUUGAGGUGCGUUACAACUUAUUACACAUGUCAACCGAGUACCUCAGGUCCAGCAACUUCCAAGUUGCUCGUUACUGCAUGUCCUCCAUGGAAUAGGUGUUGGCGACGCCAGUUAAGUAUUUAGUUUCUUAUUUCGGAAGUAGAAAAUGGAAAAGAGAGAACUUUGCAAAACGCCAAUACAGUAGAAGAUGAGAAAGGUGCAGCCAGGAGUCAGCAGCAAAGCUGCCCAAGGUGCUAUCCCUGAGAUGAUAUGGGGGAGCUGAGACCCAUGUUAGGUGGUGCAUAUUGUGCGCGUAAAUCUUGUUAAAUGCACCAGACACUCGAUUCCUGCCUAAUACGCAAGAUGAGGCCCAUCUAGGUCAAGAGACACUGUUGCCUAUUGCACAAAUCUGUGUCUCCGUCUUGGUACAAAUGUGCGUCGAAAUGGAUGUGUAUUUUUGUCACGGCAAGUAAACUCCUCACCGUUAUGAAAAGGAGUCAUCCUAAGUUGGAAGCCAUGAAGCAUCGUAGAAAUCGAUAUCUAGAGAACAUAGGGCCAUGAUUGCUAAGUGCUGAGUUAUAUCCACAGCUUCGAAAAACUAGAUAUGUUCUUUAGAACAAGGUUCCUGUCGUAGUAUUCUUGGACAGACAAGGUUAUGGGGGUAAACUCGUGGGGCUAUCCGGUCUCCUUUUUUUUCGCAUCUUGGGAUCCACAUCGGGGCAAUAGUUAUGAGGAACCUGCUGAGCCAUUGACGCUCUGAGUUCUUACCGAGUUGCUCGCCUCCCUAAUUCGUAGCCCACGAAACUCGGAGUUUUCUUUUGCUUUAGAGAUAUGACACUUUCCUCUGCAUGCAUCCUUGCGUGACUAUCUAUAGAGUUUUUCGCUAUCGUUCACCUUCUAUGCCGACUAUGGGCACAUUAUUUGUGGGUGAUUAUUCAGAGUAUUCUUGAGCUCUUGAAAUGGUUCUACUCUAGUACCCUGUUCUGAAAUUCGAAGUAGAUGUCCAUAAAAUUUCCUCAAGUCAGCACGUUAGGAACACUAAAAAUACUACUUUAAUUAUUAUCAUUGGGUUCAAAACAAACCCAUCUCCGAGAGCAAUUCAUAUACAGUGUAUGUUGCGGACAGAGGUCGACCAAACUGAAUGGCGUGAGCACAGUGCAGAGAAUGAUGAUUUUAUAACCGUUCCACAAACUACGGUGCUGAGUCAUCGAUGAAUGUAGGCAAUGCGAGAAAAGCGGUUAAGUUUGUGUGCAUCUAAGAUUGACACCUGAACACCAAUUCCAAUCAGAGGCUUUCACAGUAUAGUCUCAGCUAGAGUCCACUAUCGCAAAUAUGGGUCAGUAAAUGUAGACAAGCUAAAGAGCUGGCUAUAGGGUGAAUGGAUGGGUGGUGUGAUCACCAUGCCAACAUCAGCGCUUUAGCCCAUUUCCAAACACAAAUGACCAAUAAGUUGCAUAAUGUACCGGUUCACAUGCAAAUGGAAAAUUGCCAAUUUGGCAAUGUAUUAACAUGAUGUGGACUUUUUGGCCUAAAUUAAGUGUGCCAUGUGUGGGUGGGAGAACUAUAUCGUACAUGAUUGAUGUUAUGGCGGAUUAUUGGUAAAGAAGUGCUGAUUACGUGACUAUUGUAAUUACAAAUCUAUUCCAUUGCUUCAGAACAGCGAAAGCAGCUGCAGUGUUGUAACGCUACGAAGACUAUGGCAAUUCGGAAUGCAGAAGGGCAUCUUGAGCAAACGGAGGGCCGUGUGGCUUUUCAACCAUUUGGAGAAAACAACAUACAUCCUCCUCUUCAUACCUUUAAUUUGGACACUGGAUCGUAUUAACUGUGCCUGUACGGAGCCCUUGUCAAAGAAAUAAUGACCCAAGAGCACCGUACUGACCAUGAUUUCGGCUUGUUCUCACCUGGAUCUUGUUUGAUUGGGUCAACAAGUACAAGUAGGGGCGUACGAAAACAUGAACAUUGUAGCUAGGAUGAGAAAAACCUGAACCACCUGAGGUACUAUGCAGACUAAGUGUCUUAGACUGCACAUCCAGAUUGGGCAGUGGAGUCAUUACUAGCGGACAGACAAAACGUGCUGUUCGAACCUGUGAAAAGUAGGCCUAGAUAAGAGACACCCAGACGAGUUGUCCUACCCACAUGACGAAUCAAGAUAUUGAAUGUCUGAAUUAGAAACUCAUUCAGAUCGUGGGCAUUAGAGUCAGAACAGCGAUGGUUGUAUGUGUGCGGCUAUCGGGACGGAACUUUAAAGGAUAUACUCAACCAUCUUGCUCAUCCGACAAGCUAUGGCAUGAGUAUUCUGCUAGGGCAAUUGUAGAUAGGGCUAUCAGGUUCACUUAGGUUUAUGUGGAACACUGGACUCGCUUACGAUGUAGAGCGCUAGUGGAUUUUACUCUAAUUGUCGAAUGCAUUGGAAAGGUUGGGAGGCUACAAGCCUGCUCAAGCAAAACACUGAACAAAUAUCACCUACAUUCAGUCGCGAAGCGUAUGCGAACUCGACGAUGGCUGAACCGGAGACUCACUACCUUGCAAAGUAGACUAUCUCUGAUGCAAAGUUGUGAAUGGCAUUGAUGCGCUCCGCUAGUAUAUACCUGAUAUACUUGUGGAUGACUGUGCUAGCUCUAUGCUGCGUUUGGGCGAAAAAUGGGCGACAAGACUGAAGGAUUCCUUGGUGAUAACUAGGAGUUUUAUGAUGGAAGACAUGAAAAAAGGUGUGUGAAGUAAGUGGCAAGUUCUUUCGCUAAAACUUGACACAGAUAACGAAUAAAAAAAAAAGCAGUCACGCACUCCAUAGACCUGAACGAUUAUUCGAAAGACCCAUCCGCCGCCGAAGUUCACUCCGCCUGUUACAGCUUCGCCUCAGAGCGCGCUCCGCCCACCGCCCGUGUGCUCAGUCACGCACGUGGACGCCUGGCUUUCGUCUAUUCUGGGCUCAAGAUCCAUUCGUUGACUCCCCUCUGGUUUCUGCGAUUUGGUCUUAGUCUAGUAGAUUAAUAAUUUCUCUCCGAGUCUCAGUUCCCAAUUCUUAAGCAUAUGAGACGUAACAAUAUACACGUGGAAACAACUCAGGAUAGGCAAUAAAUCCCGGAAGAGUAGAUAACAUUAUAGCUCCACCUAUUACAACAUGUGAUUUUAGAAAAAUGUACAAAAUUUGUAUAGUUCAAUAGGAGGGCAAGUGUAAACAAGCCAUAGCCUUGUAACUUCCAAUGAAUAAAGACAACAUUGUACGUAUCAUAAUUUCUCUCACCUAUUUGGUUUUUUCAAUAACUGUAUAUAUUUUAGAUUGGCACACUAAUUUGUUUUGAUCAAUAGAAUGAGAUUUGGAUUAAAAAUAAAGGACUUGAUAUGGUUCAUCUGACUUAAAGUCCAAUUCUACUAUAUAGACGUUUAUAUUGAAAAUUCAGCCAUAAAGUAUAAAAAAUGUGAGAAAAAUAUAUCUAUAUAUACAAAUAGCACCCAACACACUCAGGUAACGAAGGAGCAAAGAAACUGAAUGCGAUUAAAAAAUAUGUAGGUGUAGACAAGCAGGGGUGUGACAGUGACCCAUUGGGCCUUAGGGGUUAAAGAAGAGAUUCGAGUACGCAAUAUUAAACCGUACAAACCCUUGACAAAUUUACCAAAUCUUGAAAUUUGUGACCUAAAAACAAUUCUAGAGGUGGAAGAAAAAAUUACUAGGAUACCUAUACCUCAUCCCACAGGCGUGAAGAUUACCAUCAAUUAGGAUACAAAACUUUCGUUAAAUAAUUUAAACACCGCGAAGCGGCUAUUGUAUAAAUUCAGUUUGAAGCAAUGGAUACUGGCAUGAGUAACUUGCCCAAUUAUUGGUUUGGGGAAAACACUGUUUUGGUUUUUUUUAACCCAAGUCUCACAAGGGAAAAUCUUUUAAUAUUUAUCUUUAUCUCAUACCAUUUAUCAGACUUAAAAAUUUCUAGAUUUCACUAAAUUACAAACAAUAUAAAUACAUAAGAUGCUCAUAAGACUUAUCGAGAAAAUUAGAGGCUUACAAUCCAAAUAGAAUUUACAAUAAAUACUAAAUAGAGGAGUUAUCAAGAUACCCAAUAGAAAUUAAUAAAGUUUUUCAAAAUCACAAAUGAUAAAUUGGAAUAUACAUUACCCGAAUAAGGUAGAAAUUCAUUGUAUCACUUACAAGCUGACAGAGUCGGAAGCAUAUAGGAGAGAGAGCAUUGAUUGUAGAACUAUUGAGUUCUGGGUAAUAGGCCUACACUUACAAAAAGCAUAAACCAAAAAAACUAUAUUAAAUUAGAGUAGAAGAACAAUUAAGUUGAAACCAUUUAGGAUACAAAUUACCACUAAAAAAUAAAGCAUAUUUUUCCUUUGUUUUCUCUUCUUCAUUUUCUGUAAAAAUUAGAACAGCAAUUAUCAUUUGUGGCCCGUUGGUGUCCUGGUGAGAUAAGUUUUACUUAUCUAGUCAUUGCCGCGUAAAAGCACUAACCCACAGUGAGGUAUGCAAACGGAGUACAAGGAUAUCACCAGAUUAAUUUUUAGGAGUCAAAGUGUAUACCUCUAAGAAGGGUUGCACACCCUCCCCCUAGUCUAAUGGGCAUUUUUCAUCUAGCAUAACUUCACUAGCACAGUAUGAAGGUGGGUUUAGAAUUAGAUUAUUGUUUGUAUAGUUAUUUUGUGAAACUUUUUAGGAUUAAUUUUCUUUUUUUGUAUUUGGUAUUUUCCUAAUUUCCAGAGUAUCAAUAAUGUUCACCAAUACAACAAUUGUUAUAUAAUGUAGGUUUUUUAUUUUUUCAAAUUUAAUUGGAAUAUUAUUUUUAAUUAUGUGUUAAUAAUUUAUUUUUAAUAUAUAUAUUAUAUUUAUAAAUAAUAUUAUUAAUUGUUUUUCGGUAUGGUACGGUAAUACCUGUGGUAUGUAUCUCAUUACUCCAAUACCUGUUACCAUGAAAUCGAUACGGGUCAAUGACCGAUCAUUACGAUUGUACAAAAAAUAUUGGCCAAAAUCGAGGUAUGAAAGGUUUGGAAAUUGUUGGUCACGGCAAUUAGCAAAGAAAAAAUUCACCCCUAAGCCAUGGCAAGCAGUGGAGUGGGGUUUUGCCUGUGGAAGUGCAUCUGCUGGGCUUCUUUUUUUGGGUCGUCAAAGAUAAAUUUUAUAAAUAUAAGAUUCGGUAUCAUUUAUUGAAUAACUAGACAUACAUCAAAGAUUUUUUUUAAUUAAUUUGAAAAUUGACAUUAACCACAUAUGAGUAAUACUGAAAAAAAACACUAAUUAUCUACUACAUUACCGCAGCAAAAUUAAAAAAAUUGAAAACGGAAAUGCGCAAUCUAAAGCACAAAAUUUAGUUAAGUUGUCAUGCACUCACAUAUUAUAUCAUGCUUCAAGUCACAUUAUGCAGUACAUUCGCCAUGUCUUGUCGCAAGAAGUCAGCUGUGCGCAACUUGCAUUGCGAAUUCCCUGGUCGUCAAUAACUCAAGUUGGAUCUUAUCCUUCUUUACUCUUCACUCUUGAGUCCUCCAAAUCUCAUCCAUUGUUCCUAUUUCAUUUAAAUUCCCAUCAUCACAGUUCAAAGAUCACAAGUUCUUUCUGGAUUACUCUAUUGUUAUUAGGUGGCGCAAAAAGGUGUAUUCCACGUCUUGUCGAGGAACAGCGUGAACAUAAGAAAUAAUUUCAACAAAUGGAUCAUGAUGCCACAUUCAUACUGAUCAGCAGGCCAGAAGAAGCUGCAAACGGAUAAGAUUUUAGUUACUCGACCAACUAGGCUUCGUUUAAGACUAAUCGAGGGCCAGCUAAAAUACCCAAAUUGUGAGUUUUCGCCUGAGAUCAGUUUUUAAGCACGACGUAAGGUAAAACCUCGGGCGGUCUUCUAUUGGGCUCAAUCUCUUUACCACAGCGACAAACGUAUGACAUAUGGUCAAAUCUUGUAACUUCGGACACAUUUAAGGAGAAUGUUUGAAGGCAGUCGGCCACUGCUUGGCGUCGAGACCGUCUAGCCUACUGGGGUGCAUGUAUAGAAUUAAUGGUUUGGUUGUUUUGUGUACGAUUAGUUAUAACCCAAACAGUGAUUUGCGUUACCGAAACCUCAUUGGCGGCACCUUUUGAGGCAUGACAGACCGACCUAGGCUCUUCUUCUGUUAAGACUCGGCCUUGCUCAAGGUCGCCAUGGUGACGAACUUUUAUUGCCUGAUCGAUAAGAACUCCAACUAUAUCAACUAGCCCCUUUCUCGCCGCUAGGUGUAAGGCAGUCUCACCGCUCUUAUUGUGCAGCCAUAGUAGUGCGGGACACAUUUCAAGGAUAUCCUUCACAAUCCCGGCUGACUCCAGUGUGUUUUGUCCGAAUGUCGGCCUGCUUAAGCACGCUAUAUAAACAUGAAGGACAGUGUUAUUUGUUGCAGUCAGUUUUAGGUCAAGAUGUUCAACAUGUUCCCUGAGGGCAUCAAGGUCGCCUUGUUUCGCAGCACGAAACACAUCAAGUUCCAUGCUACCUAUCGAAACUGUAUUAUUGCCUUCUUUAGUAGCUCCCUCCUUGGUCUGAACUGCUAAGCGAUCAGUACUACGAGCACUCUCGGCCUGAUCAGUUGAAUGGGAGUGAUCCAUUUUUUGAUAUUUCGUUAUUACGUGCUUAGACAAGGGGAGCUUUUGGCCUAAUACAAGUAUAAUCAGAAAGAACUUGUUGAUCUUUGAGUGGAUGAUGGGAAUUUGAAUGAAAAGGAACAAUGGAUGAGAUUUGAGAGGCUCAAGAGUGAAGAGUAAACAAGGAAUACAAGAUGAGAUCAUUUAUAGAGCAGGAAUCCAAUGCAAUGCCACACUUCUGCAAAGAUGCC